This 184715-nucleotide long non-coding RNA is filed under the name Eucalyptus grandis. Its description in RNAcentral is "long non-coding RNA (EGRA_LNC000617)". Lineage: Eukaryota; Viridiplantae; Streptophyta; Magnoliopsida; Myrtales; Myrtaceae. The record is from RNAcentral.
CUCCUCCUCCCGGCACUUCUAUUUUUCCUUCUCAACCGGAAGCGCACCAAGCUUCCCCCUCAGCCCCCCGCAUGGCCCGUGAUCGGCAAUAUCCUCGACCUCGGGACCACGCCGCACCAGAACCUCCACAACUUCCGAGCCAAGCACGGGCCUGUGACGUGGUUGAAGCUCGGUUCCGUGAACACCAUGGUGAUCCAAUCAGCUCAGGCCGCCACAGAGUUCUUCAAGGGCCAUGACUUCGCGUUCGCAGACCGCAAGUGUCCCCAUGCAUUGACAGCUCUCAAUUAUGACCAAGGCUCGCUCGCUGUGGGUCGUUACGGUGGCUACUGGCGCGUUCUCAGGCGUCUCUGCUCUGUUGAGUUCCUCGUGACCAAGCGCGUCAAUGAGACGGCCCAUCUCAGGCAGAAGUGUGUCGACAACAUGGUCGUUUAUUUGGAGGAAGAAAUGGCGGUUAAACAAGUAACAACAGGUUAUUUCUUACGUGCUUCGUGUUACGUUGGACGUUUGCGUUGCAUGUGUAACCUUGAAUGACUGAAAUAAUAGUUUUCUUCUUCAAAGGAAAAAAAAAAAAAAAAGCAACAGAGAGAGAGAGAGAAAGGAACGUUUAAACUCCUUACAAAAAUAUCAAAAUAGGAUGAAGGCCAAUACCCUACACAAUAUUCCCACUAGUGUCACAAGUUCUUCUCAUUAAUAUAUGUAAAAUCAACGGUUAAGAUAUCUUGGGACUUUUGCACCAUUAAGAGUUAAUGAUUCACGCUGUCAAAAGAAUCGUAACCUGCAACUAGAUCUACCUAAGAAAACAUUGGGCCUGCUUUUUACGGAUGAAGGAACCGGCGGUCUUUCUUUUUUGCAAAAUGUACAAUUAAGUUCCAGAAUCUUUUUUUUUUUCUUUUUUCUACUAUUGAGUUCUUAAAUUAUACAUCUUUUAAUUUGAGUUAGCCCUCCUCUUAAAUAUGCGAAUGCAUUGGUUACGAUGAAUAUUGCAUCCCCACCAUAUGUUAGCACUGACUAGACUAACUAAUUAGGGAGACAUGAAUUCUUUUUUACUUAGUGCUAAGAUGGGUAAGAAAGAUUAUAAAAAUAAAGAAAUCUAAAUCCAAGUAAACAUUCACCAACCCAAGCGUUGCCUCAAUUUAUUGCAUGACCCCGGGCGACAACUUACCUCGACCCCUAGUUAUUCAAUUUUUCUAUGUCAUUCUAUUUUUAAGUUUUUUAAGAAGUCACUUAAGACACCAUGUUGGCUUUCAAUGAGGACCUAACCGCCAUGUCAACAUUUAUAUAUACUUCUUUAAUGGAAGGACUAAAUCAAAGAAGAAGUUAUACGGCUCGAGGAUCUAAUUGCACAACAAAUUUAGGAACCUAAUUAAAACUUUUUACAAAAGUUUAGGGACUGCUGGUACUUUUAUCCCUUUGUUUUGUUACUAUAAUUGACGAAUUCAAUAAAAUAGAUACCAGUGUAAAUAAUUCAAGUUGCCCAAGAGCUAUUGGUGUUUAAAGUGCUAUUUAGUCAAACUUGCUUUCAUUCUUCUCGAGUUUGAGUCGAACUAGAGUGGCUCUACUGUUGAAUUAUGCCAAGCUCGAGUAGCUUUACCAUUGAAUUGUGUCAAACUCGAGCAUGAUCAAGUAGUUGGGUUUUAUAUAUCUUCUGAUGCAUUGAUCAAGUAUAUCCCCAUUACUAUGCAAGAGAAUGCAAAAGUAAACUUUCCACUUUAUUUUAUUUGUGCAAGCCAAGUUGGAGUUUUUAAGAGUUCAGAUGCUAAUUUAGUUUUUAUUAGUGAAAAAUAUUCGAAAACAAGCUUAUCAAGAACUUUAUUAAGUUCGACUUGAGCUUGAAAAAUCCAACUUUUGUCUUGAAAGUUGCAGCUUGGAGGUUGAUUCCUCCAUCCCUCCUUAAACUAGUUGUAUAACUUGGUGCAAUAAUUUUUUUUUUUUCAUUUCUAAUUCAUUACGUUCUGCUAUACAUUCUCUAAUUAUAAUUAAUCGUUAAAAAUUUCUAAUUUUUAUGCAGAACAAGGAAUCGACUUAUCCCACUUCCUCUUUCUCAUGGCAUUUAAUGUGGUGGGUAAUUUGGUGCUCUCACGGGAUCUUUUGGACCCAAAAUCGAAGGACGGGCCUGAGUUCUUUGAUGCCAUGAACCGGUUCAUGGAAUGGGCUGGCAAGCCCAACGUAGCCGACUUCCUGCCGUGGUUGAAAUGGUUGGACCCACAGGGGAUCAAGGCAAGCAUGGCGAAGGACAUGGGUCGAGCCAUGAAGAUUGCUGAAGGUUUUGUAAAAGAGAGGUUGGAGGAGCGAAAGCAAAGGGGAGAGAUGAGAACGACAAAUGACUUCUUGGAUGCGGUAUUGGAUUAUGAGGGCAAUGGAAAAGAAGGCCCUCGCAAAAUCUCUUCCCAGAACAUCAUCAUAAUAAUUCUGGUAUCCUCUCUUCCACUCUUGGCAAAAAAGAAAUGAUUAACAUCUUAAGGAUAUUAGGUCCAGUUCGGUUUGUAAAGUGGGGUGGUAAACUUAAUUGACAAUUAACAAGCAGGUCAUAUCACGCGUCAUUUUCUACAAACUUGUGUUUUCGUAGAACAUUCUAGCACUAGAUUUUGUAAUAACUAGCCUUUUCCAAUCAACUAUCUAUGAAAACAUUUUACACUUUAAGUUUGUAGAGAACGUUGCAUAACAAAAAGCUACUACUAUUAUAAAGAUGUUUCCAUUCUUUCCUGAUUUAGCCAAUCUGUGCUCAUUUUGUAAUAACUAGCUAAGAAUGUUCUACAAAUCACAAGAAUGAUUUAUGGUUAUUUUCUUUACAAAAAUAAAAAAUAAAUCUAGUGCUAGAAAGACACAUUGAAUGAUUUGUUAAGUUAAGUUGAUGUCAAUUUCACUAAUUAAUAGAACAUGUUGGGUAUCCACAAUGGAUGAGUGAAUGGUAUGUUGAUCAAAUGUAUGAUAUGAUAUUGACUAAAUAUAAUCGAUGUUCAAACACCAGCAUUGAGUAUAAGAAGCCAAUAAGAUUAAGUUGACAAGGCAUGAACAGUUUUUGUCCAUGGACUUAUAAAUGAAAGUCAAGUUAAUGUCGGUCGAGUCAAGAAGUAUUGACAUUGGCUCACAAAAUUUGGUCGAAUCAAACCGACUGCAAGGAUAAAACUAGCGCGAACAGUUAUUGUAGCCAAACUUCUAGGACGGAACAAUUUUUAAAGUUGUUGACCGGCAGUUGAAGUGAAGCAAUCGUUGUAGCCGAGACUACAAAAAGAGCACAUCUUAAGGGAAAAAGACGCACACACAUAAAAAGAACACACUUCACUUUCUUGCCAUUCAUUUUCAGUUAUUUCUCAGCAACUUAAUUCUUGCCAUUCCAGUUGUUUAUUUCAUUUUUUCCAAUCAAACACCUGCUCUUGCCCUUUUAUAAAUAUUCCUGUUGUCAUUAGUGGAUUCAUUUCGUCAAUUUUAGGAUCCAAUCAUCAAAUUCUUGUUCCUUUCUUUAUGCGCAAUUGUCUGUCAAUUUGAAGCAUAGGAGCUGCUAUGUUUGAUAAGGAUUGUAUCAGGUGAAGCAUGAUGAUUUUUACUGUUAAGCCCACGAUUUGAGGGAGUGAUUUUCGAGCGAAACUGAUUAUCUUAAUUAUAGCAAAAGAAUCAGCAUUGGUGGUAACCCUAGCAAGAAAUGAUCUUGUACUAAAUGUGUCUAAUUCAUGGUGCAGGAAAUGUUUUUCGCUGGAUCAGAGACUACAAGCAGCACCAUCGAGUGGGCAAUGGCGGAGCUACUCCACCAACCCGUGUCAAUGAAAAAGGCCAAAGAUGAGAUUAACCAGAUUGUGGGGUUGAACAGAAAACUCGAAGAAAGUGACACGGAAAAAAUGCCGUUUUUGCAAGCUGUGGUGAAGGAAACCCUGAGAUUGCAUCCACCAUUACCUUUGCUUAUCCCACGAAAUGCUAUAAAAGAAACCAAUUUCAUGGGAUUUGAUAUACCCAAAGAUACCCAGGUUUUCGUGAAUGUAUGGGGCAUUGGAAGAUGUUGGAGAAAUCCUCAUGAAGUGUUUUGAAGUUGACAAAACGUUUCCAUCAGUCUAGUCUGAAGGUCUGCAGACUCUGUUAGUUAAAGUCUGAAGACUUCCGGACAGCCAGACUCAAGACUCAAAGUCUAUCCUCAUUGACAGUCUCUAAUCCGUUGAAGAAAGGUUAUCCAGAACUGGAUGUUUUGUUCAGGAUUUAACCUUAUCAUCUAGAGAAGAUCUCGUGGCUGGAGAAGACGUAUCAGAAUCCUUUGAUUGAUCAAGUUUGAUUCAAUGAAUGAAGAUUCGAUGAUUGUCUAAAUAUUAUUGGAAGGUUCUACUUAUGGAAACCGAGAUCCUGAUUGUAUGGACGAACAUGAUUGAUGGGCUAUCAACACGUUCCUUUAAUAGCUCGAACAAUCUUCCUAAUUGAUUCCGUCCAACGGGUAGAUUGGAGGAAUUCCUUUGGUAAGUGCCAACGGGUAUGAUGGCUUAAAGGAGUAUAUAAGGAAGACGUUCUUAGUUGUUCGAGGUGUGCGCGAUAGAAGAAUUCCAAAGUCUGAAGCUCCUAUUUGUUUAGAUAAUUCCUUUAGCGAUACUUGUAUACAAANNNNNNNNNNNNNNNNNNNNNNNNNNNNNNNNNNNNNNNNNNNNNNNNNNNNNNNNNNNNNNNNNNNNNNNNNNNNNNNNNNNNNNNNNNNNNNNNNNNNGAAUCAAGGCAAAGCUGUGCUGUAACUUCUCUUUUGAUCAUAGUGAAAUCCAGCCGGUGGGCUGUCAGUGCGGAAGAGUGGACGUAGGCUUGGAAUAAGCCGAACCACUAUAAAUCCUGUGUUCAAAUUUCUCUCUCUACCUCGAUCGUAUUUCAUUUUGUUAAGAAUUGCUUCCGUAUUUGGGACAAAUUGUUUGUGCGCCUAUUCACCCCCCCUCUAGGUGUUUAUACUAGCAAUAUCAAUUGGUAUCAGAGCCUGUGUACUUACUUUAUUUGAAGUGUUUUACUUCAUAGUAAAAGAUCCAUGGCUAGUAUGCUAGCAUCAGGGCUGAUGGAAGGGCAAAGCAAUACUAGACCACCCUACUUUGAUGGAAAGGAUUACAACAUCUGGAAGAACAAGAUGAAAGCUUUCCUACGAUCAAAGGAUCCUCUGGAAUGGGACGUUGUAGAAAAAAGAAUUACUCCUACCACUGCAUCAGUCUCUGAAAGAGGAAAAGAAACUGAAGAAACCAGCGGAAUGUCUCAGGAAGAAAUAAUCAAGAGACAAACACUCGAUGCAAAAGCAAUUUACUCCUUAUAUUGUGCUUUAUCACCAACUGAAUAUAAUAGAAUAUCUUCUUGUGGUACAGCAAAAGAAGUUUGGGACAGAUUGCAUAUCACCUAUGAAGGAACAGAUCGAGUGAAGGAAACAAGAAUCAACAUUCUUCUCGGUCAAUACGAAGCCUUCAGAAUGAAACCAGGAGAAUCAAUAUCUGACAUGUUUAGUCGUUUUACAGAUAUUGUGAAUGGUCUUGAAAAUCAAGGUCAACCAACUUCUGAUCCCAUGAAGGUAAACAAGCUACUGCGUGGACUCUCCAGGGAUUGGAAUCACAUAAAGACUUCGAUAAGAGAGACGCAGAGAAUUAUGCCACUAUCUGUUGACGAGCUGAUUUGAACUCUUCAGUCCUAUGAAGUGGAAAGGAUCAAUGAAGAUGAAGAUCCAAAAGGUAAGAAAUCCAUUGCAUUAAAAUCAAAUGAUGAUUCUGAUGAUACAGAUUCUGAAGAUGAUAUGGACGAUGAGGAGCUUGCUCUCAUGAUAAGAAGAUUAAGAAAACUAAAUAGAAAAGGAAGAAGGUUCAACUCAAAGGAACAAAGCUUUCAAAGACAGCAGACCAAGUCUGUUGAUGAUGAGGAACCAAAUAAAGAUGUAGUCUGCUUUGAAUGCAAGAAAAAGGGACACAUCAGACCCAACUGUCCUUUUCUGAAGAAGAAGAGAGGAAAAGCUGAAAAUUUUUGAAAAGCUCUCAAAGCUGAAACCUGGAGUGAUACUGAGUGUGAAGAAAGUGAUAAUGAAUAUGCCAAUCUAUGUCUGAUGGCACAAUCAGACUCAGACUCUGGAUCAGACUCAGGAUCAGACUCAGACAGUGAAUUUGAGGCAAGUAAUUUUAAAAUUUCUGUCAAAGUUUCUAAAUAUAUUGAUGAACUAUGCUUUAGUCUUAAGACUUCUCUAAAAAGAAUUUCCAAACUGAAAAAAGAAAACUCAGCUCUAAAACAAAAGGAAAAUGUUUUAGCAGAAAGAGUUAAAAGUCUAGACUUGUAUGUUUCCAAUCUUAAAGGAAAUGAAGAAAAUCUUUUAAAAGAAAAUGCUUUUUUAAAAACAGACUUAUCAAAUAUAUCAAAGAAAUUUUCUAUAGGGUCUGAAAAACUUGAGAAAAUUCUUUCAGCACAAAGACCUUACUUCAAUAAGUCUGGUCUAGGUAUGACAGAAGAAACAAUUCCCUUGAUUGAUUUUCCCAAAGUAAAAGAAAGAAUUAAGAAAAGACUUUCGAGUGAGGUUUACAAAAAUCACUUCAAGAAAGUUUUUGUAAAACCUGUAGGUAGAAAUGCUCUCAGAUGUUCUAAGUGCAACAGUCCGGAUCACUUUGAAAAAGAGUGUCCUAUGGUAUGGAAACCUGUUAAGAAAGUAUGGGCUAAUACUGUUUAUCUUACUAACACCAAAGGACCCAAGAAAAUUUGGGUACCAAAGAAAGCUUGAGACUUUAUUUUAAAUGCAGGUCUCCGUCAAGAAAUAGGUAAAGUGGUAUCUUGACAGCGGAUGCUCAAGACACAUGACAAGAGACUCAAAUUGCUUUAUAAAGCUUGCUCAAGUAAAUGGUGGAAAAGUUUCAUUUGGAGGAAACAACAAAGGAAGUAUUGUGGGAUUUGGAACCGUGAAAAUUGGAACUCUCACAAUAAGUAAUGUUUCCUUAGUGGAAGGACUCAAUUACAAUCUUCUCAGCAUUAGUCAAUUGUGUGAUACUGGUUUCAAGAUCUUCUUUCAAGAAGGAACAUGUUCUGGAAUCAGUAAAGACUCUACUCAGUCUUUCAUGGGUCGAAGACAUGAAAAUAUCUAUCUUCUAGAUGUGAAACCAAAUGAAUCACAAUACCUUAUCUCAAUUCAAGACGAAGCAAGCUUAUGGCACAAAAAGCUUGGUCAUGUCAACAUGAAGCAAUUAGCCAAAAUCUCAUCAAAACAGCUUGUUCGAGGUCUACCCAAAUUGCCAUACCAAAAGACUGAUUCAUGCACUCCAUGUAUUCUGGGAAAGCAGGUAAGAAAUUCUUUUAAGCCGAUAAAUCAUGUCUCUACUAAUCAUGUACUACAGUUGCUGCAUAUGGAUCUCUUCGGACCAACCAGAACUCAGAGUAUUGGGGGUAAGAAGUAUUGCCUAGUAAUUGUUGAUGAUUACUCCCGUUUUACUUGGGUAUAUUUCCUUGCAAGUAAGUCCGAAACCUUUUCGUAUUUUGAAAAAUUUGCUAAAAAGAUUCAAAAUGAAAAAGGAUGUGUUAUCUCUAGUAUAAGAACAGAUCAUGGAGGUGAAUUUGAAAAUCAAGAUUUUACAAAAUUCUGUGAUGAAUCUAGCUUUAAGCAUGUGUUCUCCUCUCCAUAUACUCCUCAGCAAAAUGGAGUUGUGGAAAGAAAGAACAUAUCUCUUCAAGAAAUGGCUAGAACUCUUUUAAUUGAAAGUAAAUUUUCUUCUCGAUUUUGGGCUAAAGCUGUUUCAACAGCAUGCUAUAUCAUCAAUAGAGUCUUCUUAAGAUCUAUUCUUCAGAAAACCCCUUAUGAGUUAUUCAAAGAAAAGAAGCCUAUUGUUUCAUACUUUCAUGUAUUUGGUUGUAAAUGUUUUAUAUUGAAAAAUGCAAAAGAUCGAAUUGGUAAGUUUGAAGAAAGAUCAAAUGAAGGUAUCUUCCUUGGAUAUUCUACAUCAAGCAAAGCUUACAGAGUCUAUAACAAGAAGAGUCAGUCUGUAGAGGAGUCAAUGAAUGUCAAAUUUCAAGACUCAACGCAAGAUGAAUCAAGUCAGACUCAUCAAGAAGAGUCUGAACCUGCUCCAGACCCUCCAAAGUCUACAACUCAAGAAGCAUCUCAGACUCUGGAAAACCAGCAUCAGGUUGUUAGUGAAGAUCCAAAUAAAGAAAGAGAUCAUCAACCAGACAAAUCAACAAGUAACUGGAAGCAUAAGUCCAGUCAUCCCAAAGAUCUUAUAAUUGGCGAAAUUAAUGAAGGAAUUCGCACCAGAUCCAAAAGGCGAGAAGAGUCUAGUGCUGUGGCACUCGUUUCUGAAAUUGAACCAAAGAGCAUAGAAGAAGCUUUAUCUGAUGAAAGCUGGAUUGAAGCUAUGCAAGAAGAGCUCAGACAGUUCAGCAUAAAUGAUGUCUGGGAAUUGACAUCCAAACCAAAAGGUAAAACUGUUAUUGGAGCUAAAUGGGUGUUCAGAAACAAGAUGAACGAGAAAGGAAAAGUCGUACGAAAUAAAGCAAGACUCGUGGCCAAGGGAUAUACGCAAGAAGAAGGAAUAGACUAUGAUGAGACUUACGCUCCAGUGGCAAGGUUAGAAGCUAUUCGACUAUUACUUGCGUUUGCUUGUUAUAAGAAUUUCAGGUUAUUCCAAAUGGACGUCAAAAGUGCCUUCCUAAAUGGAUUUAUCCAUGAGAAAGUUUAUGUGGAACAACCACCAGGGUUUGAAGACCCAAAGAAGCCAGACUCAGUCUUCAGACUGAAAAAGGCUUUGUAUGGUUUAAAGCAAGGACAUCGGGCUUGGUACGACAGAUUAAGUAAGUUCCUAAUACAAAAUGGUUUUGUCAAAGGUAAAGUAGAUACUACUUUAUUUAUCAAGAAAGAAAAAAAAAAGUUUCUUACUUGUUCAAAUAUAUGUGGAUGAUAUUAUUUUUGGAUCCUCUAAUGAAAGUCUGUGCAAGAAAUUUUCAAAGUCUAUGCAGGAUGAGUUUGAAACGAGUAUGAUGGGAGAGUUAACAUUCUUUCUUGGUCUUCAAGUAAAACAAUUGAAGGAAGGAACUUUUAUUUAUCAAGAAAAAUAUGUUAAUGAUCUUGUCAAAAGGUUUGGACUGGAAAAGUGCAAAAAGACCGACAUACCAAUGUCAAGUUCUUUAAAGAUAGACAAAGAUGAAGAAGGGAAGAAAGUUGAUCAAAAGCUGUACAGGAGCAUUAUUGGAUCACUUCUUUAUCUUACUGCCUCUAGACCUGAUAUUUUGUUGAGUGUUUGCAUCUGUGCUAGGUUUCAAUCAGAUCCUAGAGAAUCUCAUCUCAGUGCUGCGAAACGCAUCAUUAAAUACGUCGCUUCAUCAUCAAGCAUCGAUCUUUGGUAUCCUAAGAAGGGAGACUUUAAUCUUCUGGGAUAUUCAGACGCAGAUCUGGCCGGUUGCAGAGUUGAUAGAAAGAGCACUUCAGGAACUUGCUAGUUGCUUGGAAGCAGAACAGUAUCUUGGUUUUCAAGGAAACAAAGCACUGUGUCUCUUUCAACAACAGAAGCAGAGUAUGUAGCUCUUGGAAGUUGCUGUUCGCAAAUUCUAUGGAUAAAACAACAGCUAAGAGAUUUUGAAAUUGAAGACUCAUGCACGGAGAUUAAUUGCGACAACACCAGCGCUAUCAACCUCACCAAAAAUCCAAUUCUUCACUCAAGAGCAAAGCAUAUAGAGAUUCGACAUCACUUUAUUAGAGAUCAUGUUCAAAAUGGAGAUGUUUCAAUUCAAUUUGUUGACUCAAAGAAUCAAUUGGCUGAUAUACUCACAAAGCCUUUGGAGAAAAAUCAAUUUGAGUCUAUACGGUCCAGACUCAACAUUUUGAGGUAUGAGGAUAUCAAAGUCUAAAGACUUUCAGACUCAGGCUUACAAGACUUUAUUUACAGUCUUGGCUCAACCUUCAGACUGUAAGUCUUUCUCUCUCCAAUCUUAUCUUGAAAAGGUACGAUCAUCAGACUGUGUUUAAAUUGUUGCUAUAUUUAAAUAACGUAAAUAUUGCAUCGAUUCAUUUUCAAAAGGGAAGUUAUUUUUGAAAUAGCUAUUUUUGCGGAUAAAGACAGUUAUUUUGAAAAGGCAUAUUUUUAUUUCCUUUGUGACGAUUUGUUUACUCUUCUUUUUAACCGAUUGUGCACUGUCGAUUCCUCUUCACUUUUCUAUUCACUUUUCUCUCAAAAACCCUAGAAAGCAUCGAUCCUCCAUUCCCAUUUGUCUUCUUCGCUAAAUCUUCAAAAAGUUGUCAUCUUUUCUGGGAAAGUCAAGCAAGGAAUCUUUCAAACACUGAGAAAGAUGUCAUCUUCACGAAAGUCCUCAAGAAUCGCAAGCAAGGGACCACAGAGAAUGAGUGAGGGGCCUACGCACUUCGAUCUUACUGAAGAUGAAGUUACUCCAGAUUAGCAACCGAGCCCACAACAUUCUCAGUAGCGUCAUUCUCCACCAUCUAAUCCUCAAGGCAUUGUUCAUCAGCAUCAGGAAGAAAUCGUCGAGGAUGCAGACCCCGUAAGAGUUCAAAAGCCCGCUUUUAUUUACAAGCUAUAUCGUGCCUUAAAAGGAAUUCGUACUCCUUUGAACUAUGUUGAUGAUUUUGUUAAAGAAAAAGGAUAUAGGAACGAAUAUAUCUUUCUGCGAAAAAUGGAAAGUUUGGGAAUCGCUCGUAAAGGGGUGGCUGAGGAAACCCUUGCGAAUAUCCCAAGUGAUCCUCGUGACUGGGGGCCAAAUCCUGUAGAUGGGAAUGACGAUGAUAAUCUGUUCAGUCUAUUUCAACCGAAAAUGGGUAUUGUGGCUGAAAUUCAAGGAAAAAGGGGAGAUUUGUUCAGAUCAAAGGAACAAAAGGAUCUGUACUCGAAAUUGCUGAAGCGUGGGGUAAUAAACCCUAGGAGUGUGGACUUUGAUUUUCUGGAUGCUGUGAAAGUGAACUUGAGGGAAAAGUUCAGUUAUCUUCAGCUUGAAAAGUUCUACUCUGACUCAACUGAGGCUUAUGCUGAAUUGACUGCAUAUUUCUAUUCAAAUCUUAGCUUUUUAGAUGCGAAUAGAUUCUCCUUCAGCGUUAAAGAACAAGACUAUGUUGUGGAUAUGAAUAUGCUGGCAGAUGUGUUAGAAGUUGAGAGAGGCAGAUAUCAACCAAUCAAAGUUUCCAUUGCUCGGGCCACACUUGAACUGGUGAAGGACAGGAGAACGGAUGAGAAGAUCACCUACUCAAGGAUGAAUGCAUUCAACAUCUUGCUUCACAAGAUUGUGAUUAAUUGCCUUCGGCCGAAAUCAACUUCCAAAACUGAUAUUUCAAGCUCUGAGGCAAAGUUGAUGUAUGCCAUCCUCUGUGGAAAGAAGUUUUCUCUCCCUCAUACUGUUAUGUUUCACAUGUAUAGAGCAGUGAUGAAGGACAGAGGUCAACUCCCUUACCCAAGCCUUGUUACGAAGUUAUUCAGACAUCUGAAUAUUUAGCCUCCGCAAAUCUUUUGUGUUCGAUCAUGCGAUCAUAUAGUGGUAGGACUGAAAAUGGUGACCAAAAUGCGUCUGAAGGAACUGAGCAAGGAAUUGGAGAAAUUCAAGGAGAAGACUCCUGCCAAAUCUCAUCAACUCUCUUCUACUGCUAAGAGAAAAGGGAAGGAGCCCAUGGCUGCUCCAUCAAAGAGAAGAAGAGCUCUCCUCGUUGAGGAUGAAGAUGAUGACGAUGACAUCACCAUCUCUGCAAUGGCUUUGAAGAAUUUAAGUCGUCCUAUUCCACAGAAAGAAUCGGAACAAAAGACGAAAGAAGCAGAGGAAAAGGAAGAAGAAGAAAGAGAAGCAGAUGAGAAGGAAGAAGAAGAAAGAGAAACAGAGCAAGAAGUAGAGGAAGAAAGACCUAAAGAAGAAAGAAGAGAAGAAGGAGAACCUGAGGAAAUCUCUUCUCCACCUGUAGGCAUGGAAACAUGGGGAGAUCAGGAGAAAGGAGUGACGUCCUCAUAUCCUGAUGCAAGUGAAGGAGUCAGUUGCUCACCUGUAGACCCAGAAGAUGUUUAUGCAUCUCAAUUUCCAGAGGAAGGUCAUGAAGCUUCAUCGCCAAACCUGCGAGAUUAUGCUGAUCCACCAUCGUCUGCUUUUACUCCAUCAGAUCGAGCCGAAGCAAGUACUCAGACUGAUAAUGGAGCAGAUUUUCGCAGAAUCUUGGAUAUUCUCAUGGAAAUGCGAGGUCAAAUUUAUGCAUUGGGAUGCGAAGUUCAAAGUUUGAAGAAUGAAAGUCAAGCUUCUUCCUGUUCAUUGAAUGAUAAGAUGCAAGCCCUCUCUAUUUAGAAUCAGGCCAAUGCCAAGAGUGAGGAGGUUGUACAGCUGAAGGAAGACUUCAAAAGGCUGGAAGGCAUCGUUCAGUCUAUGGAAGAUUUCCAGCUUGUCCGCGUUCCCAAGCAAUCUUGACUUCAUCUCAUCCUUUUUAAUGCUGACAAAAAGGGGGAGAGAUGCAUGAUUUGAUCAAAAACUUUCAAUCAUUUUUUAACUAUUUGUUGGAUUGUGUUGUUGUUUAACUGUCUGUUUUUGACAGACUUUGACAGACUUUGACUUUGUUUUGUGUCUGGAUGAGAACUGAACUAGACUUGGACUUGACUGCUUCUAUUAACAAGUAUUGAUAUCUUAUGGAUGGUUUUAUUAUAUAGACUAACCUAUUUUCUGUGGUUGCAGAUUCUAGUGUUAAUCUUUUAGCCAUUCAUCUCUAUAAGAUAUGCAUAUGUGUUUGAGAAAUGUUUUGCAGGUCAAAGUUAUCCAAAUCUGCAGGAAUGUUUUGUCACCAUCAAAAAGGGGGAGAUUGUUGGAGAAAUCCUCGUGAAGUGUUUUGAAGUUGACAAAACGUUUCCAUCAGUCUAGUCUGAAGGUUUGCAGACUCUGUUAGUUAAAGUCUGAAAACUUCCGGACAGCCAGACUCAAGACUCAAAGUCUAUCCUCAUUGACAGUCUCUAAUCCGUUGAAGAAAGGUUAUCCAGAACUGGAUGUUUUGUUCAGGAUUUAACCUUAUCAUCUGGAGAAGAUCUCGUGGCUGGAGAAGACGUAUCAGAAUCCUUUGAUUGAUCAAGUUGAUCAAUGACUGAAGAUUCGAUGAUUGUCUAAAUAUUAUUGGAAGGUUCUACUUAUGGAAACCGAGAUCCUGAUUGUAUGGGCGAACAGGAUUGAUGGGCUAUCAACACGUUCCUUUAAUAGCUCGAACAAUCUUCCUAAUUGAUUCCGUCCAACAGGUAGAUUGGAGGAAUUCCUUUGGUAAGUGCCAACGGGUAUGAUGGCAUAAAGGAGUAUAUAAGGAAGACGUUCUUAAUUGUUCGAGGUGUGCGCGAUAGAAGAAUUCCAAAGUCUGAAGCUCCUUUUUGUUUAGACAAUUCCUUUGAGCGAAUACUUGUAUACAAAAGAGAGUCUAUAUUUGUGAGAGACCUUGAGAAGGUGUGGUAGAACAUCUACACUGUGGAAUCAAGGCAAAGCUGUGCUGUAACUUCUCUUUUGAUCAUAGUGAAAUCCAGCCGGUGGGCUGUCAGUGCGGAAGAGUGGACGUAGGCUUGGAAUAAGCCGAACCACUAUAAAUCCUGUGUUCAAAUUUCUCUCUCUCUACCUCGAUCGUAUUUCAUUUUGUUAAGAAUUGCUUCCGUAUUUGGGACAAAUUGUUUGUGCGCCUAUUCACCCCCCCUCUAGGUGUUUAUACUAGCAAUAUCAGAAGAGACCCAGAUGCUUGGGAGAACCCAUUAACAUUCAAACCAGAGAGGUUUCUAGGAUCUAAAAUUGACUACAAAGGUCAAAACUUUGACCUAAUUCCAUUCGGAUCAGGCAGAAGAAUGUGCGUCGGACUUUCGCUGGCGGAUAGGGUGCUUCAUCUCGGUCUUGCGAAGUUGCUCUACCAUUUCGAUUGGGAACUCAGUGAUGGUUUGACUCCAGAGACCCUCGACAUGAGAGAGCGGGCGGGAAUAGCACUAAGGAAGCUCCAUCCUUUAAAGGUGAUACCUAAAAAACGUAGUGUGUAAGGUUUUUAGAAUAUUAUGGUAACUAGUUAUAUUCAUGACUAGUUAUUUAGGAAAUGACAAGACGUGAUGUCAUGUAUCCAAGGAAGACUUCUUAAGAAUGGUGUUUUUAUUCCACAAAUACCUUAGGAAAAUUACCCUAAAUUUCUUAAACUUAUUAUACUUUUACCAAUUUAGUUAUAAAUAUUCUUAUUAUAAAAAUUAGUCCCAAACAUUUUCACGUUUUGCCAAUUGAGCUCAUAUGAUCAAUUUUGAUUAGAAAUCACUAACACAAAUGUCAGGCAUCCUACAUGGUGCAAUUGUCGUAGAUGUGGAAAAUUUUUAAUAUAUUUUUAAAAUUUUUAAAUACUUUUUCUUUUCUUUUAUUUCUCUGCUAGUUGCUGAGCCUUGAGGAUGACUACUAACCAACCAUAGGCUACAACCGAUGAUGGUCACCCUCGCCAAAAUCUGGCAAGGGAGGACUUUGCUACCUUGCCAAAUUCGACAAGUCACAGCUUCAUGUGAGGCUCGACUUUGCCCAAUCUAGCGAGGGCAAGGCACAACCUCAUUAGUCUUCACAAGGGCUGAUCUCAGGUGAGACUUGCCGAAAGAUCAUGAGGCCAACCUUCCCUAAAGGCUAGCAAGGGACAACCUUGCCAACUUCAAGCAAAGCUCAACCUCGUCAAAUCUGCUUAGGACAAGCCUUACUCAAGGCUAACAAGGGUGACCUCACCUAAUGUGGCACCCCUUGACGGCCCCCGAAUCGUUAGGGUCACCACAGUCAACUUACCCUUUACUUGACUUGAUAAUAUAUCACUCUGAUACCAAAGAGUUAUAAUAAGUCUAUAAGUCCUGGGGGUUUAUAUAUAUUUUCCAUAGGUCCCUGCGUAGAAAUAUGACGAAAGUGUAUCCAACAACUCCCUUCCCUAUAUUCAGAAAACGAUGCACACCAACUAAACAUUUAUAGAUAAAAGCCGAACACUUUUAUUUACUUAAACCAGAUGGACAUCAUUAAUUGGUACAUCAAAAUUCCAUAAUCUUCUGUACUUGGCUAUACUUCAAAAGAUGACCGACAUCUCCUCCAACAGUCGUAUACUCAAAGUCCAUCGUUCAGUGUCGGCGUCCAAAAGUUCCUUUUUUUGCUAUCCUUCUCCUUGCGGUCAUAUCCAACCACUUGAUUCAUCUACCGGUGGUAGUGACAACAGAGGUAUCUUAUCUAGUUUGAAAUGUUAGUCCCCAAACGGGGUGAGUACUGUCGACACCCGAAAUUUCCGUCGACAUUUUAAUCAUCCAUUGUUUGCAAAAAAAAAUAAAGAGCUAAAAAGAAAAAAAAAGAGAGAAAUAAAGAGUUGAAGCAGAAAAGAAAAGAGAAAAAGAAUGGAAACAAGAAAAAGAAAAGAAAAAAAAGAAGGAAACAAAAAGAAAAAAAAUGAGAGAAAAAGAAAAACAUAAAAGAAAGAAAAAAAAUAAUAGAAAAGGGAAUGACGAUUCUCUCUCAUGGGGGGCUCGCUCUCUCACGUUCUCUCGCUCUCUCAAAUACUGGGACGCUGAUUCUCUCUGAAGGGAGGGCUCUGGAUCACGAACUCUGGUUCUCCAGAGGGGAUUCUCUCUUUCUGGGACUCUCUCUCUCUCUGCGGUUCUCGUCGAAGGUUAGGGUUUUUCCUCCGUCGGUGCGGGAUUGGAGGUGUUUCCUCUAUUCGGUGAGGAGUUUGCUCGGGGGAUCCGGUUUCCGAAACUGAUUGGCGUCGGUAGCAGCGACGGCAGCAACGGCGGAGCUUGAUUCGACCUCUCUCGUUCGUUAUUAACCGCCUGCUCGCCUCGGUUCUGACUCCGUGCUCCGAGCUCCGAGGAUAGAGAUCCGAAGCUUGAUCGACGGCGGCGACGACAGCGGCUUCCGAUCAUCUUCUUGUUCAUCAUCUAUCGUCGGGACUCCCUCAAACCUUAGAAGACAGAGCAAUUGCCGAUUGAAGAGUUGGAAGUGCGAGGCUCGGAUCUGCACCGCCUUCAGAGAAGGCUCAACAACGAUUUCCCUCUUAAUCGAGUCAUUUCCGAGGGUUUUUCCUCUCAGAUCUCGGCAAGUUUCAUUCAGAUUAUUGAUUUGUUUUCUCUAGUAAUUUUUUUUUCUAGAGUCAUCUCAAUCCUCCCUCCCCUGCCGUUUUCUUUUGUUGACACUGAGCAUGUAUUUCCUCUCGCCGAUUCACCCAUUGAAAUUGCCGGCCAUUCAUUGCAGUCGCCGAUUCAAUCAAAAUCUCACAAGGAGUUUGGAUCAGUCAUUACUCGAAGAACAGCUUCAAUCAUCUGAAGACAGACGCAGCAAAGCAGAGACAAUUUUUUUCAGAGUUCUUGAAGAGGCUGACUGAUAAAGUUGUUGAGGUAUGAAUAUCUGUACUUGAAUAUGUCAAGAACUUCCUGCUGUGAAAUCCUUCUAGAGCUUAAUCUCCUCAAAUAAUUGAUGCCUUAUGCGAUUGACUGCUGGAUUAUGAUGAAAACGUGAGAAAGCAAGUUGUCACUGUUAUUUGCAAGUGUGGCUUACUUGACUUUUGUUCAACUUGACCUUCUGUUGAAUAUAACUACUAUAUUUUUCUCUUUUCAAAAGACUAAAAAAAAAACCAUUUAUACCUGUUCAUACUGUUCCUCAGUGGCAAGCAACCAUUCGAUCAUACUCAUACCAAAUGUUUGACCCUACUCAGUUAGUCUUCGCAAGCUGCAGAUAGCGUUAUUUGUCUACUGCGUUUUUUCAUCUGGUUUAACUGGCAAAUCAAGAACAAAUUCCAACGGGUCCUUUCUAAUGAAGAGUUGUCCUAGUAACAAAUAUUAAAAAGGUGCUAUGGUCUCGUUCCCCCUUUAGUUUUUAUGUUUCCAUCAGUGUAAAUCAAGCUGCGCAAGCUAGACAUGCACCAGAAGAAAGUUGAUUCAUUUUAGUAGAAAUUGGUCCUCUGUUGCUGCUGUGUUCAUCUUUUUUUAGAAUUCCUUGUUCAUAAUAUUGAAUGUGUUCUUUGCCUGAAAGUUGUGAGUUCAUUGGUACACUUCAAUCUGGAUUGAUGUCUGGUAUUUUGCCCUUUGAUGAGUUUGUAGUUGUCGGUAGACCGGUAUGAGUUGUGCCUGAAGUUCACCUUAGUGGAGAAACAUUUCCUCAGCAGCAAAUGAUUUUAUAUCAGGAAAGGAUUUUAUAUCCUUGGUGCAUGUUGGAUGAUCUGGGAAUCUGGUUCAGCUUUUGUUAGGGCCAGUAACAGCAAUGAUGUUUGAGUUUGUCAAAGAAAUACCUAAACCUGAAACUAAAUGGAGGCUGGACUUCAUCUCUCUUUUAGGCGUAUUUUUCUUUACAUGGGUUAUCAUUCAAUUACUUCCUGUUGUCUUGAUAGAUCUGGCUUAUGAGAAAGAAUAGAUACUUGGGAGUAUGAUGAAAAUAUGUGGGUUUAGUGAUCCAUAUUGGCUGAUUUCCUAUGCUUAUUUUCUCUCUUUAUCUUCAAUCUACAUGCUGUGCUUUGUGACUUUUGGCUUAGUCAUAUAUAGUUAAUCCCUAUUGCGUUAUGUUUACCUACGUUCCAAUGUCCCAUUAAAGUUGCAAUGCUUGUGUCUUACUGCACUUCCUCUGUAAAGUUUUACUAGAAUGAGAUUAUGUGUGCUUUUAGUGAGUUAAAUGCAGAUCACGUGCAAUUGAUGUUUGUUGUUCAUGUGUGAAUUUGCUGAUAUUGAAAGUUGGAAUUUGUCUUGGUCUAGAAUGCAUGCUUUGUUUCUAUAACCUCGAAUACUUGUGAAUUUGGUACGAAUUUUUUGUGUGAGGAGUUUGGGAUUAGGUCCUUCACAUAAAAACUGCAAAAAAUGAUUGUAUGUUUGCCUUGCUGCUCUGUUCUACUUUUGAUGGACCUUGAUCUCUUCCAGGAUUUUGUAAAUUCACGUGCUUUUUUGUUACAAUAUAUAAUGAAAUGCUCAAGUUAGAUCAGAGUUGGCUUUCGAAUGUCUUUUGACCGUUGAUCGGUAGAUAUAAUUGAUUCAUGUCUGAAAUUGAACCAUUGAUGAAAUAAGUUUUGCCAUGGUCAAGGAGUCAUAUGGAUCUUCAUGCCUAUUUGUUUGUCGUCUGAACAUGUAUUGUUAUGUCCUGUUUUGAUAAAGAAAGGUAAAUAAAACAGCAUGUUCUAGAUUAAAAUCAAAUUAGUGCUGUUCAAGUUUCCAUCAGUGAUUGCAGACAUUUGGAAACUCAUUAUGCCUUUGUUCCGCUCCUCAGUGACCUGCAUUACUUGCUGAUUUUCUGUUUCUUUCGCUGAUCUAACCUUCUGUGCAAAUGAAUUGAUAUGAGCUGAUUGUUGUGGUUUUCUGUGUUUGAUGUCCUCAUGAAAGUCGAAGAUGGUUUGAUUAGCUUUCUAACGAGCUAUAAUACACCCUGAUCCGAUAUCAUUAGCCACAUGAAAUCUUCUUUAAAAGUCUACUCCAGAAGAAGUCUACUCCAGAAUUUGGAAAGUUGUUCUGGUCUGUGCGGUUAUUUCUGUUACUGAUCUGACCUCUUUGCUAAAUGUCUUCGUUUGAGCUAGAAAAUGAUUUCAAUUGUGUUCGUGACCUUCUAAGGAUUCAUAGGAGGCUUCUCAAAAUUUCCAUUGACAUAUUAUAUGUGUGAUUUGGUCAUCACUUGCCCUGCCUUUCCUUUUUUCAAAUCGAGCUUUGAAAUCUGGAAUUUGUCUUGAACUGCAAUGCUGUCUUUUCUGUGGCUAGUUGUUGUUAGUCUUAAGAUGAGAUAGUAGAUUUGUCCAAAUUGUUUUCAAUAUGUUGUAGAAUGACGGUGUGACAUGCUACUAUGAUCUAUUCUUGAUUGACUUGUUCAUGUUCUUAAUAUUUUUAGAAAUUCAUGCGUUAGGAAUCUUGAGGUGCUUCCUUCAUGGAAUGACAUCCUUUAUCAAUUGUCUACAAAACGGUUUUAGGUACCAUGUGGGUUACACAUUGAUUGCUCCGUUUGCCUUUAAUACAUAUGUUGAGUGAAUUCAAUGGUGUAUGUUUUGGAAUAAGUGAUCUUUAGUUGGUUCAUUCAUUGUUUUGGGUUGAUUGAGGACCAAGGUCAUGUGGCUUGAAUGUUUGUCAUGUUAUAUGCUUUGUGUGUGAUCGUUAGAUAGAUGAUUUAGGUGUAAUACAUAAUGAUGCUAAAUCUUGGGAUUUCACUUAGAAUUUGGUGUAAGGACUUCAUGACUUUAGUCACCAUUUUUGAACACUAAUAAUGUCCUGUUCUUUGAUGUUUUGAUAUGUUUGUUUGUUCCCUUCCACUGCAUAUACCAAGUUAUAGGUUUAUUAGAUUAGGUUUAGAUUAGGAUCCCGAAGAUGGAGAAGGCGUGAAGAUGGUGAAUGUCGAUUUCCACUCCGACUGUUAUCAUGUAAUGCUCAUUUUCCCGACAUAUGUCUCGGGUUUUAUGCAUUGUAUAAAGCCCGACGAGUUGCGGGUUUCCUUUCUUUCUCGAUUGUUUUCUCUUUUAUAUACUUUAGAAUUACAUGAUUAGGUUUACUGAUUUCUCUUGAUUGUUUACUUCAUGUCUUGUGCUUUCAAUUUCAUUGAUUGUUUUCUUUUCAUUUUUUAGAAAUAGAAUAGAAUGAAAGUAAUCCACCACGCAUGAUCACUUAGUCUAGGAAUUGAUGAUCCUGAAAAAUGUAAAAAGAAACACAUGGACAUGUUAGGAAAAACACAACAUACUGUUUAGGUACCGAAAGGGCGCUAAUAGCAAUAUUAGCGUAACCCAAGUCCCCGAACCUAGAUAUCUGGUUGCGUAGGAAUCGAUGGAACACUCUCGACCCUCGAUUGGGUUUCUAGCUGACCCCGAAAGUUGAGGCUAGUGGCGACUCCUGUAUAUUCUUAGGUUGUUAAAUACCUAGAUCGCAUAAUAAACCUACUGUCACGCGGGGUACGAGCUUCGGAGAGCUCGCGAUCUUGAGAUCAAGUAUCCCUAAACCCGACCUUUCCCAACCUUGGAUACUUUUCGAGAGGGGCGGCGAGAUCGGGUCGCGACAAGUACAACCACUUAGCCGUAAAUAUCCACCAAACUACACGAUGCGUCAGACAGAACAAUCAAGGUAUCACGAAUAAAACACAUACCAUCCAUGCAUUUGAACAUACCUCACCAUACAGCCAUGCAUAUAUCACCAUACAACGUGCAUAUACCACCAUGCACUUGUACAUAUAUCAUCAAGCAGCCAAGCAUAUAUCACCAUGCAACGUGCAUAUACCACCAUGCACUUGUACAUAUAUCAUCAAGCAGCCAAGCAUAUAUCACCAUGCAAUGUGCAUAUAUCACAAUGCAUUUGUACAUAUACCAUCAAGUAGCCAUGCAUAUAUCAUCAUGCAACGUGCAUAUACCACCAUGCACUUCAUGCUUGCAUUUCCAUGAGGUUCAUCCCAUGCCAUAUGCAUACAUCCAUAUGUAUGAUUCAAUUUCAAUUCUUUCUUUUACAUGGAUUUCAUCAUUUUUCUUUCAAGGGACCAGUGUUUGCAUCCCACAUUUAUUGCUCGCAUCCAACCUGGCGUUAUGAGGAGCCUCCAGCACACACUUCCGGGCAUCUCGUAUCCCACCUGGCAUCACGGGGAAUCUCCGAGGUUCGCUAUGAAAAUGGUUACCCCUACCCUUUGGGCAUGCAUCAUAAUACAACCCCUCACCCUCCAGGCAUGUAUCAUAAUACAAUCGGGCAUCCUAACACUCCCGGGAAAAACCUCUGGGCAUGUAUUCAUAAUACAACCAGGCAUCCAAAGGGCAUCAACUCAUUCAAACCUUUGGGCAUCCAGACUCCCGGGAUAUCGUCGGCUCACACCUCCGACGGUAUCAUCAUUAUCACAAUCUAUAUUCACAUAUAUGUCUCAUUUUCAACAUGGCAUUUGAUGCAAAAAUAUCAUAGGUCUAAACCAGCUUUUUGAUGUCAUAUGGUAUGCCAAACAUCACCAUAUAAGCAGUACACAUAACACCCAUGAUAUCAUAUUUCAUAAAGCAGUUCAUUGGUUUUUGAAAAUAGAACCAAUUUUCGGGUAAAACAGAAUGCACCUCUUUAGUAAAAAUUCUUGGAAAAUUUGUAAAAAAUCUCAAUAAAUUCUGAAAAUUUAACAUGAGGUAAAAAAUAUCCAGAUGAAGAUAUUUCGUGAAGAACACCAUGUCAAGAAAGUUCUACAUCAAUCACAUAGAUCCACACAUCACAGCAAAAAAAAUUCCAACACCACUUUUUGCACAGUUUCGGAAAUAAUUUCGAUUAAACCUGUAAAUGAACUUCGAAAAUUAUGAUAUUUUGAUAUGUUAUAGAUGAGAUCUAGAGGUAAACUUCUCAUGAAUAAAUCGAAGUAUAAUUCCUUUUGGAUUAAAAGAAAUUUUUUAUAACUCUCCCUAACUCUCGGUUCACUGUGCAGAUUCACCCUUUUCAAAGAAAAUCAUUUUCCCGAUCAAUGCUUGUCAUUUUAUUUUAAAAUUUUAGUAUGUUAUUCCUCAAGAUGUCACCUACAAUUUUCAUCAAGGACACAAGAUCAAAUUUCAUCCAGAUAAUUUUAUAAAAUUCAUAGAGUCGCACUAGAUCAAAAUAAUUGUUUCCAGAUCUACUUUCUUCAAAGAAAAAUGGUUUCACCGACCUAUACUUGUUCAUUUCCUCUCAAAUUUUUAUAUGUUACUAUAUAAGAAGUUAUUUACAACUUUCAUCAAGAAGUCGAAGUGAGAUUCCAACUAGAACAUCGCAUGCAACUCACGAAAUCACCGGAGAUCAAAUAACAGUUUCCAGGUCUAGUUUCUUAAAAGGAAAAUCAUUUCACCAACCAAUACUUAUCCGUUUCAUCCCAAUUUUUAGUAUGUUAAUCUUCAAGAAGUUCUCUACAACAUUCAUCAAGAAGUCAAAAUCAGAUUCCAACUAAAACAUUGCAUGUAAGUCACGAAAUCACCAAAGGUUGGACUGUUUUUCCAGAAAACAGAAUGUUAGGCUAGAACACAACUUUGAAAUUUCACACUUCAUCCACAUCCGAGAUUCACCAUUCAUCACACACCAAACACAACAAGCAAAGGGUAGAUCAAUGAACUCUGCUUGCCUCUAAUCCAAGCAAAACACAGCAAGCAAACGACGGCUCGACAGCGGGACUCGGCGGCUCGACGGUGGCGACGAACCUCCUCCUUCUUCCUCGCACACUCGCUCUCCCUCUCUCGAUUUCUCUCUCUCUCUCUCUCUCUCAGAGUAACCCUCUCUCUCAAUCGGCCCACUCUCCCUCUCUUUCUUUCCCCUUCUCUCAAUCGGCCCACUCUCCCUCUCUUUCUUUCCCCUUCAUCAUUUGCAAUCAUUUGGUUUGCAUAGCUAAUGCCACUUGGCUCUAGGGGAAAGACACUUGGCAAGCUUCUCUUGCCACUUGGGGAUUUACAUGCAACGAAGAUGGGCCUCAUUUGGCUGGGCUUGGGCCAGCCUUGGUUGACUACUUUAUGGGUUCCUUGGGCCGGGCCUCUUGGCCCACUUUGGGUCCAACACUUUUGGGUCUAAAGUCCAACUUUUAAAUGGCCCAAAAUAAUACUCAAUAAGCCCAUAAUUGCUCUUAACAAUUUACUUUAAUCCCCACUUAAUUUCAUAAUCUCAAAUACUCACAUGGCCAUAAAAUUUUGUAAUAUAAAUCAAUAAAAAUCCAACUUAUAAAGUACAUGGCCAAGAAUAAAAUUUUUAUAUCAAUUUAUCCUUUAAUACAAAUCCUUAAUCAUUCAUGGACAUAGGAAAAAUUUCCAACCAAAUAAUUGUCCAUUAAAAUGCUCGGCCUUAAUCUAUUACAAUUUUUCAGUCUAGUGGCCACAACAUACUUCAACGACACAACCAUUCACUUUUCCAUAGGUCGUAAUGCCUCUAGAAAUUGCCAUGAAAUUUUGGGAUACCACAAUUCUCCCCUCCUUAGAAAAUUUCGUCCUCGAAAUUAGACAUUGCCUAUGUCUCUUUACCCCAGUGAGGGUACCUUUCCCUCAUUUCAUUUUCACUUUCCCAUGUGGCUUCCUCCACAUCAUGAUGUCACCAUAAUAUCUUAACCAAUGGUAUUUUCUUCGUCUAUAGGACUUGUUCCUUUCGAUCCAACACUUGCACAGGCUCCUUAAUGUACCUCACUUCCUCAUCCACUUUGAUGGCUUCAUGAUCGAGUAUGUGACCAGGGUCUUGGCUGAUACGUCCUUAGCCAUGCCUAUACUUUUCUGAAAGCUUUUGUUUUACACAUUCUACCAGGUAUAACUUUUCAUCCCAAUUUCCUUUAAAGUCAAGGAUGCAAGCUCUUAACAUGUCCUCUAAUGCUUGGAUCACUCUUUUCGUUUGUCCAUCCAUCUGUAGAUGAAAAGUAGUACUAAAUGGGAGCUUCGUCCCUAAGGCGGUUUGAAGACUUCGCCAAAGGUUGGAAGUAAAUCUUGAAUCUCGAUUCGACGUGAUAGUUACGGGAACACCAUGUAAGCGUACCACUUGGCUUACACAUAUAACAACAAAUUUACCCUUCGGAUAGUCUACGCGAACUGCUAGGAAAUGGGCAGACUUAGUCAAGCGAUCUACUAUCACCUAGAUAGAAUCAUGGCCACUUGAUGUCCUUGGUAAUCCUUGCACGAAAUCCAUCAUCACAUGAUCCCAUUUCCAUUAUGGUAUAUCUAAUGCUCUCAAUCGAACACACCAUUUAGCCGAAUUAUUCCUGUACCUUUGUCACCAUCAAUUCAAGCAUAGAACCAUCAAAAUCGACACCAUUAACAACUCAUCUAGUUCAGUCCAACAAACACAUUCACUACGCUUUCACUGCAACAUAGAUUCAAGCCUAAAAUAUAGUAUCAUUCAUUCGGUUCAAAUAUUGAUAGUCCACCAAAAUAAAACUUGUCUAGUUUCUAUCAAGUAUAUCUCAUGUCUCACCCUAAGGGAUCAUCACUUGGACUAAUCACUCAUCAAAUCCACAACUUGAACUUUCACCUUUUCACCUUGGAAAGACUAUAACCACAAUUGAUCAUAUCCACUAAUUCCACAAAACCUUCUCAAACUGAGAUCAUCACCAAAAUUCAAAGUUGACCAUCAUCAAUUAAGCCUAUUAUUCCGACAUAUAAACCACAUAUAAUUUCGUGUCUCAUAUGACCACUCAAACUCAUGACUUCCAAGAUCAAUCUAUACAUACUAAAUGCCUCCAUGUAAUGCAUCAAGACUUCCAAUGAGAUCCUCUAAUAGGAAGUCACUACUUAGCUCAAGUGAUCAUAAGUUAAUCCUCGAAUUCAUAACUGCACUCUCCAUAAUUCACUCCUAAGCUUGUUUGCAGCACUNNNNNNNNNNNNNNNNNNNNNNNNNNNNNNNNNNNNNNNNNNNNNNNNNNNNNNNNNNNNNNNNNNNNNNNNNNNNNNNNNNNNNNNNNNNNNNNNNNNNCUUAGAUGCUGCGCAUGUUCUUCAGGUCCUUUAGAAUAUAUCAAGAUAUCAUCAAAUGAAGACAAUCACAAUUUGAUCCAAAUAAGGCUUAAUUAUCCUAUUCAAUAAAUCCAUGAAUGCAGCUAAGGCAUUCGUCAAUCUAAAUAGCAUAAUUAGGAACUUAUAAUGUCCAUAGCGAGUCCUAAAUGCGGUCUUAGGAAUGUCUUCUUUCUUAAUCCAUAGUUGAUGGUAUCCUGACCUCAAGUCAAUUUUUAGAAAAGAUCGAACUUCCUUGCAGUUGGUCAAAUAGAUCAUCAAUUCUAGGUAAUGAGUACUUACUCUUAACAAUUACAUGAUUCAAUUGCCUAUUAUCAAUGCACAAAUGCAUCGACUCGUCCUUUUUCACAAACAAAAGUUCUACAAGCUUAACCAUACUUUCACUGCGCCACUCUGAUAGAAUUAUCCUAGAAACACUAUCUUCCUAGUUCAGUUCGUAGUUCGGUUUAUUCCUGCCCCCUUUUGCCAUCCCAGAAGUCUGCUAGGAGCUGCUCCUUGUUUAGGUCCUCUGACCUCGGUGUCCACUCCCCGCCCUCAAUGGACUGGGUCGUUACAGGUACACUAGCUUUCGCCUGGUUCGAACCCAAACUACACAUCCAUUGGAGGGUCUCGUUUCGAUAGGAACUAACUUACAUAGAUAUUAUUCGCUUUGGCCUAUCCCAUCUUAGCCUCAUAGUUUUAUCCUUAGAGCACGAGUAAGUACUACCUCAGGAGAUAAUUCAUCCUAGUCCAUUGCUUACGGAGUUAGUCCAUUCCUACGAUGAGGUCAAAGUUAUACAUAACUAUCACUAUCAAGUCCAUUUCUAGAUCUCAUUCCCCUAGGGUUAUCUCACACAUCUCACAUGCUAACCUAGAUAACAACAUGUCUUUCAGUGAUGUAGAAAUACGAAGAGGCAUAUCUAAAGAUUUGUUCCUAUUUUUCACAAUCAUCUAUAUUUUUCGAACACAAAUGAAUGUGUGCCACUCAUAUCAAAUAACGCAUAUACCUUCUUAUCCCUCUAUCAAAAUCGUACCUGAGAUAACAUUUUCGGAAGCUUCCGCUUCCUCUUGAGUGACCGCAUACACCAUUCCUUAUGCUGGUGGCCUCUGUGGAUUCCUUGGUAGGUUUGGUCCACCUGUACUUUGUUGUACUUGUCGCACCGAGCCAACACUCAGCUGCGACCUCUCUUGUGCACAAUCUCUAUUAAAGUGACCUCUUUGCCCACAGUCAAAACAUUUCAAUCGAUCAUUACAGGAUCCUGGUCCAAGCAGUUCAUUGGUUUUUGAAAAUAGAACCAAUUUUCGGGUAAAACAGAAUGCACCUCUUUAGUAAAAAUUCUUGGAAAAUUUGUAAAAAAUCUCAAUAAAUUCUGAAAAUUUAAAAUGAGGUAAACAAGAUCCAUAUGAAGAUAUUUCAUGAAAAACACUAUGUCAAGAAAGUUCCACAUCAAUCACAUAGAUCUACAAAUCACAGCAAAAGAAAUUCCAGCACCCCUUUUUGCACAGUUUCGGAAAUAAUUUCGAUUAAACCCUUAAAUGAACUUCGAAAAUUCUGAGAUUUUGAUAUGUUAUAUAUGAGAUCUAGGGGUAAAAUUAUAAUGAAUAAAUUGAAGUCUGGUUCCUUUUGGAUUAAUAGUUAUAAUUUUUUAUAACUCUCCCUAACUCUCGGUUCACUGUCCAGAUUCACCAUCUUCAAAGAAAAUCAUUUUCCCAAUCAAUGCUUGUCUUUUUAUUCUCAAAUUUUAGUAUGUUAUUACUCAAGAUGUUGGCUACAAGUUUCAUCAAGUUUCAUCAAGGACACAAGAUCAAAUUUCAGCCAGAUAAUUUUAUAAAAUUCACAGAGUCGCACUAGAUCAGAAUAACUGUUUCCAGAUCUACUUUCUUCAAAGAAAAUGAUUUCACCGACCUAUACUUGUUCAUUUCCUCUCAAAUUUUUAUAUUUUACUCUCCAAGAAAUCCUAACAACUUUCAUCAAGAAGUCGAAGUGAGAUUCCAACUAGAACAUCGCAUGCAACUCACAAAAUCACCGAAGAUCAACAUAACAGUUUCCAGGUCUAGUUUCUUCAAAGGAAAAUCAUUUCACCAACCAAUACUUAUCUGUUUGAUCCCAAUUUUUAGUAUGUUAAUAUUCAAGAAGUUCUCUACAACUUUCAUCAAUAAGUCGAAGUCAGAUUCCAACUAGAACAUUGCAUGCAAGUCACGAAAUCACCAAAGGUUGGACUGUUUUUCCAGAAAACAGAAUGUUAGGCUAGAACACAACUUCGAAAUUUCACAUUGUAUCCACAUCCGAGAUUCACCAUUCAUCACACACCAAACACAACAAGCGAAGGGUAGAUCAAUGGACUCUACUUGCCUCUAAUCCAAGCAAAACACAGCAAGCAAAUGAUGGCUCGAUGGCGGGGACGAACCUCCUCUUUCUUCCUCGCACGCUCGCUCUCCCUCUCUCGAUUUCACUCUCUCUCUCUCUGUCUCUGUCUCUGUCUCUGUCUCUCUCUCUCUCUCUCGGUAACCCUCUCUCUCAAUCCGCCCACUCUCCCUCUCUUUCUUUCCCCUUCAUCAUUGCAAUCAUUAGGCUUGCAUGGCUAAUGCCACUUAGCUCUAGGGGAAAGACACUUGGCAAGCUUCUCUUGCCACUUGGGGAUUUACAUGCAAAGAGAUGGGCCUCAUUUGGCUGGGCUUGGGCCAGCUUGGUCGACUACUUCAUGGGCUCCCUGGGUCGGCUCUGGCCACUUGGUCACUUUUGGGUCUAAGUCCACUUUUAAAUGGCCCAAAAUAUUACUAAAUAAGCCCAUAAUUGCUCUUACAAUUUACUUAAUCCCCACUUAAUUUCAUAAUCUAAUACUCACAUGGCCAUAAAAUUUUGUAACAUAGAUCAAUAAAAAUCUAACUUAUAAAGUACAUGGCCGAAGAAUAAAAAAUUUCUAUCAAUUUAUCCCUUUAAUACAAAUCCUUAAUCACUCAUGGACAUAGGAUAUAUUUCCAACCAAAUAAUUGUCCAUUAAAAUGCUCGGCCUUAAUCUAUUACAAAUUUUUCGGUCUAGUGGCCACAACAUACUUCAACGACACAACCAUUCACUUUUCCAUUGGUCGUAAUGCCUAUAGAAAUUGCCAUGAAAUUUUGGGAUGCCACACCUAAGGCUAGUAAGGGCAAUCCUCAUUAAUCAUAACCUAUGGCCAAUCACCGGCCAUCACCAAGGCUUGGCAAAGGAAGAAAACGAAAAAAAAAAUGAAAAGACAAGAAAACUAAAAAUAAUAAAUUUUAAAGAUUCAAAAAUAUUAAAAUACUAUUUUAAAAAAAAAAAAAGGUCUGCUGGCAUUCACUUUAACGAUUUCUAGUCAAAAUAGGCUAGAUGGACUCAAUUAGUAAAACUUGAAAAAAAUUUGGGAUUCAAUUGAUACAAUUAAAAAGUUUAUGACUGAAUUAGCAAAAGUACAACAUAUUAUGAUUUUUUUGAUAAUUUUCUCCAAAUAUCUUUGGGCAAUUACAAGUUUUUAUGUCAGCAUUUGGGUCUUGUUUAAAUUGUAUGACUUAAGCAUGUAGCCGGUAGCUCACUUACCUUUUAAGCCAACAAUAAAACUUUACUUGUCAAAAAAAAAAAAAAACAAAUUGCCCUAAAGUUGGUUCUACACAAGAGUCCACAAAAUGGAUGAUUGUGAUGAACUCGAUCCACUAGACACCAAUCCAUAUAAUAUAAUCUCAAAUCAAAGACCAUGAACAAUACUAGUUCCUUGAAUAGGUCGAAGCUUGAUAGGGAUUGAUUUUGAUCCAUCAAAAUUGGAAUCCUGUUAAUGGAUUCAAACAUGACGUUGAACCCAAUAACCCGAUUGCUAGUGCAUUGCCAGCUUCCAGUAGCACAUCGGUGGAAUCUACGGAAGAUAGUGAAACUCCAAUUUGACUCUUAAGUACAUAAGUGAGAUGCUCAAGGAGAGGGAGUUGGAGGAGAAAAACUAAAUGUUUGCUGGAUUGGCUGACCACCCUCUGGGCCAAAGGAAAAAAAAAUAGUGUGAUGUCCUCUACUAGAAGGGUACCCUUCCGACCACCCAAAAAAAAAAAAAAUACUUGCCAACCAGCAAAAAUUUGGCCAACCAGCGAACUCAGGUCUUCAUUUGAGAUUAAUUUAGCCACUUUAGACCCUUAUUUAAAAUAAUGUCCAUCUUAGGCAAUCUUUUGAAAAAAAUAACACCACUUUAGACGCUCAUUCAAAAAAAUUUCUUACUUUGCCAAAAAUUAGUCAUCUGAAGUGCAUGAUGGUAAAUGUAUACAAAUUGUUGAAUCUCUUUGUAUGUUACUAAGGUAAGAUUUUGCUAUAGUGCCAAACAUCCAAACAGGUUGAUAAUUUACUAUUUAUAUUUUCAUCGUUAAAUUCCUUCAAUAGAUGGCAAUUUUUCGCCCACUUGUAAAUUUAGCAAUUUAAUAAAAGCUUGCUGUGUAAUGUACGGGUAUUUUUCACUAAACCAUCCGACUUCGUUGGGCUUGAAUAAGACUCAUUUGAUUUCAUUUGUGUAAUGCUUGCGGAGAUUACUUUCGUUGGUGGUGUUUUUUUUUUUAUUGCUCUAAUUUCUAACACAUGAUAGUAAGGCCGAGUAUCGGUAUAGGGUCAACCCUAGACUAAUCUCGGACUGGCCCAACCCAGCCAAUACUGGGUCUGUGUCCUUAGUCCCAGAACUCAAAUUUCUUGAAAAAAUUUCAAAUAAGAGUCCAAGGUUCUAUCAAUUUCUUAAAAAAAGAUUUAAAGUGUAUCUUUUUGUUUUUUUUUUUUCAAAAAAAGACCUAAAGUUGCCAUAGGAGUUUCAAAUAAAGGUCUACCUCACUGACUGGUUAAGUAUUCUGGUCGAAAAGGACAUUUUUGUCCAAAGACAAUUUUAAACCAAAUUUUAAUUAAAUUAUUUUAAAAAUUAAUCUAAAAGCUUUUCAAAAAAAAAAAUACAUGCAGUGUGGGCCCUCACCUUUGGUCGACAAGGGUUGCGGCUCUCAUCGAGGUACUUGCAACCUCGAUGCCCUCCUUCAUCCUUUGGAAGGUAAACUUCAUCCCAAGCUACCUUAGCACCACCCACCCCUGCCCAGGUUCGGACCUUUCCACAAUAAUUGUCUAAGGAUUUUCUCUAUCUGGUCCACUAUAACUAUAGGCAAAACAAAUACACUAGCCCAAUAGGCUUGUAUAGUGUGAAGAACUAACCUAAUAAGCUGAAGCCAUCCAGCAAGAGAGAGGAAUCGAAGAGUCCAAGACUGAACCCUUGCAGUGAUAUGGUUGACAAGGGCACAAGAGAGAGGAAUUGGUGAGUCCAAGAUUGAUGAUUGAAUUAUUAAUAUAGUAAUUUUGGAAAAUUGACAUGCCAUCUUACUAAAGCAAAAGUGAGUGCAUAAUUAACAUGAAGUAGUCCUCUUUGGGUGCUUUUGCCGUUGUUUUGGCGUUGCCCUCGUUCUUUUACCUUGACACCCUUCCACUCGCUUUGACUUUUGUCUUCGUGAGUGUAAGUUUUUGGUGCCGAGUUCUUGCUGUAUAGCUUUAUAUAGCUCUUUGGUUAAAGUCAAUAUAAUCUUACCUUUUACCAAAAAAAAAAAAAGUUGAUAAAGCGAUCUAUAAAAUUCAAGAUAGAACAAGACAUCAUAAUUUUGAUAGGAAUUUUCGAUCUUUGGUAGCUGGAGAUUACAUUGAGUACUAAACUUAAGUAAUAAGAUUCGGUUGCAUAAUUCGCAUAAGUUGUCGGACCAAUAUUGAAAUUAUUAUAACUAAGAAUCUAAUUUUACCUAAUUCGAUGAAAUGGAUGUACGAGAAUCAACAUGACCAGCACGUUUACUCCAUUUCGUAGCCAAAAGAUUUUUUUUUUCCUUUUUAUAAUGUGGACGGCAUAUAUUUCUUUUUCUUUAUUGUUUUGGGUUGGUUUCUCGUGAAGUGAAGAGGAUAAGAGUGGAUAUUUAUAUCCUGUUUUCCACGCAAUAAUCGCAUAGGUGCAGGGUGAGCAAUAGCUGAAAGCUUGGCCAAUGGAGUACUGCCCUACUUCGCCCUUUUGGCUCGGCCUCCUCCUCUCGGCACUUCUAUUUUUCCUUCUCAACCGUUGGAAGUGCACCAAGCUUCCCCCUCAGCCCCAUUUACAUUUAUUGGCUCAUUUCAUCUUGUGGACUUUAAUGUCAAAAUGUUGACGAAGGAUAUUUUUGCGACUUAUUCGCCAUACAAGAGAUUGUACACUUUGCACAGUAUUCUCCAUUAUGCUCCCACUCAGAUUAGAUAAUAAUGAUAUCGUCUCAUCAUAUAGUUGUAAUUGAGAGUGAGUCGAAUAUAAUUUCUCACUUCUCAUGUUACUCCUAUUUGGACGAACUCUACUAAGUCCAUUAUCUUGAUCUAAUGUUUCUAAUAUGGAGUAAUUCUCACAUAUUUCACCCUUCUUAAGAAAUUCAUUAUUUAAAAAUGUGACAUUCCGUGAUUCAAAUUUAGCUAUACUCUCACUUUUCUGCCCACUUAUAAACACAUACCCUUUCGAGUGUUUUGAGUAUCUUAUGAAAAUACUCUUCUUACCUCCGGGUUCAUGAGUAUAGGCAGUACAAUAUCACAGUUUAAAAAAACUUAAAUUCAAUUUUCUACCUGUCUAUAACUCAUAUGAAGUUAAAGUAACUAGUUUGAAAAGUAUAUGGUUAAGUAUAUAGGCAGCAAUUAAUAAAGCAUUACCCCCAAAAAGUGAUAGGUAAGUUAGCAUGUGCCACCAUGGAUAUAAAUUUUUUAAUAGGGUUCCGUUUCUCCUUUCCGCAACACCAUUUUGUUGAGAAGUAUAGGAAAUGAAAAACUAUCUUUCUAUUCAUUUUUUAUCACAUAAAUUUAUGAACUCAUCAGAUAAAUAUUCAACCUCAAUCGGAUUUCAAUACUCAUGUUUUCUUAUCUAAUUGAUCUUUUACUAAGCUCAUAAAUUUUUUGAAAUAACUCAAUGCUUCAGAUUUAUGAGAAAUCAAAUAGACAUUUCUUAAUUAAGUAUAGUUAUCUAUAAAUAUGAUAAAAUAAAUAGCAAUGUGCAUUCCUCUCACAUUUAUUAGACUAAAAUUGUUAGAAUGAAUUAAUUGCAAAGGAAAUUCAGCUAUUUUACAUUUUCCAAAUUGUUUUCUUAUCAUUUUCUCUACUAGGUAAUGCUAACGUAUAGGCAAAUCAACUUUUUCAAUGUUGCCCAAUAAGCCCUCUUUGGCUAGCCUAUUCAUAUGUUGUUGGCCAAUAUGAUCAAGUUUAGCAUGCCACAUAUUCACAUAAUUAUCAUAUGAAUUAAAAGACGUGAAGAGGGAAUAACAUUAAUAUUACUAUAGUCAACAUUUAAUACAAUAAAAUCAUUUAGAAAAUAGCCAUAACCAUAGAAGCUUGUAUUUAAAUACAAAUCCAUACCAUUAUUUUGGAAGUUCAAACUAAAAUCAAAUUUUACAAAUACUAAAACAGACACUAAAUUCUGACGAAUUUCGGAAUAUAUAAUAUACAUCAUGUUGGAAUAAGGUGUGUUCACCACACAUGUUUAAUUGACAGGUGCCAAUCUCUUUUAUUUAGCUCUAAAGUUGUUUCUUAUAUAGAUCCAUUUAGUUCUAGUUAGUGCUUGUCGGAAUUCUACGAAGAAUUCUCUAUCCUUUGCUACAUGGUUCGUUGCUCCCGAAUCUAUAGUUCACAAAGGAUUAUGUUCAAUUAAGAAUAUUGAAUUUGAUACAUAAGCAAAGUUCUUAAGAAUGCAAGGGGUGUUGUUCUUCUUUGGCUCACAACAGUUGCGAGCAUGGUGAUCGUUCUUAUCACAAUUAUAACACUUCGCCCUUGACAACUUAUUCAUUCGAGGAUGCUUUCCUCUUUCAUAUUGGUUAACUUUUGAUUUAUUUCCCGAAGAACUUGCUUCAUUGCCUUUCUACCUUUUGAAUGAAUCAAGAUGUUUGUGCUUGGAGCUUGAAACCUCUUGUGAGCUAGAAUUGGCAUAAUAAAUGUCAGUUUACGGUUUAGCUGCCAGGAGGCAGUCCUCUUUUAGCUCAAGAUGACGCAUUGCAUCCUCAAAGGUUUUAAUAUUCUCAUUGUGUAUCAAGUGCACUUUCAUAUGCUCCCAACUUGGAGGUAGGGAAUAUAUCACUGCUUGCACUUGCUACUUGUCAGUCAAGACAUAGCCAGCAUCUUUCGACUUAUUAAUCAUGUUUAACAUCUUUUUCAGGUGUUGUUUCAUGUAGAGGUGUGCAACCGGAUCGGGUCAACUCGGUUCCCGGUUCGGCCCACCCGGAAAACAGGGUCGGGAAUUGGUUCCGGUUGAAACCGGUCCGGGAACCGGUUCCCAAAGUUCAUACCUUGUUUGAACCGGUCCGAGAACUGGUUCCGAGGGAAUACCCACUUGGGAACCGGAUCAAUCGGACCAGUUUGGGAACCGGUUUGAGAAUCGAUUUUUGGGCCCCAAAACAAAACCCUAGCCGUUUCUAAAUUUCUAUCUUUACUCUCAGUCUCUCAUGUAGCACGCUCGUCGCUCUCAGCGUCUCAUGAUCUCACCUCCGCCAAUCCAUCUGAGCAGAAGCAGCAUUGCCUUCCUCCAGAUCAGCGCCCCCAUCUUGGUCCCAGCCAUCCUCGCCACCCCGGUGCCGUCGGCCUCGCUGCUCGAGAAGGCUGGGUGCAAGACAUUCGCGGGCCUCCUUGUCUUGACACCAAGGUCGACUCCUCAUGGGUGGCCAACAUGGUGCUCAAGUCCACCCCCGUCGCGAUCUUCACCAUUGACAGUGUCCUCCUCCCCUCUGAGCUGUUCGGCAAGUCCCUGUCCCCCGCGUCAGCGCCGUUGCUGGUAAGCACGAUUUUUACUAUUCGUCUUGAGCUACUGGCUAAUUAGUUCUACUUACCCCCACGCCGGCACCGUCGAUGUUUGCUCUUUUGAUUCGUUCUUGUAUUGCAAGUCUGGUGUUUUUUUUCUCCGUGGGACAAAUCUUGAGAAUUGGUCAGGAGUUGAGCGAACGAGCGAACGAGCGAACGAGCAUUUUAGGUUAUUGUGAAUCACAAUAGUUUGUUUCAUCCUAAUAGUUUGUUUCAAUGCUGUCUAGCAGCUGAUCAAUGACAAAAAUGCACACACACAUGCUCAAAGCGAGAUAUGUAUGGUUAUUACACUUGCUGCAUUUCACUAGGUGUGGUGAUAUAAGAUAGUCAAUAUACCCCAUAGGAUCAAGUAUGUGGUCAAGGGCAUACUUAUACGUGUGAAUUUGGCACGUCGUACAAGUUUGAUUCCCACACCACUGAGUACAAACAUUUUCAGGGGUUUGCCUACCUAAGGUCCUAAGGUUGGUGCCUCAAUCCUAGUUAUAAAAAAAUAUAAGAGUGAUUACCUAGGAGGAGCGGGAAGAAGCUAGCACAAACUUUUACAAAUCAGAAUAUCUGUUUGAGAAUCCAUGUUGUUUCAGUGAAAUAGGAUAGUUUUAGUUCAUUGGAGCCUGUCUUCCUAUCCUCUGGACAUAAUUAUUGUUUUAGCUUUGUGACAGAUGUGUUAAUUCCGCAGAUUUUCUGUCAUUCAUGAAUUUCUGCAGUGUAAUUCUUGUCACGGUUUGGUUGCAGGAUGAGAUGUUAAGACAGAGAUUCAUGGUUUACUAGCAAGAUGUGAAAUGUGCACGUUCAGAAAUUUUUUGCAAAACAAGUUCCAAUAUAAACAGGGUUAACCUUGUUCUUGUUCUUGCUGCUGUUUCUGUUGCUGUUGACAUCAAGUCAAGGAGGGCAAGUGGGUUGUGGUUGGCUUUGUUAGCCUGAUUUAUCGUUAAUUGUUUUGCUGAGAUUGAGGUUAUUAGAAGAGAAAUCAGUGUUAUGUUGCCUAGCAUUGGUGUUUUAUAUCCUAGAAAAUUUGACUUCAAAGAUUGUUCUUUGUUUGGAUACUUCAUUUUAUCCGCAUAUCGGAGUGUUCAUUGUCCUUUGGAUUGGAGUUGUUCUAAGCAUCCGAUUCAAUCUUGCCACUGAAAUAGGACCCUGAAAAGAACUCUUUCAAUUAGAUGUUCUUUGGAGAAAUAGAUUAGCAAAGAUUGAUUGGUAGUCAGAGAACAUGGGUUAUUAAGCUCUAUGACUCAGAGUUUACUGGUUCGCUAAGUUUUCCCUCAGAGGUCAGGAUACAUUAGGCACCAUUUGUUUUAUUUGAUAUGUCGUGAUUUCGAUAGAUCUAUCCUUCACUAGCAAGGAUCCAUAUCAUUUUGGAGUAUACAUUGUCUAUCUCUAGAUUAGAGAUUGUUCUGAGCUUACAUUUGAUUCUUGCAAUCAAAUUAGAAUGCUGAAGAAACACCUUCAUGGUUUACUAGCAAGAUGUGAAAUGUGCACGUUCAGAAAAAUUUUGCAAAAUAGGUUCCAAUAUAAACAGGGUUAACCCUGUUCCCGGACAAGAAAAAUAGGGUGGGUUGGGAACAGAGUCCAAUGCAAACAGGGUAGGGAACAUGGUCCAAAAAAAGAGAACCGGUUAUAACAGGGUUGGGAACAGGGUCCAGGUCUAGACCCUACCCACCUUGGACCCGAUCACCUCUAGUUUCAUGGUCUGACUAUGAGACUUCUUAUAAGAGUCAAAUCUUAUAGUGAGUUAUCUUAGUUUGGUCACUGAUGUAUGACCAAAUAUUGCUACCAAUACUUCCCACAUUUCUUUGGCAUUCUCAAAACGCCUAAACUCUAGCAUGACAUCAUUUUCCAUGCUACUCAGCAAUGUAAUGCAAGUAAGGGAGUUCUUUUUUUGCCAUACAACAAAUGCAUCCUUAUCUCUUUUAUGUUGUGCAAUGUUCCCAUCUUCAGAUUCUUCCAUAAUCAGAUUAAGAGUUUCUAGUGCCUUUUGCUCUUCUAUAUUGGAUUUUCAUAUGUCAUAAUUCAUAAUUAUCGUCGUUUAGCUUCUUACAUUUGUUCAAUUCAGAUACUAUGCUCUUAGAUGUUGAAGCCAUUGGAUCUAAAUAUAUCAGACACAUAUACAUGAAUAAUCCUUUUUUUUUUGGUAAAGGUAAUAAUAGAAUAGAAAGAGGAAAAGCCAAUUAUACAAAAGACUAAAAACUUUCACUCAAAAAGCACACAAGCAAACUGAGUGAAAAGGAGCUGGUGUAAAAGAAAGAAGGAACAACCAAUACAAUCGACAACAACAAGAGCAAACGCCCCCAAGUUCGAAGGAAGCAAAAAGGGUACACAUCCAAAAGCAGCACGAGCGCAACAGGCGCAACAAGGUCCAGGCGAAGGACAAGAGCAAAACCCCAACACCAAUCGAGCUAGUGAAGAACAAACCCAGCAGCCUAUUAGAGCUUAGCUGGGCCAACAAUGAAGAUUGAAGGAUCAAAUCCCCACCCAUGUUGAAGCCUCCUAUUUCUCGGGUUGUCAGGCACCUUGCCAUUGGUUAGUACUUUGUCCCUGACAACUUUUAUGAGAUGAUUCUUCAAAGCCGCAACCUCAAGCACUUCGCCCUAGAAAAAUGAUGCUUUUCCUUUUCUUCCAGAUAAGAUGGCACAUGGCCCUAAAAGAGAAAUGGGCAAUAGAGUGGAAGAAGUCCUUACCAGGUAAAUAUUUCAGAGCCCAAAGGAGAAUCUUUGCCCAUGACCUAUUAUGCCAGGGAAGAUUACAUCUCCCCGCCCAAAAGAAAGCAAGCAUCACGGGAACAUGACACUCGAAGAAGAGAUGGUCAAUCGAAUCAGGAAAAUAAUUGUAGAAGGCACACACUUCAUAAUCAAUUCGUCCAUGAGAAAUGAGUAAAGCCUGAGUAGGAAGGCAGUUCUUGGUAAUAAGCCAAAGGUUGAACUGGUAUAUGGGAGCAAUGGCAUUAUUCCAAAUAAAGUGAGCCCAAGGGACACGGUUCUUUCUAGGUCUUAAUGCCUCCCAGGCUGAGGCCACUGAAAAGGAAUUGGAAGAGGACUCACGCCAAGAGAAGCUGUCAGUAGAAUCAGCCAGGAUUGGCAAGGAGAAGCCCCAACACUCCAAUAGAUAUAUGAACGCACAGUUUGCCGGUGCAAGGAGGUCUGCCACUAUUGCUUUCCUAGAAAGGCCUGAACUAAGAAUAGGAGAGUCUGGGAUAAUGAGGCUCCAAGGGCCUUGCUGGUGCCCAUUGUUGUGCCAUAGAGAGACUGAACGACCAUUGCCUACUCUCCAACAGAAGGAUAACCUGAAAUUUCUUCUACGGUGAAGGAUUUUCUUCCAAGCCCAAGAGCAUACUGUUGGGAUAGUCGUGACCCAAAAAUUCUCUCUUUUAAAGAAAUUUGAAUGGAUCCACCGACAUCAAAGGGACUCUUUAUCUGUGAACAAGAUCCAUAUAUACUUAAGCAUAUACGCUUUAUUGCGGUCCUUCAACCUUCGAAUACCCAGACCAUCUUCCACCUUGGGAACACAGACAUCCUCCCAAGAAACUUUAGCUUCGCCCUAUCCAAGGGUAGGACCCUUCCAAAGGAAUUGCUUUAAAAUACGCUCAAUACACUCUAUAACCGAGUAGGGAAGAGAAAAAACAGUAGCCCAAAAGGCUUGAAUGGAAUGUAGGACUGACCUAAUCAAUUGUAGCCUUCCAGCAAAGAAAGAAACCGCUGAGCCCACGACUAAACUCUAGCCGUGAUCUGAUCAACGAGAGUAGUACAAUCCGCUUUGCUAAGUCUUGAAGUAAUAAUGGGAAACCCCAAAUAACGCACUAGCAGCUUCCCUUCUUGAAAACCCAGUGUCAAGAGAAUAUUCCUUUGCAAAGAAGUGGAACCCCCUGUAAGAAAGACCUCGCUUUUGUUUUUGUUAGGCAACAUUCCGCUCCAUGAAGAGAAGAUACCAAGGCCUCUAUUGAGGAGAGUCAUUGAAGCCCAAUCUGUCUGGCUAAAAAGAAAGACAUCAUCGGCAAAAAAUAGAUGGGAUAGCUUCACAGACUUGCACCUCCAAAAAUACUUGAAGUCCUUAUGAGCUGUGUGAGAGCUCAAGAUCCCAGAGAAAAUCUCCAUAACCAGGGUAAAUAAGUAGGGGGACAUGGGAUCCCCUUGCCGAAGCCCACAACCACCUGAGAAGAAGCCAUGCAGCUCACCAUUGAUCGAGAUAGAAUAUUUAGGUGUACAGACACAAACCAUGAUGAGUCUGAUUAUCCACUCAGGGAAACCAAAAGCCGAAAGGGUAAGCUCAAGGAAAUCCCAAUCCAUAGUGUCAUAGGCUUUCUUGAAGUCCACCUUAAUAGCACACUUAGGUAGAUAAGGCUCAAGGUGGAAUCUUGCAAACAGCUCCUGGGCUAGAAGAAUAUUAUCCCUUAUCCUCCUACCUUUAACAAAGGCGUUCUGGAACGGACUAAUCAAAUCAUCUAACACAACAACUAAACGAUUAGCUAAAAUCAUAGUAAUAACUUUGUAAAUUGUGUUACAGCAAGCUAUGGGUCUGAAAUCAGAAACAGCACAAGCGUUGGGAACCUUAGGCACCAUGGCUAAUAUCGUGUUAUUCACCUCUCUUAGCAACCAGCCCGAAGAGAAAAAUCCUUUACUGCCUCUAAAACUAGAGGCCCUACUACGUCCCAAUUAUUCUUAAAGAAUUCAACAAUAAAUGCAUCUGGUCCAGGGGCUUUACCACAGGCCAAGGAGAAUAGAGUAUCCCGAAUCUUAGAGUCAAAGACUGGACGAGAAAGAAAGCCAACUUGAUCAACCGAGAGAGGCGGCCGAACGAACUCCUUCAACUCCUACAAAGAAGGCUUCGAGAGGGCUGUCUGCAGAGUCAAAAGGUCACUAAAAAAGGAGACAAAUAUAGGUGGAACCAAUUCAGGGUUCAUAAUCAAGGAGCCUAAAGGAUCCUUAAUCGAAAGAAUCCUAUUCCUGAGUUGUCUUCUAGUGACCAAUUGAUGAAAAAACUUGGUGUUCCUGUCACCUUCCUGAAGCCACCUGAUUCUUGAUUUCUGUCGGUAAAAAGACUGCUCCUGAGAAUGCAACUCAACAAACACCCGACGUUGAGAUUUCUCCAAAUCCGCAAGGGCAGAACUGCCUGGGUCUUGCUGAAGACCAACCUGGGUGAUACGAAGAGCAUUCCUCACGUCAGUAGUUCUCACAAAAAUGUCAGAGAAGGCCACUCUAUUAAGUUGCUUUAGACGCCCUUUCAAAAGCUUUAACUUGCGAACAAGUUUGUACAUAGGAACACCUUCCACCAGACUCUCCCAGACUUGCUGAACAAUAGAGGAAAAGGACAGGUGUUUCAUCCAUAGAUCAAAAAAUUUGAAAGGCUUCUUCUUAAAAAUCGGGUUAAGAACCCUGACAACCAUGGGCGAAUGAUAAGAUAUACCCAGGUUUAGAAAGUUAGCUUCAGAAUAAGAAAAUACAGUAUUCCACUUGGCAUUCACCAACACCCUGUCAAUCUUUCUCAUCUUCCUGGCAGCACCAGAAGAAGUAAACCACGUAAAUCGAAGGCCCACAUACCUCAAAUCCUCCAAAUCAGUUUGUGCUAAACAUUGACUGAAAUCAUCAAAACAAGGUAUCCAAGUAGUGGUACUCCCAACUCGGUCGGACGGAUCUUUUAAGGCAUUAAAAUCACCAGCAACCAACUAGGCGAAGUCCUGCACAAAGCUGUUCAUCCGUAUAAGGUCAUCCCAAAGAGGCUGACAACGGGUAUAGGAAUGCUCUCCAUACACCACUGAAAUAUAAGAAGACAUCCUAGACAGAAGAAGCUCCAAGUGGCCAUGGAUAGCCUGAUCAUUAACAGAAGAGACUUCAAAGAGAACCAACUCCGGGUUCCAACCGACCCAGAUUCUACCUCGAGGGGAAUAGUCAUAAUUUGCAAUCCAGUUCCAUCCCAUCAAAAAAGUUAAGGAGAUAGAGUGAAAAAGAGACUCAGGAGCCCUAGUCUCAAGCAGCCCAACAAAACAUAAAUUGUUCGAUGACACAAACUUCUUCACUUUAGCACGCCUAAUGGGGUUAACCAAACCCCUUAUAUUCCAAAAACCUAUACACAUUGUUGAAAGGUAAGAAGAUUACCUCUUCUUGGUGGUCCUACACCGACCAAAGGCUGGAGUAGGUAGAGCCGACGGGGAAGGGUCAGGAUGCAACUUGAGAAGUUUGUCUUGCAUGGAUUCAUUAUUCCCAAGAGUUGGAGGCGCUCUCGAAGAAGGCAUAGAGAGCAAAUCGUCAUCCGAAUAUCCAUCUAUGUCUUCGCCCGAACUAGGAGGAACCAAAGAAGGUUCAACAAGAAUAACUCCUAUGGAAGACCGCCCUUCUUGAGCUUGCGUCUUCGUGCCAGGAUUCGGAGCCUUCGUUGGAACAGGCUCUUUCAGCUUCAAAGAUUGACUUUUAUCUCCAGAGGGAACAUCGUCUUUAAUCUUCAAAGAUAUCCCACCACCUGCGGAAGAAGAAAGCCUAAACGAGGCAUCAACCUUACCUAGUGGAGGCUUAUUCUUUUUACUUUUAACUUGCUUCUAAGUCGUUUUAGUCCCUUGCGAAGGAAUAACCACAGGGGCAGCAAGCUUCUCCGAAUUCUGGACCGAAUCAUCACCAGAAGCAGAGCAAAUAACGCUUUGAUGAAUAAUUUGAAAUAAGGUUUCAGAAUUAAAAGGUCACUAUGUUUCCAAUUAUCAUCCAAAAAUUCUAACUUGAAAUUCUCAUUAAUAUAGUCUUCUAUACAAAAUAAGUUCUUUGAAACUACAGAAUCUUCUAUGAACUACCUCAAACAAUUAAUGAUAACAGAAGCAAUUGACAUUGAAUAUCCAUUAAUGAUGAAUAAAAAUAUUUCCACAUAAUAUAACCAAUACAUCAAUUGCUACAACGACAUCAAUAUGGUAGAAAUUAUCUACAUAAGAUAUUCAUAAAACAUACUAAAUAAAUGCUACUAGAAACAACUAACACUAAGUCAACCUAUGAAUAGGGAAAUAUUCUUUUAAUUUCUUGGAAAUUUCCUUCGUAAAUUCUUUAGGCACAUUUGGCAACCACGGAAAAACAGAUGAAAAUCCCUUAGGAUUUCUCCUUCACAUAUUCAUUCCCCCAUGGAUUGAACUCAUUCAUUGGGUUGAAGUCUUUGUGGCUUCAAUCUUAUAAUAUUCCUUUUUAAAAAGCCACUAUAAGUUUCUUAUAAUCAGGAACCACAUUGACCUCCCAUAGGCGAUUGAACACUCAUUGCCAUUCAGAUGGAAGAAUGUCAAUGAAGAAUCGCACCAUCUUAAAAGCUGGCAUAGGGUAACCCUUGCAAAUGACUUCUUGUAUCUUCUUAUUGACCUUGUAAACAUGAUCAAAUAAAUCACCAUUUUCCCAUCAAUAAUCAGCCAACUUAACUAUCAUCCUUACAAGCCUUGUCCUUUGUCUUUUUGACUGUGCACGAAUAGGUGUACGCAUACGAAGGGGAGGCAUUGUUCUUGCAACGAAUGCAGAACAAAAAAUGAUUACUUAUAAUCCAUAGGGACAUAAUUGAAAAAGAAACAUAUUCUUCAUUUUUUUUGUCAACGGUCAACAAUCAACAGUCAACGCGGUUAACAAAGUCAAUGGUCAACGGAGAUCGGGUCGGCUCAGACGGGUCAAACAUGGGUCGGGUCAAACUGACUAACUUGACUAGGUGACGUCAUCAUGACUCACCAACACGUGCCAUGUGCAUGCAUGGGCAACUGCCAACUAACGUCACCAUGACGUUAGCUGGCACGUGUGGUGCCGCAAGUGCCCUAGAAACCAUUGAUGCACACGCCGACAAGGCCUUUUCUUCUAGUCGCACGUGGUGGCAUGUCUAACGGCAUCGAUGGCGGGCAACUUGUGACAUCCAGAUUUUUGUUGACCCUCGAAUACGUGACGGUCCGUGACAGAUCGACAGAAUUAUCGUUGGACUAUGUCAUUGGUACCAUUUGUGGACACUGUUUUGUUAUUAUCGUUGGACCAAUACGUUAUGUUUAGUAAUGGUCUGAUCAUAGAAUAAAUUAUAGUCCCGUCGAAAAUCUUUCUUACGUUCUAGCAAGACCGAGGCUCAUUCCAAAUAAUAUGUCGACAAGUUACCUAUCAUUCGAACUUUAGCCGUCUCCAUUGAGUAUGUACCCUAGGCGAUGAAGCCGAGAGACACCAUUUCACGCCCAUGCAGCCACGUCCAUCUACUUUCUUCCAUUAAGACAAAAAACUAUGGAUUCCAUGGCCAUGCAUGAGGACCAUGCACGUCUCUCCAUUGUGCGGAUCAAUAAACAAAUAGGAAAUUGACCCAUGCAGCCCAUGCUGCUCGAAGACCCUAUUUCCCCGGCCAUGCAUUCACGUCACACAUCUUCCAUGCACGUUCGUGGAGAUUCCAUGCAGCUGGUCAACUAUGGGUGAUGAUUGUUGACCAAGAGCCACGUAGCUCGUCCUUCGGUGGACAGCAAAAAGGGAGAAUGUGGCUUUGCUGAGGAUACAUCCCUUGCAUGAGGAAGUAAGGUGGCUGCAGCAAAAAGAGACCCUUACGCAUGGACACGGUAGGUGCAGCUGUCCGUUCUUUCCGCGGCCAUCGAGAAUUUACCUUUGUUGACCCAUAAAGUCAACCAACGAAGGAACAAAAUGGCUCGGAAAUGAGAGCAAGAGAGAGAAAAAAACCGGGCGAAAUAAGGCAGAGAGAGAGAGUAGCGAGUGAGAGAGAAAGCAGCGAGCGUGAGUGAGAGGAAAAGAAGGAGGUCACCCCCUCCGCCCGUGCACACGCGCUGCCGACGCCACUUGCUCGCACUUGCUGUUGCCGAGCUGUGUCUAUGACCGCGAGCUUCUCGAUUUCUCGCCGUCGACACCAUCGGAUUUAAGGCAAGUGAAAGUCUACUAGCCUAUGUAAUGCAAUGCUGUUGUUGUUUGAUGUAGUGCAGUUAAUUUUGGAAAUAUUUGAGUUUGUAUGUUGGAUAUUGAAUUUUUGAAUGAUUGAGGUAGAUUGGGAUUAGGGGAUUGAGGAAAUGCUCGGGUUUUCUUUGUGUGUUUUUGGUUCCUUUGAACCUCAAUCGAAAAUAGAUUUUGGUGGACUUUUGGAAAUAAGGUAGCCAAGGUGUGGGCGUGGGUUUCUACUGAAUCCAUACUGCCAAGAACAACUCGUGUGUAGCUCUGUAGCUUUGUAAAUUUCUACAGAGAUUUCUAGUACGAAUUUGGUCCCGACUUCUUCAUGGAAGUUGUGAGAAAUUGUUUAAACUAGGACAUAUAUUUUUGUCAGAUUUUUGGGAUCAAUAUAGUUGGCACAAACUUAUUUUAGUGUGCGGUGCUUUUCUACUAGAGUGUGAAUUUUGGUCAAUGGAAGAAAUAUGGGGCUAAGUUGUGUGAUUUACUGCUCUUUGUACUUGACUAAUGCGGCUUAGUGUCCUUCAUGAAAUUAUUUCCCUUAGGUCUUACUUAUAACAUACUAAAAAUUUAGAAUUUUCUGAGUUCAUUUAUUGGUUCUUUCAAAAUUAUUACUGAAACUAUACAUUUGAUUUCGGUUGCCUUUAUUCCGAGUUUGCUCAAAUUUAUCUCAAGGGUGAAGGAAUCUUGGUUUAUUACCUAGUAACGAUGGUUUUGGCAUUCAGUAAAUCAUUCAAUACUGAAAUUUCAAUAAAAAUUCAAGGGAUUUCAUAUGUCGAUGAUUUGAAAAUGUUUUGGUAUUGAAAUAAUUUGAUGUGUCAUUGCUACCGUUGGACCCUUGGGUCAAUGAUGCCCUGGGAGUCGGGCUGCCCAUAGGAUCGUAGGGGUCGAUGCCUUUGGAUGCUUGGAGACCGGUGAUCCCCAGAGGUUCCUUGGGAGUGUCGGGAUGCCCGAAUGUAUGACGAUACAUAUUUCGGAGGGUAGGGGCAACCAUUGCCGUGGUUAGUCCCGGAGAUUCCUCGUGAUGCUGGGUAAGGUGCGAGAUGCAAGAGGUGAGACAUGACAUGCUCUGGUUGCCCGGUGAUUGAAAAAUGGAACCAGAGGCUUUCGUGACGCCAGGUUGAGUGCGAAUGCCUAGAAGGACGCAAACACUGGUCCUCCAGGAGAAAAAUCUUUUGAGUUUUAAAACUGAAUGUGCUACUAAGUUGCGCCGAAUUAUGAGACAAAAUUGUGUGGCACAGAAUGAGACAUGUCAUGACAGUUUGGUCUUAUAAUCAGGACUCAUGUGAUUGAAAUGAUGUGUUCUGGUUUUGAAACUGCACUUGUUAUCACUUGGAAAAGUUCCAUUGAUUUGAUGCAUACUCAUUCCUUUGGUUAUGUGUUUUAUGAAUUUUGCAUGAAAUUAUAUUGUGAUGGUUCUGCAAGAUAUAGUUUAGUAGAUCUUUUGUUGUCGGGUGGUUGUAGGGACUAACAUUUUAGACUAGACAAGAUGCUUCUGCCACCCGCACCUCCCAGUACAUUCAAUGGAUUCCCGAUCGAAUUAUAGUUGGAGCGGUCGGAGUAUCAGGACCCUAAGGUGCGAGGACUGACGUUCGUACCGAUGAGAGUCAUUAUGGUGUUUAAUACCGGUCUUCCCAUUGGCCCUGUACUUCAAGAGUACAUCGUCGUAUUUGUCCGUCGGUAUAGACGAACGCUGGGGCCAUUGCCGUCGCCACUAGCAAAUGGACCAAGUGGCUAGGUGUGAUCAUGAGAUGNNNNNNNNNNNNNNNNNNNNNNNNNNNNNNNNNNNNNNNNNNNNNNNNNNNNNNNNNNNNNNNNNNNNNNNNNNNNNNNNNNNNNNNNNNNNNNNNNNNNNNNNNNNNNNNNNNNNNNNNNNNNNNNNNNNNNNNNNNNNNNNNNNNNNNNNNNNNNNNNNNNNNNNNNNNNNNNNNNNNNNNNNNNNNNNNNNNNNNNNNNNNNNNNNNNNNNNNNNNNNNNNNNNNNNNNNNNNNNNNNNNNNNNNNNNNNNNNNNNNNNNNNNNNNNNNNNNNNNNNNNNNNNNNNNNNNNNNNNNNNNNNNNNNNNNNNNNNNNNNNNNNNNNNNNNNNNNNNNNNNNNNNNNNNNNNNNNNNNNNNNNNNNNNNNNNNNNNNNNNNNNNNNNNNNNNNNNNNNNNNNNNNNNNNNNNNNNNNNNNNNNNNNNNNNNNNNNNNNNNNNNNNNNNNNNNNNNNNNNNNNNNNNNNNNNNNNNNNNNNNNNNNNNNNNNNNNNNNNNNNNNNNNNNNNNNNNNNNNNNNNNNNNNNNNNNNNNNNNNNNNNNNNNNNNNNNNNNNNNNNNNNNNNNNNNNNNNNNNNNNNNNNNNNNNNNNNNNNNNNNNNNNNNNNNNNNNNNNNNNNNNNNNNNNNNNNNNNNNNNNNNNNNNNNNNNNNNNNNNNNNNNNNNNNNNNNNNNNNNNNNNNNNNNNNNNNNNNNNNNNNNNNNNNNNNNNNNNNNNNNNNNNNNNNNNNNNNNNNNNNNNNNNNNNNNNNNNNNNNNNNNNNNNNNNNNNNNNNNNNNNNNNNNNNNNNNNNNNNNNNNNNNNNNNNNNNNNNNNNNNNNNNNNNNNNNNNNNNNNNNNNNNNNNNNNNNNNNNNNNNNNNNNNNNNNNNNNNNNNNNNNNNNNNNNNNNNNNNNNNNNNNNNNNNNNNNNNNNNNNNNNNNNNNNNNNNNNNNNNNNNNNNNNNNNNNNNNNNNNNNNNNNNNNNNNNNNNNNNNNNNNNNNNNNNNNNNNNNNNNNNNNNNNNNNNNNNNNNNNNNNNNNNNNNNNNNNNNNNNNNNNNNNNNNNNNNNNNNNNNNNNNNNNNNNNNNNNNNNNNNNNNNNNNNNNNNNNNNNNNNNNNNNNNNNNNNNNNNNNNNNNNNNNNNNNNNNNNNNNNNNNNNNNNNNNNNNNNNNNNNNNNNNNNNNNNNNNNNNNNNNNNNNNNNNNNNNNNNNNNNNNNNNNNNNNNNNNNNNNNNNNNNNNNNNNNNNNNNNNNNNNNNNNNNNNNNNNNNNNNNNNNNNNNNNNNNNNNNNNNNNNNNNNNNNNNNNNNNNNNNNNNNNNNNNNNNNNNNNNNNNNNNNNNNNNNNNNNNNNNNNNNNNNNNNNNNNNNNNNNNNNNNNNNNNNNNNNNNNNNNNNNNNNNNNNNNNNNNNNNNNNNNNNNNNNNNNNNNNNNNNNNNNNNNNNNNNNNNNNNNNNNNNNNNNNNNNNNNNNNNNNNNNNNNNNNNNNNNNNNNNNNNNNNNNNNNNNNNNNNNNNNNNNNNNNNNNNNNNNNNNNNNNNNNNNNNNNNNNNNNNNNNNNNNNNNNNNNNNNNNNNNNNNNNNNNNNNNNNNNNNNNNNNNNNNNNNNNNNNNNNNNNNNNNNNNNNNNNNNNNNNNNNNNNNNNNNNNNNNNNNNNNNNNNNNNNNNNNNNNNNNNNNNNNNNNNNNNNNNNNNNNNNNNNNNNNNNNNNNNNNNNNNNNNNNNNNNNNNNNNNNNNNNNNNNNNNNNNNNNNNNNNNNNNNNNNNNNNNNNNNNNNNNNNNNNNNNNNNNNNNNNNNNNNNNNNNNNNNNNNNNNNNNNNNNNNNNNNNNNNNNNNNNNNNNNNNNNNNNNNNNNNNNNNNNNNNNNNNNNNNNNNNNNNNNNNNNNNNNNNNNNNNNNNNNNNNNNNNNNNNNNNNNNNNNNNNNNNNNNNNNNNNNNNNNNNNNNNNNNNNNNNNNNNNNNNNNNNNNNNNNNNNNNNNNNNNNNNNNNNNNNNNNNNNNNNNNNNNNNNNNNNNNNNNNNNNNNNNNNNNNNNNNNNNNNNNNNNNNNNNNNNNNNNNNNNNNNNNNNNNNNNNNNNNNNNNNNNNNNNNNNNNNNNNNNNNNNNNNNNNNNNNNNNNNNNNNNNNNNNNNNNNNNNNNNNNNNNNNNNNNNNNNNNNNNNNNNNNNNNNNNNNNNNNNNNNNNNNNNNNNNNNNNNNNNNNNNNNNNNNNNNNNNNNNNNNNNNNNGACCAGCUAAAUUGUAGUUAACGCUUCCAACAUAGGUUGUACAAGGACCUAGGGAAAGGACGUGGCCCCAGAAACUCAUUGAUAUAUUAAAAUCCUUUUCUUUCAGAGUUUUUGACUCUCAGAUUCAGGGAAACUUUGUGAUAGGAGGCAACCCUAAGGCCUCGGGGGCCAUCGGGGGUGCCACAGAGCUAUGGGUCGCCACAUAUCACUAAUUUUCUCUCAACCUGAAAGUCUAACACUCUAAUACCAAAGGAUUUUGAUAAAUCCAUGAGUUCUUGGGGUCUAUAUCAUUUCCAUUGGUCCUUGCGCAAAAUAUGGCGGAAGCGUAUCCAACAUCUCCUUUUCCUAUAUUUAGAAAAUGAUGCACACCAACUAAACAUCUUUAUAGGUAAUAGCCGGACACUUUUAUUGACAUAUAACUAGAUGGACAAUUGUUAGUCAGUACAUCAAAAUGUCGUAGUUUUCAAUACUCGGCCAUACUUCAAAAGAUACCCGAUAUUUCCAAUAGUUACAAACAUAAAGUCCAUUGUUUAGUGUUGGUGUCCAAAAAUUUCUUCCUUUGCUGACCCCAUCUCACGAUCACACCCAGCCACUCGGUCCAUUUGUUCAUAGUGGCAGCAGUGGCCCCAGCGUUCGUCUAUACCGACGGAAAAAUACAGCGAUGUACUCUUGGAGUAUAGGGCCGGUGGGAAGACUAGUAUUGAAUAACAUAAUGACUCUCACCCAUACAAACAUCAGUCCUUGCACCUCAGGGUCCCAAUACUCCGACCGCUCUCACUGUAAUUCGAACGGGAAUCCAUAGAAUGUAACGGGAGGUGUGGGCAGUAGAGACAUCUUGUCUAGUCUAAAAUGUUAGUCCCAAAAGGGGUGAGUACAACCACCUAGUAGCGAAAGAUCUACUAAACUUUAUUGUGCAAAACCAUCACAAUCUAAUUUCAUGCAAAAUUGAUAAAACACAACCAAAGGAAUGAAUAUGCAUCAAAUCAAUGGAACUUUUCCAAGUGAUAACAAGUGCAGUUUCAAAACCAGAACACAUUAUUUCAAUCACAAAUGUCCCGAUUAUAAGACAAAACUGUUAUGACACGUUUCAUUCAGUGCCACACAAUUUUGUCUCAUAAUCUGGCACAACUCAACAGCACAUUUAGUUUUAAAACUCAAAAGUUUUUUCUCCCGGAGGACCAGUGUUUGCGACCUUCUAUCAUUUGCACCCAACCUUGUGUCACAAAAGCCUCUGAUUUCAUACUUCAGUCAUCGGGCAACCGAAGUGUGUCAUGUCUCACCUCCAGGCAUCUUGCACCUCACACAGCAUCACGGGAAAUCUCCGGGUCUAACCACGGCAAUGGUUGUCCCUACCCUCCAAAAUACGUAUCGUCAUACAUUCGGGCAUCCCGACACUCCCGGGGAACCUCUGGGGCUCACUGGUCCCUAGGCAUCCAGAGGCAUUGACCCCUAUGAUCCUAUGGGCAACUCGACUCCCGGGGCAUCGUUGACCUGAGGGUCCAACGGCAGCAAUGACACAUCAAAUUAUUUCAAUACCAAAACAUUUUCAAAUAAUCGACAUCUGAAAUCCCUUGAAUUUUUAUUGAAAUUUGAGUAUUGAAUGAUUUACUGAAUGCCAAAACCAUCAUUACUAGGUAAUAAACCAAGAUUACUUCACCCUUGAGAUAAAUUUGAGAAAACUCGGAAUAAAGGCAACCAAAAUCAAAAUGUAUAGUUUCAGUAAUAAUUUUGGAAGAACCAAUAAAUGAACUCAGAAAAUACUAAAUUUUUAGUAUGUUAUAAAUAAGACCUAAGGGAAAUAAUUUCAUGAAGGACACUAAGUCUAAUUAGUUAUGUACAGAGAGCAGUAAAUCACACAACUCAGCAGCAGAUUUCUUCCAUCGACUAGAAUUCACACUCCAGCAGAAAAGCACCGCACACUAAAAUAAGUUUGUGCCAACUAUAUUGAUCCCAAAAAUCUGACCAAAAUAUAUGUUCUAGUUUAAACAAUUUCUCACAACUUCCAUGAAGAAGUCGAGACCAAAUUCGUACUAGAAAUCUCUGUAGAAAUUGACAAAGCCACAGAGCUACACAUGAGUUGUUCUGGGCAGUAUGGAUUCAGUAUAAAUCCACGCCCACACCUUGGCUACCUUACUUCCAAAAGUCCACCAAAAUCUGUUUUCGAUUGAAGUUCAAAGGAAUCGAAAACACACAUAGAAAACCCGAGCAUUUCCUCAAUCCCCUAAUCCCAAUCUACCUCAAUCAUUCAAAAAUUUAGUAUCCAACAUCCAAACUCAAAUAUAUCCAAAUCUAACUGCACUACAUCAGACAACAACAGCAUUGCAUUAUAUAGGCUAGUAGACUUUCACUUGCCUUAGAUCCGACGGUGUUGACGGCAAGAAAUCGAGAAGCUCGCGGUCAUAGACACAGCUCGGCAACAGCAAGUGCGAGCGGGCGUUGUCGGCAAUGCGCGUGCACGAGCGGAGAGGGGGACUUCCUUCUUUUCCUCUCACUCACGCUCGCUGCUUUCUCUCUCACUCGCUGCUCUCUCUCUGCCUUAUUUCGCUCGGUUAUUCUCUCUCUUGCUCUCAUUUCCGAGCCAUUUUGUUCCUUCGUUGGUUGACUUUAUGGGUCAACAAAGGUAAAUUCUCGGUGGCUACGGAAAGAACGGACGGCUGCAUCUACCCGUGUCCAUGCGUAAGGGUCUCUUUUGACUUUGCUAUUGCCACCUUGCUUCCCCAUGCAAGGGAUGUCCUCAGCAAAGCCACAUUCUCCCUUUUUGCUGUCCACCGAAGGAAGAGCUACGUGGCUCUUGGUCAACAAUCAUCUCCCAUAAUUGACCAGCUGCAUGGAAUCUCCACGAACGCGCAUGGAAGAUGGGUGACGUGAAUGCAUGGUCGGGGAAAUAGGGUCUUCGAGCAGCAUGGGCUGUAUGGGUCAAUUUCCUAUUUGUUUAUUGGUCUGCACAAUGGAGAGACGUGCAUGGUCCUCAUGCAUGGCCAUGGAAUCCAUAGAUUUCAUGUCUUAAUGGAAGAAAGUAGAUGGACUCGGCUGCAUGGGCGUGAAAUGGAGUCUCUUGGCUCCUUCGCCGAGGGUACAUACUCAAUGGGGACGGCUAAAGUUUGAAUGAUAGGUAACUUGUCGACAUAUUAUUUGGAAUGAGCCUCAGUCUUGCUAGAACGUAAGAAAGAUUUUCGACGAGACUAUAAUUUAUUCUAUGAUCGGACCAUUACUAAACGUAACGUAUUGGUCCAACGAUGAAAAUGAAACGGUGUCCACAAAUGGUACAAAUGACAUAGUCCGACGAUACUUCCGUUGAUCUAUCACAGACUGUCACAUAUUCGAGGGUCAACAAAAAUCCGGAUGUCACAAUUCUCCCCUCCUUAGAAAAUUUCGUCCUCGAAAUUGGACAUUGCUCACGUAUCGUUAAAAAGAUGAGGGUACCUUUGCCGCAUUUCUUUAUUCACUUUCCCAUGUGGCAUCUUCCAUAUUAUGAUGUCGCCAUAAUAUCUUAACUAGUGAAAUUUUUUUUGUCCAAAGGACUUGUUCCUUUCGAGCCAGUACUCGAAUCAGCUCUUCCAAGUAUCUUACUUUCUCAUUCACUUUGAUGGCUUCAUGAUCGAUUAUGUGUCUAGGGUUAGGCUGAUACUUCCUCAACAUUGACACAUGGAACACAUCAUGUAAAUUUGCCAGCUUAGGAGGUAAUGCUAGCCGAUAAGCUACGUCUCCUAUUCUUUCAAGUAUCUCGAAGGGUCCAACAAAUCUAGGGCUCAACUUGCCCUUCCUCUCAAAUCGUGAUAUUCCUUUCAUCUGGGAUACUUUAAGAAAUACGUGAUCUCCUACGUUAAAUUCCAAGGGUCCUCUAUGAUAUAGCUAGUAUAAGUACCUAGAGGGGGUGAAUAGGUAUAUAAAAGAUUUUUCUUUGAUAAUUGCACAAUACUAGACAGUUGAUGGAUUUGAGACAAACAAUAAUCAAAGUAAGACUGAGAGAAGAGAAAAUUGAACACGCGGUUUAUAGUGGUUCGGCUUAUGUCAAGCCUACGUCCACUCUUCUGCACUGACAGCCUAUUGGCUGGAUUCCACUAUGAACAAAAGAGAAGUUACAGCACAUCUUUGCCUUGAUUCCACAGUGUAGAUGUUCUACCACACCUCCUCAAGAUUUCUCACAAAUAUAGACUCUCUUUUGUAUACAAGUAUUCGCUCAAAGGAAUUGUCUAAACAAAAAGGAGCUUCAGACUUUGGAAUUCUUCUAUCGCGCACACCUCGACAACUUAGAACGUCUUCCUUAUAUACUCUUUUAUGCCAUCAUACCCGUUGGCACUUACCAAAGGAAUUCCUCCAAUCUACCCGUUGGACAGAAUCAAUUAGGAAGAUUAUCCGAGCUAUUAAAGGAACGUGUCGAUAGCCCAUCAAUCCUGUUUGCCCAUACAAUCAGGAUCUCGGUUUCCAUAAGUAGAACCUUCCAAUAAUAUUUAGGCAAUCACCGGAUCUUCAAUUAUCGAGUCAAUCUUCGAUCAAUCAAAGGACUCCGUUAUGUCUUUUCCAGCCACGAGAUCUUCUCAAGUUGAUAAGGUUUAAUCCUUAACGAAACAUCCAGUUCUGGAUAACCUUUCUUCAACGGAUUAGAGACUGUCAAUGAGGAUAGACUUUGAGUCUUGAGUCUGGCUGUCCGGAGGUCUUCAGACUUUAAAUAGCAGAGUCUGCAAGCCUUCAGACUAGACUGAUGGAAACGUUUUGUCAGCUUCAAAACACUUCAAGAAGAUUUCUCCAACAAUCUCCCCCUUUUUGAUGGUGACAAAACUUUCCUGCAGAUUUGGAUAACUUUGACCUGCAAAACAUUUCUCAAACACAUAUGCAUAUCUUAUAGAGGUAAAUGGCUAAAUGAAUAACACUAGAAUCUACAACCACAGAAAAUAGGUUAGUCUAGUAUACGAUAAAGCCAUCCAUAAGAUAUCAAUACUAGUUAAUAGAAGCAGUCAAGUCCAAGUCUAGUUCAGUUCUCAUCCAGACACAAAGUCAAAUAGAGUUCAAACAACAAAACAAUCCAACAAACAGUCCAACAAACCACACGAUUAAAAGUUUAAUGAUUGAAAGUUUGUUCAAAUCUUGCAUCUCUCCUCCUUUUUGUCAGCAUUAAAAAGGAUGAGAUGAAGUCAAGAUUGCUUGGGAACGCGGACAAGCUGGAAAUCUUCCAUAGACUGAACGAUGCCUUCCAGCCUUUUCAAGUCUUCCUUCAGUUGUGCAAUCUCCUCACCCUUGGCAUUGGCCUGAAUCUAAACAGAGAGGGCUUGGAUCUUAUCAUUCAAUGAACAUGAAGAAACUUAACCCGCAUUCUGCAAGUUUUGAACCUCACAACCCAAGGCAUAAAUUUGACCUCGCAUCUCCAAGAGAAUAUCCAUGAUUCUGCGAAAAUCUGCUGUAUUAUCAGUCUGAGUACUUGCUUCGGCCCGAUCUGAUGGAGUAAAUGCAGACGAUGGUAGAUCAGCAUAAUUUCGCAGGUUUGGCGAUGAGACUUCAUGACCUUCUUCUGGAAACUGAGAGGCAUAAACAUCCUCUGGGUCUGCAGGUGAGCGAUUGACUCCUUCACUUGCAUCAGGAUAUGAAGACUUUCCUCCUUUCUCUUGAUCUCCCCCUAUUUCCAUGCCUACAGGUGGAGAAGAGAGUUCCUCAGGUUCUCCUUCUUCUCUUCUUUCUUCUUCAGGUCUUUCCUCCUCUGCUUCUUUUUCAGCUUCUCUUUCUUCUUCUUCCUUCUCCUCUGCUUCUUUCGUCAUUUGUUCCGAUUCUUUCUAUGGAACAGGACAACUUAAAUUCUUCAAAGCCAUUGCAGAGAUGGUGAUGUCUUCCUCAUCAUCUUCAUCCUCAACGAGGAGAGCUCUUCUUCUCUUGGAUGGAGCAACCAUGGGCUCCUUCCCUUUUCUUUUAGCUGCAGAAGAGAUUUGAUGAGUUUUGGCAGGAGUCUUCUCCUUGAAUUUCUCCAACUCCUUGCUCAGUUCCUUCAGACGCAUUUUGGUCACCAUUUUCAGUCCUACCACCAUAUGAUCGCAUGGUCGAACACAAAAGAUUUGCGGAGGCUGAAUAUUCAGAUGUCUGAAUAACUUCGUAACAAGGCUUGGGUAAGGGAGUUGACCUCUGUCCUUCAUCAUUGCUCUAUACAUGUGAAACAUAACAGUGUGAGGGAGAGAAAACUUUUUCCCAGAGAGGAUGGCAUACAUCAGCUUUGCCUCUAAACUUGAAACAUCAGUCUUGGAAGUUGAUUUCGGUCGGAGGCAAUUGAUCACAAUCUUGUGAAGCAAGAUGUUGAAUGCACUCAUCCUUAAGUAGGUGAUCUUCUCCUCUGUUCUCUUGUCCUUCACCAAUUCCAGUGUGGCCCGAGCAAUGGAAACUUUGAUCCGUUGAUAUCUUCCUCUUUCAACUCCUAACACAUCUGCCAGCAUAUUCAUAUCCACAACAUAGUCUUGGUCUUUAAUGCUGAAAGAGAAUCUAUUCGCAUCCAAAAAGCUAAGAUUUGAAUAGAAAUAUGCAGUUAAUUCAGCAUAGGCCUCUGUAGUGUCAGAGCAUAACUUUUCAAGUUGAAGAUAACUGAACUUUUCCCUCAAGUUCACAUUCACAGCAUCCAGAAAAUCAAAAUCCACACUCCUAGGGUUUAUUACCCCACGCUUCAGCAAUUUCGAGUACAGAUCCUUUUGUUCCUUCGAUCUGAAGAAAUCUCCCAUUUUUCCUUGAUUUUCAACCGCAACACCCAUUUUCGGUUGAAAUUGGCUGUACAAUUUGUCAUCAUCAUUCCCAUCUACAGGAUUCGGCCCCCAGUCAUGAGGAUCACUUGGGAUAUUCGCAAGGGUUUCCUCAGCCACCCCUUUACGAGCAAUUCCCAAACUUUCCAUUUUUCGCAGAAAGAUAUAUUCGUUCCCAUAUCCUUUGUCUUUAAGAAAAUCAUCAACACAGUUCAAAGGAGUACAAGUUCCUUUUAAGGAACGAUAUAGCUUGUAAAUAUAAGCGGGCUUUUGAACUCUUACAGGGUCUGCAUCCUCAAUGAUUUCUUCCUGUUGUUGAUGAUCAACGCCUUGAGGACUAGAUGGAGGAGAAUGACGCUGCUGAGAAUGUUGUGGGCUCGGUUGCUAUUCUGGAGACACUUCUUCUUCAGUAAGAUCGAAGUGCGUAGGCCCCUCACUCAUUCGCCGUGGUCCCCUGCUUGCGAUUCUCGAAGACUUUCUUGAAGAUGACAUCUUUCUCAGUUUUUGGAAGAUUCCUUGCUUGACUUUCCCAGGAAAGAUUACAACUUUUUGAAGAUUAAAGAAGACAAACGGGAAUGGAGGAUCGAUGCUUUCUAGGGUUUUUGAGAGUAAAGUGAAGAGGAAUCAACAGUGCACGAUCGGUUAAAAAGAGAUAAACGAACCGUCACAAAGGAAAUAAAAAGAUGCCUUUUAAAAAUAACUGUCUUUUUCCGCAAAAAUAGCCAUUUAAAAAAUAACUUCCUUUUUGAAAAUGAAACAAUGCAAUAAUUACAUUGAUUAAAUAUAGCAACAAUUUAAACACAGUCUGACGAUCGUACCUUUUCAAGAUAAGAUUAGAGAGAGAAAGACUUACAGUCUGACGGUUGUACCAAGACUAUCUUACAGAUAAAGUCUUGUAUCUCUGAGUCUGAAAGUCUUUAGACUUUGAUUUCCUCAUACCUCAAAAUGUUGAGUCUGGAACGGAUAGAUUCAAAUUGAUUUUUCUCCAAAGGCUUUGUGAAUAUAUUCGCUAGUUGGUUCUUUGAGUCAACAAAUUGAAUUGAAACAUCUCCAUUUUGAACAUGGUCUCUAAUAAAGUGAUGUCGAAUCUCUAUAUGCUUUGCUCUUGAGUGGAGAAUUGGAUUUUUGGUGAGGUUGAUAGCGCUGGUGUUGUCGCAAUUAAUCUCCGUGCAUGAGUCUUCAAUUUCAAAGUCUCUUAGCUGUUGUUUUAUCCAUAGAAUUUGCGAACAACAACUUCCAAGGGCUACAUACUCUGCUUCUGUUGUUGAAAGAGACACAGUGCUUUGUUUCCUUGAAAACCAAGACAUUGUCCUGCUUCCAAGCAACUGGCAAGUUCCCGAAGUGCUCUUUCUAUCAACUCUGCAACCAGCCAGAUCUGCGUCUGAAUAUCCCAGAAGAUUAAAGUCUCACUUCUUAGGAUACCAAAGACCGAUGCUUGAUGAUGAAGCAACGUAUUUAAUAAUACGUUUCACAGCACUGAGAUGGGAUUCUCUAGGAUCUGAUUGAAACCUAGCACAGAUGCAAACACUCAACAAAGUGUCAGGUCUAGAAGCAGUAAGAUAAAGAAGUGAACCAAUGAUGCUCCUGCACAGCUUUUGAUCAACUUUCUUCCCUUCUUCAUCUUUGUCUAUUCUUUCAAGUAUCUCGAAGGGUCCAACAAAUCUAGGGCUCAACUUGCCCUUCCUCUCAAAUCGUGAUAUUCCUUUCAUCUGGGAUACUUUAAGAAAUACGUGAUCUCCUACGUUAAAUUCCAAGGGUCCUCUAUGAUAUAACUAGUAUAAGUACCUAGAGGGGGGUGAAUAGGUAUAUAAAAGAUUUUUCUUCGAUAAUUGCACAAUACUAGAAAGUUGAUGGAUUUGAGACAAACGAUAAUCAAAGUAAGACUGAGAGAAGAGAAAAUUGAACACGCGGUUUAUAGUGGUUCGGCUUAUGUCAAGCCUAUGUCCACUAUUCUACACUAACAGCCUAUUGGCUGGAUUCCACUAUGAACAAAAGAGAAGUUACAGCACAGCUUUGCCUUGAUUCCAUAGUGUAGAUGUUCUACCACACCUCCUCAAGAUUUCUCACAAAUAUAGACUCUCUUUUGUAUACAAGUAUUCGCUCAAAGGAAUUGUCUAAACAAAAAGGAGCUUCAGACUUUGGAAUUCUUCUAUCGCGCACACCUCGACACUUAGAACGUCUUCCUUAUAUACUCUUUUAUGCCAUCAUACCCGUUGGNNNNNNNNNNNNNNNNNNNNNNNNNNNNNNNNNNNNNNNNNNNNNNNNNNNNNNNNNNNNNNNNNNNNNNNNNNNNNNNNNNNNNNNNNNNNNNNNNNNNCUUACCAAAUGAAUUCCUCCAAUCUACCCGUUGGACGGAAUCAAUUAGGAAGAUUAUCCGAGCUAUUAAAGGAACGUGUCGAUAGCCCAUCAAUCAUGUUCGCCAUACAAUCAGGAUCUCGGUUUCCAUAAGUAGAACAUUCCAAUAAUAUUUAGGCAAUCACCGGAUCUUCAAUUAUCGAGUCAAUCUUCGAUCAAUCAAAGGACUCCGUUAUGUCUUUUCCAGCCACGAGAUCUUCUCCAGUUGAUAAGGUUAAAUCCUUAACGAAACAUCCAGUUCUGGAUAACCUUUCUUCAACGGAUUAGAGACUGUCAAUGAGGAUAGACUUUGAGUCUUGAGUCUGGCUAUCCGGAGGUCUUCAGACUUUAAAUAGCAGAGUCUGCAAGCCUUCAGACUAGACCGAUGGAAACGUUUUGUUAGCUUCAAAACACUUCAAGAAGAUUUCUCCAACACUCUACAUUUAUUUGCGUAGCUUUUCUUUUACCCAUUUCGUUUCAAUAAACGGGAAUUCUAUGAGUUUAACCGUGCUUCCGCUGCACUACUUUGAUAAAAUUAUCCUAGAAACAUUGCCCAUUCCAGUAUGAUGCAUAGUUCGGUUCAUUCCUAUCCCCUUUUGCCAUCCUAGAAGCCUGCCAGGAGCCACUCCUUGCUCAAGUCCUCUGACUUAGGCGUCCACUCCUUGCCCUCAUCGGACUGAGUUGUUAUAGGCCCACCAGCUUUCGCUUGGUUCGAACCCGAACUACACAUCUAUUGAAGGGGUCUCGUUUCGAUAGAGACUAACUUAUAGAGAUAUUAUCCGCUUGGCCUAUCCCGCACUAAGCCUCAUGGUUUUAUUCUUGGCACAUGGGUAAGUAUUAUCGCAAGAGAUCAUCCAUCCUAGUCCGUUGCUUACGGAGCUAGUCCAUUCCCACGAUGAUGUCAAAGUCAUACAUAACUAUCACUAUGAAGUCCAUUUUUAGAUCUUGUCCCCUUAUGGUUAUCUUAUGCUUCUUACAUACUAAAGUGGACAACACCAUAUUCUUUAACGGUGUAGAAACACAAAGAGGAGUCUCAAGAGAUGUAGUUUCUAUCUUACUUAAUUGUCCAUACCUUUCAGACAUAAAAAAAAAUGCGUAGCAUUUGUAUCAAACAACACAUAUGCCUUUUUGCCAUUUAUAGAAAUCGUACUUGAGAUAACAUUUUUGGAAGCUUCCACUUCCUCUUGGGUGACCGCGUACACCCGUCCUUGUGUUGAUGGCCUCUGUGGAUUCCUUGGUGGAUGUGGUCCAGUUGCACGGUGCUACACUUGUCACAUCGAGCUGACAUUCGGCUACGACUCAUCUUGUGGACAAUUUCUCUUAAAAUGUCCUAUUUGCCCACAACCAUAACAUCUCAGUUGGCUAUUGCAAGGUCCUGGCCUAUGUUGUCCACCACACCUCUGACAAGUAUUACUUUGGUAGGGUACUUUCCCUAAAGUUGGGCCACUCUUGACUUUUCCAAAAUUCCCAAAGUUACUCUUUUUCUUAGAUUCCUAAGGCUGACCUUGAUCAAGAUAGGGUCUCUUAGCUCGUCAGACAUCACUAAAGGUCAAUUGCCUCCUACACUCUGAUUACUCUCUUGUUAAUUCCCACUCCACCAACUGUGCCAUUUCAUAAAUUUCAUUAUAAUCCCUCAUAUUCAGAGGCACUAGUUGUUUCCUAAUAUCAGUUCUUAGCCCCUUCAAGAAUCUCUUAGCCUUUUCCUCUCGAUCCUCAAUCAAUCUAGGAGCGUACCUAAACAAUUCAUAAAAUUUGGCUUCAUAUUGGUCUACCGUCAGCUCCCUUUGUUCUAAUUAAACAAAUUCUGUGAUUUUCAUCUUUGGCACAAUCAGAGAAAUGCUUUCUAUUGAAAGCUCUAACAAACUCAUCCUAAUUUAUGUUAGUACCAGGUGGAAAGAUCAUGUCUCUUGAAGCUCUCCACCAAAAUUUUGCAUUUCCCUCCAAUUAAUACUCUGCCAAAAUUAUCUUCUCAGCAUCAUUAUAGUUCAACAACCAGAAAAUCUUUUCUAUUCCCUCAAUCCAUUGUUCCGCCUCCUCAGGAUUUCCCAUUCCAGUAAACUUAGGUGGUUUCAACUUCAGGAAUUGUUCCACCAAUCCUUGAGUACGGUGUUCUGCUCCGAGUUGUUGCUAAGCUUGUCUUUCCAUCAAAUUUCCUAUAUUGGCCAAUGCCUGUAGGAUAUCUUCCAUAUGGGGUUUAGCCCUUGAAGCAGAGGCUUCGGCCCUUGGUGGGUGAGAACUCCUAGUUCGCACCAUAUCUUCCUGCAGUUUACCCAACAUUUGCCUUAGGAACAAUUAGUGAUCCAAUGUCACUAGUCAAGUAAUAAAAUAAAGGUGUUUCUAAAGUCACAUAAGUAACAUAAAAUGUUACUUGCACGCAAAGGUAACUCACAAUCGUUACCUGUAUUUUUACGAGUGAAAAUCAAUCACCCGUUGUUCAUAAUUAGUCAACUACCCUUGGUUAGUAUCUUAUAGUGUGCAUCAUUAUCUCCUCAUUUCCUAUUAAUGCACCUUAUCACUCCAAAUAAAACCAUAGCUCUGAUACUACUCGAGCUACCCCCCCCCCCCCCCAACGACCCCUGAUCUGUUAGGGCCACAUAUCACCAACUUUCUCUCAACCUAAAAGUCUGAUACUCUAAUACCAAAGGAUUUCGAUAAAUCCAUGAGUUUUGGGGGUCUAUAUCCUUUCCAUUGGUCCCUGCGCAAAAUAUGGCUAAAGCAUAUCCAAUAUCUCCCUUCCCUAUAUUUAGAAAACGAUGCACACCAACUAAACAUCUUUAUAGGUAAUUGCUAGACACUUUUAUUGACAUACAACUAGAUGGACAAUCGUUAGUCGAUACAUCAAAAUGCCGUAGUUUUCUAUACUCGGCCAUAAUUCAAAAGAUACCCAACAUUUCCAACAGUUACAAACAUAAAGUCCAUUGUUUAGUGUCAACCUCCAAAAAUUUCUUCCUCUACUAACCCCAUCUCAUGGUCACACCUAGCCACUCGGUCUGUUUGUUGGUGGCGGUGGCAGUGGCCCCACCGUUCGUCCAUACCAACAGACAAAGACGACGAUGUACUCCUAGAGUACAAGGCUGGUGGGAAGACCGGUAUUGAACAACAUAAUGACUCUCACCCCUACAAACAUCAGUCCUCGCACCUCAGGGUCCUAAUACUUCGACCGCUCCCACUAUAAGUCGAUGGGGAAUCCAUAGAAUGUACAGGGAGGUGCGGGCAGCAGAGGCAACUUGUCUAGUCUGAAAUAUUAGUCCCCAAAAAGGUGAGUACAAUCACCAGUAGCGAAAGAUCUACUAAACUAUAUCGUGUAGAACCAUCACAAUCUAAUUUCAUGCAAAAUUCAUAAAACACAUAACCAAAGGAAUGAGUAUGCAUCAAAUCAAUGGAAUUUUUCCAAGUGAUAACAAGUGCAGUUUCAAAACUAGAACACAUCAUUUCAAUCACAGGGUCCCGAUUAUACGACCAAAAUAUUAUAACACGUCCCAUUCCGUGCCACACAAUUUUGUUUCAUAAUCCGGCGCAACUUAGCAGUACUUUCAGUUUUAAAACUCAAAAGAUUUUUCUUCCGGAGGAUAAGUGUUUGCGUCCUUCCAGGCAUUCGCACCCAACUUAGCAUCACAAAAGCCUCCGGUUCCAUAUUUCAAUCACUGAGCAACCGGAGCGUGUCAUGUCUCACCUACAGGCAUCUUGCACCUCACCCAGCAUCACGAGGAAUCUCCAGGACUAACCACGGCAAUGGUUGCCCCUACCCUCCGAAAUAUGUAUCGUCAUACAUCUGGGCAUCUCGACACUCUCGGGGAACCUUUGGGGCUCACUGGUCCCCAGGCAUCCAGAGGCAUCGACCCCUACGAUCCUAUGGGCAACCCGACUCCUGGAGUAUUGUUGACCCGAGGGUCCAACAGCAAGAAUGACACAUCAAAUUAUUUCAAUACCAAAACAUUUUCAAAUCAUUGACAUCUGAAAUUCCUUGAAUUUUUUAUCGAAAUUUGAGUAUUGAAUGAUUUAUUGAAUGCCAAAACCAUCGUUUCUAGGUAAUAAACCAAGAUUCCUUCACCCUUGAGAUAAAUUUGAGAAAACUCGGAAUAAAGGCAACCAAAAUCAGAAUGUAUAGUUUCAGUAAUAAUUUUGGAAGAACCAAUAAAUGAACUCAGAAAAUUCUAAAUUUUUAGUAUGUUAUAAAUAAGACCUAAGGGAAAUAAUUUCAUGAAGGACACUAAGCCUAAUUAGUCAUGUACAGAGAGCAGUAAAUCACACAACUCCGCAGCAGAUUUCUUCCAUUGACCAGAAUUCACACUCCAGCAGAAAAAGCACCGAACACUAAAAUAAGGUCGGAAAAUCUGGCAAAAAUAUGUCCUAAUUUAAAUAAUUUCUCACAACUUCCAUCCAUGAAGAAGUCAGGACCAAAUUCAUACUAGAAAUCUCUGUAGAAAUUUACAAAGCUACAGAGUUGCACACGAAAUGUUCUGGGCAGUAUGUAUUCAGUAGAAACCCACGCCCACACCUUGGCUACCUUACUUCCAAAGUCCACCAUAAUCUGUUUUCGAUUGAAGUUCAAAGGAAUCCAAAAAACACAUAGAAAUCCCGAGCAUUUCCUCAAUCCCCUAAUCCCAGUCUACCUCAAUCAUUCAAAAAUUCAGUAUCCAACAUCCAAACUCAAAUAUUUUCAAAUCUAACUGCACUACAUCAGACAACAACAGCAUUGCAUUACAUAGGCUAGUAGACUUUCACUUGCCUUAAAUCCGACGGUGUUGACGGCGAGAAAUCGAGAAGCUCGCGGUCACAGACACGGUUGGCAACAGCAAGUGUGAGCGGGCGGCGUCGGCAGCGCGUGUGCACGGGCGGAGGGGGCAACCUCCUUUUCCUCUCACUCAUGCUCGCUGCUUUCUCUCUCACUCGCUGCUCUCUCUCUCUCUCUCUCUCUGCCCUAUUUUGCUCGGUUAUUCUCUCUCUUGCUCUCAUUUCCGAGCCAUUUUGUUCCUUCGUUGGUUUACUUCAUGGGUCAACAAAGGUAAAUUCUCGGUGGCUGCGGAAAGAACGGAUAGCUGCAUCUACCCGUGUCCAUGCGUAAGAGUCUCUUUUGACUUUGCUGGUGCUACCUUGCUUCCCCAUGCAAGGGACGUGUCCUUAGCAAAGCCACAUUCUCCCUUUUUGCUAUCCACCGAAGGAAGAGCUACAUGGCUCUUGGUCAACAAUCAUCUCCCAUAGUUGACCAGCUGCAUGGAAUCUCCACGAACGUGCAUGGAAGAUGGGUGACGUGAAUGCAUGGCCGGGGAAAUAGGGUCUUCGAGCAGCAUGGGCCGCAUGGGUCAAUUUCCUAUUUGUUUGCUGACCCGCACAAUGGAGAGACGUGCAUGGUCCUCAUGCAUGGCCAUGGAAUCCAUAGUUUUCAUGUCUUAAUGGAAGAAAGUAGAUGGACGUGGCUGCAUGGGCGUGAAAUGGAGUCUCUCGGCUCCUUCGCCUAGUGUACAUACUCAAUGGGUACAGCUAAAGUUCGAAUGAUAGGUAACUUGUUGACAUAUUAUUUGGAAUGAGCCUCAGUCUCGCUAGAACGUAAGAAAGAUUUUCGACGGGACUAUAAUUUAUUCUAUGAUCAGACCAUUACUAAACGUAACAUAUCGGUCCAACGAUGAUAAUGAAAUGGUGUCCACAAAUGGUACCAAUAACGUAGUCCGACGAUACUUUCGUCAAUCUAUCAUGGACUGUCACGUAUUCAAGGGUCAACAAAAAUCCAAAUGUCACAAUUGGCCACUAGUUGUUUUUAUCGUCUCAAUGAGAACUAUGACCCUGCACUAUCAUAAAUGAGUUUUGAUUCACUGAAAAUCAAAAAGGGGGGCGAACAGUGCGGGCGUGUUGGGAUUUCCAUCCCCGAGCAUCCGACUGUAAUGUUUCUCAAAAUUUCAACCAAAAACAAUUUAUAAACAUCGACAUUGAUCAAGAAACAUGAACAUCAUUACUCUGAUACCAAUGUAGGAAACGAAUUUCUAUAAAUCGAACUGAUACUCGAAUGAUCAAAUACUGAAAAAUGAAUGUGGAAACGAGCCUGGGAAACAUGUAAGAUUGAUCAAAAGUAUAUCACGGAGACAGAUAUACCUUGGUUGCUAUAGAUUAAGUACCAUCGCAGUCUCAGAGGAAUCAUUUGAAGCCUUGGAGUUCCGUUCUUUAAGAGGAAGUAUAUUGUUUCAAGAGGAAGAAAAAUGGAGAAGCGUAUUUUUUCUGCGUAUUUUUUCUUUGGAACACUACGGGUAAUGUUAUCCCAUUUUAUUUUUUAUUUUUUAUAUUGUAGUUAUUUUCACUUAGAAAAUAACUGUCCUUUCAUCUUAUGAGCCCUUCACUUACGGGCCAGAUUUUGACCCAACAUAAGCGAACGGGCUUAACUUGGUUCAUCAAAUAAAAAACCAUCCGAUGCUAAUUUAGUUUUGUUAGUGAAGUAGAGUUGAAAACAAGCUUAUCAAGCACUUUAUUAAGUUCGACUUGAGCUAAAAAAAGGACCUUUCGUGUUGAAUCAAGUAGAACUCACAAGCAGUUUAGAGGUCAAUCCCUCUCAAUUCGACUAUAUCCCUCUUUUAACUAGUUGCACAACUUGAUGCAAUAAAAAUUUUCAUGUCUAAUUCGUUACGUGCAGCUAUACAUUCUCUGAUUAUAAUUAAUUGUAGAAAAAAAUCAUUUUAUGAAGAGUAAGGAAUUGACUUAUCCCAUUUCCUUUUUCUCUUGGGGUUUAAUGUGGUUGGCAACACGGUGCUCUCGCGAGAUUUGUUGUACCCAAAAUCGAAGGAUGUGCUCGAGUUCUACGAUGCCAUGAACCGGGUCGCGGAGUGGGCCGGCAAGCCUAACGUAGCCGACUUCAUGCCGUGGUUGAAAUGGUGGGAUCCACAGGGGAUCAAGACAAGCAUGGCAAAGGACAUGGGUCGAGCCAUGAAGAUUGCGGAAGGCUUCAUGAAAGAGAGGUUGGAGGAGCGAAAGCUAAGGGGAGAGAUGAGGACGACGAAUGACUUCUUGGACGCGUUAUUGGAUUAUGAGGGCGAUGGAAAAGAAGAUCCUCACAAAAUCUCCUCCCAGAACGUCAACAUAAUCAUUCCGGUAAGUUUGCUCCUCCCUUGCACGUCCAACACGGCCUCACAGUUUUGAUUAUCGAUUACCAUCUUAGAGAUAUUAGGUCAAAUUCAGUUUAUUAAGUGGUGCAGUUAACUUAAUUGACAUUGAAACAAGAUCACAUCACACGUCAAGGACACGUUUUAGUAUUUAAUAUUAAAGUAAGGGUGGCGCUAUUGUCACCCCUCAUAUGAUUAAAUUCACUCACUUUGCACCAAAAAGACAAAAUUGCUCUUAAUCAUUCAAUUAGUAAUUUAAGGUGGUAGCUCAAACUUAUUUAUUUUCCUUCUUUUUCUUGUUUUUCUUCUUUUACGUAGGAUCUAUUUAUCAUAAUCUAGAUUUAACAUGUUUCAUUUUGGUUUAUUGUGGGUAUCCCAUGUAUAUGAAAGGCACUAAGUUUUCACUUUAUUAUUACAAUUUACUUAUGUAGACAUUAAUUUAUUCAUGAAGAAAAUUUUCCAAUAAAUCAAAUUCUUUUUAACGUUGUCUAACAAUUUAGUUGAUUAAUUGACUAGAAAAAUUUUAACACAUACACUUUCUUAACGCAAUAACUUAUUUAUAAACUUUAACAUUUGUUGUGCAUGUCACCAUUAAAUCAUUUAUUGUCAGUUUGCACACAUAUACGGAUAAUGGGAUGGUUGAUGAAAAAAAGAAGAAGAAAAAGCCCCUGUAAUUUUUUUUUGAAAUAAAUUCAUGAUCGCAUUCUCCAAUGUGAAACUUAAAAAGAUAAAAUGUAAUUAAAUCACAGUACUAAUUAAAUAAGAAAUUUUUUUUAUAAAAAUUCAAGUGAAGUCUCAUCAUAUUGGAAUAACAAAAAUUAAUAUCAUCCAUUAAGCUUAGUUUGGGAAAAUGACAUCCCAUUCUGGCAGGCAAUAAGAAAAUAACUCUUUCUAUAUCACCAAACAAAUGAAAACUAAACAUUUUCCUUGAAAAUACUUUUCCAAGAAAGUAUUUUCCUUCAUCAUGAAAUUUUUGGAGAAACAGCGGCACCCUAAAUGUGUAUCAUGGAGAUGGCCCAUCUGGGCUCUUAUCACAUCCUGCUAAGCUGUAAUUCGCAGUAGUAUCACUCGAAAAAGAAGAUCACGACUAGGAUUCUUCAGUCACUAAUACAACAAAAUUUAGACUUUAAAGACCGAAUCAGGAAGUGAUAAGAUUAAGGAACAUAUGGUGAUUGAUGAAUUAACUAAAACACGACAAUUUGGCAUCCUUGAAUUCAACAAUGAGAAAUUUCACGCAUCCGUUCAAAUAGCAAACCUUUGAUUUCAUUCAAUGAUAUCCACUCUAUACAAUGACCAUAGAGAGGAAGAGGAAAGAAAGCAAGAGACUGGGGUUACUGGCCUAGGAAAAAUACCAGAACAAAUAUUAAUUUCCGUUGUGACUGCACUAAUCACUUGCACAUAUUUUCUGGUCAAAGAAUAUGACAUGCGCAACUCAUAUUUUGACCAAAGCACACAUUAGUACAGCCAAAUGGGUACUUUCUAAAAUAGUUAAGACUAUUUCACCAUACUCUUUGCAAUGCACUAGAUCCACUACACAAAAUCAUAUAUAGAAGUGCAAGCAUGCAAAAGAACAAAAUGCAGAGUCACAGCCACUAGCCUCAAGCUUUAAGCUUGAUCAAACUACUUGAACCAAACUUCAGCAACGUAAACAUCUUCAUGCACAGAAAUGUAUAUUACUUUGCUUUUUAUUACACGGUGGCUCUCUCGAGCAAAUUGGGGAAAAAAUCAAUUUUAAGUUUUUGGAAAGAAGAGGACUGCUACCUGAAUUGAGAACUGUUGGAGAAAUCUUAGUGAAAGUGUUUUGAAGUUGACAAAACGUUUCCAUCAGUCUAGUCUGAAGGUCUGCAAACUCUGUUAGUUAAAGUCUGAAGACUUCCGAACAUCCAGACUCAAGACUCAAAGUCUAUCCUCAUUGACAGUCUCUAAUCCGUUGAAGAAAGGUUAUCUAGAACUGGAUAUUUUGUUCAGGAUUUAACCUUAUCAUCUGGAGAAGAUCUCGUGGCUGGAGAAGACGUAUCAGAAUCCUUUGAUUGAUCAAGUUUGAUUCAAUGAUUGAAGAUUCGAUGAUUGUCUAAAUAUUAUUGGAAGGUUCUACUUAUGGAAACCGAGAUCCUGAUUGUAUGGGCGAACAAGAUUGAUGGGCUAUCAACACGUUCCUUUAAUAGCUCGAACAAUCUUCCUAAUUGAUUCUGUCCAAUGGGUAGAUUGGAGGAAUUCCUUUGGUAAGUGCCAACGGGUAUAAUGGCAUAAAGGAGUAUAUAAGGAAGACGUUCUUAGUUGUUUGAGGGGUGCGCGAUAGAAUAAUUCCAAAGUCUGAAGCUCCUAUUUGUUUAGAUAAAUCCUUUGAGCGAAUACUUGUAUACAAAAGAGAGUCUAUAUUUGUGAGAGACCUUGAGGAGGUGUGGUAGAACAUCUACACUGUGGAAUCAAGGCAAAGCUAUGCUGUAACUUCUCUUUUGAUCAUAGUGAAAUCCAGCCGGUGGGCUGUCAGUGCGGAAGAGUGGACGUAGGCUUGGAAUAAGCCGAACCACUAUAAAUCCUGUGUUCAAUUUUCUCUUCCUCACUCUCUCUGCCUCGAUCGUAUUUCAUUUUGUUAAUUAAGAGAGAAUUUACUUUCUAUCAUAUGUUAAGAAUCGCUUCCGUAUAUCAAUAAAUUGUUUAGGCACCUAUUCACCCCCCUCUAGGUACUCAUACUAGCAAUAUCAAGAACUCCACAGGUGCUUUAACAGAAAAAUAGAUGCUCACCUGCAUUUAUGGAAGACACGGUAACAAAGAGAAAACAUAGUGGCUGUUUCUUAUGCCUCACAAUAUUGAACAGGAUAACCUACUAUUUGACUAAAAUUAGACAAGAGUUUUGAGCUGCUAAUUCUGUAAAGUUCUAUAUGAUUGUAAGAGAGAAUAAAAGGAAUAUUUAGAAGUCCCUUAUCUGCAAACAGCAGUAAAACUGAAGUGCCAGUCUUCUCAUAUAAUUGAAAACUACAAAUGGGCAGAUAAAGUCAGCUUUUCCAAAUUGAACAGCUGCCUAUUGAAUAAUAUGAUUCAGAUUCAUUCAGAGACAGCCCAUUCCAGUCUCACAUUGCCUCAUAGAAAGAAGAACAUGUAUAAGACAGACAUACCAAGCCAGGCAAUCUCUCAAAUUGAAAGUUCAACUAUUUAGUACAUGACGACCAUAAAAGAAUGAAAUAUACAUUUUGAAGAGGUAUUCAAAAAGCACACAUUACAUUUCUGCACCUCUCUCCGAAACUAAAGUCUUACAGGUACAGCAAACUAUUUGCAGCAGGAGAGCAACAAAGUCACUUUUCUACUGUAAGCCAAAAGGACUUUAGCAAGUUGUAGGAAAGAAACUUACAGAUUUAGGAUCAAUGGAUAUCCCAGACAAUGACGCCCCAGCAAUUCUAAAAGACACCUACAAUCAUGCAAACAGUAGCUCAUAACAGAAUUUCCCACAUCAGUUAUGAGAGAUAAAAAUGUGAAGCACUAGUUGAAAUGGGAAUGUAAAACCAAGCACUAGUAGUGCAUCAACAGUAAACCUAAUAAAACAUCUCGAGUAAUCCUCUCUAGAACAUUUGCUAUCUUGCAACCAAAUUGCUGAUGCCAAACUAUUUUGUAGCGUGCCGACUCUAAGACAUCUCUAACAAAGGUCCUCUAUGAUAAUUACCCACCUGACAUAUCAACCAACAGAAGACACAUGGGAUUGGCUGUAUAAGUAGUUCAUGAUGAAUGGGUUUCCUUUUCCAUUCACACUACGAACAAGUAUAGUUAGUUGAACAGUCCAGUACCAUCAAGAGUGCACCAACAUAGUUUCAAGUAGACAAACAAUACUAAGCUAAGAAAACCAUUUCAUGAAUACCUAUCCUGGGAAGAAUGACUAUGGUUUCUCUUGGCAGAAGAAAGACAACCAGUGAACUCCACUUUGUAAGAAAGGUACAGCUUUUGUCUAUACCCACAGAACCACAUACAUGAAGCCAUAAAUGCAUGAUGCAUCACAAGAAAAUAAACUAUGUACUAACACCCAAGUGAGCUCAGACAUUCAUACUUUAGCAUAAUUGUAUGCCUGUCAACAAAAUGGUUCCUCUAAAUCAACUGGAGGGAGAUCCUUGGUCAUUUUCCCCAUCAGAAAUUAUCAUAUUAUUGCUGUGUCAACAUCACUGUCUUCCUCUGCCAUGCUUCCGAAAAAUGAUUUUGUAAAAGGUAACCUUUGGAUUUGCCAUGGUGCAAACUUAACUGUCCCCGGGAAGGUAGCUUCAAUGCUUUUUCUAACAAGACCCCGUCCACUUACCAAAAGUUUCCACUCAACAGAAUGCUCUGUAGUUGAAAUAGUUCCGACUGAAGGAGUUCCAUCCACAGCAAUAAUCCUCCUAGGAAAAGGCAUUGUUAGAGUACAGAACUCCAUUGUCAAAGGACUUUACCAAAAAAGAAAAAAAAUCCAUUGCCAAAGGAGCCUUGUAACCUUCAAUCAAGCUUAGUCUGAACAAAAAUGCAUCUUCAUCUUCAAAAACCAUUGACAAUUGAUAGAAUCCCUUUAUGGGAAGUCCAAGCCCACAGGAUGCUUGAUAAUGCAUCAGGACAAAAUUACCUAACAGUGGUGAAAACAUCACUGACUGCUUAUCCGCCCCCGGUUCUGGAACUUGAGCAGAUGGAUGGAAUGAUAAAGAUUCAAUGUGGCUGCUAUUCAGUCCUGUCAAAGGAAGGGACACAUCAGGCAGUCCUUCUAAUUCUGCUCGACAAUUAACCUGACCUGAAACUGAAAUGCUGUCUGGAAUUUCAUCACGAUCAUACAACGCAGCAGCAACAGUUUCAUGAAUAGUAAAAAGUAUUUUCUGCUUCCCCUGGUAAAGAUAUGGCUUCCAUGCAGGCUGUUUGACAUCUGCAGGAGGCAGAUCUGCUGAAGAAAACCCAUUAAGCUUGAUGGAGAAAAUAUUGGAAGCAUUGAGUUCCAAAGGGGUACAUAUAUUUAAAGAAUAGAAACAAAUAAACCAUUAGUCUAUCCUAGAAAGAGGAAAAGCACAGGUCAGAAGAAAAAGGCGAUAAAAGCAGCUGCCAUAAGCGGGGUAAACAUCACUGACCAAAGGGCAUUGAGCUACUAAUAUAAGUCCUUAUUGCAUCCUUAUUCAAUGGCCUUGAACCAACUUUCAAAGCAUCUGAUGAGACAGCACCAACAGAAGUGUAAAUGAUUGUUCCUGGAGGCUAUCUACAUCAGACACAUCAGCAAAAAACAUGCAAAUGCAGUUUUGACAUAGGGAAUUAAUAGAAGUAUUCAAUAUGUGUAGAAAUAUAAGCAAAAAUACAAGUAAACUCAUCAAGCGAAACACCAAGAGGCUCUCAACUCGUUGUAGUGACAUCUUGACAAACCUCUUCUUUCUCUCUGCAAAUGAAGACACCAACCCUGAAUCAGACGGCAAAUACGGCGAUGCCAUGCCAUCAACACUGCCACCAUUGUGCUCAAUCUCACUUUUGCAAGCCGCCCGCCACUGUUUCGAACACAAAAACGAAAACCCACGAGAGAGAGCGACCUGGAGAAGACGACGGCGUCGUGGCUGUUGAGGAUCCAGAGAGCUCUGAUGCCGCAACCGGUGGGCAUGGUUUCGGUAGCCUUCUUCUACGACUGCGGUCAGCUUUCGCCGGAUCGGAAGAGAAAGGGAAAGAAACUUGGACGACGUUGAGAUUGAAACUUUGAUUGAAGAACGGUUAAAUGACAAGCCGUUGCGCUGAGCAGAGGGACUCGCGCGACUCGGUAGCUCUUUGUUGUUUUCACCAUUUUCUUUGGUUAAGGAUCUGAUCCGUUUCCCUUUGCUUGGCCAGGUGGUGUCUUGGUAAAUUUUCUCGCACCAGGGGUUAAAUAUAUCUUUUCGAUUUAGUCAAAAGACAAAUUAUCAAGGUCGGGAUUAGGAAAUUUUGGAAGAAUUACUCUUCUAUGGUACGGCCUAAAUAGUUAUUUUGAUGGAGAAUUAAACUUGAGAUUUCACGCUUUUUGAGACAUAACAUAUUGAUCGCUCUUAUGAUACAUAUUUAACUUUUUAAUUAAAUUCAUGAUUUAAAAGGCACGGGUGCAUCGCAUUGAAUAAGCCGAUUCAUUCAUGGGGCUUGAAUAUGACUUAGCUCGCCUUAUGAAAGUUUGCUCAAGCAAAUAAUGCUAAAGGCAUUUAAAUGCUCGAACAAUUAUCAGAAUGAGCGUCAUAAAUCGAGGGGUAAAAAAUAAAUAUCCAAAGGUUAAGUUAAGAGCAAUAACAAUUGAACAUUAGACGGGUAUGAAUCUAUGUAGUCAUGUUGCAAAUAAACUAAAGGGACAAAUGCAUGAAGUCCGACAAUGACCAAAGGAUGGGAGAUAACUACACAGAAUAAUCGAGGUACGAAAUAUGCUUGUGCCAUAUGAACAUAUUUUAUUUCCUUUAUGUGAUGCUUUUGUUUGUUUGACUUGAUCUCUCAAUAUAAUGAGAUGCAAGCAAGAGGAACUCUCUUCGUCGCUUGAACUUCGGCAUGCACGUCUAUUAGCAGUGGACCAUUAUGUGAAAAGUAUCUUACAAAAUUGGCCCGAUUGUUUGGGAUAUGAGGGGCUUAUCAGCUCAAAAAUUGUCACUAUCCAAAUCCUAUCAACUACAUGCAACUACUUUUAGUCAAGGCCACCUGCAUAGGCUAAAAGUCUAAGCUUUUAGGAUAUUUCAUGGGUCUUUAAGUAGCCGAGCUCUAUGCUUGUGUACCUGAAUUGUGAAAAAUGGUAUGCAGUCGCCCUAAACAAUGUUUUGAUAUGUCUGUAUCUAGUGGAGAGAACUACACUUUUAUCAUUUUGAUGGAUUACUGGUAAUGUAGAAGCUCCAAUCACAUGAUGAUGUAUAGUUAAAACUAGAAGUGAUAGGCCAAAAUAACAAGACUUCCUUAAGGAUUACUUAGGAGUACAUCUUGUGCAAGCUUUGGUCUUUUAGGGGGUGCCUGACAAACUACAAUUAUUAUUCCAAAAACAAUUUAACUAUUCUAGACUUGUUUUUCGAUAAAAUUAUUUCAUUUUUCUAUUUCUGAAAUAGAUUUUUAUUUCAGAAAUAGAUUUAGAAUAGAAAUUAGAAUUAAAAUUAGAAUCAAAAGUAUUUUUUUUUUUUACUUUUCUAUUUUUGGAACAGAAAUGAGAAAUAAAAAUUAUUUCUAUCGUUCAUCCUUCGUCCAUCCGUCGCCGCCGACCAUCGUUCGCUGGUUGCCGUCCAUGGCCACCGCCGUUCGCUAGUCAUCGGUUGCCGCCAUCCGGCGAUUGUCGCCGCCAUCCGACAAUUGCCACCGUCAUCCACCGGUAGCCUGCCGUUGGCCGCCAUCCCAAAGAAAGAAAUUUUGUGUUGUUAUCAAACAAAUUUCUAUUUUUAGAGUAUAAAUUUUGUGUUAUUAUCAAACAUAUAUUUUUGUUUAAAAACUCAUCUAAAAAUAGAAAUAAAAAAAUCUAUUUCUAUUUCAAAUAUCAAUUUCUGGCAAGAAUGGUUAUCAUUCGCAAAACCUUUUGUGUAUCUCAUUAUUCUUUUUUAGCUAAUACAAGGCAGUCAAAAUAUCGACAUAGUAUAUUUACAUAUUUUUUGUAGAUAUAAUAUACUAAUGAUUAUUUCAUAACAUGGAUUUAUUCUGAAAAUCCAUGUUUGAUUACUUGAUCCCAAUUAAAAUAAUUGUUUCUAUUACAGUAAAUUUUGAUUUGUUAGGCAACAUUUAGAAUGGGACGAAAAAAUAUACCCAGACAAUAAUAGAGCAACCAUAAUGGAAGACUAAUUGUAGAUUGAUCAGAGCUGGCCCCAAAUUCAUUCACACUUAUUUUUUUUUUUUUGGUAAGGUAAUUCAUUCACACUUUUAGGACCUUGAGCCUUCGCUAAUGCCCAAUUGGAGGAGAAAUUCUUGCUUUUAGGAUGGAUUUGCCUACGCCGGUUAUCACUUUUUUCCAGUAAUUAUCAUCAUAAAAUAUACAAAACUUAGUUAAAUAAAUUAAUGAGUCAUUUGAUAGACGCUAUAUAUAAGUUAGUGUUAGAUUAAGAAUUGACGUGAGUAGGGCAACCGCUUGUUACGAUGUGUAGGGCAACCGCUUGCUUCCUUUCCAACGGUAACUAUAAUUUUAUGCGGGAUUAAAGUAAUUAAAGCUACUGAAUAUCUUGACGAAGUAAUUACUCGCUGAAAGAAUAACCAAGGCAACCUGAAAACAGAUGCCUUUGUCGAAGUUAUAUCAAGUCCAAGCAGGCUAAACAACCAAACAAGCAAAUCCCUUCCUUUAAGCCGGGAUCGGAUGAUUUUUCAGAUUCUAUGUGAACACAAAGUUCAAGAAAUAUAGAUCUUGAAGGAACAACGUCGACAUCAAAUUUUCCUCACCUUGCAAAUACCUGCAUAUGGGGUACAAACAAGGAUAUGUCCCAAACUAUCAGCGAUUUGUCCAUGUUCCCCAAUAGAAUCAAUUAUCGAAGCCCAAUUUGAACGAAAUUAUACAUGUAAAUUCUGGGAAAAAGGGUCCACAUACCUACAGAAACAAAAAGUGGAAAAUUUCUAGUCAAGGUAUAGGAUUUGCUCGUAAUAUUCAAGCUGGUGAGUCAUGUGCGGGAUAUGAGCAAUCUUGUACUAGUCCUUGCCUGCAUCUUUUUCCCACCUCUCCUCCAAAUCUGGGCAAGCUGCAAUUUUUAGGUGACUAAGGGAUUCAAACCUUCGCAAUUUUUCAAGUAAUGAUGCCAAUGAGGGACAUUGGAUGAUUUCAAGCCAUUGAAGUGAUUAUAGGUCAGCAAUCAAGCUUCUCACAACCCUCUAAAUUGAGAUGCACAAGGUUUGAUAGAUGUCGCGUGCCGAGUGAGAGGGAAGUUAACUGAGGACAAUCAUAGAUAUAAAGAAUUUCAGGUGACAUGAGACUUUUCAAACACUUCUCAGGCAAACAUUCUAGAAACUGCAUCUCCAAGAUAGACAGAGCCUUCAACUUAUAAAGGCAAAAUAUAUGAUUUAUCAACUUUAUGUUGACUUUAAUAAGCAUUAAAUCCUCAAGCUGUGGAAUUAGUGGCAUGGCUUUCAAGUUUUCACAAUCACUAAUCUGUAAGCUCAGUAGACUAGGAAAUGAUGCUAUUAAAGUAGAUGAAUGGUUUGACUCAAUAUAUUCCGAUGCAGCCAGCCCAAAAAUCUUUAAUGACUUAAGGUGAGGUAGUUGGCCCAGUUAUGGGAGAUGUUUACAUCUUGCAUAGUCCUCCAAGCAAAUGUCAACUAAAUUUGGCAAGGAAAACACAAUGCUAUCACAACCCCUCACAACCCCUUUACUCAGAGGUUGAGUUGUGGGUUAUUUUGCGACAUCCCAGGCUUUGUCAUUGUCUCGAAUUCAUUUACUUCUUAUUUAUGCACAUGCGGAAAGUGUAAACAUACAAUCCCUGACACAAAUAACAUGGAAACAUGAGAUACAAACACCACUAACAUAUUUCAUAUAUUUAAUGAGUAGUGAUGAUUACAAGCCUAUCUUACAUACAAAAGUGGCUUGGGGUAUCCCUGUCUCUGCUACGACUGGUACUAACCAAAAUUGGGAACAUUUCUUCUAUUACAUAGGGCCGAUACACUUAACUUAGUCUGAAUCCUCGGGCGGUUCAUCCAUAUUUGUGGCAUCCUAGAAUUUCUUGUCAAUCCUUAGAGGUGCUUUAAUUCAUGUUUUGCAUUGAGAUUUUGGCCAAGCUUUUGAUGGGUAAUUAUUUGAUAGGAAAAUUCUAUUUUUGGCCAUGUGAUUUAUGGGUUGAAUUUAUUAAAUUAGGUCACAAAAUUUUGUGAAUUAUAAAUUUCAAUUAGGUGUUUAUAUAAUUAAGGUUUAAGGUGGAUUAUUAGGAUAAGGGUGGGCUGGACAUUUAAAGACCAAACCAGCCCAUAGCCCCACCCCUUUUUCGACCGGCCCACGAAGCCAAGGAGGAGGAGUUGCUGUGGACCAAGGCUGGCCCAAGCCCAGCCGGAUGAAGCCCAUCAUGUGCAUGGGAGAAUUGACAAGUGUUAUUCCCCUAAGUCCAAGCGUCUUGCAUGCAAUCAAAUGAUUGCUCAUCAUUGAAGGGAAGAAAAUAGGAGAACCGGCUUGAUGAUGAGGGGGGAGUGUCGACCGAGAAGGAGAGAGAGAGAGGGUUACCGAGAGAGAGAGAGAGAAAUUGAGAGAGAGGGAGAGUGAGCGUGCGGGAGAAGAAGGAAGGAAGCCGAUUGCCGCCGUUUGCUCAGUUUGGAGGCAAGUGGGAUCCCUUGAUCUACUCUUGCAUGCUGUGCUUAGUGUGUGUGAUUGAAUGGUAACAAUUUCGGAUGUAUAGAAUGUGAAAAAUUGAAGAUAUAAGAGUGGUGUUCUAGUCUAGUAUACUGUUCUUGAGAAAAACAACUCGACCUUGGAUGUUCUAGUGACUUGCAUGUAUGUUCUAGUUGAAUUUUGACUUUGACUUCUAAAUGAAAGUUGUAAAGGACUUCUUGGAGUAUAACAUAAUCAAAUUUGGGAAAAAAAACAAGUAUAAGUGGGUGAAAUUGUUAUAUUUUGGAAAGACUGGAUCUGGAAAUUUUGGUACUAGGAACAGGGGUUUUAACCGUCCAUAUUUAAUUACCUAGGACGAUGGUGUCUUGAUGAAGUAUCUACCUUAUGGUCUUAGCUAUCACAUAGUCAAAUUUUAUAAUUUUUGAAGGUCAUCUGGGUAUUUAAUCGGAAAUGUUUCUAAAACUGUGCAAUCUGAUGUGUUCGGACUUUGUAAGUUGCAAUGCGUGGACUAUAUCGUUUUGUAUGAGGUUCUUUUGGAAAUUUUUUAUGAAUAAAAUAUCUCUAUUCAUGUCUUCCCUACAACAUAUUCAAAUUUCGUAAUUUUUGAAGUUCAUUUGUCUAUUUAACCAAAAAUGUUUCAAAAACUGUGCAAGUUGAACUGUUAAAAUAGUAGUGCUGUGAUGCAUGGUCUAUACCGAGUUAUAUGGGGAUCUUUUGGUGUAGUGUUCUUCAUGAAAUAUCUGCCUUUAUGUCUUGACUAUCACAUGUCAAAUUUCAUAAUUUUUUAAGGUCAUUUGGGUAUUUAAUUAAAAUGUUUUCUAAAACUGUGCAAGCUGGAUUGUGCGAAUUUCAAAAGCUGUAAUGCAUGGACUAUUCUGUUUUGUAUGAAAUUCUGGUGGUGUUGUGUUCUUCAUGAGAUAAAUGCCUCUAGAGCUUGUCUAUGAUGUCUUAAAUUCUUAGAAAUUAUUAGGGCCAAUCACUAAAUUUUAAGAAGUGUAAAUUAAAAGAACCCAUUCCGUUUCUAAAAUAAUAGCAAUAAUCCAUGAGUUUGCCCCAUGAAUUAUAUUGUUUUUAAGUGAUUGAAUCUUGCUGCACAUGUGAUGAUAUUUGGCAUUACAUAUAAAAUAAAAAGCUGAAAUUGACCUUGUUGCCAUCACAUCAUGUGCCAUGUUGAUAUUGAGACACAAUUGUGAAUAUGAAUUAUGAUAAAUGAGGAUACCGUCGGAGGUGUGAGCCGACGAUACCCUGGGAGUGUCGGGAUGCCCGAAGGUGAGUGCCGGAUGCCUGGAGUGUUUGUGCCGGAUGUCCUCGGAAGUUUCGAGAUGCUCAGAGGUGUGUGCCGGAAGCCUCGGAGGUGUGUGCCGGGGGAUACCUCGUGAUGCCAGUCGGGGUACGAGAUGCCCGGAGGUGUGUGCCGGAGGUUCCUCGCGAUGCCAGGUUGGAUGCGAGCGAUAAAAUGUGGGAUGCAAUUACUGGUCCCGGGAAAAAAAAAGUGGUGACCCAAUUGAAAGAUAAAAAGCUAAAAUUGAAUCAUGCAUGGUAUGGUGACAUGUAUGCAUGGCUAUAUGAUGUAAUAUGUAUUAAGUGUAUGGUGGUAUGUGCACAUAAGGCAUGGAUAUGCAUGAAUGCUUGAUGAUGAGUGCAUGGUGGUAUGUGCACAUAAGGCAUGGAUAUGCAUGAAUACUUUAUGAUGAGUGCAUGGUUGUAUAUGCACAUAUGGCAUGACGGUAUAUGCAUGAAUGCUUGAUGAUGAGUGCAUGAUGGUAUAUGCACAUAUGGCAGGAUGACAUAUGCAUGGCUGCAAGGUAAGUUAUGCUUGGACGCAUGAAGGAUAUGUGCUUUGUUUAUGAUGUCAUGAUUGUUCUGUUUGAUGCAUUGAGUGGUUUAAUGGAUUUUUUACUUGUUGAGUGGUUGUACUCAUCCCUUUGGGGACCAACAUUUCAGAUUAGAAAGAUGCCUAUCCCGGUCACGCGGGGUACCUUUUACGGCCUUCCAUCUGACGUGGAGGUCGAGUGUAUGGAGCUUGAUUGUGUCACCAUCCCUGGUUUGACGUUCAUACGGGUUUGUGUGCUCGUGAUGUAUGAUGUGGGCCUAGCUGGGGGCCUGGUCAUCUAGGAGUUCUUGUCUGUACACGUCCGCCGUGACGGAGUGAUGCGGGGGAUGUUGCCGCCGCCACUGCCCGAUGCACCAGGGUGGGUGUGAUGGCCCGCGUGAGGAGUGGGAGCUGACACUUUUUGGGGAUAGCCGACACUUGUAGAUGGAGGGUUAUACGUGAUCGAUAUAGGGGGUCGAGAUCUCUUUUUGAGCUGUAGCCAAGUUUAGCUAAAAGUCUUGGCUUUUUGGUUGUACCGACCCGAGAUGUCCAUCAUGAAAAUAUAAAUAAGAGUGAAUUAGCAUUAUCUUUUCUUAUGGUGCGUAGUUGGUGUGCAUCGUUUUCUGAAUAUAGGGAAAGGAGUUGUUGGAUACGUUUCCACCAUAUUUCUACGCAGGGACCUAUGGAAAAAAAAAUGCCUAUGAACUACGGUUCUUCUUUAACCCCAAAACAAAGAUAUGUAACUGGUAUUCAUUAGGUGGAGCGAUAGGUAUCUGUGGUGGCCUUGCCAGAUCGGGGGUGCCACAAUAUCACUAAGAUUCAGGUUCAGGUUGUCAAACCCACGGAGAGAUCCUAUCCAUAUGUCCUCGCAUUUCCUAUAACAGGCUUCGAAAUGCAUUGAGACAAGCUCACCUAGGCCCUUUUCUAUACAUACAAUGGAUGACGCUUUACAACAAGUAAUAUUAGUUUUUACAUCUACCACGUCCGUAGUAGUGAUAUAUAUCUUUAUAGGGCAACCAAAAUGCACAGUAGCCACGAUUCUAAGUACUUGUAAAAGAAACAAGGGUGAGUACUUGGAAUACUCAGUAAGUAUAGCCUCUGGCCUUCGUAUAGAACAUCGAUUCAUCAUCAACACUAGUUAAUCAUUUCAUGCAAACCAUGGCGGAGGCAAAUCAAUUGCAAAGAUGCAACCAAGCUUCAAGCACAAAUGAAUGACAAUUCUUGCAAUCAUUCGUACAUAUGAUGCAUGCCUUGAGCUCAUGCACUCUAGCCUUUCUUUCAUGCUCAUACAUGCCAUGCUUAUUUGGCUUUUCUCUUGUGUUCGGAACUCGAACCCAAGUCUUCCCAGAGUCGUCUCGGGACUCGAACCCAAUUCAAUUCAGGCUUUUAAAUUGGGCUUCCUGGAGCCGUCUUGGGACUUGAAUCCAAUUCAAUUCGAGCUUUUUAACUGGGCUUCUGGCUUUUUGCCGGUUUUUGGGACUCAAAUCCAGUUAAUAUGCUAUGGACUCGAAUCCAAGUCUUAUGCUAGCCUUUGGGACUCAAACCCAAUUUUUGCCAGGAAUUCAGAGAUUCAAACCACAUUCUUAUAUUUUCUUAUCAUUACUCAAGCACGAAUCCCUUCUUGAGGAUGUACUCGAGCCCUAUGCAUGUGCCAUGAACUAUGCACUUUAUGCUCAAACAUGAUGCAAGUGUUAUGAAAUCAUGAAUUUUCUCAUAAACAACAUCACGAAUGAGCCUAAGCCCAAAGCCCCGCUUGAGUAACAAGCAUAAAGGAACCCCCACACCAAUUCAAGACAUGAAUUCGGUAAGCCUUAAUACCGAAUCACAUCUUAUGGUUAUGAGCGAACCUUGACUUAUAUCGAACAAAAGCUAUGAACCAUGACUUCAUUCUAAUCAUACAAGAAAUUCAAGUACAUGAACAAGUCAUAGAAUACAUCAAUCAUCCAAGAAUCAAUCGACCUACCCUCGGCUUGUUCGCAAGAUGAUUUCUUAAAGUCGAAGACGUCUCGAAUGUUACUAAAAGAAGGGAGAAACUACACUUACUUGGAUGAACCUUGAACUAAAGCUCAAACUACACAAGAUGGGCGGCUUGCUUUGAAGUCCGAAGGAGAGAGGGUGUGAGGAGGAGGAAGGAAGAGGAAAUGGGAGCAAGGUGGUGGAAAUGAGAAGGGGCACCUCAUAGUUAUAGCCCUUAGUGUCAUCAUUACUAAGCCAAGCGGUCCAUUCUAGUGAUCUCAAGUGUCCCGCCUAAUUUUCUUGGGUGGCAAGUCUACUUUACCUCAUGAUUACACCUAGAAGAUGAGUUGGCCAAGCUAAAGGCCUUGCUUGGCAAUCUAAACUCCGAGGCGUCAUCGAUUAUGGCCCGAUUUUCGCUCUUCCAUUAGUCCACCUAUAUGCCACAUUUAAUAGACAUUUAAUGAAGUUUGAUAAUAAUUGUACUAUAGUUGCCAACUCGGCAAUUCUAGAACAUUCAAUCAUUAAUGAUGGCUUGUAUGUCGUUCUCUAAUUGGUCCACUUAUGUGCUGCCUUUUUCUAUAAUCUUCAAAUAUAUUUUGGCCACCAUCAUGACUUUUGACUAUUCAAAGAACAACUCACCCCUUCAUUUAAUGAGGGGAUUCUAGAAUUUUCCUUACUUUUGUCUUUUUCUUCAUUAAUAAGGCGAUCUAGAGAAUUCUAUCAUCCAAGUUUGUUCCAGGGUCGAAGAAGGGAUCAUUAGGUAUACCUCGAAAAUCCAACUCACGUACACUCGAGAUUCGGCCAUCACGUCUCAUAUUCGCUUAAACCGUUCCUUUGGACGGUCGGUCGGCCAAUAGGGUCGGUUGUCCUUUGAUCACUUCAAGACCAAUUCUAAGGCUACCCAUGUCCUAACACUAAGCUAAGGCACUCAUGGACCUUAGAAUUAGUGAUGGAAUAGCCAAGUCCAUCCCUGGACUCAUUCCGGUCAGCAUCCGAUCCACCGGUAGGGUUCAUGAUCAGUGCAUUAUCGAUCCAUGAUCGGACAUCACCAAUUUGAGAUUCUGCUCCAAUCGCUAAGAAUUAAAUAGGGAAUGAUGCAUUUUUGGUCGAAAGAUAAUCGCAUUUGAUCAAUUUGGAUCGUCUAUGUAUUGGUGCAUAACCGAGCGGAAUCACCCGCAACCAGAAACUACAACCGGUUGAUCGACCCAUGACCACCUGCCAUCCAAAACCAUCUCGUGAUCAAUUCUCAUAUCAAAAGUUCAUCGUAUGAGCUGGUGAUCCUAUCUAAUUGGUAUGGUUGGUAGGAAAUUCACGGCCGACACCUUGAUCAAUUUGUGAUUGGUCGGUCGAUCGAUCGAUCGGUUAGUCAAACCAUGACCGAUCCAUGAUUCCUUGCUGAUUGAACCGAUCGAUCCAUGGCCAAUGGCCCAUGAUCGAUCGUUUUAGGAUCUUAUGGCCAAUCUUUAUGGGAUUGGAAUCGAGGAUGUUACAAUGCUCCCUCCCUUUAAAAAUUUCGUCCAUGAAAUUUCAUAACGUACUUGGGUACUCAAAAUAAGUAAGGGUACUUGUGCUUCAUAAUUUCUUCACUUUCCCAAGUAGCCUCUUCCUGUUCCAUGGUGUUUCCGUAGGACCUUAACUAAGGGAAUGGCCCUAUUUCUAAUUACUUGCUCACGUCUGUCCACGAUCCGCACUAGCUCCUCAACAUACGACCCUUGGUCGUCUACCUCGAUCUCUUCGAAGUUGAGCACAUGUGCCAGAUCUGGCUCAUACUUUCUUAACAUGGACACAUGGAAUACAUCGUGUACCUAAGCAAGUUUUUGUGGCAAUGCCAACUGAUAAACCAUAUUCCCUAUCCUUUUUAGGAUUUCAAAAGGUCCUAUGUACCAUGGACUCAACUUACCUUUCUCACCAAAACGAGACAUGCCUUUCAAUGGAGACACCUUGAGGAAUACAUGGUCUCCUACCUGAAAUUCUAAAGGCUUUCGUGUCUUAUCUACAUAACUCUUUUGCUUACUCUGGGUGGCUCUAAGUCUCUUUCCAAUUACUUACAUUGCCUUGUAGUAAGCUGCACCAACUCAGGACCAGUAAGCUUCUUUUCCCCGACCUCAUUCCAACAAAUUGGAGUUCUACAAGUUCGACCAUAUAAUGCUUCAAAUGGAGCCAUACCAAUGCUUUGCUGAUAACUGUUAUUAUAAGCAAAUUCAACGAGAUGCAAGUGCUCGUCCCAGCUUCCUUUAAAAUCAAUUACAUAAGCUCUCAGCAUAUCCUCUAAUGUCUGGAUAGUUCUUUCUGUCUAGCCAUCAGUUUGGGGAUGGAAAGCCGUAUUGUACUGCAGUAUUGUUCCCAAUGCAGCUUAAAGACUUUGCCAAAACAUUGUCGUGAAUUUAGGAUCUCGAUUAGAAGUGAUUGUCACUAGUACUCCAUGGAGACGUACUACUUGUCGUACAUACAAGUGCGCAUAAUCUUCCGAUGAUAAAUCCUUCUUUACCACUAGAAAAUGAGCCGACUUUGUCAAUCGGUCGACUAUUAUCCAAAUCAAGUCAUUUCCUCUUGGACUCCUUGGUAGUUCUAGAACAAAAUCCAUGGUAAUGUGUUCCCAUUUUCAUUUGGGAAUUCCAAGUGGUUGUAAUAAUCCACCAAGCUUGCAACGUUGAGCUUUCACUUGUUGACAUGAUAAGCACUUGGCAACAUGCUUAGCAACAUCCGCCUUCAUGCCAUUCCACCAGUAGUCUAGUACAUCUUCGUAUUACCAAGGUAGAUACUAUAAUUUCUUCGGUGCACUUCCGCCAAAAUUUCUUCCUUGAGCUUAUUGUCAUUGGGUACACACCAAUGUUCACAUAAUUUCAAGGUUCCGUCUUUCGCAAUGCGGAAAUCAUUUCCUUUCUUAUCCCUGGCUUAUUUCUGAAGCUUUUGAAUCUGCAGAUUGACUUGCUGUAAUGUUUUUAUCUUCUGCAUUAUUUCUUGCUCAAUUCUAAGUGUUGCUAGUAAGCUUGAAGUCAGAAUCUUGGACUUCUUCUAAGAGAUUCCAUUCUCGAGCCAUCAUUCGUGCAAGGCAUCCGCAACUCGAUUUGCUUUGCCAGGAUGGUAUAAUAUUUCACAAUCAUAGUCUUUCAGAAAUUCCAUCCAUCGCCUUUGCCGCAUAUUCAACUCCUUUUGGGAGAAUAAAUACUUCAAGCUUUGAUGAUCAGUGUAUAUUACGAACCUUUCUCCGUAGAGAUAAUGUCACCAUAUCUUCAAAGCGAAAAUAAUCGCAGCUAGCUCCAGGUCAUGAGUUGGGUAAUUCAACUCAUAGGGCUUCAAUUGCUUGGACGCAUAGGCCACCACUUUACCAUGCUGCAUUAACACACAACCAAGUCCCUUAUGCAAGGCAUCACUGUAUAUUUUAAAACCUCAUGAUCUAGACGAAAUUGUGAACACCGGAGCCGUUGUAAGUUUCCGUUUUAAUUCUUGAAAACUCCGUCCACAUUUAUCCGUCCACUCGAACUUCACAUCCUUCCUUAGUAAUCGAGUGAGGGGAGCAGCAAUGCUAGAGAAUCAUUCCACGAAUCUCCGAUAAUAUCCAACCAAACCACGGAAACUUGAAAUUUCGACAACCCUAGUUGGUCUUGGCCAAUUUAUUACUAUUUCCACCUUGGCAAGGUCUAUUGAUAUCCUUUCACCAGUCACCACAUGGCCCAGAAAUACCACGCUAUUUAACCAUAACUCGCACUCACUGAAUUUUGUGUAUAGUGCGUGUUCUCGAAGCGUUUGCAACACCAUUCUCGAGUGUUGCUCAUGUUUUGUCGUAUUCUUUGAAUAGAUCAGAAUGUCGUCAAUAAAUACUAUGACGAAGUGAUCCAAGUACAACUUGAAUACUUGGUUCAUGAGAUCCAUGAAAGCUGCUAGGGCAUUUGUCAAACCAUAUGGUAUAACGGAAAAUUCGUAAUGACCAUACCGAGUUCUGAAGGCCAUCUUCAGAAUAUCUUCUUUCUUGAUUCUCAACCGAUGAUAUCCUGAGCGUAAAUCAAUCUUAGAAAGUACCACCGCUCUUUGAAGUUGAUCGAACAAGUCAUCGAUAUGUGGCAAUGGAUACUUGUUCUUGACGGUAACUUAAUUCAACUGUUGAUAGUUGAUACAGAGACAUAACGACCCAUCUUUCUUCUUUACGAACAGGACUGGCGCACCCCAAGGUAAGGUACUAGGGCGUACAAAACCCUUAUCAAGUAACUCUUGUAAUUGCACCUUCAACUCCUUAAGCUCCACCAAAGACAUUCGGUAUGGUGCUUUAGAAAUAGGUUUCGUUCUCAGAACUAGCUCAAUAGUGAACUCUAUCUCCCUUUCAGGUGGUAAUCCCCGUAGCUCCUUUGGAAAUAUGUCAGGAAACUCCCGCACCACGGGGAUAUCAUCCAACUUUGGUUCUUCAACUAACUUAUUUUCUACGGUUGCUAAGUAACCUCGGCAACCCUUCUUAAGAAGUCGUACUGCUUUUGUUACAGAAAUCAGAGGCGUUGAGGGUCCUCCUCCAUUUCUGAUAAAUUGAUAGUCGAUUCCAUUUGGUGGACUAAACUUGAUUAUCUUGCCAUAGCAGUCCACUUUGGCUCGUUGUUUACGAAGCCAAUCCAUUCCAAUAAUAGCAUCGAAAUCACACAUAUCUAAUACGGCUAAAUCUAUUCUUCCCUCUUGUCCACUUAUGACAAUUCUACACUCCUUACAUUCCAUAGUGGACAACAUUUCAUGUCUCAUCGGGGUGGAUAUACUAAGAAUUAUCGUAAGGGGUUCGAGCUUCAAUCCUACCGUACACACAAAUCUCUCCGAUACAAAGGAAUGCGUUGCACCCGUAUCAAACAAGACAUAAGUCGGAUGAUUGUGUAAAGAGACCAUACCUGUGAUAACGGUCUUGGAGUUCUCUACUUCUCUUUGUGUCACUGCAUACACUUGUCCUUGAGCUAAAGGACAAUUAUGUUGCGUAGAACUCCAUUGGAUGUCAUCGGCUGUUGUUGUGAUGGCAGUAAAAUUUGUCGCCUUUGAGGGCAAUCCCUCAACAUAUGGCCGGGUUGGCCACAACCAUAACAUACUCCUUUUUCUAGCUAAACAAGGGGCAUUACCAUGCUGUUUUCCAUAGUUACAGCAUACUUCAGACAACACCACAUUCACUUUUUGCUUCUUACUCUUUUUAAACAUGUGCUUUCCUCCUAGCGCGAACCUUUUGCCUUGUCGUUGAUUAGGAUGGAAGGUCAAAUAAGAAGACCUCCCUUGGAAAUUUGAUGCCGCGACGCGUUCUUGUCAAUCCUUUUUCAACCAACUAAGCCCGUUCAUACAAUUCAUUAUAAUCUUUAAGAUUUAAGGGUACCAGCUAACUUCGAAUGUCAGGUUUGAGGCCAUAUUUGAAUCUUUAGCUCGAUCAAUUGGGUUCUCAAUCAAUCGAGAAGCAUACUUUGAUAAUUCGGUAAAUUUGGCCUCACGCUAAUCCACUAUCAUGUUUCACUAGUGCAAGUGCAAAAAUUCGGCCAUCUUUCUAUCUCGAGCACUUUCAGAAAAAUACUUGUUGUUAAAGGCCGGCACAAAGGCAUCCCAAGUCAUAGGAGCACCUUUAGGAAAUAUUAUCCUCUUAGUGGCUCUCCAUCAAUGACUGGCAUUACCCUGUAAUCGAUACACUACCAAGGUCACUUAUCCUCAUUAGAACACCUUAAAAGAUCAAAGAUUUUCUUGAGCUCUUCAAUCCAAGACUCAGCCUCAUCAAUGUUUCCGGUUCCAGCAAACUUUGGAGGCUUUAAUUUUAGGAACUGUUCGACCAAUCCACUCUUUGGACGGUCUCCAAAUUCAUCUCCAUUUGAGGUGUUAGUGGAAACAGAGGCUUGCUGCUAUUGAACUUGCUAUUCCAUCAAGCUCCCAACAUUAGUCAGAACUUGCAGAAUUCCAUCAAGUCGGGGGUCCUACCUUGAUUUUCCUUUCAAAGCAUUUGGGUCUUGAGCUGAUUUUCCAUGGGUAGUCACUGGGUCUUGGGAACUCAUACUAGUUACUAAGGAAUACGGCUAUAGAGUUCUAGAGGAUUUAUCUACAAUACAAUCAAAAUCAAUAACUUUCAUAAAAAAGAAAAAAGAAAAAAAAAGAACAUCAAGCAAACAAUCAUAUAUCAUGCAUGUGAUCUUCCUAAUUUUUUAUCCCACGCUUCCCAGCGCACCUUAUGACUCCUGGUAAUAACCCCUACUCUGAUACCACAACCUGUCACAACCCCCUUUACUCAGAGGUUGAGCUGCAGGUUAUUUUGCAACAUACCAGGCUUUGUCGCCAUCCUGAAUUCAUUUGCUUCUUAUUUAUGCACAUGUGGAAAGCGUAAACAUACAAUCCCCAAUGCAAAUAACAUGGAAACAUGAGAUACAAACACAAAACACAACUAACAUAUUUCAUAUAUUACAUGAAUAGUGAUGAUUAUAAGCCUAUCUUACAUACAAAAGUAGCUUUGGGUAUCCUUGUCUCUGCUACGGUGAGUUCUAACCAAAAUUGGGAACCCUUCUUCUAUUACAUAGGGCUAGUACGCUUAACUUAGUCCGAAUCCUCGGAUGGUUCAUUCAUAUCACUGAGAUUCGGGUUCAGGUUGUUAAACUCGCGGAGAUUUCCUAUCCAUAUGUCCUCGUAUUUCCUAUACUAGGCUUCGAAAUGCAUUGGGACAAGCUCACCCAGCCCCUUCUCUAUCCAUACAACGGAUGACACUUUGUAAUAAGUAAUAUCAGUUUUUAUAUCUACCACGUCCGUAGUAGUGGUAUAUAUCUUUAUAAGGCAACCAAAAUACGUAGUAGCCAUGAUUCUAAGUACUUGUAAAAGAAACAGGGGUGAGUACUUGGAAUACUCAGUAAGUAUAGCCUCUGGCCUUCGUAUAGAACAUCGAUUCAUCAUCAACACUAAUCAAUCAUUUCAUGCAAACCAUGACGGAGGCAAAUCAACUACAAAGAUGCAACCAUGCUUCAAGCACAAAUGAAUGACAAUUCUUGCAAUCAUUCGUGCAUAUGAUGCAUGCCCUGAGCUCAUGCACUCUAGCCUUUCUUUCUUGCUCAUGCAUGCCAUGCUUAUUUAGCUUUUCUCUUAUGCUCCCAAGUCUUCCCGAAGCCGUCUUAGGACUUGAACCCAAUACAAUUCGGGCUUUUUAACCGGGCUUCUGGCUUUUUGCGGGCUUCUGGGACUCAAUCCUAGUUAAUAUGCUCGGGACUUGAACCCAAGUCUUAUGCUAGCCUCUGGGACUCGAACCCAGUUCUUGCUAUGAAUUCAGGGAUUCAAACCCCAUUCUUAUCUUUUCUUAUGUUUGCUCAAGCACGAAUCCCUUCUUGAGGAUGUACUAAAGUCUUAUGCACAUGCCAUGAACUAUGUACUUUAUGCUCAAACAUGAUGUACGUACCAUGAAAUCAUGAAUUUUCUCAUCAACAAUAUCACGAAUGAGCCUAAGCCCAAAGCCUUAUUUGAGUAACAAGUAUAAAGAAACCCCGCACCAAUCCAAGACAUGAAUUUAGUACGCCUCAAUACCGAAUCACAUCUUAUAGCUAUGGGCGAACCUCAACUUGUACUAAACAAAAGCAAUGAACCAUGACUUCAUUCUAGUCACACAAGGAAUUCAAGAACAUGAACAAGUUAUAGAAUAUAUCAAACAUUCAAUAGUCAAUUGACCUACCCUCGGCUUGUUCAAGAGAUGAUUUCCUAGAGUUGAAGACGUUCCGAAUGUUACUAAAAGAAGGGAGAAACUACACUUUCCUGGAUGAAUCUCGAACUACACAAGAUGGGCGGCUUGCUUUGAUGACCGAAAGAGUGAGAGAGUGGGCGUGAGAGGAGGGGCGACUAAGGAGGAGGAAGAAGGAGGAAAUGGGAGCAAGGUGAGGAAAUGAGAAGAGACUCCUCCUAUUUAUAGCCCUUGGUAUCAUCAUUACUAAGCCAAGUAGUUCAUUCCAAUGUUUUCAAGUGUCCCACCUAAAUUCUUUAGGUGGCAAGUCUACCUUGCCUCAUGAUUACACCUAGAAGAUGAGUUGGCUAAGCUGAAGGCCUUGCUUGGCAAUUCAAGCUCCUAGGCGUCAUCGAUUAUGGCCUACUUUUCGCUCUUCCAUUGGUUCGCCUAUAUGCCGCAUUUAAUGGACAUUUAAUGAAGCUUGACAAUAAUUGCACUAUAGUUGCCAACUCGGCAAUUCUAGAACAUUCAAUUAUUAAUGAAGGCUUGUGUGUCACUCUCUAAUUGGUCCACUUAUGUGCCACCCUUUUUAGAAUCUUCAAAGAUAUUUUGGCCACCAUCAUGACUUUUGAUUAUUCAAAGAAAAACUCACCCCUUCAUUUAAUGAGGGGCUUCUAGAAUUUUCCUUACUUUUGUGUUUUUCUUCAUUAAUAAGGCAGUCUAGAGAAUUCUAUCAUCAAAGUUGGUUCUGGGACUGGAGAAAUGAUUAUUAGGUACACCUCAAAAAAUCAAAUCACAUACACCCGAGGUUUGGCCAUCACGACUCAUACUCGCCCAAACCGUUCCUUUGGACGGUCAGUCAGCUAAUAGGGUCGGUUGUUCUUUGAUCGGUUCGAGACUAAUUCUAAGGCUACUCAUGGCCUAGCACUAAGCCAAGAAACAUAUGGACCUUAGAAUUGGUGAUGGAAUACCCGGGUCUAUCCUUGGGCUCAUUUCGGUUGGCACCCGAUCACCAGUAGGGCUCAUGGUCGGUGCAUUACCGAUCCAUGAUCGAACAUCACCAAUUCAAGAUUUUGUUCAGAUCACUAAGAAUUAAAUAGGGAAUGAUGCAUUUUUGGUUAGAAGAUGAUCACAUUUGAUCAAUUUGGAUCAUUCGUGUAUAAGUGCAUAAUUGAGCGGAAUCACUCGCGACCAGAAACUAAACUGGUCCGAUCAACCCAUGACCAUCCGUCAAUCCAAAAUCAUCCCGUGACCAAUUCUCGUGAUCAAAAGGUCAUCUUAUGAGCUGGUGAUCCUAUCCAAUCAAUAUGGUCGAUAGAAAUUCACGGCCGACACUUCGACCAAUUCAUGACUGGUCAAUCGGUCGGUCAAUCAGUUAGUCGGACCAUGACCGAUCCCUAAUUCCUUGCCAAUCGAACUGAUCGAUCCAUGGCCGAUGUGUGGUAUCCGGAAAUUUUGACGACCCUCGAAUAUGUGACGGUCCUUGACUGAGCGACGGAAGUAUCGUCGGAUGAUGUUAUCGACACCACAACGGACAUCAUUUUGUUAUCGUCAUCGGACCAAUGUGCCUUGUUUAGUAAUGGUCCGAUCAUCGAAUAAAUCAUAGUCUUAUUGGAAACCUUUCAUAUGUUCAAGCGAGACCAAGACUCGUUCCAAAUGAUUCUUGACCCUGCCAACUCGGGUAUGCCAAUGAAAAAACACCCAAGGAUCGGCCAUCGGGAGCUGCCCAUUUUCUCAUGUGCAUGAGAAAUAGGAAACCUCGAAUACUUCAUGCAUGUUUAUAUUUUUCUAUAGGCAGCUAACAAAAGGAAGAUUGGAUCACGCAUGGGGGCUGUUUUCUCAUCCAAGCUGCCCUACGAAUUUGUGUUUAUUGACUAAAGAAGUCAAUUAACUUAAGAGAACGUCCAAAAGCGUGCAUGCGGACGUGAGGAAUCGUAACCACCGAAGGACAGCUCCAUAUUGCUUUUCUUUUAUAUGGCCGGUCAAUUAUGGAAGAGGAUUAUUGAUUAAACGCCAGGUUGCUCUUCUUUCGGUGGACAACAAAAAGGGAGGAUGUGGCUUUGCGGAAGACACGCCCUGCAUGAAGAGUCGAGUUGGCUCGGCAAGGAGAGGGACUCGCAUGCAGGAGGCCACGUACACCCCAGCUGUCUUCGGUUCCUGCACCCACCGAAAGAAGCCCCAUGCAGUUGACUAAAUUGUCAACAAAGUGAGGAACAAAACCCUCGUACACAGAGGGGAAGAGAGAGAAGGAACCGAAUGAAACUUGGGCAAAGAGAGAAACCGAGAGUGAGCGGGUGAGGGAGUGAGAGAGAGAGAGAGUUUGGGCGAGAGUGAGCAGCGAGUGGGUGAACGGCGAAGAGGAAGAAGGGACCGCCUUCUGCCGUGCUCAAGCUGCCGCUGUCGAUGCCGCUAGUCUCCGCGCCGUUGAGCCAAGCCCGAGAUCCACGAGCCCCUGUUUUUGGCCAGCAAUCAAGUAGAGAGGUUUAAAGGCAAGUAGAAGUUCUUCAAUCUAUGUUUUGCUUGCUGUUUUAUCUACCUAAGAGUUGGUAGAUGUGAGAAAAUGUGGAAUUUGGAGUUGCAUGUCGAUUUGUGAUGAAGGAGAUGAAGCUGGACUAAGAAACCGAGCAAAAACAGAGCAUGCAUUGUGGAUUUCGAAUUUGAGAUGGAACAAGAAUUUAAAAAUCUGACUAUGGAGGGUUUUUGGAAGUGAUAAGGCUGUGUUACAGUGUAAUACACUUGUAUCUAUUUGACUGUGGAUGUUGGAGGUCGAAAUUUAAGGAGUAGGAGAAACUCUCAUUAGGUUAAUGGACUGUUUUGUGGAGAACAGUGUGACCCUCGGUGACCUUUUGAUUUUUCUGUAAUUAUCUAGCCACAAUUUGAUUUCGAGUUCUUGAUGAAAGUUUUAGGGAAUAUCCUCAUGAAAAACAUAUAAAAAAUUCAGAGAAAAAUAACAAGGUAUGACCAUCGAAAUAAUUUUCCUAUGAAAAUAUCAAAUCUGAAAUUUUUACAGAAUGAUGGUUAAGAAGAAAAUAGAGAUUUUACCCUCGUUACAUAAGGAAUAUGACCUAGUGGAAUUCUUGAGAUUUGUUCCUCUAGGUUUCAUGGAUAACGUGUCAAAAUUUCAUAAUUUUCUGAGCCCGUUUAGUAAUUAAUUCGGAAUUGUUACCAGAACUGCGCAAUUGUAGAAAUUAAGCUGCUAUUUCGAGAUUUCCACAGAAAUUGUCCUAUAAGAAGUAUGGUUUUCGAAUUGCUAUGUGACUCGGUGAUGCUGAUGGUGGGAUAUUGUGAUUGAUAAAAGGUUCAUGAGAUAUCUUGUUUGACACAUGAUGAUGCAUUUGUGAAUUAAAAUGCGAUUUGUUUGAUAAAAGGUUCAUGAGAUAUCUUGUUUGAUAUAUAUGAUGCAUUGGUGAAUUAAAAUGCGAUUUUUUACCCAUCGAACCCUCGAGGUUCCUCGUGAUGCCAGGUGGGGUACGAGAUGCCUGGAGGCGUGAUUCGCUCCAGAUGCCCGGUGGCCCUAAGUGGUUGAAUGCCGGAGGCUUUCGCGAUGCCUGGAGGGAUGCGAAUGCCGGAGGGACGCAAGCACUGAUCCUCCGGGAAUGAAACCCUUUUGAAUGAUAAAUUGAAUGAUUCUACUAUAAAUGUGUGGGGUCUGGAUAUAAGACCGAGUGUAUGGCAUGGAACGGAACAUGAUAUUUUAGUUUGGCCCUAUGAUUGAAAUUUGUCUAUCUUGGAUAUGUUAUCAUCACAUGGAAGGAUUUUAUGAUUUUGGUGCAUACCUAUCCUCUAUUUCUUGUCUUGUCUACUAUACUUGAAUCUGGAUAUUAAUAGUAAUGCUUGAUAUAGCUUGAUGAAUCUUUUAUUGCCGAGUGGUUGUACUCACCCCGUUUGGGGACUAACAUUUCAGACUAAGUCAAGAUACCUUUGCUACCACCGCCACCAGUAGAUGGACCGAGUGAUUGAAUAUGACCAUGAGGAGGAGGACAGCAGAGGAAGGAACUUUUGGAUGCCAACACUGAUCGAUAAACUUUAAGUAUACGACUGUUGGAAAAGAUGUUGGUCUUCUUUUGAAGUAUAGCCAAGUAUAGAAGAUUAUGGCAUUUUGGUGUACCAACUAAAGAUGUCCAUCUAGUUUUAUGUGAAUAAAAGUGUUCGGCUUAUUACUUAUAAAUGUGUUUAGUUGGUGUGUAUCGCUUUAAUUUAUGAAAGGGGAGUUGAUGGAUGUGCGUCCGUUAUAUAUAUACUGUGCAGGGACCGAUUGAGUGAUAUAAACCCCUAGGACUUAUGGACCCACUAUAAUUUUAUGGUAUCAUAGUGACAUAUUAUCAAGACAACUGAAAGGAAAUCGAACUGUGGCGACCCUGACGGAUCGGGGGCCGUUCGGGAGGUGCCACACGAUGGCCCAUGAUUGAUCCUUUUAGGACCUUAUGACCGAUCCUUAUGAGGUUGGAAUCAAGGAUGUUAUAGGUACACGAUGUAUUCCAUGUGUUUAUGUUGAGAAAGUAUGAGCCAAACCGGCACAUGUGCUCAACUUUUAAGAGAUUGAGGUAAAUGACCAAGGGUCGUAUAUUGAGGAGCCAAUGUGGAUCGUGGAUAAACAUGAACAAGUAAUCAGAAACAAUGCCAUUCCCUUAGUCAAGGUCCUAUGGAAACACCAUGGAACAGAAGAGGCUACUUGGGAAAGUGAAGAAAUUAUGAAGUGCAAGUACCCUCACUUAUUUUGAGUACCUAGGUACGUUAUGAAAUUUCGGGGAAGAAAUUUUAAAGUGGGGAGAAAUAUAACAUCCUUGAUUCCGACCCCGUAAGGAUCAGCCAUAAGGUGCUAAAAGGAUCGAUCAGAGGCCAUUGGCCAUGGAUCGAUUGGUUCGAUUGGCAAGGAAUCAUAGAUCGAUCAUGUUUCGAUUGAUCGACUGACUGAUCGACCAGUCCUGAAUUGGUCAAGGCAUCGACAGUGAAUUUCUACUAAUCAUAUCGAUGGGAUAGGAUCACCAGCUCAUAAGAUAACUUUUUUAUCACGAGAAUUGGUAAUGGGAUGAUUUUGGAUUGGUGGAUGGUCAUGGGUCGAUCCGACCAAUCAUAGUUUCUGAUCGCGGGUGAUUACGCCUGGUUAUGCAUUGAUACACGGACAAUCCGAAUUGAUCAAAUGUGACUGUCUUCCAACCAAAAAUGCAUCAUUCCCUAUUUAAUUCUUAGUGAUUGAAAUAGAAUCUCGAAUUGGUGAUGUUCGAUCAUGGAUCAAUAAUGCAUCGACCAUGAGCUCUAUCAGUGGAUCAAGUGCCGAUCGGAAUGAGCCUAGGGAUAGACCCAACUAUUUUGUCACUAAUUUUAAGGUCCAUGAGUGCCUUGGCUUUGUGCUAGACCUUAGGUAGCCUUAGGACUGGUCUCAAACCGAUCAAAGGACAACUAAUCCUAUUUGUCAACCGACCAUCCAAAGGAACGGUUUGGGUGAAUAUGGGGUGUGACGGCAGAACCUCAGGUGUACGUGAUUCAAUUUUUUGAGGUGUACCUAAUGAUCCAUUCUUCGGUCUCGGAACCAGCUUGGAUGAUAGAAUUCUCUAGACUGCCUUAUUAAUGAAGAAAAAGACAAAGGUAAGGAAAAUUCUAGAACCCCCUCAUUAAAUGAAGGGGUGAGUUGUUCUUUGAAUAGUCAAAAGUCAUGAUGGUGGCAAAAAUAUCUUUGAAGAUUCCAGAAAAAGGCAGCACAUAAGUGGACCAAUUAGAGAGCGACAUACAAGCUCUCAUUAAUGAUCGAAUGUUCUAGAAUUGCUGAGUUGGCAACUAUAGUACAAUUAUUUUCAAACUUCAUUAAAUGUCUAUUAAAUGUGACAUAUAGGUGGACCAAUGGAAGAGCGAAAAGCAGGCCAUAAUCGAUGACACAUAGGAGCUUAGAUUGCCAAGUAAGGCCUUUAGCUUGGCCAACUCAUUUUCUAGGUGUAAUCAUGAGGCAAAGUAGACUUGCUACCCAAAGAAUUUAGGCAGGACACUUGGAAACAUUGGAAUGGACCGCUUGGCUUAGAAAUGAUGACACCAAGGGUUAUAAAUAGGAGGAGCCCUUCUCAUUUCCUCACCUUGCUCCCAUUUCCUCCUCCCUCCUCCUCCUUAGUCGCCCUCCUCCUCACACCCUCUCUCUCUCUCCUUCGGCCUUCAAGCAAGCCGCCCAUCUUGUGUAGUUCAAGCCUUAGUUCGAGGUUCAUCCAAGUAAGUGUAGUUUCUCCCUUCUUUUAGUAAUGUUUGAGAUGUCUUUGACUCUAGAAAAUCCUCUUGUGAACAAGUCGAGGGUAGGUUGAUUGAUUCUUGGAUGUUUGACAUAUUCUAUGAUUUGUUCAUAUACUUGAAUUUCUUGUAUGACUAGAACGAAGUCGCGGUUCAUAACUUUCGAGCGGUACAAGUCGAGGUUCACCCAUAGCCAUAAAUGUGAUUUGGUAUUGAGGCAUACCGAAUUCAUGUCUUGGAUUGAUGCGGGGUUCCUUUAUGCUUGCUACUUGAGUGGAGCUUUGGGCUUAGGCUUGUUCGUGAUGUUAUUGAUGAGGGAAUUCAUGAUUUUAUAGCACACACAUCAUGUUUGAACAUAAAGUGCAUAGUUCAUGGCAUGUGCAUAAGACUUGAGUACACCCUCAAGAAGGGGUUUGUGCUCGAGCAAAGAUAAGAAGAGAUAAGAAUGGGGUUUAAGUCCCUGAAUUCCUAGCAAGAACUGGGUUCGAGUCCCAAAGGCUAGCAUAAGACUUGGGUUCGAGUCUUGAGCAUAUUAAUUGGGUUUGAGUCACAGAAGCCGGCAAAAAGCCAGAAGCUCGAUUAAAAAGUCCGAAUUGAAUUGGGUUCGAGUCCCAAGACGACUUUGGGAAGACUUGGGUUUGAGUCUCGAGCACAAGAGAAAGGCUUAAUAAGCAUGGCAUGCAUGAGCAAGAAAGAAAUGCUAGAGUUCAUAAGUUCAGGGCAUGCAUUAUAUGCACAAAUGAUUGCAAGAAUUGUCAUUCACUUGUGCUUGAAGCUUGGUUGCAUCUUGCAAUUGAUUUUCCUUCGCCAUGGUUUGCAGGAAAUGAUUGACUAGUGUUGAUGAUGAAUCGAUGUUCUAUUCAAAGGCCGGAAGCUAUACUUACUGAUUAUUUUAAGUACUCACCCCUGUUUCUUUUAUAGGUACUUAGAACCAUGGUUACUGUGCAUUUUGGUUGCCCUGUAAAGAUAGAUACUACUAUGACGGACGUGAUAGAUGUAGAAACUAAUAUUACUUAUUGUAAAGUGUCAUUCAUUGUAUGGAUAGAAAAGGACUUGGGUGAGCUUGUCCCAAUGCAUUUUGAAGUUUGGUAUAGGAAAUAUGAGGACAUAUGGAUAGGACUCUGCGGGUUUGACAACCCAACCUCGAAUCUUAGUGAUAUGGAUGAACUAUCCGAGGCUUCAGACUAAGUUUAGGUGUAUCGGCUCUAGGUAAAAGAAGAAGGGUUCCUACUUUUGGUUAGUACCUAUCAUAGCAAAGACAGGGAUACCCCAAGCCACUUUUGUACAUAAGAAAGGCUUGUAAUCAUCACUACUCAUAUAAUAUAUGAAAUAUGUUAGUGGUGUUUGUAUCUCACGUUUCCAUGUUAUUUGUGUUGGGAAUUGUAUGUUUACGCUUCCCACAUGUGCAUAAAUAAGAAGCAAAUGAAUUCAGGACGGCGACAAAGCUUGGGAUGUCGCAAAAUAACUUGCAGUUCAACCUCUGAGUAAAGGGGGUUGUGACAUUAGUGGUACGGAUUGACAUAGGUGCACCGAAGUAGAUCUCUCAUCAAUUUGUUGCCUAGUACACCAACAUUGAUGGGGAGUUGGUUGGAUCACUUAGGAACUUCGAUGGUCCUCCCAGUUUCGACAACAAUAGCAUGCCAAUUGGCAAAUUUGUCGAUCUGUAGUAUAGUAGCAUGGAUGUGACCUGACCUUCUUCUGAAAGUUAUUGUGUUGUAUUAUGCUUAUUAUUAGUACUUGUACUAAUACUUGGAAAAGGUUUAUGAAAGGAAAAUUUGUCUUUGUGAAUCAUUCAACUCAUGAGAUUUCUUGUAGGGGAUGUUGUGAAAAUUCCAUUGUACUUCCACAUGUUAAUAAUAAAUAUAAUUUAUAAAUUGGAAAAGACACAUCGCGUGACGUUUUGGAACGUCACAAAUAGUCCCCAUAACAAACACCAUAGAAGGAUCAUUGAUAACCCUUCAUUUUUAUCUCUUGAGUUUCACGGAUUUUCUUGAAUUCAUUUCUAAUUGGGCAAAUACCAAUAAAAAAACUCAAAUUGUACUCACUAUGACAUAAAUAUCCUAAUUUUUUGUCACCAAAAAUUCCAAACAUGAUACAAAUACUCCCAACUUUUUUUUAUUUCACAACAAAAUUCAAACUUACACACGUAUGAAUUGUCACAUUGGUAUAAGAUUUGGGCUUUUUAUGACUAAAAACAGUUUAGAGUACUUGCAUCAUAAUUGGCAAUUUUAGAAUUUUUAGUAACAAAAAGGAAAGUCUGAUAUUUGUGUAUACUGAACACAAUUUAGGUUUUUUUAUUAAUUAAUCUUUUCUGAGUUGUCGCUUAUUAAAAAGAAACAGCGGCGGCAGCAUCAAUGCUGAUGUCCACACGUUCUGUUUCUCACGCUCGUGGGAUCCAAUGUCCAUGGAGUACCACAUGAAGAGACCUUUCAGACACACGAAUACUUCUAUUUCAUAAGAAAUCAUGCGCGCUUCCGUUCCUUCCCAGGCGUCCGAUGGAGCCUGCGAACCGAACAACACCGCUAGUUCAUCGAAAGAAGAUGGUUCAAAAAAUCGCGCAAAUAAAGAAUAUGGAUAAAACCAGAACAGCCAAACAUCAUCCCGCGUACAAUGCACAACCUUCGUGCAUGUUUAUGUCCUUUAUAAGUCCGAGUGAAUAGGAGGCAGGGAAGUGAAGUUGCAGAAAUGGUAGGCGUGGACAGGUACUAAAGUACCACCUAUGUAUGUCCUUAUUGUGAUCCCUCACUUGUUAGAAUAAUAUAAAAUUGAUUGUUGAAGAUUUGAGCAUAUUGGAUUUGUUGUUAGUAUUCUUCAAAAUGCUUGAUCUCUGGUGAGUGUCAGAAGAAGAUUGAAGACGAAAGAAUAUUGGCACAAUUUAUGGUGGGCUAUAUUUGAGUAGCCCCUCUACCAUUCAACGAGUAAAUGCUUUCAUAUUGAAAAGGAAGGGUCUUGUCUUUUUUUUUUCUUUUGUCAAAGAACAUGAGGUUUCUUCGUAAGAAGCAAGGACUUCAUGUCUCUGUCUCAUUUGUUCUUCAUGUGUUUUUUCUUCACUUUGUGGACUAUCGGCACGAUUUAAGGUGGGCCAUGUUUGAGUAGCCCCUCCACCAUUCAACAAGGAGUGAAUACUUUUAUAUUGAAAAGGGAGGGUCUUGUCUUCUUUUUUUCUUUUGUCAAAGAAAAUGAGGUUUCUUCUUAAGAAGCAAGGACAUCAUGUCUCUGUCUCAUUUGUUGUUCAUGUAUUUUUUCUCCACUUUGACAAAAGAAAAAAAAGAAGACAAGACCCUCCCUUUUCAAUAUGAAAGCAUUUAGUCGUUGAAUGGUAGAGGGGCUACUCAAAUAUAGCCCACCAUAAAUCGUGCCGACAUUCUUUCGUCUUCAAUCUUCUUCUGACACCCACCAGAGAUCAAGCAUUUUGAAGAAUACUAACAACAAAUCCAAAAUGCUCAAAUCUUCAACAAUCAAUUUUAUAUUAUUCUAACAAGUGAGGGAUCACAAUAAGGACAUACAUAGGUGGUACUUUAGUACUAGUCCACGACUACCAUUCUGCAACUUCACUUCCCUGCCUCCUAUUCACUCGGACUUAUAAAGGGCAUAAACGUGCACGAAGGUUGUGCAUUGUAUGCAGGAUAAUUUUCAACGAUGGUCAACGCUAGAUUGACUGGGUUGACUUUUUGUUUGAAUUUUGUUCUAUUUUUUUUUCUAGUUUUGCCCAAUUUAAACAAAACCAAACAUUUCUUCAUGAAUUGGAUCAAAUGAGAUGCAAGUGGGCUAUCUCAAGUCGAUUAAUUGUGCACAAAAUUUUUAAAUCCAUUGAAUUCUUAUUGAAGGGAGGCCACAAGCUAAACUCAUAUUUUUAAUUGAACCUCAAUUGGCCAAAUUGAAGCUCAAUUAUUUCAAUUACAUUCUAGUCUAGAAUGGGCCAAGUCAAAUUAUAUCAAUUGAAGCAUCUUAGUAGGGUUUUCUAAUCUCUGAAUAGGUCAAAUCAACCAAACUAGAAUGUACCCAAGUGAAUCUCUCAAAAUUGACCCUAGAUUUGGACUUAUCUCAAGAAUAUGAGUGAAAUGCAUACGUUCGUUCGUAGGUCAUGAAUAAUCGAUUUUAGUCCCCUAAUUAAGGCUCAAAACGGCAAUUCGUAUUUUGACUCGAUAAAUUGCGCAAUUGAAUGCUCAAAUAGGUUUUAGAUAGUCCCUAAACCAAAUGUCAAAGAAUGAACCAUACCUAAUUAUGACUAGAAUAAAAGUAAUUUUAUUUUUGAUCGAUUUAGAACCUAAAACUGAAAAAUUUAGAAAUCACGAUUCUUAAUCGAAUUUUGUGAAAUUUUUGACACAAAAGUCAAAUUAGCAUUAAAAGAAAUAUAUUUGUGUAUUUUUUUUUUGUCAAAGGUUUGACAAAAAGUCAACCGUUUAGUUGACUUUUGUUAAAAAGUUGAUUUUUUGGUCAAAUCUUUGAAUCUUCAAGAAAUUCAUUUGAAAAAAGUGAAAUUAAAGCUAAGUGGAAUUUUUUUGGGAAAAAGUCAAUUUUUGACCUGAGGUUAACUUUUUGUUGACUUUUGGUCAAAGGGCUGACCAAAAAGUCAACCUGAAAGUCAACAGUUUGACUUUUUGGGUUUUUCUUGAAAAUGAACUAAAAACUGUUUAAAAAUGACAAUGCAAAAGAACGAAAUGAAAAACGACAUUUUUUUGGUCGAGAGAACAGAAGGCAGGGAAGUGAAGUUGUAGAAAUGGUAGUCGUGCACGUUUAUGUCCUUUAUAUAAUGCACAACCUUCGUGCACGUUUAUGUCCUUUAUAAGUCCAAGUGAACAGAAGGCAAGGAAGUGAAGUUGCAGAAAUGGUAGGCGUGGACUGGUACUAAAGUACCACCUACGUAUGUCCUUAUUGUGAUCCCUCACUUUUUAGAAUAAUAUAAAAUUGAUUGUUGAAGAUUUGAGCAUGUUGGAUUUGUUGUUAGUAUUCUUCAAAAUGCUUGAACUUUGGUGGGUGUCAAAAGAUUGAGACGAAAGAAUAUCGGCAUAAUUUAUGGUGGGUUGUGUUUGAGUAGCCCCUCCACCAUUCAACACGGAGUAAAUGCUUUCAUAUUGAAAAGGGAAUGUCUUUUUUUUUUUCUUUAGUCAAAGAACAUUAGGUUUCUUCGUUCGUAAGAAGCAAGGACUUCAUGUCUUUGUCUCAUUUGUUGUUCAUGUGUUUUUUCUUCACUUUGUAAAGUUUCUUGUUUUCUAUCUGAUCUUAGUUAAGCUAUGCACACAUCUAACCACUUUAAAAGGCUGUGGACUUCAAAUCUGUGGCUAUACAGAAGCAAAGAGCAUUCUCAUUUCCAUUAUUUCUCUCUCUAGUCUUCAUUUGUGCCUUGUUCCAAACUUCCAAAAUUUGUCAUAUUCUUUUUGGUUCCACCAUCACUAUUGGAGGGAUCAUCAACAAUAAAUCUCUCUCGCAUUCAAUUUCUGGGUGCGCAUAAUCUACAUACUGGCCAAAGCCGUUUCCUACUCGAGCCUCUCUAGAGUCACCAUCGAUAAAAAUUUUAGCUGUCAAGCCCGCUGUUCUCAUGCUACUUCAUCCCUAGUUGAAGAGUGUAGGAGAUACCUAAUCUCCAUGAGAUAAACGGAUAACUCACUUGAAUUGACACCUAAUUAUUAAACUAUCAUGCCUCUAGUUUAUAUGUGUAGGAGGAACGCCACGAGAAAAAUAAAUUGAUAAAGCAAUCCGUGAAAUCCAAGUAAGAACAAGACAUCAAUAUAUUGAAUAUUGAAUUAAAGUUAUACGGCUUGAUUGCACAAAUUAAGAGUUAGAAGAUUAGAUUGCAUAAUUUAUGUAAAUUUUUGGACCAAAAAUGAAAUUAUUAUGAUGAUGUAAGAAUCGAGUUUUACCUAUUUCGAUGAAAUGGAUGGAUAACAAGAAUCAACGUGACCAGCAUGUUUACCCAUUUUCAUUGCCAAAAGAUAAAUUAAUGUUUUCUCCUGUAUUUCUUUUAUUUAUUGUUUUGGGUUGCUUUCUUGUGAACAGGAUAAGAGUGUAUUUAUAUCGUGUUUUCCGUGCAAUAAUCGCAGAAGUGCAAGGUGAGAAAUAGCUCAAAGCUUAGCCAAUGGAGUCCUGCUCUAUUUCGCUAUUUUGGCUGGGCCUCCUCCUCCCGGCACUUCUAGUUUUCCUUCUCAACCGUCGGAAGCGCACCAAGCUUCCCCCUCAGCCCCCAGCAUGGCCCGUGAUCGGCAACAUUUUCGACCUCGGGACCAUGCCGCACCAGAACCUCCACAACCUCCGAGCCAAGCAUGGGCCUGUCUUGUGGUUGAAGCUCGGUUCCGUGAACACCAUGGUGAUCCAAUCAGCUCGAGCGGCCAUGGAGUUAUUCAAGGGCCAUGACUUCGUGUUCGCAGACCGCAAGUGUUCCCAAGCGUUUACUGCUCUCGGCUAUGACCAAGGCUCGCUCGCUCUUGGUCGUCAUGGUGACUACUGGCGCGCUCUCCGGCGUCUCUGCUCCGCGGAGCUCCUCGUGAACAAGCGCGUCAACGAUACGGCCCACCUCAGGCAAAAGUGUGUCGACAGCAUGAUCAUGUAUAUAGAAGAAGAAAUGGCAGUCAAACAAGCAACAAAAGGUUAUUUCUUAAGUACUUGGUGUCAUUGCUGACUCUGUGUCCUAUGUGUCGCCUCGAAUGGUUGAAGUUAUAGCUUUUAGAAAAGUAAAAAAGCAACAGGGAGAGAUAGAUGAACUUAUCUUAAAUUCCAUAUAAAUAAGAUCAAGGUCCUAUACCCUACCCAAUAUUUUUACUAGGGUCACAACCCUUAAUUAUUUAUUAAUAUGAAGAAAAAGCUAAGAAGACGGUCCGAUCACUAUUUAGGAAACCACGAGGACACGCUGACCACAAAUCUCCGUUGUGGGAUAUUAGCAACAAGAAUAUAACAUUUUCAAAAUUCAAUUGCCAAAAAAUGACUUUCAUAGAGUAAAAUCAGAAAAAGUUAGACCAUAUAAACAUAAUAUACAUUGAGCCCAUGACUACACACCUGUAGGAAACCAAAGCUUGUUUAAGAUUUGUCAAAUUAGAAUUUCUAAGGUUUGUGUUUCAUUAUUAUUACUAAAUUAUUGUAAUAGGUAAAAUAUAGCAUCUUCAUAUCCCUUCUCUAAUAUGUCACUAGCACGAAAUUAUCUACUCUCUCAUGAUGAUCGAUGUCUACACAAAUUUAAACUAUGUGCUACUAGUUUCUGGUUUAGGUGUGACUAGGGCUACCGAAGCAAUAACUCGAACGUGAGCAACAUGAAAGCAGAGAAAUGAUGGGGAAUCAAAACAUUCGUAGUUUUUAUUUAAGAAAACAUUCUAUCUUGCCUUUUAGGCGAUGGUUCUUCAUUUGCCAUCUUGAAGUGUACUACCCCUAUAUAUUUGAAGUCGUUUUCUAGAUAGCAUUGGAUUCAUAUAAUUUUUUACUUCUAAAUUUCGAUUAAAAUUUUUAUUUUCCUUUUAGAGUCAUUCAUGACAUUCUACAAAUUAAUUUUGGUACAAGCACAUAAUCUAAAAUUGAUAAGAAAAGUUGGUGUUGCGUUAACUUUGGUUUCUUAUUAUGCUAAAUGAUUAUACUNNNNNNNNNNNNNNNNNNNNNNNNNNNNNNNNNNNNNNNNNNNNNNNNNNNNNNNNNNNNNNNNNNNNNNNNNNNNNNNNNNNNNNNNNNNNNNNNNNNNNNNNNNNNNNCACACUGACAUAUGUGAUCAGUAUAUCUGUCAGCUGACAACGCUGUCUUCUUAGCAUGGCCUAUUCAUAUAGGUAAAGAAAGCAACCUACAACUAGAUUUAACUUCUGGCACUUCCGCAAAAUGUUCAGUUAUAUAUUUUUUAGUUCAAGUGGGCCCUCGUCUUACAUAUGUAGAUUGAAUAUCUACGAGGAAUGUCGCGCCAGCGUUAUACGUUGGCACUAACUAAGCUAAUUUAUUUGGUGAAUUUUUUUUUUUUUCUAAACAUAGUUCUGAUAUGGGUAAGAAAAAUAAAUAAAAUAUUUAAAAAAAAUCUAACUAUAGUUCUGAUAUGGCUAGCUGGCUAGGGUAGACCGCAGUUUCGAGGCACGACGUGGAUCGUUGGGUGCUCGCCGUUCGCGAACGCCACCUCCCGUGCAAGCACACCCUUGCCACCUUAGCGACGAGUCGCCUCUAUCCUUAAUUCAGCAUAGCCUCCAUUCACGAACGUCUCCCCCUAGUUCACUCGCGACACUUCUGUUUUUCAUUUCUUCUUUUGCAAAUUUCCUUAUUUUUGAUUUGUUGAUAUUUAUGUUAUUUUUUAAUUUCCUUAUUUGUGAAUUUUUUGUUAUUCUAUUUUAAGUUUUUCCAAAAGAGAAAUAAUUGCGUGACAGUCUUUAAUAUACUAUAAGAAUAACAGUCAAUUCUAAAUCACAAAAAUCAAAUCAUAAAUAAUUAUAAAUUAUUAUAAAACUCAUUUUUUAAAGAAUUUAUGAUUCGCAGUAUAUUGUUAUUCUCAUAAUCCUUUCAAAAACUUAUGUAGGUUUACCGUGUUGACAUUCAACGAGACCUAAUUGCCAUUUCAACAUUUAUGUUUCCUUUUAAAUGGAAAGACCAAACCAAAUAAGAACGUAUAUGAUUUAGGGAUCUAAUUCCACCGAAAAAAAAGGGACCUAAUUAAACCCUUUGUAAAAGUUUAGGGAUUACCUAUACUUCUAUCUUUUUUUUUUCUUUUUUUGUGUACUGUAAUUGACAAAGUCAACAAAUUAAAUACUAGUGUAAAUAACUCAAUUUACCAAAGAGCUACUGGAAUUUAAUUUGUUUUUCAGUCGAACUCGCUUUCUUUUUUUGGGGUUCGAGUCGAACUAGAGUGGCUAAACUGUUGAAUUAUGUAAAGCUCGAGUGGCUUUAUCAUCGAAUUGCGUAGGUAAACUUUCGUGUUGGACAUUGAAGCAUACACAGUAAGUCAAGGAGCUUACGAGCAGUUUAGAGAUUGGUUCCUCUUGAUUUGACUGCAUCUUUCCUUUAACUAGUUGCACGACUUGGUACAAUCUAUUUUUCUCAUGUCUAAUUUUGUUAAGUGUGGUUAUACAUCAUCUGAUUAGAAUUAAUCAUAAAGAAAUUUUAUUUUUAUGAAGGACAAGGAAUCGACUUAUCUCACUUCCUCUUUCUCCUGGCAUUUAAUGUGGUGGGCAACAUGGUGCUCUCACGGGAUCUAUUGGACCCAAAAUCGAAGGAUGGGCCCGAGUUCUACGACGCCAUGAACCGGUUCAUGGAGUGGGCUGGCAAGCCCAACGUAGCCGACUUCAUGCCAUGGUUGAAAUGGUUGGAUCCGCAGGGGAUCAAGGCAGGCAUGGCGAAGGACAUGGGUCGAGCCAUGAGGAUUGCCGAAGGCUUUGUGAAAGAGAGGUUGGAGGAGCGAAAGCUAAGGGGAGAGAUGAGAACAACGAAUGAUUUCUUGGACGCAGUAUUGGAUUAUGAGGGCGAUGGAAAAGAAGGCCCUCACAAAAUCUCUUCCCAGAACAUAAAUAUAAUCAUUCUGGUGAGUUUGCUCCUCUCUUCCACGUUUAACAUGACCACACUUUGAGACAUUAGGUCGAAUUCGGUUGAUUAAGUGGCGCGACAAACUUAAGUGACCUUUAUUUCUUCGUAGAUUAACAACUAGGGUCACAUCACGCAUUACGGAGAAGUUUUAGUAGCUUACUUAAUAAAUCAAUCAUGGUGCUGUCUAAGCACUGAUUUUUCUUUUCAUUAAAAUAAACUAAAAUCAAUCUUAUGUCUUCGUCAAGCAAUUUAACUAGUUAUUAUAAAAUUACCAGGUUAGUCAAGUCAAUGUCAAUCAAGUCGAGAAAUUUUGACAUUGGCUUACAAAAUUUGGCUGAAAUCAAAUUGAUUGCAAGGAUAAAAACCAGUGCAAAUAAUUAUUGCAAUCAAACUCUUAGGCAGGAAUAAUUUUCAAAGCCGUUGACGGACAAUUGCAGUAAAGCAAUUAUUGUAGCUGAGACUAUAAGAAGCGCACAUCUUAAUGGAACGCGCAGACAUAAGAAGAACAAGCUUUACUUAUGUUAAUCCAUUUUGCUCUCUUGCAAAUCUUUUUCAGUUAUUUCCCAGCAACCUAUUUCUUGCCAUUCCAGUUGUUUAUUUCCUUUUGUCAAUCAAGCACUUGCCCCAUCUCUUUCAUAAAUACUUCUGUUGUCACUGGUGGAUUCAUUUCGUCAACUUCAAGUUCUUGUUCCUUUCUUUGUGUGCCAAUCAUCUGCCAAUUCGAAGAAUAGGAACUGCUGUGUUUGAUCAGGAUUGUUGAUCAGGUGAAGCAUGAUAAUUUUUACUAUUGAGCUGACGAUUCGAGGGUGACCUUUUCCAGCCAAAGAGAAUCUCUUAAUUAUAGGACGAAACUCGGACACUUGUGGUAUCCAAGACCUAAUCUUUGUACUAAAUGGGUCUACUUGAUGGUGCAGGAAAUGUUUUUCGCCGGAUCGGAGAGUACAAGUAGCACCAUCGAGUGGGCGAUGGCGGAGCUACUCCGCCAACCCGAGUCGAUGAAAAAGGCCAAAGAUGAGAUUGACCAGGUUGUGGGGUUGAACAGAAAGCUCGAAGAAAAUGACACGGAAAAGAUGCCAUUUUUGCAAGCCGUGGUGAAGGAAACCCUAAGAUUGCAUCCCCCAUUACCUUUACUUAUCCCACGAAAUGCUCUAAAGGAAACCAAAUUCAUGGGUUUUGAUAUACCCAAAGAUACCCAGGUUUUCGUGAAUGCAUGGAGCAUUGGAAGAGACCCCGAUGCUUGGGAGGACCCAUUGGCAUUCAAACCAGAGAGGUUCGUGGGAUCUAAAAUUGACUACAAGGGUCAAAACUUUGAGCUAAUUCCAUUUGGAUCAGGCAGAAGAAUAUGCGUCGGACUUUCAUUGGCGGAUAGGGUGCUUCAUCUUGGUCUUGCAACACUGCUUUACCAUUUCGAUUGGGAACUAGGCGAUGGUUCAACUCCAAAGACCCUCGACAUGAAAGAGCGGGUGGGAAUAACACUUAGAAAGCUCCAUCCUUUGAAAGUGAUACCUAAGAAAUGUAGCGUGUGAGGUAUAAUUACCCUAAGGUUAUUAUAAUGUUAUCGUGUCAAGGAUUAAAAAAGCUGUCCAAGAAAGACUUCUUAAGAACGAUGUCAUCCCUGCACAAAUAUCUUAGGGAAACUACAAGUUCUUAUGUUAGCAUUUGGGUCCCGUUUGAAUUGUAUGACUUGAGCAUGUAGCAGGGUAGCUCCCCUGCCCUUUAUACCAUCAAUAAAACCUCACUUGUCGAAAAAGAAAAUUACUCUACAUUUGGCUCCACACUUAGAGUCCACAAAAUGGACAUUUGCGAUGAACCGGAUUCACUAGACGCAAGACUGUACAAUAGAUUCCCGAAUCAUAUACUAUAAGCGGUUUCUAGUGGGUGAUGGUGGAGCGAUCAAAGAGAGCAAUAUAAAAGAAAAGUAACAGGAAGAUACUGUAUGAUCUUGUCGGAUCUUGUCAAAUCCAUAUGGACAAUUGAUCACGUGGACUCUGCAGUAGGACCCAGUCGGUGUUGGUUCACAUGUUUUGUCACUAUUGCAAAUUAUUCUAAAAUAAACACAAGAUUGCAAAUUUGCUGAAGAAGGCUGUAGAUACGUCUUGAUUCAUUAUCAUGAUCCAUCCGUAUAUAAUCCAAAAGCAUAUAUAUUUGGGCACCCCUCGAAUACCCCUUUGAACUUCUGACCAAUUAAUUUACUUUAGUAAGUUCACCUUUUACUUUUCCGUGGCGGCUACUUAAUUAAAUUCUUGCUAGGACCGAUCGACUACAUGUAAAAUGAAUGCAUCAACAAAAUAUACUUGACCAAAACAAAGAAAAUCAGUUAAAAAUCACGGUUCCAUUUAUGUCCAUCAUCUUAAAUCAUUUGCAAGCUUAGACUUAGCUCAAUAAUAAACGCCAUUUGGAAUGAUUCACUAAAAACAUUUCCUCAACAAAGAUGUUCAAAAUCAUUUGCACUUCAUGGACCUAGUUCAUGAUAGAUUUAGAAUCCACUAUCUUGAGUUCAAGAAUUUGGCUACCACAAAUUUCUCAGUUUUGUAUUUCUUUUCUAAGGAUUCCCAUAAUUGUCUAAUAGUUUCAAUGUUACAAUAAACAUGAUACAAGGAAUUUGCUAGAUAGUUAAGGAUAUAGUUUCAGCAUAGGAAAUCCUUGUGCUUCCAAGGCUCCAGCUCCCCAAGCGUCGUGACAUCUUUUGCUCAUCUGGACUAAUUAUUGAGCACACCUCUAAUGAGUACUUGACUAAAUUCAGUGUGGUCAAUAAAAGAACAUCUUCUAUUACCGUUGCUUAAAGCCCACACUAGUUAACUCACACGGUUUCUCAUUCGGUGUUAUUGGAGAAGGUAUCAUCAUAUUAGGCAAAGCUUGUUAAACCAUCUCUCCAGAAAUUGAACCAUACACCAUUAGAUAUGUACUUUUUUGAAAAAUAGUCCCUAGUGUAUCGGUCAAGCGACUUCUACUGGUACCACCAUAGAUGGUUUCGGCCUGAAAGUUUGCAGCAUUUGUUGUCACAACACUAGACCAUGAGGUUUGAACCUCCCUCAUUGAAACACCAUAUGAACGUCUCACAAACAUUCCAACAUUAUUGGGUACUUGAUUGUUAUUAGUCAUCUCGAUUUUUUGAUAAACCCAACAAAAACAGUAAAAGAUAAUCGCCUUAAGAUUGUGGGAAAUAUUAAUACGUAUUGGAGAAAAUAAUAAUAAUUUUAAGAAAGCAAUAUCAAAAUAAACAAGAGGUGAGGCACGGCUAAUCAAAUCUCCUUAAGGCGAUUAGUUCAUGUCAACCAAUUAGUUUCGCGAACUAUGCCUAUCAAAAUACAACACCUCAAACCCGUUUGUAUAAGCACUAUAUGAACAAGAUUUUAUCGAACACUUCUUUAAAUCAGCACACUUAAAGAAACUACCAAGAAACUAGAGGAAUACUUUGAGGAUUUUUUGUUGUUAUUUUGAAUUAAGAAGACGUGUCUAUUUAUAGACAAGGGAACUAGCUGUAGAAAACUGAAAGGACAUGAACUCAAGAGUCACACUGAUUAUGCUCACAUUAGUUGAGCCAUUAACCCUUAAUAACAACAUUAUUAGAUCAGAAACUACAGGAGAACAAAGAGUCAUGAACCCAUAAUUGCAACAAUUAGGGCAUGAUCCAAAGAGACAAACUGGUUGCAUGUGAAUUGAAAAAGGCGUGAAUUGAAGAGACGUUUCAUUAACGUUGAGCCAUUAAAACCUAUGAUUACAAUAAUAAUUACAACACACUGUGCCUCCCUUAGUUCUUGUCCCAAGAGCUUCUAAUUUGAAUUCAUCAAGUACGCUAUGUGCAUCAUAAAAGCAUCUUUCAGUUUCUCAAGCCAAAAUUAGGUCACAUAAACUUGUUAUACAUGUGUCCCUGAGCACCCCGAUCUCAUGCUUGAUGCCCUCUAAAUUUCCAACUUUUUCUAGUGCUUGUGGAGCCAUAGCUCUAGCAAUGCUAACGAUGACAGAUGCCAUCUCUCUCUCAUAAUAUAUUAGUCGAGUCAUUCCAAGGCCAGAGACUGCAGGUAAGUAUAAUAAGUUUAUGUGACCUGAUUUUUAACUUCUUCGAUGGAGUCGAGUUGUUGAAGGUAGGAUUCUCAUCAUCCACGCAAGCCUAUAUCAAUAAUGCAUAUAGGACGCACCGAUUUGGUUUGUCUAAGAUAUUUUGUGCUUCAAGAGUUUACUCGUUUAACGUGCUUGCAAGUCGUAAAGGCAAUGAAAAGGCUGGCGUUGAAUUGAAAUCCAUGUUUAUUUUGAAUAUUAAAUUAACAAUAAAAAAAUUAACAGUAAUAAAUUAGAAGGAUAGAACUAAGUUCCCUAUGUUCACUUUUUUUCCAUAAAAAUAGCCGCCUCCUUGGAAAGUCCUAACCACGUGAUAUAUGCAAUACCAAUCAAAUGUAAAAAAUCAUAAUUGAAUCUAUUUAAAAUGGGUAUAAUUAUUGGUGCAUCAUUUUCUAAUUAAAUCACUGUCCCCACAUAUCAAUCUUUUAAGAAGAAUAUGGCCAUUUUCAUCUAUUCUUUUCUUCAGGCUUAUUUGGAAACUGUUUCGAAAACUAUUCUCCAAAAUUUUCAAACAUUGCGCUGAUUCUCAACUUUUAUUCUUGACACAAGUGGAGAGCGAUCUGAAGAGGGUUAAUGCGUUUCUAGUUUUUGGUUACUUCAUGAUACAAUGGAUGUUGUUAUAAUUAUCAUUCAAUGAAAUAAUUUGCUUAGUCAAUAUAUAUGCUUACUGCUGUUCGUGGAAGGCUUCGUUCUUUAUUUUUAUUUUUUUCCAAAUAAUGGGGAAUCAUUAUCUAAAUUCUUGGGAUGAAUUUUGGGUAUGACAAGUUUGGAAUCAUAACUUAGGUUAUAAAACCAGUUUAGCUAGCAUUAAUUCGGGCACCGUGAUGUGCGAUGAGUUAGUAACUAGAUGUGUGUGCGUGCGCACGUCACACACAAUAUGCACUCAUGCAUUACAUGUAGCUACUCUUUCAAUGGAUAUAGAAAGUUCUAUAUGCAUAGGUAGCAUGAUCGAUUUGUUAGCAUUCUGAUGCAAAUGUCAUUGCUCUUGGCUUGAAACUAUUCUUCAUAUUGUCAUGAGACAUUAGUACUAUUAUUUUACUAAAACAUUACAAUUUGGAUAGGGAAGUUCACUCUCCUUGCUAAUCUCUCAGAUUUAUUUGCUUCCUAUGAGUAAAAUGCUUCUAUAUAGUUUAUUUCUUUCUUUAGCUUUCCUAUUCUCUAAGUAAAUGAAUAAUCUCUUCCCAUACUAGGCAAUAACAAAACUUGCACAUUUUGCAAACUCCUAACAUUUAGACAUUUUAUGCAUGUCACUCCUUUUCAUGAAAGGGAUGUCUACUUUUUUUUUUUUUUUUUUGAGAAGAAAGAGAAGCCUUUUUUGCCGCAAAUUGCAGGUAUUCCGAUUUGAGAUAUUUACUCGCGGGAAACAUGCAAACGAAGAACAAGUCUUAUGGGGGAAUCUACUCCGAGCACUGAAAGUCCAAUCAUUGAAUUUAAUGGACAAUCCGGGGAGGACACAAGUCAACCGCAUUCCAAGCACAGCCCCUAACAUGACUGUGACACAUCUCAUUUGACAAAUCACCUGCGAAGAGUACAUAUAUCGCAAUAACGGGGGGCAUUCUAGUUCAUUUACCCUGAACGCUACAGAUAUUCUUUUUAACUUACUUAAGAUAAAAGAAAGUGAAUUUGAAACUAUCCCGUCAAGAACCACACCACAAAGGGAGAAAAAUGAAGGUCAGAAUGAAACAAUUAUGAAGAUGUGGAGAAACAAAACUACCUUGUUUCGCUUACAUCAUUCUCUGAAUAAGCAAACUGGAGAAUGGGUUUUUGUAUUGAGUUGGAAGUCCUUGAAAGUUCCUCAAAUUCUUGAUCUGGGGGCACAAUUGGAGAAAUUUCUAUAUUCAUUCCCAGCCGGUAACGAAAAAUAUGAAGUUCUGCAUGCUCUGAAUCGGGUUUCAAGAGUGCAAAAAGGUGAUUAACGUUAAAGAGAAAACGAACAAGAAAAAACAAAAAAGAAGAGAUCAUUCCCAUCAAGGUUUUUCUGUCUGCUCAAGCAAUUUAUUUAUCAAUUUGAUAGUGUUACUUUCUUGCUUCCAUAACUGUAUGAUCAUUCAUCGCAUGUUAGUGGUUUAAGACCAAUCAAUCAAGGCUACUUGCAAAACAUUUUGUGAAAUAAAGUGAAGAUGCCAAAGGGAGAUAGAUUUAUCUAGCAUAAUCAAGUUCCUUAUUCAUGAAAUCUCUAGUUCAUAAAGUAAAGUGUUCUCUCACAUUUUACUUGGGUUUUUAAUCAACCAAAGUAGACUAAUGCCAAUUCUUAAAUGAAUUGAAUUGGAUGUCUAAAUAAUGUAAUUAAAACCCCAAAGUUGUGAUUGUCGGGGGUUUGAGAGAACCCACAUUAGACAAUGGUACCAUCUUUUUAAUGAGUAACCAUUCGCACUUGCAUAAUAAUCCAUUAGCUUUCUCUUAGUGGUCCACCUCUAAGAAGGUCAUGACAGUUGGCAAUUAGAGAGUGGCAACUAAAUUAAAGAAGGAAAAGUGAGCUUGUUGGAUUAGACACGAGUUGACCGAGCAAUCGCAUGGAAACGAUGAAUACACACUCCUCAUUUAUCCGAUUGCACUAAAAUGUCGAGGGGAGUUAGUCAACAAGCCGACGAAGCUUGUGUAAAAGUUUUAGACCAAACGGAUAUUGAAAAGUUUAGUUUUGAAGGCUUGACAUCAUUUUUUUUCCAGGCAUCCUUGUGUAAGAUCAUCCAGCAUUCCUUGAAAAAAUGCAAAUUUAGGAACUAUUCUUGGAACUAGCAUGUGAGCCAUAUAUUGUUUGAAAAUAGACGUAAAGACACUCGUCGUGAUACGUUUUUUUUUGUCAAAAUUGUUGUGAUACUUAUCUUGCAAUCGUUUUGAGCUUGUUUGGGUCUACAAUUAAUCAAGAGAAGUUGGGUAUAAAUUACUAGGAAGAAAAUUGAGUCCAAGUGUGAAUUGGUGCUGUUAAAGCUCUUUGGAGUGAUCAUAAUUUUAGCCGUGGGGCUUGAGGUUCUCAUACUACAUUGUCCCUAGUUGAAGAGUGUAGGAGAUUCCUAAUAUUCAUCAUAUGCACAGAUGACCUAUGUGAACUGAAACCUAACUAUUAAUGAACGAUCAUGCCUUUGGUUUAUAUGUGCAAAAGGAAUGCUGCGAGAAAAAUGAAUGCAAUGUUGUAUAAACUGAUUGUUUUGUUUUUAUCGUGGGUCAAAUUUAUGAGAUGCAAAUGUAUGAUAAAUUCAUCAGUGAAAUUCACGUGUUAGCAUCAAAAAGUCCUUUAAAUAGUGAAGAUUGGAAAUUUCGAUCAAAUUAAUGAUUGGACUUAAAUAUAUGAUGUUUUCGAAAAAGACAAGCCAUCUUACUAAGGCAAAAGUUGUUGGAGUUAUCCCACAUCAAUUAUGGAAUUGUUUGGUGGUUAGUUUAUAAAUAUGAAGGAAAGUUUCACCCUUUGAAUAAACGUUUGAGGUGAGAGAAGCCCAAGACUACCAAACAUUGGUGUUAGAGCCAAUGGUAGAUUGGUGGCCCCAAUCUGUUCUAGAUAUCUCAAUAAAAGGAAUCUAGUGACCAACCCAAUUUAUGGGCAAUGUGUGUUGUGGUAUAAUGCAAUCCCAAUGGUAGUCUUCAUGGUUCAAUUCAAAGAAAAAAAACAUGGAUAAAGGUGGGUGUUGGAGAUUCAAGUUAAGAUUAGUUAAUAUAGAAAGAUACCUAAAUUCAGGGGAGCAAACCUAACAUUGAGCUCAAAUGUGAUGGGGAGAUUGUUGAGAUAUACAUGUGAAUUAUCUUAAGGAAAGGAAUCUAGUGACCAACACAGUUUCUGGGCAGUGUGUGUGGUGCUGUUGCAACACAAUCCCAUGGUAUUUUUCAUGGUUCAAUCCAAUGAAAAAGAACAUGGACAAAGGAUGGAUGAAGGUGAAUGUUGAAGAUUCAAGUUGAGAUAAGUUAAUGUAGAAAGAUACUUGAAUUAAGGGGGAACAUACCUAACAUUAAGCUUACACGUGAUGAGGAGAUUGUUGAGAUACAUAUAUAAGUUGUGUUUGGGAAGUCCCACAGUGGAGAAUUGGUGUAGUGUGAAGUAAUUAAUUUAUCUAGUUGGUCAAUAACUCAUUACUUUAAGCUUUUGAGUGAAGAUGGGUUCAAUUAGAUAUGUUGAUAGACUUAGACUUCGGCUCCCUCUUAGCAAUCUCCUAGGGUAAAGAUAUUGAACAUCUGUUAUACACUCCCAACAAAAGUAAAUACAUAACUAUCCUAUUUUGAUAGGACAAAUUAGUUGAUAAAUCAAUCCAUGAAACCCAAGAAAGAACAAGGCAUCAUAAUUUUGUGGAAACCAGAGGAUUAUAUUGAGUACUAGAGUAAAGUUGUAAGAAUUAAAUGCACAAAUUAAGAGUUAUGGAUUUGAUUGCAUAAUUCAUGUAAGUUGUUUGACCAAAAAUGAAAUUAUUCCAAUGAAAUAAGAAUCGAAUUUAACCUAAUUCGAUGAAAUGGAUGAAUCACCAGACUCCACGUGACCAGCAUGUUACUCCUAUUCAUAGCCGAAAGAUAUAUUAAUGUUUUCUCCUUUUUAUUUUGUGGAUGGCAAAUAAUAGCAUCUCCUGUUUUUUCUUUAUUGUUUUGGGUUGCUUUCUUGUGAACAGGAUAUAUUAUAUCAUUUUUUCCACGCAAUAAUCGCAUAAGUGCAAGGUGAGCAAUAGCUCAAAGCUUAGCCAAUGGAGUACUGCCCUACUUUGCUCUUUUGGCUCGGCCUCCUCCUCCCGGCACUUCUAUUUUUCCUUCUCAACCGGAAGCGCACCAAGCUUCCCCCUCAGCCCCCCGCAUGGCCCGUGAUCGGCAAUAUCCUCGACCUCGGGACCACGCCGCACCAGAACCUCCACAACUUCCGAGCCAAGCAUGGGCCUGUGACGUGGUUGAAGCUCGGUUCCGUGAACACCAUGGUGAUCCAAUCAGCUCAGGCCGCCGCAGAGUUCUUCAAGGGCCAUGACUUCGCGUUCGCAGACCGCAAGUGUCCCCAUGCAUUGACAGCUCUCAAUUAUGACCAAGGCUCGCUCGCUGUGGGUCGUUACGGUGGCUACUGGCGCGUUCUAAGGCGUCUCUGCUCUGUUGAGUUCCUCGUGACGAAGCGCGUCAACGAGACGGUCCAUCUCAGGCAGAAGUGCGUCGACAACGUGAUCGUGUAUUUAGAGGAAGAAAUGGCGGUUAAACAAGUAACGACAGGUUAUUUCUUACGUGCUUCGUGUUACUUUGGACGUUUGCGUUGCAUGUGUAACCUUGAAUGACCGAAAUAAUAGUUUUCUUCUUCAAAGGGAAAAAAAAAAAGCAACAUAGAGAGAGAGAAAGGAACGUUUAAACUCCUUACAAAAUAUCGAAUAUUCCCACUAGUGUCACAAGUUCUUCUCACUAAUAUAUGUAAAAUCAACGGUUAAGAUAUGUUGGGACUUUUGCACCAUUAGGAGUUAAUGAUGCACGCUGUCAAAAGAAUAGUAUUUCAGUAAAGAACGCAACCUGCAACUAGAUCUACCUAAGAAAACAUUGGGCCUGCUUUUUACGGAUAAAGGAACCAGCAGUCUUUCUUUUUUGCAAAAUGUACAAUUAAGUUCCAGAAUCUUUUUUUUAUUUUUAUUUUUUCUACUAUUGAGUUCUUAAAUUAUACAUCUUUUAAUUUGAGUUGGCCCUCCUCUUAAAUAUGCGAAUGCAUUGGUUACGAUGAAUAUUGCAUCCCCACCAUAUGUUAGCACUAACUAGACUAACUAAUUAGGGAGACACGAAAGAAUUACUUAGUGCUAAGAUGGGUAAGAAAGGUUAUAAAAAUAAAGAAAUCUAAAUCCAAGUAAACAUUCACCAACCCAAGCGUUGCCUCAAUUUAUUGCAUGACCCAACUCACCUCCAUCCUAGUUAUUCAAAUUUUCUAUGUCAUUCUAUUUUUAGGUUUUUUAAGAAUUCACUUAAGACACCAUGUUGGUUUUCAAUGAGGACGUAACCACCAUGUCAACAUUUAUAUAUACUUCUUUAAUGGAAGGACUAAUUCAAAGAAGAAGUUAUACGGCUCGAGGAUCUAAUUGCACAACAAAUUUAGGAACCUAAUUAAAACUUUUUAUAAAAGUUUAGGGACUGCUGGUACUUUUAUCCCUUUGUUUUGUUACUGUAAUUGACAAAUUCAAUAAAAUAGAUACCAGUGUAAAUAAUUCAAGUUGUCCAAGAGCUACUGGUGUUUAAAGUGCUAUUUAGUCAAACUUGCUUUCAUUCUUCUCGAGUUUGAGUCGAACUAGAGUGGCUCUACUGUUGAAUUAUGCCAAGCUCGAGUAGCUUUACCAUUGAAUUGGGUCAAACUCGAGCAUGAUCAAGUAGUUGGGUUUUAUAUAUCUUCUGAUGCAUUGAUCAAGUAUAUCCCCAUUAUUAUGCAAGAGAAUGCAAAAGUAAAUUUUCCACUUUAUUUUAUUUGUAGAAGCCAAGUUGGAGUUUUUAAGAGUUCAGAUGCUAAUUUAGUUUUGUUAGUGGAAAAUAUCCGAAAACAAGCUUAUCAAGAACUUUAUUAAGUUCGACUUGAGCUUGAAAAAUCCAACUUUUGUCUUGAACAUUGCAGCUUGGAGGUUGAUUCCUCCAUCCCUCCUUAAACUAGUUGCAAAACUUGGUGCAAUAAUUUUUUUUUUCAUGUCUAAUUCAUUACGUUCUUCUAUACAUUCUCUAAUUAUAAUUAAUCGUUAAAAAUUUCUAAUUUUUAUGAAGAGCAAGGAAUCGACUUAUCCCACUUCCUCUUUCUCAUGGCAUUUAAUGUGGUGGGUAAUAUGGUGCUCUCGCGGGAUCUGUUGGACCCAAAAUCAAAGGACGGGCCCGAGUUCUUCGAUGCCAUGAACCGGUUCAUGGAAUGGGCUGGCAAGCCCAACGUAGCCGACUUCCUGCCGUGGUUGAAAUGGUUGGACCCGCAGGGGAUCAAGGCAAGCAUGGCGAAGGACAUGGGUCGAGCCAUGAAGAUUGCUGAGGGUUUUGUAAAAGAGAGGUUGGAGGAGCGAAAGCUAAGGGGAGAGAUGAGAACGACAAAUGACUUCUUGGAUGCGGUAUUGGAUUAUGAGGGCGAUGGAAAGGAAGGUCCUCGCAAAAUCUCUUCCCAGAACGUCAUCAUAAUAAUUCUGGUAUCCUCUCUUCCACUCUUGGCAAACAAGAAAUGAUUAACAUCUUAAGGAUAUUAGGUCCAGUUCGGUUUGUAAAGUGGGGUGGUAAACUUAAUUGACAAUUAACAAGCAGGUCAUAUCACGCGUCGUUCUCUACAGACUUGUGUUUUCGUAGAACAUUCUAGCACUAGAUUUUAUAAUAACUAGCCUUUUCCAAUCGACUAUCUAUGAAAACAUUUUACACUUUAAGUUUGUAGAGAACGUUGCAAAACAAAAAGCUACUACCAUUAUAAAGAUGUUACCAUUCUUUCCUGAUUUAGCCAAUCUGUGCUCAUUUUGUAAUAACUAGCUAAGAAUGUUCUCCAAAAACACAAGAUUGAUUUAUGGUUUUUUUAUUUAUUUUAAAUCCAGUGCUAGAAAGACACAUUGAAUGAUUUAUUAAAUUAAGUUGAUGUCAAUUUGACUGAUUAAUAGAACAUGUAGGGUAUCCACAAUGGAUGAGUGAAUAGUAUGUUGAUCAGAUGUGUGAUCUGAUAUUGACUAAAUAUAAUCGAUGCUCAAACACCAGCAUUGAUUAUAAGAAGCCAAUAAGAUUAAGUUGACGAGGCAUGAAAAGUUUUUGUCCAUGGACUUAUAAAUUAAAGUCAAGUUAAUGUCGGUCGAGUCAAGAAGUAUUGACAUUGGCUCACAAAAUUUGGUCGAAUCAAACCGACUGCAAGGAUAAAACUAACGCGAACAGUUAUUGUAGUCAAACUUCUAGGACGGACCAAUUUUUAAAGUUGUUGACCGGCAGUUGCAGUGAAGCAAUCGUUGUAGCCGAGACUACAAAAAGAGCACAUCUUAAGGGAAAAAAGACGCAUAAACAUGAAAAGAACACACUUCACUUUCUUGCCAUUCAUUUUCAGUUAUUUCUCAGCAACUUAAUUCUUGCCAUUCCAGUUGUUUAUUUCAUUUUUCCAAACAAACACCUGCUCUUGCCCUUUUAUAAAUAUUCCUGUUGUCAUUAGUGGAUUCAUUUCGUCAAUUUUAGGAUCCAAUCAUCAAAUUCUUGUUCCUUUCUUUAUGCGCAAUUGUCUGUCAAUUCGAAGCAUAGGAGCUGCUAUGUUUGAUAAGGAUUGUAUUAGGUGAAGCAUGAUGAUUUUUACUGUUAAGCCCACGAUUUGAGCGAGUGAUUUUCGAGCGAAAAUGAAUAUCUUAAUUAUAGCAAAAGUAUCAACAUUGGUGGUAACCCUAGCAAGACAUGAUCUUGUACUAAAUGGGUCUAAUUGAUGGUGCAGGAAAUGUUUUUCGCUGGAUCAGAGACUACAAGCAGCACCAUCGAGUGGGCGAUGGCGGAGCUACUCCGCCAACCCGUGUCAAUGAAAAAGGCCAAAGAUGAGAUUAACCAGAUUGUGGGGUUGAACAGAAAACUCGAAGAAAGUGACACGGAAAAAAUGCGGUUUUUGCAAGCUGUGGUGAAGGAAACCCUGAGAUUGCAUCCACCAUUACCUUUGCUUAUCCCACGAAAUGCUAUAAAAGAAACCAAUUUCAUGGGAUUUGAUAUACCCAAAGAUACCCAGGUUUUCGUGAAUGUAUGGGGCAUUGGAAGAGACCCAGAUGCUUGGGAGGACCCGCUAGCAUUCAAACCAGAGAGGUUUCUAGGAUCUAAAAUUGACUACAAAGGUCAAAACUUUGAGCUAAUUCCAUUCGGAUCAGGCAGAAGAAUGUGCGUCGGACUUUCGCUGGCGGAUAGGGUGCUUCAUCUCGGUCUUGCGAAGUUGCUCUACCAUUUCGAUUGGGAACUCAGUGAUGGUUUGACUUCAGAGACCCUCGACAUGAGAGAGCGGGUGGGAAUAGCACUAAGGAAGCUUCAUUCUUUAAAGGUGAUACCUAAAAAACGUAGUGUGUGAGGUUUUUAGAAUAUUAUGGUAACUAGUUAUAUUCCUGACUGGUUAUUUAGGAAAUGACAAGAUGUGAUGUAAUGUAUCCAAGGAAGACUUCUUAAGAAUGGUGUUUUUACUCCACAAAUACCUUAGGAAAAUUACCCAAAAGUUCUUAAACCUAUUAUAUUUUUACAAAUUCAGUUAUAAAUAUUUUUAUUAUAAAAAUUAGUCCCAAACGUUUUCACGUUUUGCCAAUUGAGCUUAUAUGAUCAAUUUUGAUUGGAAAUCACUAACACGAAUGUCAGACAUCCUACAUGGUGCAAUUGGUGUAGACCUGGAAAAUUUUUAAUAUAUAUAUUUUUAAAUUUUUAAAUACUUUUUCUUUUCUUUUCUUUUCUUUUCUUUCUCUGCUAGUUGUUGAGCCUUGAGGAUGACUACUAAUCAACCAUAGGCUACAACCAAUGAUGGUCGUUGCCAAGAUCUAGCAAGGGAGGACUUUGCUACCUUGCCAAAUUCGACAAGUCACAACUUCAUGCGAGGCUCGACUUUGCCCAAUCUAUCGAGGGCAAGGCGCAACCUCGUUAGUCUUCACAAGGGCUGGUCUCAGGUGAGACUUGCCCAAAGAUGGCGAGGCCGACCUUCCCUAAAGGCCAGCAAGGGCCAACCUUGGCAACUUCAAGCAACGCUCAACCUCGUCAAAUCUAGUUAGGACAAGCUUUACUCAAGGCUAACAAGGGUGACCUCACCUAAGGCUAGUAAGGGCAAUCCUCAUCAAUCAUAACCUGUGGCCGAUCACCGGCCAUCACCAAGGCUUGGCAAAGGAAGAAAACAAAAAAAUAAAUGAAAAGAAAAGAAAAUUAACAAUAAUAAAAUAUUAAAAAUUCAAAAAUAUUAAAAUACUAUUUUUUUAAAAGGUCUACUGGCAUUCACUUUUCGUUUUCUAGUCAAAAUAGGCUAGAUGGACUCAAUUAAUAAAAAUUGAAAAAAUUGGGACUCAAUUGAUACAAUUAAAAAGUUUAUGACUGAAUUAAAAUAAGUACAAUAUAUUAUGAUUUUUUUGAUAAUUUUCUCCAAAUAUCUUUGGGCAAUUACAAGUUUUUAUGUCAACAUUUGGGUCUUGUUUAAAUUGUAUGACUUAAGCAUGUAGCAGGUAGCUCACUUGCCUUUUAAGCCAACAAUAAAACUUUACUUGUCAAAAAAAAAAAAAAAAAACAAAUCGCCCUAAAGUUGGUUCUACACAAGAGUCCACAAAAUGGAUGAUUGUGAUGAACUCAGUCCACUAGACACCAAUCCAUAUAAUAUAAGCUUGAAUCAAAGACCAUGAACAAUGCUAGUUCCUUGAAUGGGUCGAAGCUUGACAUAGAUUGAUUUUGAUCCAUCCAAAUUGGAAUCCUGUUAAUGGAUUCAAACACAACGUUGAACCCAAUACCCCGAUUGCUAGUGCAUCGCCGGCUUCCAGUAGCACAUCAGUGGAAUCUGUGAAAGAUAGUGAAACUCAUUUGACUCUUAAGUACAUAAGUGAGAUGCUCAAGGAGGGGAAGUUGGAGGAGAAAAACUAAAUGUUUGCCGGAUUGACUGGCCACCCUCUGGGCCAAAGAAAAAAAAAUCAGCGUGAUGUCCUCUAUUAGAAGGGGACCCUUCCGACCACCAAAAAAAAAAAGUACUUGCCAACCAGCAAUAAUUUGGCCAACCAGUGAGAUCAAGUCUUCAUUUGAGAUUAAUUUAGCCACUUUAGACCCUUAUUUAAAAUAAUGUCCAUCUUAGGCAAUCUUUUGAAAAAAUAACCCACUUUAGAUGCUCAUUCAAAAAAAUUUCUUACUUUGCCAAAAAUUAGUCAUAUGAAGUGCAUGAUGGUAAAUGUAUACAAAUUGCUGAAUCUUUUUGUAUGUUACCAAGGUAAGAUUUUGCUAUAGUGCCAAACAUCCAAAUAGGUUGAUAAUUUACUAUUUAUAUUUUCAUCGUUAAAUUCCUUCAAUAGAUGGCAAUUCUUCGCCCACUUGUAAAUUUACCAAUUUAAUAAAAUCUUGCUAUGUAAUGUACGAGUAUUUUUCACUGAACCAUCCGACUUCGUUGGGCUUGAAUAUGACUCAUUUGAUUUCAUUUGUGUAAUGCUUGCAGAUAUUACUUUCGUUGGUGUUUUUUUUUAUUGCUCUACUUUCUAACACAUGAUAGUAAGGCCGAGUACCGGUCUAGGGUCAACCCUAGACUAAUCUUGGACUAGCCCAAUCCGGCCAACACUGGGUCUGUGUCCUUAGUCCCAGAACCCAAAUUUCUUGAAAAAAUUUCAAAUAAGGGUCCAGGGUUCUAUCAAUUUCUUAAAAAAAGAUUUAAAGUGUAUUUUUUUUUUCCCAAAAAAAGACCUAAAGUUGCCAUAGGAGUUUCAGAUAAAGGUCUACCUCACCGACUGGUUAAAUAUUCUGGCCAAAAUUUUUUUGUCCAAAGACAAUUUUAAACCAAAUUUUAAUUAAAUUAGUUUAAAAAUUAAUCUAAAAGCUUUUCAAAAAAAAAUAUAGAUGCAAUGUGGGGCCCUCACCAUUGGUCGGCAAGGGUUGUGGCCCUCAUCGAGGUACUUGCAACCUCGACGCCCUAUCGGCUAGGGGUGAAAGAUUUUAGGUUCAGUACAUAUUCCACUUAAGACUUGAAACUUACACAUUGGAACACAUUCCUUAUUUUUUGGAACUUGAAACUUAACUUGCAUAUCCUAAAACCUAAAACUUACCAUGUCACAAGUUCUAAGGUCGAUCCUAUGGUCUAUCUAGGUUCCAUCUAUAUUAUCAAUUGACCGAUUGCAAUGAAUUAAACCUUUAAUAAUCACCACUUGUUGCUACAAUUUACUUCAUAACUUAUAUUCAAACACACGAAAAAUAUGGACAUUAAUAUAAAAUGGAAGCUCAGACUAGUGCUUUUAGAUUAUACAUUCAUCAUCGAAUGACAUGGAAUAUCACAAAAUCGCAUGAAGAUAUGGACUAAGAAAAAUAUUAAAACUUGUUCUAGAUUAUAGGUUCCAAUUUCAAGUUCCAAGUUCCUCUAAUCAAGAGCCUAAAACCUACUCGUCGAAAUAGAUUCCUCAUUUUUGGGAGACUAGAAUCUAUCUUGCAUAUAUUGGAACUUGGAAUCUACAAGUUCUCAUCGAUCUAAUUCUCAAGUUACAAGUUCUACUUUAAAACCAUGCUCACCUCCACUACCAACAAUGGGUCAGCAAUCACAACCUUGGGUUUUUAUUUUUUUGUGUAAGUUUCUUUAUUUUUUUUUAUUUCUUUUUAUGUUUUUACCUCUUUUUUUUUCUUUUUUGAUUUUGUCUUUUUAUGGAAUUUUUUUUGGAGUUUUUAAGCCUAAUUUAAUUAAGAUUUUGUGUGAAAAUUAGGAUUCGGAUUAAAACGAUAUCGUUUUAUCACUUUAGUUAACCUUAAAGUACGUAGAACGCUACGUGGAAGAGAUAAGAUAUUUAAAAAGUUAGGUCAACAUUUUUCGUUAGUUAAGUUAAAUGGAGUUAGUGGAAAAACUCAAUUUUUAAACAAAAUUGAGUCUGCCUGUGGCUUUCAAGGGUAGCCUUGCUCGAGUAAGGUGAGGGCGACCCUCACCUGGCCCUCUCCACGUAUGGUUGGUGGCCUUCAAACCAGCCACUGAUGAAAAAGAAAAAAUAAGAAUAAGGAAAAAAGAAAAAAGGAAAGAAAACAAAAAAGAAAAUAAAGAGGGAAAUGCCAUUGACUAGCCAAUAAGGUCGUGCCCUUUUUUGGGGCACAUAUUUGCAAUAACAUUCACUUAAUUCCUUUAUUUAGAACCUUUCCUAAUUUCUUUUUUCACCAACUCUUAAAAAAAGAAAAAGGAAAUUCCCUUUUGAAGGCCACACGUGAUCGAUGCCCGUCCUUAAGAUUGCCGUCUCUAAUAGUUUUGCGUUCAUUAUCCUCUUUUCUUUUCUCUCUUUCUUCCAGCACGUUCAGCUCUGUCAUUUCAGACAAUUCAGCGGAGCCUUUUCCUAGGGUUGUUGAGAAAAAUAUCAAAUACAAUGUCAAGUCAUUGAGCCCUCUUUUGUCGAGAAUAGCAGCUGUCAAAUGGCCUCAUACGCAUCUCACUUCAGACCCAACAGGCUGCCUACGGUGGGCCCAUUCCAGUUUGAUCCCCGCAAAUUUUCAGCAAAAACCGGUCCUCUUCCUUUGCUGAAACCAGUCCCACUUCUAGCUCUGACAGCCCUUUUCUAGUUUUGUUUACAUUAAAAUAAGGCCUUGAGUUUGAACCAGUUAAUUAACACGGUCCAAAGCAAGUCCGAUCGAAUUGAUGAAAUUCGACCGCCUCUUCGAUUUGGUUCGAACCUGCAAUAGAUUCCUUACAUGUGUGUUCAACCGCUACACAUGAAGUUUGUCGUCUACUUUCGUUGAAUUCUCUUCACAAGCAGCAGCAACAUCUAAUGAAGAGCCUUCUUCUAGUAGUAUAAUUUUAUAGAGGAGGAGCUAAUGAUUGAGUAGAAAUAGGGGAGCUUGUUGGAAAAUCUUGUCAACACGAGAAGCAAAUACAAAACAAAAGAAAGAGUAAUCAUUGGUUCUGGUGGCCCCUCGGUCUUUUUAUUUUUUUAUUUUUUUUUUAUUUUGUCUUUUCUUUUUCUUCCGUUUAUCUGACCGGAAGGGAUUCUCUCUCUUUGGUGUAUAUUAUGAAAUUUGUUCCAUAAACACCGUGGGUAUUUGGUGUAAUUAUGGGACUGGAAAUUACUUAAAAGUGUGUCAUCAAUUGUAAUCGUGUGUUCUCCAAUUUACUAGUAGGUCAUUAACAGCUUACUCUUUUUACUAAUACAAGUUUCAACAUUUGUAUCGUAUGACAAUAAUUUCUUGUGUCAUUUAUUAUUUCUCAUUUUAUUUUCUCUGAAAAUUUUCAUGUGUCCAUAUAAUUGUGAAGGUUAUGCAUAUUCAAUGACCCUCCAAGAAUAACCUAAUAUGGGGAUGAAUUGAAGUAAAGAGUUGCCAAUGUUCAGUUCUUCUUUAAAGUAAAAAUCAUUGAUAUUCCCUAUAUGGAGGAAAGAAAAAUAUACACAUGCAAUUAGAGAAUGCAGGACGUGUAGGCACUGGCAUGUCAAAAUAAGGAAUGCAGCCCUACUAAGUACCACACAAGAUGGGACCAUCGUUUAUCAUUCCUCAUUAUAUUUUCUUUGAAAAUUUUCGUGUGUCCAUAUAAUUGCGAAGGCCCGGUCCCUUCUCUGACGGUUUACUGCAACCUCCAGCUGUAUUCACGCCAUUCUAGGUGGACAUUGAUAUAGCUAGUAUAAGCACCUGGAGGGGGGUGAAUAGGUGUAAAAAUAAUUUCUUGAGAUAUGAAAACAAUACUAGACAAAUCAGAAAGGAAGCUCUCCUUUAGUUAACAAAUCGAACUAUGAUUAAAGUAAAGUAGAGAGUAGGGAAGAGAAAAUUGAACACAAAGUUUAUAGUGGUUCGGUUUAUUCCAAGCCUACGUCCACUCUUCUGCACUGACAGCCCACUGGCUGGAUUUCACUAUGAACAAAAGAGAUGUUACAGCACUGCUUUCCCUUGAUUCCACAGUGUAGAUAUUCUAUCACACUUCCUCAAGGUAUCUCAAAAUAUAGACUCUCUUUUGUGUACAAGAUUUCGCUCAGUAAAUAAAUUGACUAAAAAUCAAAAAGCUUCAGACUUUGGAAUUCUUCUAUCGUGCACACCUCGAACAACUGGAAUGACUUCCUUUUAUACUCCUUUGUGCCAUCAUAUCCGUUGGCACUUACCAAAGGAAUUCUUUCAAUCCUCCCGUUGGACAGAAUCAAUUAGGAAGAUUAUUCGAGCUAUUAAAGGAACAUGUCGAUAGCCUAUCAAUCCUGCUCGCCUAUACAAUCAGGAUCUUGGUUUCCAUAAGUAGAACCUUCCAAGAAUACUUCGUCAAUCAUUGGAUCUUUAAUCAUUCUUGAUUUGAAUAAAGGAAUCCGUUAUGUCAUAUCCAGCCAAGAGAUCUUCUCCAGUUGAUAAGGCCAAAUCCUUAAUGAAGCAGUUUUGGAUAGCCUUUCUUCAACGGAUUAGAAACUGUCAAUAAGAAUAGACUUUGAGUCUUGAGUCAGGUAGUCUGGAGGUCUUCAGACUUUAAUAGAAGAGUCUGGAAAACUUCAGACUAGACUGAUAGAAACGUUUUGUCAGCUUCAAAAUAUUCCAGAAAGAUUUCUCCAACAAUCUCCCCCUUUUUGAUGGUGACAAAACUUUCCUGCAGAUUUUAAUAACUUUGACCUGCAAAACAUUACUCAAGCAAAUAUGGAUAUCUCAUAAAGAUUAAUAACUUAAUGAUAACACUAGAAUCUGCAACCACAGAAAAUAGGUUAGUCUUGCAUGAGAGUAAAUCCAUUUAUAAGAUAUCAAUAGUACUUAAUAUAAACAACAGUCAAAUCCAAAUCCACGUUCAGUCAAUCCUCAUCCAGACACAGACACACAAGUCAAACAUCAAAACAAACUAAAAAUUCAACAAGUUUAAGUUCAAAGAUUUCAAAUUUCACAUCUCUCCCCCUUUUUGUCAUCAUAAAAAAGAAGUUGAGAUGGGAAUAGAAUGAAGUCAAGUUUGCUUGGGAAUGCGAACAAGAUGGAAAUCUCCCAUGGACUGGAUGAUGCCUUCCAGCUUUUUCAAUUCUUCCUUCAGUUGAUCCACCUCUUCACCUUUAGCAUUGGCUUGAAUCUGAAGAGUAAGGGCUUGGAUCUGCUCAGACAAUGAAACGGAAGAAGCUUGACCAGCAUUCUUCAAGUUCUGAACUUCGCUUUCCAAAGCAUAUAUCUGACCCCGCAAUUCCAAAAGAACAUUAAUGAUUCUGCAAAAAUCUGCUGAGUUAUCAGUCUACGUAUUGGCUUCGGCAUGAUUUGAUGGAGUAAAGGCAGACGAUGGUAUAUCAGCAUAAUCACGUAGAUUUGGCGAUGAAGCACCAUGUCCCUCCUCAGGAAAUUGAGAGGCAUGAAUGUCUUCUGGAUCUGCUGGAGAGCGACUGACUCCUUCACUGGUAACAGGAUAUGAGGACAUUCCUCUAUUUUCACCAUCUCCCCCUGUUUCCAUGGCUUCAAGUGGAGAAGAGUUUUCCUCAUGCUCUCCUUCCUCUUGAUUUUCUCUUUCUUCUUCUUCUUCAAACCUUUCCUCGUCUGUUUCUUUUUCUUCAGCUUCUUUCUCCUUUUCUUCCUUCUCCUCUGCUUCUCUCUCCUUUGCUUCUGUUUCUUCUUCUUUCUCCAGUUCUUCUCUCUCCUCUGCUUCUUUCUCCUGUCGUUCCAUUGAUUCAGGAACAGAAUGACUCAGCUUCUUUAAUGCUAUAGCAAAAAUUGUGAGGUCAUCCUCAUCAUCUUCAUCAAUAAUGAGAGCUUUUCUUUUCUUAGAUGGAGCAACCAUGGGUUCCUUCCCUUUCCUUUUCGUUGCUGAAGAGACUUGAUGAGAUUUGACAGGGGUUUUCUCCUUAAAUUUCUCCAACGCCUUGUCAAGCUCUUUCAGACGCAUUUUGGACACCAUUUUUAGUCCUACCACCAUUUUGUUAUAAGGUCGAACACAGAGAAUUUGUGGAUGCUGAAUAUUCAAAUGUCUGAAUAUCUUUGACACAAGACCUGGAUAAGGAAGUUGGCCCUUGUCCUUUACCACUGCUCUAUACAUGUGAAACAGAAUAGUGUGAGGAAGAGAACUUUUUCCCAGCAUUGAUGACAUACAUCAGCUUUGCCUCUAAGUUAGAAACAUUAGUCUUGGAAGUUGAUUUCGGUUUGAGGCAAUUGAUCACAAUCUUGUGAAGCAGAAUGUUGAACGCAUGCAUCCUUGAGUAGGAACUUCCCUUUGUCAUUCUGUCUUUAACAAGUUCCAAUGUGGCACGAGCUAUAGAGACACUGAUGGGUUGAUAUCUCCCUCUCUCAACCCCAAUAACAUAUGCCAACAUAUCCACAUCCACUACAAAGUCCUGAUCUCGGACACUGAAAGAGAUUCUAUUUGCAUUAAAGAAAAUUGAACUUUUCCCACAAAUUGACAUUCAUAGCAUCAAGGAAAUCAAAAUCUACACACAGAACUGUUCAAGUUGAAGAAAACUAAACUUUUCCCGCAAAUUGACAUUCACAGCAUCAAGGAAAUCAAAAUCUACACUCCUAGGGUUUAUCACCCCACGCUUCAACAAUUUGGAGUAUAGAUUUUUUGUUCCCUCGAUCUAAACAACUUUGUUCUUUUUCCUCAAAUUUUCGCCGCAACACCCAUUUUCGGUUGAAAUUGGAUGUACAAUAUGUCAUCAUCAUUUCCAUCUAUCGGAUUAAAUCCCCUAACACACAGAUCACUUGGGAUAUUUGCAAGGGUUUUUUCUGCCAACCCCUUAGGAGCAAUUUCCAAACUCUCUAUUUUUCGCAAAAAUAUGUACUCAUUCCCAUAUCCCUUGUCCUUAAGAAACUCAUCGAUGUAGUUCAAUGGAGUACCAAUACUCUUUAAAGCACGGUAAAUCUUAUAAAUAAAAGAGGGCUUUUGAACUCUUAUAGGAUCUGCGUCUUCGACGAUUUCUUCCUCUUGUUGAUGAACAGCAUUCUGUGGACUAGAUGGUGGAGAAUGACGCUGCUGAGAAUGUUGUGGGCUCUGCUGCUGACUUGGUGACUCCUCUUCCUCGGUGAGAUCAAAGUGAGUAGGCCCCUUACUCAUUCGCCGUGGUCCCCUGCUUGCGAUCCUCGAAGACUUUCUUGAAGAUGACAUCUUUCUUAGUCUUUGAGAGAUUCCUUGCUUGACUUUCCCAAGAAAGAUGUCAACUUUUUCGAAGAUUAAACAAGAGAGAAAGACAGGAAUGGAAGAUCGAUGCUUUUUAGGGUUUUCGAGUUAAGUGAAGAGGAAUCGUCUGUAUAUAGUUUAGUCGAAGAGAGGCAUACCAAACGUUGUAAACGAAAGUAAAAGAUGCCCCUUUUAAAAAUAACUGCAUUUAAAAAAAAUAGAUAACUGCCAACUUUGAAAUAUUAACUCCUUUUUGAAAAAGAAAAAUUGCACUUUUCACAGAAAUUGAAGAUAGCAUAGAUCAAUUAUAAAUAGAUAAAUGAUCGUACCUUUCCGAGAUAAGAGAAAAUAAAAUAACUUACAGUCAAGAACCAUGAUUGUCUGAGACUGUGAGUCUCUAGACUUUAACUUCUUCAAGCUUCAAGAUGUUGAGUUUGGAACAGAUGAUUUCAAAUUGAUUUUUCUCCAAAGGCUUCGUAAAUAUAUUCGCCAGUUGAUUCUUUGAGUCAACAAACUGAAUCGAAACUUCUCCAUUUUGAACAUGAUCUCUAAUGAAGUGAUGUCGAAUUUCUAUAUGCUUUGCUCUUGAGUGAAGAAUUGGAUUUUUGGUAAGAUUGAUUGCACUGGUGUUGUCACAGUUAAUCUCCGUGCAUGAAUCUUCAAUUCCAAAGUCUCUUAAUUGUUAUUUUAUCCACAAAAUUUGUGAACAACAACUUUCGAGAACUACAUAUUCUGCUUCUACAGUAGAAAGAGCUACUGUAUUUUGCUUUCUUGAAAACCAAGACACUGUCCUGCUUCCAAGUAAUUGACAAGUACCCGAAGUGCUCUUUCUAUCAAUUAUGCAACCAGCUAGAUCUGCGUCUGAAUAUCCAAGGAGAGUAAAGUCUCCCUUUUUAGGAUACCAAAGGCCGAUACUUGAAGUUGAAGCAAUGUAUUUGAUAAUACGCUUUGCAGCACUUAGAUGAGAUUCUUUAGGGUCUGCUUGAAAUUUGUCACAAAUGCAAAUACUAAACAAAAUGUCAGGUCUAGAAGCAAUAAGAUAAAGAAGUGAACCGAUGAUACUCCUGUAUAGCUUAUGGUCAACUUUCUUUCCUCCUUCAUCUUUGUCUAUCUUCAAGGAACUUGACAUUGGUAUAUCAAUCUUUUUGUAAUUUUUCAGUCCAAACUUUUUGACAAGAUCAUUAGGAUAUUUUUCUUGAUGAAUAAAAGUCCCUUCCUUCAAUUGUUUCACUUGAAGUCCAAGAAAGUAGGUUAGUUUACCCAUCAUGCUCAUUUCAAAUUCAUCCUGCAUAGACUUAGAGAAUUUCUUGCACAAACUUUCAUUAGAGGAUCCAAAAAUGAUAUCAUCAUAAUAUAUUUGAACAAGCAGAAAAAUUUUGCUUUAUCUUUUGAUAAACAGAGUAGUGUCUACUUUAUCUUUUUCAAAGCCAUUUUGAAUUAAAAACUUACUCAGCCUGUCGUACCAAGGUCGAGGUGCUUGCUUUAAUCCAUACAAGGCUUUUUUCAGUCUGAAUACUGGGUCUGGCUUCCUUGGGUCUUCAAACCUAGGUGGUUGUUCCACAUAGACUUCCUCAUGGAUAAAUCCAUUUAGGAAAGCACUUUUGAUGUCCAUUUGGAAUAACCUGAAAUUCUUAUAACAAGCAAAAGCAAGUAAUAAUCGAAUUGCUUCUAAUCUUGCUACUGAUGCGUAAGUCUUGUCAUAGUCUAUCCCUUCUUCUUGCGUAUAUCCCUUGGCCACGAGUCUUGCUUUGUUUCUUACGACUUUACCUUUCUCGUUCAUCUUGUUCCUGAAAACCCAUUUAGCUCCAAUAAUAUAUUUACCUUUCGGUUUAGGAGUCAACUCCCAGACAUUAUUAAUACUGAAUUGUCUAAGUUCUUCUUGCAUAGCUUCAAUCUAGCUUUCAUCAGAUAAAGCUUCUUCUAUGCUUUUUGGUUCAAUUUCAAAAAUAAGAGCCACAGCACUAGACUCUUCGCGCCUUUUGGAUCUUGUGCGAAUUCUUUCAUUAAUGUCGCCAAUAAUGAGGUCUUUGGGAUGACUGGACUUAUGCUUCCAGUUACUGGUUGAUUUGUCAGGUUGAUGAUCACUUCCUUCAUUUGAAUCUUCAAUAACCAUUUGUUGCUCGUCUUUCAGAGUCUGAGUUGCUUCUUGAGAUUUAGACUUUGUAGAGUCUGGAGCAGCUUCAAAUUUUUCAAGAUAAGUCUGAGCAGAUUCAUUUUGCAUAGAAUCUUGGAAUUUGACAUUUAUUGAUUCCUCCACAGAUUGACUCUUCUUGUUAUAGACUCUGUAGGCUUUGCUUGAGGUAGAAUAUCCAAGGAAGAUUCAUUCAUCUGAUUUUUCUUCAAACUUACCAACUCUAUCAUUUGCAUUUUUCAAUAUAAAGCAUUUGCAUCCGAACACAUGAAAAUAUGAAACAAUAGGCUUCUUUCCUUUGAAUAACUCAUAGGGGUUUUUUUUUUUUCCAGAAUAGGCCUUAGAAAAACUCUAUUGAUAAUGUAACAUGCUGUUGAAACUGCUUCAGCCCAAAAACGUGAAGAUAUGUUACUUUCAAUUAAAAGAAUUCUAGCCAUUUCUUGAAGCGAUAUGUUCUUUCUUUCCGCAACUCCAUUUUGCUCUGGAGUAUAUGGAGAAGAGAACACAUGCUGAAAACCAGAUUCAUUACAGAAUUUUAUAAAAUCAUGAUUUUCAAAUUCACCUCCAUGAUCUGUUCUUAUACUCGAGAUAACAUACCCUUUUUCAUUUUGAAUCUUUUUUGCAAACUUUUCAAAGUAAGAGAAAGUUUCAGACUUACUUGCUAAGAAAUAUACCCAAGUAAACUGUGAGUAAUCAUCCACAAUUACUAGGCAAUAUUUCUUACCUCCAAUGCUCUGAAUUCUGGUUGGUCCGAAAAGGUCCAUAUGCAGAAGCUGUAAUACACGAUUAGUGGAAACUUGAUUUAUUGGUUUAAAGGAAUUUCUUACCUGCUUUCCCAAUACGCACGGUGUACAUAGAUCAGACUUUUGGUAUGACAAUUUGGGUAGACCAUGAACAAGCUUCUUUGCUGAAAUUUUGGCUAUUUGCUUCAUAUUGAUGUGCCCAAGCUUUCUGUGCCAUAAGCUCGCUUCAUCUUGAAUUGAGAUUAGACAUUACGAUUCAUCUGGUUUCACAUCCAAGAGGUAGAUAUUUCCAUGUCUUCGGCUCAUGAAUGACUGAGUAGAAUCUUUAUUGGUUCCUGAACAUAUUCCCUCUUGAAAGUUGAUUUUGAAACCAGUAUCACAUAGCUGACUGAUACUGAGUAAAUUGUAGUUGAGUCAUUCCACUAGGGAAACAUUGCUUAUAAUGAGAUUUCCAAUCUUUACAGUUCCAAAUCCCACAAUUUUUCUUUUGCUGUUUCCUCCAAAUGAGACUUUUCCACCAUUUACUUGAAUGAGUUUUAUGAAGCAAUUUGAGUCUCCUGUCAUAUGUCUUGAGCAUCCACUAUCCAGAUGUCAUUUUACCUUUUUCUUGAUAGUAACCUGUAUUUAAAAGAGAGACUCAAGCUUUCUUUGGUACCCAUAUUUUCUUAGGUCCAUUGGUGUUAGUAUGGUAUGCGGUUUUUGCCCAUACUUUCUUAACAGGUUUCCAAACCAUAGGACACUCUUUUUCAAAAUGAUUUGCACUAUUGCACUUUGAACAUCUGAGAGCAUUUUGACCCACUGGUUUUACAAACACUUUUUGAAAAUGAUUUUUGUAAAAUGUCUUUGAAUGUCUUUGCUUAAUUCUUUCCUUCACUUUAGGAAAAUCAAUUAAAGUGAUGGUUUCUACUGUCAUUCCUAAACCAGAUUUAUUGAAAUAAGGUCUUUGUGCUGAAAGAAUUUUUUCAAGUUUCUCAGAUCCUAUUGAAAAUCUUUUUGAAAUAUUUGAUAAGUCAUUUUUUAAAAAUGCAUUUUCUUUCAAGAGAUUAUCUUCGCUUUCUUUAAGAGUAGAAACAUUCGUGUCUAAAUGUUUCAACUUUUCUUUCAAAACAUUUUCCUGUUGUUUUAGUGCAGAGUUUUCCUUUUUAAGUUCGGAAAUCCUUUUAAGAGAAGUCUUAACACUAAAACAUAGCUCAUCAAUGUAUUUGGAAACUUUAACAGGGAUUUUAAAGUUACUUACCUCAAAUUCACUGUCUGAAUUUGAGUCUGUCUCGGACUUUGAUUCAGAAUCCGAUUGUGCCAUCAGACAUAUAUUGGCAUAAUCAUCAUCACUUUCUUCACACUCUGUAUCACUCCAGGUUUCUGCUUAAGAGCCUUUCGAUACUUUUCAGCUUUUCCUUUCUUCUUUUUUAGAAGAGGACAGUUGGGUCUAAUGCGUCCCUUUUUCUUACAUUCAAAGUAGACUACAUCUUUGUUUGAUUCAUCAUCAUCAACAGACUUGGUCUAUUGCUUUUGAAAACUCUGUUUCUUUGGAUUGAAUCUUCUUCCUUUUCUGUUAAGCUUUCUGAAUCUUCUUAUCAUGAGAGCAAGCUCCUCAUCAUCCAUAUCGUCUUCAUAAUCUGUGACAUCAGAAUCAUCAUUGGAUUUUAAUGUAAUGGAUUUCUUACCUUUAUGAUCUUCGUCUUCAUUAAUUCGUUCCACUUCAUAAGACUGAAGACUUAAUGUAAUGGAUUUCUUUGUGUCUCUCUUAUUGAGGUCUUUAUGUGAUUCCAAUCCUUGGAGAGUCCACGUAGUAACUUGUUUACAUUCAUGGGAUUAGAAAUUGGUUGACCUUGAUUUUGAAGACCAUUCACGAUUUCUGUAAAACGACUAAACAUAUCAGUUAUAGAUUCUCCCGAUUUCAUUUUGAAGGCUUCAUAUUGACCGGGGAGAAUGUUGAUUCUGGUCUCUUUCACUCGAUCAAUUCCUUCAUAGGUGAUAUGUAAUCUAUCCUAGACUUCUUGCUGUAACACAAGAAGAUAUUCUGUUAUAUUCAUAAGAUGAUAAAGCACAAUAUAAAGAAUAAAUUGCUUUUGCAUCAAGAGCUUGUCUCUUGAUUAUCUCUUCCUGAUUCAUUUCACUUGACUCAACAGUUUCUUUUCCUCUAUUUGUGACAGAUGCAGCUUUAGGAGUGAUUCCUUUUUCUACAACGUCCCAUUCCAGAGGAUCUUUUGAUCGUAGAAACGCUUUCAUCUUGUUUUUUCAGAUGUUGUAAUCCUUUCCAUCAAAAGUAAGGUGGUCUGGUAUUGCUCUGCCCUUCCACCAGCCUUGGAGCUAGCAUACUAGCCAUGAAUCUUUAACUCUGAAGUAAAACACUUCAACCAAAGUGAGUACACAGGCUUUGAUACCAAUUGAUAUAACUAGUAUAAGCACCUAGAGGGGGUGAAUAGGUGUAAAAAUAAUUUCUCGAGAUAUGAAACAAUACUAGACAAAUCAGGAAGCUCUUCUUUAGUUAACAAAUCGAACUAUAAUUAAAGUAAAGCAGAGAGUAGGGAAGAGAAAAUUGAACACAAAGUUUAUAGUGGUUCGGCUUAUUCCAAGCCUACGUCCACUCUUCUGCACUGACAGCCCACUGGCUGGAUUUCACUAUGAACAAAAGAGAUGUUACAGCACUGCUUUCCCUUGAUUCCACAGUGUAGAUAUUCUAUCACACUUCCUCAAGGUAUCUCAAAAUAUAGACUCUCUUUUGUGUACAAGAUUUCGCUCAGUAAAUGAAUUGACUAAGAAUCAAAGAGCUUCAGACUUUGGAAUUCUUCUAUCGUGCACACCUCGAACAACUGGAACGACUUCCUUUUAUACUCCUUUGUGCCAUCAUACCCGUUGGCACUUACCAAAGGAAUUCUUCCAAUCCUCCCGUUGGACAGAAUCAAUUAGGAAGAUUAUUUGAGCUAUUAAAGGAACAUGUCGAUAGCCCAUCAAUCCUGCUCGCCCAUACAAUCAGAAUCUUGGUUUGCAUAAGUAGAACCUUCCAAGAAUACUUCGUCAAUCAUCGGAUCUUUAAUCAUUCUUGAUUUGAAUAAAUGAAUCCAUUAUGUCAUAUCCAGCCAAGAGUUCUUCUCCAGUCGAUAAAGCCAAAUCCUUAAUGAAGCAGUUCUGGAUAGCCUUUCUUCAAUGGAUUAGAAACUGUCAAUGAGAAUAGACUUUGAGUCUUGAGUUUGGUAGUCCGGAGGUCUUCAGACUUUAAUAGAAGAGUCUGCAAAACUUCAGACUAGACUGAUAGAAACGUUUUGUCAAUUUCAAAAUAUUCCAGAAAGAUUUCUCCAACAGACAUCACUAGGGAUGGUGCUAGUUUGGAAGCUAGUUUGGUUCUUUAAUUCUCUAGUUCAAUUCUUGUUUGCUUCUAGUCCAGUUGGGAUUAGAUGGUGGCUGGCUUAGGGGCUUAACUAUGGGCAAUUAGAAGAUGGCAAUGGGAAUUAAAAAUAAAAAAAAGGAAAAGUGAGUUUCUCGGAUCAGACUUGAGCUGACCGCGCAAUCGCGCGGAAACGGAAAAUACAUGCUCAUCGUUUAUUCAAUUGAGCUGAAAUGUGAGUUAGUCAACAGGCUGACGUAAACUUGCGUAAAAUUUUUAGGCCGAACAACUAUUAUGAAAUCCACUUUUGAAAGUCUGACAUCACCCCGACAUCACCAUUUUUCAUUUAGGCGGCCAGUACAGGAUCAGCUGAUGUUUCUUAGAAAAAUACAAAUUUAGGAAACUAUAGUUAGAAUUAGUCCAUGAACUAUAUCAUUAGAAAAGAGACUCGAAAACGCUGACCUUGAUACUUAGCUUGCAAUCUUUUGAGCUUGUUUGGGUCUUUAAUUGAUUAGGAGAAGCCAAUUCAAAAUUAUUGAGAAGAAAAUUGAGUCCAAGUAAGAAUCAUAGACUCACUGUCAAUCAAAAUAAUAGCCAUCGGCCGGUGGUUCUCAUGAGACAUUGUCCCUAGUUGAAGAGCGUAGGAGAUCCCUAAUCUUCAUAAGAUAAAUGGAUGACUUAGUCAUAUUGAAACCUAACUAUUAAUGAACUAUCAUGCCUCUAGCUUAAAUGUGCAUAAGGGACGUUGCAAGAAAAAUGAAUGUAAGGUCAUAUAAAAUGAUUGUUUUUAUAUCAAGGAUCAAACUCCGUUCUCAUUGGUGAAUUUGAUUGCUGAAAUAAUUUUCUUUGAAAAUACAUGAUGAUUUCAUCGGUGAAAAUCAUGUUUUAACAUGAUCGUGAGGAAUGUGUGGGCUUGAGAAGUAAGUGGGCCACACGAAUUGGACUUAAGAAAUUGAAUGAGAGAUUAUGGGUUUGGACUUGGCUUGAAGCGGGCCAAGGUUCAGAAUUAUUAGAUUUGUAGAUUUAGUUUAGUGGGCCGGGAUUGUUAUAGAUUAAGCCUAUUGGGCCAAGAAUGAAUAUUUAGGCCCGAAUGAUUUUAUUUUAUAGAUUAUAGUUAUGAUGACUUAAUUAUUGUUUACAAUGCUAAUAUAAAUUUCUAACUUUAGCAUUUUGUGAUGAAUUCUUUAUAGACUAACGUUGACUAGUCGAUUUGUUAUAUAUAUGUUAUGACUUUGUAUAAUUGGGAUUAAGUAGAAACAAAAGGCAAUUAGAUGAAAAUAUUAGAAGCUAAUGAACUAACGAAUGAUAUCGAUAAAUUGUUAAUUAGCGACGAUCGACAGAUGGCGAAAAUCUUCAUGCAUGAAAGCCAUGACACUUUACUCUCUCUCGAUUCUCUCAUCAACACCCACGGUUUUUCUCAAUCCAUAGAACCGAAGAUGGCAACUCCAAGGAAGCAUAAUCAUUAGCCAAACUAAUCAUUACACUAGCCUAGGGAUUAGUUUGUAGACCUAUUUACCCCGGGAUAAGUACACUAAUGAUGCCAUAAGUUGUGUACGGCGCUCACUUUGGUGCCAAAAGUUUCCGUCGGAUCACUUAAGUGCCAAAAAAUUUGAAAAAUGCUCACUUUGGUGCCAACUCCGAUCCGGUUGGCCGGAAAUCCGACGUGGCACUUUUUUAUUAAUUUUUUAAGCUAAUGUGGCUCACCGGGGGAUAAGUACACUAAUGGUGUCAUAAGUUGUGUACGGCGCUCACUUUGGUGCCAAAAGUUUCUGCCGGAUCACUUAAGUGCCAAAUCGGCGGAAAAACGCUCACUCUGGUGCCACCGACGAAAGAUUCCGGCCACCGGCGAAAGAUUCCAGCCAAAAUGAUUUUAAAAAAAAAUCGAUAGGCCUUUAAAUGACGUCGUUUUCGGUCCUCCUUAAGAAAACGACGUCGUUUUGCCCUCCUACAUGGAUGGCUUCAUGGAAACGAUGCCGUUUAGCUCACAUAAGGAUUGAAAUUAGGGUUUCCGCCGCUCGGCCACCGUCGCUCGGCCACCGUCGCUACUCGGCCACCAUCGCUCAGCCACCAUUGUAGUUGCUCGACCAGGUGAGUGAGGAGAGACUGAGAUUGUUGCAGGAAAAAUCGAAGGCGAGGGGGGAGGAGGAGGAGGAAGAAGAUGGGUCGAAGGGCUGUUGGUGCACUGCUGCUGCUGGUGCGUUGCUGGUGUCGUUGCUGGUGUGCUGCCGUUGCUAGUGUAGGUCUUCGAGGAAGAAGAAGACACAAAGACAAGCCUUCCCUCUCUCUCAAUUUGGGGAUUAGGGUUUCAAAGUUGGGGGAAAGAUGCCAAACGGCGUCGUUUUGGUGUUUGGAUGCUGACUCAACUCUCCAACGAGCCACGUCAGCUUCAAAAAUUAAUAAAAAAAGGCCACGUCGGAUUUCCGACCAAUUUCGUCGGUGUUGGCACCAAAGUGAGUGUUUUUCAAAUUUUUUGGCACUUAAGUGAUUCGACGGAAACUUUUGGCACCAAAGUGAGCGCUGUACACAACUUAUGGCACCAUUAGUGUACUUAUCCCACUCACCAGAGAAUGCACCAUUAGUGUACUUAUCCCGCUCACCGGAGAAUACAGUCAGCAUCCUAACACCAAAACAACACCGUUUGGUGUCUCCCCCAAUUCAAAACCCUAAUAUCCGGCCGUCGCCGUCCUCGACGGUCCUUGCGCUCGGCGGCCAUGGCUUCGACCCCGACCUCGACCUCGACCCCAACCUUGACAAUGGCCACUCAAUGGCAGCGGCUCUGACCUCGACCCUGACCCCAACCCCGACCCCAACCCCGACAAUGGCCACUCAAUGGCAGCGGCUCCUACCUCGACCCCGACCCCGACCCCGACCCCGACGAUAGCCACUCGGCGGCCGUAACUCCAACCCCGACGGCGACGAUGGCCACUCGACGGCCGCGGCUUAGACCCUGACCUCGACACCGACCAUGGCCACUCGACGGCCACAGCUUCGACCCCGACCCCGACCUCGAUGAUGGCCACUCGGCGGUCGCAGCUUCGACCCCGACCCCGACCCCAACCCCGACGACGCCACUCGAAAGCCAAGUUGAAACCCUAAUUUCAUCCCCAAUGAGUUAAACGGCGUCGUUUUUGUGAGGCCUUCCAUGUUGGACGGCAAAACGACGUCGUUUAAAGUCUUGUCGAUUGUAAAAAAAAAAGCCACGUAAAGUAUAUUUGGCCGGGAUCUUUCGCCGGUGGUCGGGAAUCUUUUGCCGGGUGGCACCAAAGUGAGCGUUUUCCCUCCGAUUUGGCACUUAAGUGAUCCGGCGGAAACUUUGGGCACCAAAGGUGAGCGCCGUCCACAACUGAUGGCACAGGAGUGGUACUUAUCCCUAUUUUCCCCUCUCUCUCUCUCUCUCUCUCUCUCCAUAUAAAACCGAGAAACCCUCAUCUUCAUCUUCUUCUUUCUUUUUCUCUCGGCUGAGCAGCAAAAAACCAGAAGCAAACCAGCGAUGUCUCCUUCUUGCAUGCUGAUUUUGAGUGUUGAUCUUUAAGCAUCUCUGUGUUGUUUAGUAGCUGAAGCAAGGUAAGGAAAGAUCAAAUCUAAAUUGAAAGUUAUCCAUUGUUUCAUCAAGGGAGCUUGAGGAUCUAACCAAACAGUGAUGGAUAUAGUUUGUAGUUGUUGUUUUGUGAUUGAUCUAAGCUUAGUGAGUGUUAGAUUGAAGGUAGGAGCUAUUGCAUGUCACUCUUGAGUCUUGCAUGUCUCGAAAUCCAAGUGUGAGUAUGCUUUUUUGUUGAGCGAAGUGAUGAAAUGGAUGCCGAGUGUGUUGUUUUGGUAGAAAUCAUGAUAAGUGGCUUACGGAUGCAACGACACUUCGAGCCGAGUUGUGAAAUUGAUCAUUUGUUAGAGAAAGAUAUGCUGAAGUUGCUUUGAGUUGCUGUGAGUAAGCAUUGGAGUACUGUAGAAGAUAUUUGUGGAUAGACAAGUUGUUUUGUUGAGUUAGAAGUGAGAAAAUUUGUGUAUCUAUUCUGUUCUAAGUGAAAACAGUUAUGGAGUCUUCUGCUUGUGUUUAAUUUUCUUUAUGUAUGCUAAUAGAAAUAAGAAAGAAACCAUUCUACAUGAUAGAACGUCUAUAAUAUCAAGUUAUACACGUAGCUAUAAUCAUAUGACUAUAAAAACAUAGAGACAGAAGUGUACUUAGGAAAACCAGUAAACUGUUCUUGUGAGAAACGGUUUGACCUUUACUGAUUAUGCGAAUUUUCUGUAUUCACCUAGUUAGAUUUGGACUUCGAAUCCUUAAUGAAAAUUGUAUAAAACAUCUUAAGGAAUGACGUGUCAAAAUUUGAGACUAAAUCGAUAAGAAUUGGCUAGUGAAACAAUUUUCUUUGUAAAUACGAAAUUUGGACGUCGAUACAGGGUGCUAGUAAAGAUUAUGGCAAUUGUUACUCUUAAUACAGUGAGAAUCAGACUUAAGUUUCUUCACGGGAAUUGUUAGUCUAUGUCUUAAAUAUAACAUACUAAAAUUUGGUAGUAUUUAGACAAGAAUUGAUAUACCUUUUGUAUCCGAAACCGAAACUGUACAUUUAGUUAGGAAACUGUCUAGACCCGAGAACAUAUAUUAGAGGUUGUGUCUUUUAUAUUAGGCUUUUGUGAUGCACGUAGAGUCUAAUAAACCUCAUAAUAGCAGUUAUUCAUAUAAGAGUAAGUCUCAUAUAUCGUGUGAGAUAUAAGUGCAUAUAGUAUCAUGUGUGUGCAAUGAGUGCGGUGCAUAGUGCUUGAUUAUGGGAUAAAUAUCUGUUCGCCAUGGAAUGGGAAAUGACGUAAUGGGUUUAAUCUUAUAAUUUGGACAUGCACGUGUGCUAGUUUCAUGAGAGUUAGUUAUAUACUUUGGAGUCUUUUCUUUUGCAUAAGAUAAAUGCAUUAAUCAAAGGUGUGGUGGUGUGAAACGUGUGCUUAAGAUGAAUGAACCCACCGGUACCGAGAUACCGGUGAUGCCCCUGGAAGUUUGGGAUGCCCCUGCUGCGUGGUCUUGGAUGCCUCGGUAGAGAGAUAUUGAGAUGCCUCAGAGUGAGAUGCCCUUGUUUGUGAUCAAGGAUGCCUCGGUUGUGUGAUACCGGGAUGCCUCGGAGUGAGAUGCCCCUUGCUGUGUGGUCUUGGGAGGACCUCAGUUGUAUGAUGCCGGGAUGCCUCGGAGUGAGAUGCCCAUAAUUAGAGAUAUUGUGGAAGUCCGGAUAACGUACUUUCCGGAAGUGACUCGAUCGGCUAGUUGAAUUCCGGUUAGUGAUUGAUCGAGGGUGGAUUUUAUGCACACUAAAUAUAAUUCUAUUUGGUGAGUGAGUUCAUUUAUUAUUAUUGUUGCAUUACAUCUUGAUAUGAGAUUGAGUUUGAGAAAGGUAAGCAUAUAAAUGGAUGCUCAUAAGGUGAUUAUGUACAUAUUGUGUUAUUAUCCAAUUGUUUAUGCUGGUGAUAUACUUCCUUUAGCAUCCUAAAUUGUUUGAUGAUUCACUUGUAACUUUGAUGGCUAUGGAUUGUUUAAGUUAGAGUUUUAUCAUUCUUUACUGGGCAAUGUUGUUUGCUCAUACCUUACAUUUUCAAAUUGAUAGCAUGGAUGUACCGCCAAUAGCUCGAUACAAGGUGGUAGUGCAUCUUGAUGUUUCUCUUCAUGACGUGUAUGAUCCUGACAUUGACAUGGUUUUCUCCAAAUAUGAGGCGACUUUAUGGCUGGAUGACGGUAGAGCUGAGUUAUUACCGAUGACGUUCGUUGCAUGGUUUAUCAACCAUGAAGGGGAGAUGUUCGGACCUUUACCCUUUGGAGCUGGAGGACCUGGAGCGGGGAUGGAUGGCGCCUAGACGCCUUUGAUCUUGUUGUAGCUGACUGACUUUUGUUUUUUGUUAGACGUGGGCUUGUGUGGGAAGCUCAUGGAGUAGAUAACGUCACCCAUAUCCCUGGCUUUUGUUAUGCCUUACUUUUGUUUUGUAUAUGAUGUAAAUAUAUAGGUGAAGAACAUGGAAUGAGUCCAGGUUGAUAAUUUUGUAUGUACUGAUGAUGAUAAAAUGAAAGGAAGCCUUUUAUGAUCUUGUCUAUGUGCAUUGCAGGAUAACCUUAUAAUAUAAAUUUAGGAUUUUAAAUAAUCCAUGUUAUACAUGCUAACCUUCAAUGGUAAAUACUAUGGGUUAUUUAAAGGAGAUUACUAGUUAGGAAGAUAAUAAUAAUAAUAACUAUAAUUCCGCUUGCGCUUUGUACGUGACACCCUGGGACGUCACAGCUGCUCGUUACAUCUUGUUUACAAAAACACUGUAACAAGCAGCUGUGAUGUCCUAGAGCGUCACGUACUAAGCACAAGCGGAAUUAUAAUUAUCAUUAACAUCUUACCUAACUUAUAAACUCCUUUAUAUAACCUAUAGUGUUUACCAUUGAAGGUUAGCAUGUAUAACAUGGAUUAUUUAUAUCUCAAGUUUAUAUUAUGAGGUUAUCCUGCAAUUCACUCUACCUUCAAUUCAAGUAUUGGCCAAAUCAUUCAUGCACAUAAAAAAGAACACAAGAAACUUCAUUACUUCUUUUCAUCAUCGGGGCUUACAAAAUUUAUCAACCUGGACUCUUUCCACGUUCAUCGCCUAUAUAUACAACAUAUACAUUACAAAAGUGAGGCGUAACACAAGCCAUGUAUAAAGGGGUGAGGGAAUCUACUCCAUGAGUUCCCAUACCAGCCCGCAUCUAACAAAAAACAAAAGUUAGUCAGCCUCUACACGAUCCAAGGCGUCUAGGUGCCGUCCAUCCCCGCUCCAGGUCCUCUUGCUCCGAAAGGUAAAGGUCCGACCAUUUCCCCUUCAUGGUUGAUAAACCAUGCAACGAAUGUCAUCCGUAUCAACUCAGCCCUACCGUCAUCCAUCCAUAAAGUCGCCUCAUACUUGGAGAAAAUCAUGUCAAUGUCGGGAUCAUACACAUCAUGAAGAGAAACAUCAAGACGCACUACCGCCCCGUAUCGAGCUACUGGCGGUACGUCCAUGCUAUCAAUCUAAAAAUGUAAGGUAUGAGCAAACAACCUUGCCCAGUAAAGAAUGAUAAAACUAUAACUUAAACAAUCCACAGUCAUCAAUAUUGCAAGAGAAUCAUCAAACAAUUUAGGAUGCUAAAGAAAAUAUAUCACAAGCAUAAACAAUUGGAUAUUAACACACUAUGUACAUAAUCACCUUAUGAGCAUCCAUUUCUAUGCUUACCUUUCUCAAACUCAAUCUCAUAUCAAGGUGCAAUGCAACAAUAAUAAAUGGACUCACUCGCCAAAUAGAAUUAUAUUUAGUGUGCACAUGAUCCACCCUCGAUCAAUCACUAACCGGAAUUCAACCGGCCCGAUCGAGUCACUUCUGGAAGUUACCUUAUCCGGACUUCCAUAAUAUGGGGUAUCAUGGGCAUCUCACUCCGAGGCAUCCCGGUAUCACACAACCGAGGUCCUCCCAAGACCACAUAGCAAGGGGCAUCUCACUCCGAGGCAUCUCAGUAUCACACAACUGAGGCAUCCUUGAUCACACACAAGGGCAUCUCACUCCGAGGCAUCUCAGUAUCUCUCUAACGAGGCAUCCAAGACCACGCAGCAAGGGCAUCCCAAACUUUCGGGGGCAUCACCGGUAUCUCUCUACCGAUGGGUUCAUUCAUCUUAAGCACACGUUUCACACCACCACACCUUUGAUUAAUGCAUUUAUUGCAUUUAUUGUAUGCAAAAGAAAAAGACUCUAAAGUAUCUAUCUACUCUCAUGAACCUAGCACACGUGUGUGUCCAAAUUAUAAGAUAAAACCCAUUACGUCAUGUCCCAUUCCAUGGCGAACAGAUAUUUAUCCCAUAAUCAAGCACUAUGCACCGCACUCAUUGCACACACAUGAUUCUAUAUGCACUUAUAUCUCAAAUGAUAUAUGAGACUUACUCUUAUAUGAAUAACUUCUAUUAUGAGGUUUAUUAGGCUCUAUGUACAUCACGAAGACCUAAUAUAAAAGACACAACAUCUAGUAUAUGUUCUCAGGUCCAGACAGUUUACUAACUAAAUGUACAGUUUCGGUUUCAGAUACAAAAGGUAUAUCAAUUCUUGUCGAAAUAUUACCAAAUUUUAGUAUGUUAUAUUUAAGAUAUAGAAUAACAAUUCCCAUGAAGAAACUUAAGUCUAAUUCUCACUGUAUUAAGAGUAACAAUUGCCAUAAUCUUUACUAGUACCCUGUACCGACGUCCAGAUUCUUUAUCUACAAAGAAAAUUGUUUCACUAGCCAAAUAUUAUCGAUUUAAUCUCAAAUUUUGACACGUCAUUCCUUAAGAUGUUCUCUACAAUUUUAAUUAAGGAUUAGAAGUCCAAAUCUAACUAGGUAAAUAUAGAAAAUUCGUAUAUUCAGUUAAGGUCAUACUGUUUCUCACAAAACAGUUUACUGGUUUUACUAAGUUCACUUCUAUCUCUACAUUUUCUAUAGUCAUAUGGUUAUAGCUACGUGUAUGACUCAAUCUUAUAGAUGUUCUAUCAUGUAGAAUAGUUUCUUUCUUAUUUCUAUUAACAUACAUAAAGAAAAUUAAACACAAACAGAAGACUCCAUAACUGUUUUCACUUAGAACAGAAUAGAUACACAAAUUUUCUCACUUCUAACUCAACGAAACAACUUGUCUAUCCACAAAUCUCUUCUAAAAUACUCCAAUGCGUACUCACAGCAACUCAAAGCAACUUUAGCAUAUCUUUCUCUAACAAAUGAUCGAUUCCACAGCUUGGCUCGAAGUGUCGUUGCAUCCGUAAGCCACGUAUCACGACUUCUACCAAAACAACACACUCGGCAUCCAUUUCAUCACUUCGCUUAACAAAACAUCAUACUCACAAGGAUUUCGAAACAUGCAGUCCUCAAAAACAACAUGCAAUGGCUUCUAACUCUAAUCUAACACUUACUCAGCUUAGAUUAACCACAAAACAACAACUACAAACUAAAUCUUUCAUCGUUUGGAUUGAUCCGCAAGCUUUCUUGACAAAACAAUGGAUAACUUUCAAUUUAGAGUUAUAUCUUUCCUUACCUUGUUCAGCUGUUAGACAACACAAAGAUGCUUCAAGAUCAACACCAAAAUCUCGCAUGCAAGAAGAAGAAAUCACUGGUUUGCUUCUGUUUUGUUUCUGGUUCUACCGCUCAGCUGAGAGAAAAGAAAGAAGAAGAUGAAGAUGGGUUGCUGGGUUUUAUAUGGAGAGAGAGAGAGAGGUACAAAACUUAAGGGGGAAAAUAGGUCUACAAACUAAUCCCUAGGCUAGAGUAAUGAUGAAAUUUGCUAAUGAUUUUUUUCCUUGAAGUUUACAUGUCUCGGUUCGUGGGUAUCAAAACCGUGGGUGAAGAAAAACAAAGAGAGAAGAGAGGUGUCGAGAAUCGAGAGAGAGAAAAGUGUCAUGGCUUUCAUGCAUGAAGAUUUUCGCCAUCUGUCGAUCGUCGCCAAUUAACAAUUUAUUGAUAUCAUUCGUUAGUUCAUUAGCUUCUAAUAUUUUCAUCUAAUUGCCUGUUGUUUCUACUUAAUCCCAAUUAUACAUAUCGAAUGACAUAACAUAUUGACUAGUCAAUGUUAGUCUAUAAAGAAUUCAUCACAAAAUGCUAAAGUUAGAAAUUGAUAUUAGCAUUAUAAACAUUAAUCAAGUUAUCAUAACUAUAAUCUAUAAAAUAAAGUCAUUCGGGCCUAAAUAUUCAUUCCCGGCCCAACAAGCUCAAUCUAUAACAAUCUAGGCCCACUUAACCAAAUCUACAAAUCUAAUAAUUUCGAACCUUGGCCCGCUUCAAGCCAAGUCCAAGCCCAUAAUCACUCAUUUGAUUUCUUAAGUCCAAUUCGUGUGGCCCACUCACUUCUCAAGCCCACACGUUUCUCACGAUCCAUCGGGUUCACUUUCUGGCCCAAUCUAAUUAAUCUAAGUUCCUAAUGAUCUAAUUACACUAAUGAAAGUCAAUGAAAUUUGGGAUGUCACAACUCUCCCCUACUUAGAAAAUUUCGUCCUCGAAAUUGAAGUCUUACCUUAUUCACUUGAAAAGCUGAGGAUACUUUUGUAUGAUCUCUUCCUCAUUUUCCCAAGUUGCUUCCUCUGAAUCAUGGCAUCGCCACAAAAUUUUGACUAAAGGUAUAGUCUUAUUCCUCAAUACUUGCUCUCUUCGAUCCAAAAUUUGCACAUGCUCUUCUACAUAUCUAGUUCUUUCAUCUAUUUCUAGUACCUCAAAAUCUAACACAUGAGUUGGAUCCGGCUCAUAUUUCCUAAGCAUAGAUACAUGAAAAACAUCAUGAAUACUGGAUAGCUUUGGUGGUAAUGCUAUUCUAUAUGCUAACUCUCCAAUCCUUUCUAAUACUUCAAAAGGUCCUAUAAAUCUUGGGCUCAACUUUCCUUUCUUCCCAAAUCUUGACACAUUCUUCAUAGGUGAUACUUUCAAAAAUACAUGAUCUCCUACAUUGAAUUCUAAAGGUCUACGACAUUUGUCUGCAUAACUCUUUUGUCUACUCUGAGCUGUCCUGAGUUGUUCAUGUAUAGUCUUCACUGCUUCCAAUGUGAUUUGAACUAUUUCUGGUCCUGUCAACUUUUGCUCUCCAACUUCAUUCCAGCAAAUAGGGGUUCUACAAUUUCUACCAUAUAGAGUUUCAAAUGGAGCCAUACCAAUACUUUGCUGAAAACUAUUGUUAUAAGAAAAUUCCACUAAAUGUAAUUUCUCAUCCCAAUUUCCUUUGAAAUCAAUGACAUAAGCUCUUAGCAUAUCUUCCAAUGUUUGUAUAGUCUUCUUUGAUUGCCCGUCUGUCUGUGGAUGAAAGGCAGUACUAUAUUGGAGUUUAGUUCCUAAGGCAAGUUGAAGACUCUUCCAAAAAUUUGACGUAAAUCGCGGAUCUCUAUAUGAUGUUAUGGUUACAGGAACACAAUGUAGUCAUACUAUUCGUCUAACAUACAAUGUGGCAUACUUCUCUAGUGAAUAGUCUAUCCUGAUAGCUAAAAAGUGUGCUGACUUUGUUAAUCGGUCUACUAUUUCCCAGAUUGAGUCAUGACCGCUUGAAGUCCUUGGCAAUCCUUCUACAAAGUCCAUGGUUAUAUGUUCCCACUUCCAUUCUGGAAUUUCCAAUGGUUUUAGCAAUCCUGCAAGCUUUCGAUGUUCAGCUUUCACCUGUUGACAUGUCAGACAUCUUGCAACAUACUUAGCAAUAUCAGUCUUCAUUCCGUUCCACCAAAAAUAUUGACGAAGGUUCCUAUUCAUCUUUGUACUUCCUAGGUGAAUACUAUAACUACUAUGAUGAGCUUCAGUCAGAAUUUCUCUCUUCAAUUCGUCACUACUAGGCACACAAAAACGUCCAUGAAAUUUAACUAUCCCAGAAAAUUCAAAUUUGAUUGGUCAGAGGAAUGUGAGCAAAGUUUCCAAGAACUCAAGAGGAGAUUGACGACGGCACCAGUGUUAACAAUACCCAUAGGAUCUGGAGGUUUUGUGGUGUAUAGUAAUGCUUCUCAUAAAGGAUUAGGAUGUGUUCUUAUGCAACACGAGAAAGUUAUAACAUAUGCAUUGAGACAAUUGAAACCACAUGAAUUGAAUUACCCUACCCAUGACUUAGAGCUAGCUGCCAUUGUUUUUGCUUUAAAGAUUUGGAGACAUUAUCUUUAUGGAGAAAGAUUUGAAAUUUUUACGGAUCACAAGAGUUUAAAGUAACUAUUCUCUCAAAAGGAAUUGAACAUGAGGCAAAGGAGAUGGAUAGAUGAGAUGGAAAAGAUAUUUGCAUUACUGAAUUGUACUGAUGUAGAGAAGGUAUCAUUAGUAGAAUAUCAACUUCAAGGAAAUGCUGAUUAUUGGUGGAAAGCGACAAAAGGAACAGUAUUCACUGAAGGUGUAGAUGUGACUUGGACUGGAUUUGUAGGAGUCUUCUAUAGUAAGUAUUUUUCAGACUGUGCAAGGGAUAAAAAGGCAAUGUAAUUUAUGCAGUUGACCCAAAAUAACUUGACUAUAGAUCAGUAUGAGGCGAGAUUUGCUGAGCUCUCUAGAUUUUCCUCUAGAUUAAUAGAAUAUCCAGAGGAUAAGGCUAAGAGAUUCUUGAAUGGGUUAAGGUCUAAUAUAAGAGGAUGAUUGGUGCCUUUGAAUUUGAAGGAUUAUAGUGAAUUGUAUGAAAGGGCACAGCUAAUGGAAAGAGAUUUGAUGUCAAGAAACCAGACAUCGGCAUAUCAGGUAAGACCACAAUCUCGAGGAGACUCAUCAUCGGCAUAUCAGGUAAGACCACAAUCUCGAGGAGACUCAUCGAAUUUUCGUUAUAAUAAGAGAUCUCAUUAGGUUGGAAAGUGUGGAAUAAUCAACCAAUGGAACGACCACAGUAUGGUAACAAUGAGUGUCGUCGGUGUGGUAGAUCACAUGGGUUUGGACCAUGUUAUAGAACAAAUGUUUGUUUUAAUUGCGGACAGUUAGGGCAUUAUAUGAGAGAUUGUCCUCAGAAAAGAAUGCAGCAGCCACAACCACAACAGAAUUCAGGUAGACCAUUACCACCAAGAGAUAACCAACAACCCCCAGCUCAAUGAAGAAUUUAUGCGAUUACUCAGGAUGAGGCUGAAGGGUCUCAAACAGUUAUUACAGGUAUCAUUUCCUUGCCCAAUCAGAAUGCUUAUGCUUUGUUCGACACUGGAGCAACUCUCUAUUCCUUUGUAUCUGCUCAAUUUGUGCGACUGAAUAGGAUGGAACCUGAAUUGUUAGAAGUGCCUCUUAGUGUCUCUACUCCAUUAAAGGAUGUCAUUUUAUCUAAUUCAGUGUGUAGGGAUUCCACUAUCCAUAUAGGUGGACAACACUUGUUAGCUGAUUUGAUGGUGUUAGUUAUGUAUGACUUUGAUGUAAUUCUAGGAAUGGAUUGGUUGCAUAGACACCGAGCUAGUGUGGAUUGUUAUAGGAAGAUGAUUCGAUUUGACCCACCAGAUAGGCCAAGUUUUGAAUUUUAUGAUGGAAAGACAACUCCCUCUAUACCUCUUAUUAAUGCAUUAGAAGCCCACAUAUUUCUUAGAAAUGGUUGUUAAGGGUAUUUGGCAUAUGCAAGUGAACAAACCAAGAAGGAAGUACAACUUGAGGAUAUCCGUGUAGUACUAGAAUUUUCUAAUGUAUUUCUCGGGGAAUUGAUAGGAUUACCCCUAGAGCAAGAGAUUGAGUUUACUAUUGAAUUGGCACCUGGUACAAAACCCAUAUCGAAAGCUUCUUAUAGGAUGACGUUGACAGAAUUAAAGGAAUUGAAGGUACAAUUACAAGAAUUACUUGACCAAGUAUUUAUUAGACCAAGUGUUUCCCCAUGGGGUGCACCAGUGUUAUUUGUUAGAAAGAAGGAUGGAUCAUUAUGCCUUUGUAUUGAUUAUAGGCAAUUGAAUCAAGUGACAAUUAAAAAUAAGUACCCAUUACCAAGGAUUGAUGACCUAUUUGAUCAAUUACAAGGAGCGUCAGUUUUCUCAAAGAUUGACUUAAGAUCAGGAUAUCAUCAAUUACGGAUAAGGAAAGAAGAUAUUCCUAAAACAACUUUUCAAACUAGAUAUGGACACUAUGAAUUUUUGGUUAUGCCAUUUGGAUUGACGAAUGCCCCAGCAUCUUUUAUGGACCUUAUGAAUAGAGUAUUUAAGUCUUUUAUGGACCAAUGUGUGAUAGUCUUUAUAGAUGAUAUUUUGGUGUAUUCAAAGAGACAAGAUGAACAUGAAGAACAUUUAAGGAUUGUGCUCCAAACUCUUAGAGAACACAAACUGUAUGCUAAAUUUAGUAAAUGUGAAUUUUGGUUGGACCAAGUGACAUUUUUAGGACAUGUGGUGAUCGGUGAAGGAAUAUCGGUGGACCCAGUUAAAGUUGAGGCUAUGAUUGAUUGGCCUAGACCAUCGACAGUGACAGAAAUACGAAGUUUUCUAGGUUUAGCUAGAUAUUACCAAAGAUUUGUAGAAGGAUUUUCUUGAAUUGCAGGACCUUUACCCUUUGGAGCAGGAGGACCUGGACCAGGGAUGGACGGCGCCUAGACGCCUUGGAUCGUGUAGAGGCUGACUGACUUUUGUUUUUUGUUAGAUGCGAGCUGUGUGGAAACUCUGGAGUAGAUACCCUCACCCUUUAUCCCUGGCUUGUGUUACGCCUUACUUUUGUUAUGUACAUGUUGUAUAUAUAUAGGCGAUGAACAUGGAAAGAGUCUAGGUUGAUAAAUUUUGUAAGCCCUGAUGAUGAAAAGAAGUAAUGAAGUUUCUUGUGUUCUUGUUUAUGUGCAUGAAUGAUUUGGCCAAUACUUGAAUUGAAGGUAGAGUGAAUUGCAGGAUAACCUCAUAAUAUAAACUUGAGAUUUUAAAUAAUCCAUGUUAUACAUGCUAACCUUCAAUGGUAAACAUUAUAGGUUAUCUAAAGGAGUUUAUAAGUUAGGUAAGAUGUUAAUGAUAAUUAUAAUUCCGCUUGCGCUUAGUACGUGACGAUUUGGGACGUCACAACUGCUCGUUACAGUGUUUUUGGUAUCAAAGCAUAAGAUUUAUCUGGAGUGAUAAGGUGCGGUAGUGACUAUGCGUUAGGAUAAUGAUAUUUUCUUUGUAAGGAACAAGUAACUUAUGUUACUCAUAGGAUAUCAAUAACAAUUGUUGCAGUUGUUACUUAUUUGUUUUGUAAGGAGACUCGGUAGCCUAAUGAGUAGUGACCGAUGUGCAGAAACCAGGAAUUGUCAGGAUGAGUAGAAAUGGACGAGGAAUGACCAUGGAUCCCUGUGUGGAAGGAAUCUUGGAAGCACUUGCUAAUGUAGGAACCUUAUUGGAAAGGCAAGCCCAACAACAGGUAGGAGGUGACCGUAGAAUGCAAAGCUUAGUAGAACAAUUUCUGAAACUAAAACCCUCUAGAUUUGCUAGAUUAGGAGAUCCCGUAGAGGUAGAAUUAUGGAUAGAUGAAGAUGGAUAGUGUUGCUGUUAGUCCUUUGGAUAGUGAAGAUCAGAAAUUUCAAUCAAAUUGAUGAUUGAAUUAUUUUUUAUUUUUACUUUUUUGGCAAAAUGUAAGAAUAUAUUGAGGAAAUGUCAAAUGUACAAAAGAUCUCGUCACCAGAAACUUACACUCCAGAUACAGGAACAAAGGAAGUGGAAGGGUGACAAGAUGUAAAAGUCGCAAAGCGCGGCACACACACUACAACACCAAAACCAAAAGAAGCACGGCAUGGACAACUAGCUACCAAACACGCCACAGGCGAGGAAGAGGUCAUCGUUGAAUUGAACUACCUAUGAGUCCCCAGUGAAAAUAAUCAGUAUCUAGGCCCCAACUUCUCUGCAACCUUCUAUUUCUGAAAUUAUCUUCGAUGUUCUUGAAGGUAAUAGCCUUGUCUCGGACCACUUUGAAGAGGUGGUUCUUCAUGGCCAGAAUUGUCAGGGGCUGGUCUCUAAAGAUGAUACUAUUCCUGUUUUUCCAAAUGAUAUGACAAAGUGCGCCAAAGGAAAAAGGGGCAAAUCUUUACCCACUAAAUAGGUAGCGGCUCAGCAGAGGUUCUCCCUCCAAGUUCUGUUGCGCUAAGGCAAAUUGCAUCUAGAAACCCAAAAGAAAGCAAUGCCAGUUAUGACACGGCAAUAAAAAAAUAGGCGAUCAACAAAGUCGGGCAUACUCUUGCAAAAUGCACAGGCAGCUCUUUCAAUUCUACCAUAAGACAGAAGGAGAGCCUAGGUUAGAAGUUUGCGCUUGGCAAUGAGCCAAAGAUUAAGCUGAUAGCAAGGCACUAUGACGUUGUCCCACACGAAGGAGUACCAAUGGACUCUCGUUCUCUUCUUCAUGAUAGAGUUCCACACCAUUGCUACCAUGAACCGACCCGAAGAGCUUUCUCGCUAGCAACAACGAUCCAGGUCACUCGACAGGAUCGGGAGAGGAUAACCCCAUGAUUCAAGCACUAUCCUAAGAGCUUAGCCAACAUCUGAGAAAAGGUCAGCAACACAGGCCUGCCAAGAGAACCCUGAGCUGUAGAUAAGUGAAUCCGAGAAAAGCAGGUUUAGGGGCCCCUUAGGGUGCCAAUUAUCAAACCGAAUAGAGAUUGUUUGGCCAUCGCCAUUUUUCCAGUAGAAAGCCAUCCAGAAAUCACUCAUUAGGUUCAACAAGCUCUUCCAAGCCUAAGAGCCAAAGGUUGGCUUCCUAACAACCCAAAAGUUCUUGUUCUUUAAGAAAGUGGAAUGGACCCACCUACACCACAACGCUUCCUUGUUAGAGAACAAGAACCAGGUAUGCUUCAAUAUGACGGCUUUAUUGCAAUCUCGAAGCCUCCUGAUACCUUGCCCUCCUUCAUCCUUUGGAAGGCAAACUUCAUCUCAAGCUACCUUAGCACCACCCACCCCUGCCCAGGUCCGGACCUUUCCAUAGGAAUUGUCUAAGGAUUUUCUCUAUCUGGUCCACUACAACUAUAUAUAAAACAAAUACACUAGCCUAAUAGGCUUGUAUAGUGUGAAGAAUUAACCUUAUAAGCUAAAGCCGUCCAGCAAGAGAGAGGAAUCUGUGAGUCCAAAACUGAACCCUAGCAGCGAUACGGUUGACAAGGGCACAAGAGAGAGGAAUUGGUGAGUCCAAGAUUGAUGAUUGAAUUAUUUAUAUAGUAAUUUUGGAAAAUUGACAUGCUAUCUUACUAAAGCAAAAGUGAGUGCAUAAUAAUUAUGCAAAAGUGAGUGCAAAAAUUAACAUGAAGUAGUCCACUUUGGGUGCUUUUGCCGCUGUUUUGGCUUUGCCCUCGUUCUUUUACCUUGGCACCCUUCCACUCGCUCUGACUUUUGUGUUCAUGAGUAUAAGUUUUUGGUGCCGAAUUCUUGCUGUAUAGCUUUAUAUAACUCUUUGGUUUAAAGUCAAUAUAAUCUUACCUUUUACCCCCCAAAAAAAAAGUUGAUAAUACAAUCUGUGAAAUUCAAGAUAGAACAAGACAUCAUAAUUUUGACAGGAAUUUUCGAUCUUUGGUAGCUGUAGAUUACAUUGAAUACUAAACUUAAGUAAUAAGAUUCAAUUGCAUAAAUUAAGUACAAGAUUUAAUUGCAUAAUUCGCGUAAGUUGUUGGACCAAUAUUGAAAUUAUUAAAACGAAGAAUCUAAUUUUACCUAAUUCGAUGAAAUGGAUGUGCGAGAAUCAACAUGACCAGCACGUUUACUCCAUUUCGUAGCCAAAAGAUAUAUAUAUAUAUAUAUAUAUAUAUAUUUCCUUUAUUAUAAUGUGGACGGCAUAUAUUUCGGCAUAUAUUUCUUUUUCUUUAUUGUUUUGGGUUGGUUUCUCGUGAAGUGAAGAGGAUAAGAGUGUAUAUUUAUAUCCUGUUUUCCACGCAAUAAUCGCAGAAGUGCAAGGUGAGCAAUAGCUGAAAGCUUGGCCAAUGGAGUACUGCCCUACUUCGCCCUUUUGGCUCGGCCUCCUCCUCCCGGCGCUUCUAUUUUUCCUUCUCAACCGUUGGAAGCGCACCAAGCUUCCCCCUCAGCCCCCAGCAUGGCCCAUGAUCGGCAACAUCCUCGACCUCGGGAUCAUGCCGUACCAGAACCUCCACAGCUUCCGAGCCGAGCACGGGCCUGUCACGUGGUUGAAGCUCGGUUCUGUGAACACCAUGGUGAUCCAAUCAGCUCAGGCCGCCGCAGAGUUCUUCAAGGGCCAUGACAUGGCAUUCGUGGUUGACGGCUCUCGGCUAUGACCAAGGUUCGCUCACCGUGGGUCGUUACGGCUGCUACUGGCACGUUCUCCGGCAUCUCUGCUCUGCAGAGCUCCUCGUGACCAAGCGCAUCAACGAGACGGCCCAUCUCAGGCAGAAGUGCGUCGACAGCAUGAUCGGUUAUUUAGAGAAAGAAAUGGCAGCUAAACAAGUAACAACAGGUUAUUUCUCAUGUGCUUGGUGUUCCUUUUGACUUUUUUUUUUUGAAGAGAGAGUAGGGAGGGGGACGUCUCUUUAGCUCCUUAUAAAAUAUCAAAGCAGAAUCAAGAUCAUAUACACUACAAGAUAUUUCCACUAGUGUCACAACCACUUCUCGAUUAUUAAUAUAGGUAAAAUCAAUGAUUAAGACAUGUUAAGACUUCUACAAAAGUGCGGCUAAGAGGAAUGAUCCCUUGCGUCAAAAUAAUGCAUUUCAGUGAAGAAUACAACUUGCAACUAGAUUUAACUCAAAAAAAUAAAAUAAUGGGACCUGUUUUUUAGGGAUAAAGGAACGACGGUUUUUGAACUUUUGUAAAGUGUUCAAUCAGGUUCCAGAAUCUUUUUUGUGUGUGAAUUUGGUCCUCAAAAUUAUACAUCAGCUGACCCUCCUUAUAGAUGUGUAGAUGGAAUGAUAAUGAGGAAUGUCGCCCCAGCACUAUAAGUUAGCACUGACUGUACCAACUUAUUUGGUGACAUUUAUUUAUUUUUAAACAUAGUGCUGAUAUGGACAAGGAAAAAAAAAUCUAACUAAUAAUUACGCACAAGGGAAUAGAGGGCUGGCUGGCCAGUGUGGGCGGCAGCCUCGCGGCACGACAUGGGUCGUUGAGUGCAUGCCGUCCGCGACUCCCACCUCCCAUCCAAGCACGUCCCCCCUACUUUAGUAACGAUACUUCUUUUUAUCGUUUUUUUUUUCAAAUUUCCUUACUUUUCAUUUUUUAAUAAUUAUUUUUUAAAAUUUCCAUAUUUAUGAAUUCUGUGUUAUUCCAUUUUAAAAAUUUUAAAUGCCACACAGAAUAUCAUAUUUGCAUUCUGUAAGACUUAAAAGUGUCACGUCAUUACUUCUAUUUCCUUUUUUAAUGAAAUGACCAUGUCGGAUAUGAAAGUAUAUGAUUUAAGGAUGUAAUUGUACAAAAAAAAAUUUAGGGACCUAAUUAAACCUUUUGUAAAGGUUUAGGGACUGCUCAUACUUUUGUCCCUUGGUUUUGUGUACUGUAAUUGACAAAGUCAACAAAUUAACUAGUGUAAAUAACUCAACUUACCCAAGAGCUACUGUGAUUAAAUAUGUUAUUUAGUCCAACUCACGUUCAUUCUUUUCGAGUUCGAGUCUAACUAGAGUGACUCUACCGUUAAAUUACUGCAAGCUCGUGCAGCUUCAUCAUUGAAUUGAGCCAAACUCGAGCGUGAUCAAGAAGUUGGGUUUCAUAUAUCUUCCGUUGCAUUUAUCAAGUGCAUCUCUAUAAAAUUAAAAAGCAUGCAUAAGUAAACUUUCCACUCAAUUUUAUUUGUAGAAGUCAACUUGAAGUUUUCAGAGUUUAGAUGCUGUAGGAAAUGGAUUCCUAAAAAUCGAACCGAUACUCGAAUGAUCAAAUAGCAAAAAAUGAAUAUGGAAACGAGUCCAGGAAACAUGUAACACUGAUCAAAGGUAUAUUACGGAAAUAGACAUACCUUACUUGCCACAUAUUAAGUACCAUUGCAGUCUCAGAUGAAUCAGUUAAAGCCCUAGAGUUCCAUUCUUUAAGAGGGAGUAUACUAUUUUAAGAGGAAGAAAAAUGGAAAAGCGUAUUUUCUCUCUGAAACGCUAUAGGUAAUGUUAUCCCAUUUUAUUUUUUAUAUUAUAUAUUGCAAUUAUUUUCAGUUAGAAAAUAACUACCCUUUCCUCUUAUGAGCCAUUCACUUAUGGGUCUAGUUUUAGCCCAACAUGAGCAAAUGGACUUAACUUGGCCAAUCAAAUAAAAAACCAUAAUCUCUCACUUGCACAUGGUGGGUCAAACAUAACAUUUUCUUCAUCUUUCUGUAACAUUCAUAUCAGUAAAUAAUCCGUGCAACCAGUAUAUUUUAAGAGCUCGUUGCCAUACAUCUGUUGAUAAUAUAUAAUAGCUCAUAAUAGGUAUCACAUUUUUUGAGUAAAUAUAGUAUACAACAUCAUAAAUCAAUUAAUCACAUUUAUAUCUCUCUUGAUUUCUUUUUAAUAAUGAUAAAUUGUAUUCACAAUUAUGAUUAUCUCAAAACAAUCAUAAUUUGUCAACUAGUGAAUAUAAAAUUAGAAUGUAAUUUUCCAAACUUGAUAUUCUUCUUUCCUUGAAACUCUCAAUUUUAAUUCAACUUGCUUUUCUAGAAAUAUCCCAUUAGAUUGAAUCAAUUCAUGAUAAUUGAAAACAUUCUAAAAUAACAAACACUAAAUAGAAAUAUUGAGAAUAAGAAAGAAUCAUGAGGGUACUUAAUUGAGGAACUCUUUUCCUUAAGAGUCUCACAUGGCAUAAAAGUUAAGAUAAAAACUUUUACUACUCUUGUUGAUCAUCUCAUGCAUACGUAGUAUGAAAUAUGUAUUAUAGUAUUAACUCCUUUCCACAGAGUAUAUAUUUAUACUUUCAAUAUCGUACAAAUGAUAGUUCAAACAAACCUAAUGUCUAAUUUGAGUUCACGUAUCUAUUCUUUCACAAAAUUCAUUAGAACUCACAUUUGGCAUUAAAGACAGAUAUAGUAAAAUAUGUGGAUUAUUUUACUUUCGGACAUAGUAAAUAUUAUGUCAUUAUCUUAAUACUCAGUUAAGGUGACAUUUAUAUUUUAAGUUUGAACUCUCGAUUAUCACAUAGAUAAUAAGCUUAAAAAAUUGUUUCAUUUCUAUUUAUCACAUAGUAAAUAAAUGUGAUUACUUGUGUGAGUGGGCUACUCUCUUAUCUGACCAACAUACUUUCUCAAUUUUAUAUGAUGCACUAAGCAUUAAGAUGCAUAAACAUCAAAUAAGACUCAUAAGCAUUAAUAAUAAAAAUACAAAUUCAUUAAAUGUGAACAUUUAAGGGAUAUUACAAUAUUCAAUACAUCAGCAUCUAUGUAGUCCUAGAAAUUUUACAUAGCCACAGAACACAUCCCUAGGUACUAGCUUCAUCAUAAGAUCUACUAUCACUCUAUAGGUAGAUAUGUACUGUAAGUUUACAUCUUUUUGUGCAACUAUAUCUUUUACAAAAUUAUAUUUGGUAUAUACAUGUUUGAUUCUGUCAUGAUAUUUUGGUGUAUGCUAUUGUUGUUUGGUUAUCACAGUUAAAUAAUGAGUUUGCAACAUUCUUAAUAACACCUAAAUGAUCCAAAAAUUUCUUAAAUCAAACCCUUUCUUGUAUUGAUAUUAAUAAUGCCACGAACUCAACCUCCAUCGUGGACAAUAUUAUAUAUGUUUGUUUCUUACUACUCCAAAAUAUGAUACCAUCAUUUAAUAAGAAAACAAAUCUAGAGGUAAAUUUCAUUUCAUUUAAAUCUCCUCCUUAGUUAGUAUCUGAAUAGCUUUCAAGUCGCAAAUUCUUUCCUUAAUAACUCAACGUAUAAUUAACAUAUCCUUUCAGAUACCUCAGUAUCCUUUUGACGGCUUUCCAAUGUGCUUGACUUGAAUUGGAUAUCUAUUUAUCAUUCAAAUUACAAAACAUAUGUUAGGUCUUGUGCACAUCAUAGAGUACAUUAAAUUUCCAGCAACACUACCAUAAGGAAUAUGUUGCAUUUGUUCAUUCUCUCGUUGAGCCUUUGGAUAUAUUCUAUAGCUUAAUCAUUCACCUUUUACAAUGGGAAUAUGUAUGAGUUUACAAAAUUGCAUACGAAAUCGUUCAAGAACCUUAUUAUGUAUUUUUCUUGUGAAAGAGACAAUGAUAUUCUCGAACAAUCUCUUGAAAUUUUAACUUCGAGAAUAUAUGUAGCCUCACCCAUGUCUUUCAUAUCAAAGUUGGAAGAUAACCAACUCUUGACAUUAUUAACAAACUCCAUAUUGCUUCCGGCAAUCGGUAUAUCAUCAACAUAUAAUGAUAUAAUCACAAAUUGAUCUUUGGAUAUUUUGAUAUAUACACAAUGAUCCACAUCAAUCAUUGUAAAAUCAUAUGUCAUUAUGGUAUUAUGAAAACAUAUAUAUUAAUGUCUCGACGACCGCUUAAGGACAUAUAUAGAUCCCAAAAGUCAACAAAUCUUUUGUUUUUGGCAUUUCAAAAUGAAACUAACAGGUUGUUUCAUAUAUAUUUUUUCUUCUACUUCUUCAUUGAGAAAAGCAGUAUUUAUAUCCAUUUGAUGUAACUUAAGAUUCAUACUAACUACUAUUGCCAGAAUAAUGCAAAUCGAAGUAAAUCUAAUUACAAGAGAAAAUGUUUCGUUAUAAUCAAUUCAUUUCUAUUGGUUAUACUCAUUUGGCACAAAAUGAGCCUUAUAUCUUUCUAUUAAACCAUCGGUUUUAUGCUUUUUAUUUUUUUAUUUUAUUUUUAUAAUCCACUUGUUUCCAAUGGCUUUGUGUCCUUUUGGAAGGUUAAUCAAUUCCUAAAUACGGUUUAACUUCUUUGACUCCAUUUCCUUUUUCAUUGUAUGCAUCCAUUUUUUCUUACUAGGGAAAUUUAAAGCCUUAUUUACAUUUAUUGACUCAUAUUCAUCUUAUGGAGCAACCAUAAAAACGUCGACGUGGAAUAUUUUUGUGACUUAUUUUCCGUACGAGAGAUAGUACACUUUGCACAUUAUUCUCUAUUAUGCUCAUACUCAAAUUAGAUAAUGACGAUAUCGUCUCAUCAUAUAACUAUAAUUGAGAGUAAGUCAAAUUUAAUUCCUCACUUCUCAUGUUACUCCUACUUUGACAAACUCUACCAAGUCCAUUAUCUUGAUUCAAGGUUUCAAAUAGUGAGUAAUCCUCACAUAUUUGCUUUUCUUAAGAAAUUCAUUCUUUAAAAAUGUGACAUCCCGUGAUUUAAAUUCAGUUAUAUUCUCACUUUUCUGCUCACUUAUAAAUACAUACCCUUUCGAAUGUUCUGAGUAUUUUAUAAAAAUACUCUUCUUGCCUCUAAGACCCAAUUUCUCAUACUUGUGAGAAGGCUCAUGAGUAUAGGCAGUACAAUCCUACGGUUUAAGAAAACUUAAGUUCGGUUUUCUACCUGUCUAUAACUUAUAUGAAGUGAAAGUAACUGGUUUGAAAAACACACGGUUAAGUAUAUAGACAGCAGUUUAUAAAGCAUCACCCCAAAAGGUGAGAGGUAAGUUAGCAUGCGUUAUCAUAGAUACAACAAUUCUCAGUAGAGUUCUAUUUCUUCUUUUCAUAACACUAUUUUGUUGAGGAGUAUAGGGAAUAGAAAAUUGUAUUUCUAUUCAUUUUUCGUCACAUAAAUUUAUGAAUUCAUCAGAAAAAUAUUUUCGACCUUGAUCGAAUCUCAAUACUUUUAUUUUCUUAUUAUAUUGAUUUUCUACCAAGCUCAUAAACUUUUUAAAACAACUAAAUACUUCAGAUUUAUGAGAAAUCAAAUGACAUAUAUGAAUCGAGUAUAAUUAUCUAUAAAUGUGAUAAAAUAAAUAGCAUCAUGCCUUCCUCUCACAUUUAUUAGACCACAAAAAUUAAAAUGGAUUAAUUGCAAAGGAAAUUCAGCUUUCACAUUUUCCAAAUUGUUUCGUUGUCGUUUUCCCUACUAGGCAAUGCUUAGAUAUAGGCAAAUAAACUUUUCUAAUGUUGCCUAACAAGCCUUCUUUGACUAGCCUAUUCAUAUGUUGUUGGUCAAUAUGACUAAGUUUAGCAUGCCACAUAUUCACAUCAUUAUCAUAUGAAUUAAAAGACGCGAAGAGGGAAUAAUAAACAUUAAUAUUACUAUAGAUUGCAUUGAAUACAAUAAAACCAGCUAAAAAAUAACUACAACCAUAAUAGUUUGUAUUCAAAUACAAAUCCACACCAUUAUUAUGGAAGUUUAAAUUAAAAGAAAUUUUUACCAAUACUAAAACAGACACUAAAUUCUAAUAAAUCUCCAUAACAUAUAAUACAUCAUGUAGAAAUACGGUGCGUUCACUACACAUGUUUAAUUGGCAAGUGCCAAUCUCUUUUACUUUAGCAUUAAAGUUGUUUCCUACAUAGAUCCAUUUAGUUCCAGUUGGUACUCGUCGGAAUUCUACGAAGAAUUCUCUAUCAUUUGCUACAUGGUUCGUUGCUCCUGAAUCUAUAGUUCACAAAGGAUUAUAUUCAGUUAAGAAUACAAAAUUUGAUGCAUAAGCAAAGUUCUUAAGAAUACAAUGGGUGUUUUUCUUCUUUGGCUAGUGAUAGUUGCAAGCAUAGUGACUAUUCUUGUCACAACUAUAACACUUCACCAUUGACAACUUAUUCAUUCGAGAACAUUUUCUUCUUUCAUGUUGGUCAACUUUUGGUUUCUUUCUCGAAGAACUUGCUUCCUUACCUUUCCACAUUUUGAACGAAUCAAGACGUUUGUGCUUGGAGCUCGAAAUCCCUUGUGAGCUAGGACCAUCAUAAUAAAUAUCAGUUUACAAUUUAGUUGCCAGGAGGCAGUCCUCUUCUAACUCAAGAUGGCGCACUACAUCCUCAAAGUUUUUAAUAUUCUCGUUGUGUGUCAAAUGCACCUUCAUAUGCUCACAACUUGGAGGCAAGGAACGAAUCACUACUUGCACUUGUUGCUUGUCAGUCAGGACAUGGCCAACAUCUUUAAGCUCAUUAAUCAUAUUUAACAUCUUUCUCGCGUAUUGUUUUAUGAUCUGACUAUGAGGCUUAUUAUAAGAGUCAAAUCUCAUAAUGAGCUGCCUUGGUUUUGUCAUUGAUGUAUGACCAAAUCUUGUUGCUAAUACUUCCUACAUUUCUUUGGCAUUCUCAAAACGCAUGAACUCUCACAUGACAUCAUUUUCCAUGCUACUCAGCAAUGUAAUUCGAGUAAAGGAGUUCUUUCUUUACCAUGUAGCAAAUGCAUCAUUAUCUAUUUUAUGUUGUGUAGUGUUCACAUCUUCAGGUUUUUCCAUAAUCAGGUUAAGAGCUUCUAAUGCCUUUUGCUCUUCAAGCACAUAUUGGAUUUUCAGAUGCCAUAAUUCAUAAUUAUUGUCGUUCAGCUUCUCACCUUUGUUCAAUUCAGCGUCUAUGCUCUUAGUUGUCGAAGUCAUUGGAUCUAAACAUAUCAGACACAUAUGCAUGAAUUAUUAACGCCUCUCAUUUAUGCAUUCAUUUUGCAUAAAGUCAUCAUAUUAAUGAAUAAUUUUAAAUAAGGUUUUAGAAUCAAAAUGUCACUAUGUUUCCAAUCAUCAUCUAAAAAUUCUAAUUCAAAAUUAUCAUUAAUGUAGUCUUCUAUGCAAAAUAAGUUCUUUGAAGCUACAAAAUUUUCUAUGAACUACCCACAACGCUUAAUGAUAACAGAAGCAAUUGACAUUGAAUAUCCAUUAAUGAUAGAAUAAAAAUAAUUUCAUAUAAUAUAACAAAUACAUCAAUUGCUACAACGACAUCAAUAUGGUAGAAAUUAUCUAUAUAAGAUAUUCAUAAAACAUACUAAAUAAAUGCUACUAGAAACAACUAAGGCUAAGUCAACCUAUGAACAGGGAAAGAUUCUUUUAAUUUCUUGGAAAUUUCCUUUGUAAAUUCUCUAGGCACAUUUGGCAACCACAGAAAAAUAGACGGAAAUCCUUUAGGAUUUCUCCUUCACACUUUCAUCACCCCAUGGAUUGAACUCAUUCAUUGGGUCAAAGUCUUUGUGGCUUCAAUCCUAUAAUAUUCCUUCAAAAAAGCCACUAUAAAUUUCUUAUAAUCAAGAAUCAAAUUGACAUCCCAUAGGCGAUUCAACAUUCCUUGCCAUUCAUAUAGAAGAAUGCUAAUGAAGAAUCGCACCAUCUCAAAAGCUGACAUGGGGUAACCCUUCCAAAUGACUUCUUGUAUCUUUUUAUUGACCUUGUAAACAUGAUCAAAUAAAUUACCAUUUUCGCAUUGAUAAUUAGCCAACUCAGUUAUCAUCCUUGCAAGCCUUGUCCUUUGUCUUUCCGAAUGUGCGCGAAUAGGUGUACGUAUACGAAGGGGAGACGUUGUUCUUAUAACAAAUGCAAAACGAAAAAGGAUUACUUAUAAUCCAUAGGGACAUACUUGAAAAAGAAACGAUCAAUGGUCAAAGAGUCAACUGUCAAUGUGGUCAACAAAGUAAAUGGUCAACGGAGAUUAGGUCAGGUCAAACAGGUCCAACAUGGGUCAGGUCAAACUGAUUGACCCGACUAGGUGAUGUCAUAGUGACAUCACCAACAAGUGCCACAUGUGUGCAUGGGCAACCUCGGCUGACGUCACCAUGACGUCAGCUAGCGAGUGUGGCGCCGCAAGCACCCUAAAAAUUGUUGUUGCAUGCGCCAACGAGGCCUUUUCUCCUAGCUGUGCGUGGCAACAUGUCUGACAACCCACAGUGGCGAGCCACUACUUAUUUUUAUCAUCUCAAUGAAAACUACAACCCCGCACUAUCAAAAAUGAGUUUUGAUUCACCAAAAAUCAAAAAGGGAGGCGAACAAUACGAGCAUGUUAGGAUUUCCAUCCUUGAGCAUCAGACGGCAACCUUUUUCAAAAUUUCAUCCAAAAACAAUUUAUCAACAUCAACAUUGAUUGGGAAACAUGAACAACAUUACUUUGAUACCAAUGUAGGAAACAAAUUCCUAAAAAUUGAACCGAUACUCGAACGAUUAAAAACCCUAAAACGAAUGUGGAAAUGAGUCUGGGAAACAUGUGUGACAUCCUGAAAUUCGAUCCCGUUUCGAUAAAAUGAAAUGCGCAUAUUGUCAGCGUGCCUAUCCUCAUUUUUCUUUGAGCUGAUCACUCACGGGUUAACUAAUCUAUUGGGUGAAGCCGUUAAGGGAUAUAUCCGCGGUAAAAUCCCUAAAAGCUACCUAAUUUGUUAGAUUGGACUAAAAUCACGUUCGAUCGAUUUUAAUCAUGAAAUUUAAUUCGGUUUUGGGAAUCGAAUAUCCGAGCGUGUCACAAUUCAUUUUUAGGACCUCGUCUCAUUGUCCGUCAAAUUAUCGACGAGUCCGAAAUUUCAUGAAAGAAAUUAUUGGAGGAAAAAAUCGAAAACUGGAAGAAAUUAGAAAGGGAAAUGGAAAGAGAAAAGAAAAUAUAGAAUAGUAUUAUUCUUUUUCUUUUUCUCUCUCUCUCCCUUUUCUCUCUUUCUUUUCUCUCUCUUCUCUCUCCUCUCCCCUCCCCCUCGUACGAAAACCCUCCCCACCGACCGCCCCUUGCUGUCUUCCACUUUGCUUUCUUUUAUUUUAUUUUAUUUUUUUGACCAAUCAAAUCUCUCUCUCAUCUCUCAUCCCUCUCUCUCUCGUCACUCUUUCUUCUUCCUUCUUCUCCGUGCAAACGAACGGAACCAGAAGCUGAAGAAGAUCGAAAGCAGCAGCAGCCACCAUUGUCGCUUGUCCCGCCGCCGCACCGCACGCCCGCGCACACCGCACCUCCACCGAUCGCCGCCCGUGCGCCGCCUGUGCUUGCCGUCCCUGCCGCACGAUCCAACCUCUGUUCGGCCUCUGUUCAACCGCCGAGAGCGGCUGAGCAGGCCGCUGGAGCCACCGUCCGGCCUCACCGGAGCUCCGCCCGCUCUCCUGACCUCUUGCCGCCCCCAACCCUCUCUGUUUCUCUCUGUUUUGCAGCUGAACCAGCAAACCCACAAGUGGGUUUCCAGCCGGUUCGUGGUUGGUUUUGGGCCGUUUCCGGGCCUCGAACCCGAGCUGUGCUUUGGGAAGAAUCGUUCCUCGCGUCGCCCCCGUCGGAUUGAUUCGAUUUGCGCGCGAUUUGGUGAGUAAUCUCACUAAUCCCGGAUUAGUUGGCUAAUUAUGCUUAAGGUUGGUUUAGUUUUAAUUAAUUAUGUUAGGUUGUUAGAUUAAAAUAAAUUAGCAAUUAUUAGUCAAUUGUGAUGCGAUUUAGAUAAAUUGAUUGUGUAAUUAGCAAGUAGACGUGGUCUACUAAUUAUUGGAAGUGUCUCGGGAUUUUUCCCGACCCUUAGUGGGCUCCAAUUAGGCUUUUCGGGCCUAAGGGGAAUUUUUAGUAUUUAAAUAUUAAUUUUCGGAAUUAAAUUAAAUAAUUAUUUAUUUUCCGAAAAUUCAACUGGGAUGGCCCGAAACCGGAAUAUUAUACUGAUGACUGUGGUGAAGUCUGUUUAUUUAAUCGGGCUUUAUUUUGAGCAGAAUCGAAUUUUUAAUAUUAAUUAUUUAAUUUUCGAAUUUAAUUAAUUAAUUAUUUAUUUCCGAAAAUUCAAUUGAGAUGGUAAAUGACCAGAAUAUUAUGCUGAUGACUGUGGUGAAGUCCGUUUAUUUAAUUGGGCUUUAUUUUGUGUUAAAUUGAAUUUUUAAUUGUUAUUAAUUAAUUAUUUUUCGGAAAUUAAGAUUUUGAUGGCCGACGAUCGAAAUCUCGUGCUGAUUGUCGUGGCGCAGUUUGUUUAUUUAAUUGAGCUCUACAUUGCAUGAAAUUAAAUAAAUUGCGAUAUUUUAGGGAUUUACCCUAAAUUGGUUGAAAUUGAAUUAUUGAUUGGUAGUUGGAUGAGUAUGGCUAUUUAGCAUUUUGAAUGCCUUGUUGAGCUGUAAGUGGAGAGAGUGGUGAGAACUAACUGAGAAUUCUAUUGGCUGAGACCGAUCAAGUACGAAGUAUAGACAAGCAUGGUUCGGUGAUAAAGUACAUCACUGUGCGAAAACGACGCCUUAAAGAACGCACGUAGACUGUCUAUGACUUAUGGCAGGCAUGGUUCGGUGAUUAGGGAGAUCACUGUGCGAAAACGGCGCCUUAAAGAACGCACGUAGACUGCCUAUGAAUAGUGACAGGCGUGGUUCGGUGAUGAAGGACAUCACUGUGCGAAAACGGCGCCUUAAAGAACGCACGUAGGUUGUCAGUGAUUUGUGACCUAUGACGGGCGUGGUUCGAUGAUGAGGAAUAUCACUGUGCGAAAACGACGCCUUAAAGAAUGCACGUAGACCAUUUGUUACUUAUGUCACCUUGGCGAAAAGAACAUUGAUGGAGCUCUAUGACUAAGUGUACUAUUGGAGGUUAUGUGGGACGGAGUGAAUGACCUAGAAAUGAUUCGACUGACUUGUAAUCGACUAGGUCGAUUAAUCGAUGAUUUAAUCUGAGUGUGAUUCAAUGUGAUUGAUCAUUGCCUUGAUUUGAUGUUGCGAAUUGAUUGAUUGAAUGGAAAUGACCGUGAGUGGUCUUGUUGGCAUAUAAUCGACUAGGUCGAUUUGAUCGAUGUUUCGAUCGAUGAUAUGAUUGCUUGAGUGCCUAUUGUAUAUUAUGCUGACUUGCAGGUGGGAUUUGAGGCCAAGGUAAGUCAUUUGCCCUGUGCGUGGUUAGGCAGCCUGUAGUAUAAUAGUUUACUAAUCUGGCCUUAAUGGGGUAGAACUCGCUGAGACAUAGUCUCAUCCCGGUUUGGGGAAAUCAUUUCAGGACCCCACUGAGGAGCUGAGGAGGAGGAAUCUGAGAAGGAUUUUUGGAAGAAGAAGAUAAUCCCGAGAGGGGCCUUGAGUACGGCCCGGGUGAACUGAGAUUCUAUUUUCUUUUGAGGUCUCCAUUUUGAUGUGAAUAGAGUUUAGAGUAAAAAGUUAUGAAGUGCUCUGGUUUGUGUUUUGUAUAAAAGUUUGGUUAUAAGUUUCAAUAUGAAAAAUAUGGCUUUGCUUUUCUAUCCCAUCGUUUUAUUGUCUGGGGAUUGUAACUGCUUCCGCAUGUGCUUAAUAAAAGAAAGGGUCGGCGAUACAUAGUCUUGGGAUAUCGCAUUAUAAAAUUGACCAAGUGAGAAGGAUGUGUCCGUGCCCGAGGAUCGGGGCGUGACAACAUGUAAUAUCGAUUGAAGGCGACGGACAUACCUUGCUUGCUAUAGAUUAAGUACCAUCGCAGUCUCAGAGGAAUCCUUUGAAGCCCUAGAAUUCCAUUCUUUAAGAGGAAGUAUACUGUUUCAAGAGGAAGAAAAAUGGAGAAGUGUAUUUUCUCUCUGAAACACUAUAGGUAACAUUAUCCUAUUUUAUUUUUAUUUUUUAUAUUGCAGUUAUUUUCACUUAGAAAAUAACUACCCUUUCCUCUUAUGAGCCCUUCACUUACGGGUCGGGUUUUGGCCCAACAUAAGCGAAUGGGCUUAAUUUGACCCAUCAAAUAAAAAACCAUCAGAUGCUAGUUUAGCUUUGUUAGUGAAGUAGAGUCGAAAACAAGCUUAUCAAGCACUUUAUUAAGUUCGAGUUGAGCUAAAAAAAAGGACCUUUCAUAUUGAACAUUGCAGCAUACAUAGUAAGACAAGUAGAACUCACGAGUAGUUUAGAAGACAAUCCCUCUCGAUUCGACUAUAUCCCUCUUUUAACUAGUUGCACAACUUGAUGCAAUAAAUUUUUUCACGUCUAAUUCGUUACAUGCAGAUAUAAAUUCUCUGAUUAUAAUUAAUUGUAAAAAAAAAAUCAUUAUAUGAAGAGUAAGGAAUCGACUUAUCACAUUUCCUUUUUCUCUUGGGGUUUAAUGUGGUUGGCAACAUGGUGCUCUCGCGAGAUCUGUUGGACCCAAAAUCGAAGGAUGCGCUCGAGUUCUACGAUGCCAUGAACCGGGUCACGGUGUGGGCCAGCAAGCCUAAUGUAGCCGACUUCAUGCCGUGGUUGAAAUGGUGGGAUCCACAGGGGAUCAAAACAAGCAUGGCAGAGGACAUGGGUCGAGCCAUGAAGAUUGCCGAAGGCUUCAUGAAAGAGAGAUUGGAGGAGCGAAAGCUAAGGGGAGAGAUGAGGACGACGAAUAACUUCUUGGACGCGGUAUUGGAUUAUGAGGGCGAUGGAAAAGAAGGCCCUCACAAGAUCUCUUCCCAGAACGUCAACAUAAUCAUUCUGGUAAGUUUGCUCCUCCCUUCCACGUUUAACACAGUCUCACAGAAGUAAUUAUCGAUUACCAUCUUAUAGAUAUUAGGUUAAAUUCAGUUUAUUAAGUGGUACAGUGAACUUAAUUGACAUUUAAACAAGAUCACAUCACACGUCAAGGACAAGUUUUAGUAGUUAAUAUUAAAAUAUGGGUGGCGCUAUUUUCACCCCUCAUGAUUUCACUCACUCUACCAAAAAGACAAAAUUGCUCUUAAUCAUUCGAUUGUAAUUUUGAUGGCUCAAACUUAUUUACUUUCCUUCUUUUUCUUGUUUUUCUUCUUUUAUGUAGGAUCUAUUUAUCAUAAUCUAUAUUUAACAUGUUUCAUUUUGGUUUAUUGUGGGUAGCCCAUGUAUAUGAAAGGCACUAUGUUUUCACUUUAUUAUUACAAUUUACUUAUGUAGACAUUAAUUUACUCAUGGAGAAAAUUUUCCAAUAAAUCAAAUUAUUUUCAACGUUGUCUAACAAAUUUGUUGAUUAAUUGACUAGAAAAUUUUUAACACAUAUACUUUCUUAACGCGAUAACUUAUUUAUAAACUUCAACAUUUGUUGUGCAUGUCACCAUUAAAUCAUUUCUUAUCAGUUUGCACACAUAUACAUAAAAUGGGAUGAUCGAUGAAAAAAAGAAGAAGAAAAAAUCCCUGUAAAUUUUUUUUUGAAAUAAAUUCUUGAUCGCAUUCUCCAAUGUGAAACUUUAAAAGAUAAAAUUUCUUUUUAAAAAUUCAAGUGAAGUCUCAUCAUAUUGGAAUAACAAAAAUUAAUAUCAUCCAUGAAGUGUUUUUGGAAAAAAAAAAAUCUGAUUAGAAAGGAUUUGAUGGUGAUAUACACAACAAAAGUAAAAGUUUAUAAAGAUGAGAUUGUUUUGAAAAAUUGUCUAUGUUAAUCUCUAGGUUAUAUGUGACAAUUAAUCCAUAAAUUUGCUCAAUAAUGUAAAAAAGAAUUAAGCUUCUCAGAAAAUUUAUUUUUGAUGUAACUUAUUCUGUGGAAGUAAAAUCUACAAAUUAAAAGAAAAAAAAAUGCCUUCAAUAUACACAUUAUAGGCAUACUAAAUAACUCGUCAAAAGUUUAAUUAUGGCAACUAGAUUCUAAACAAAAACAGAAUAAGAAUGAAAAAGAAGGAAAGUGAAUAAAUGAGGGUCUACCACUUUAAAUUGCAGUUAAAUGAUUAAGGGCGAUUUUGCUUUUUUUAGUGAAAAAUAAGGUGGAAUUAGUCAUAUGAGAGGUGGAAAUAGCUUGACCUUAAAAAUAAACCAUAAAUCAAUCUUGCAUUUUUGUGGAGCAUUCAAGCUAGUUAUUAUAAAAUGGGGAGAAGUACACUAUCAAUGUUAUAAAUUGUGUACGGAGCUCAUUUUAAUGCCAAAAAUUUCCAUAGGAUCACUUAAGUGCCAAAAUUUUUGAAAAACGAUCAUUUCAGUGCCAACAUCGAUCAGGCUGACCGGAAAUUCGACGUGGCAGUUUUUUAUUCAUUUUUGAUGCUGAUGUGGCUCGCCAGAGAAUACAGUUAGCAUGUAAACCACAAAACGACAUCAUUUGGUGUUUUCCCCAAGUCGAAACCCUAAAUCCCCAAAUCGAGAGAGAGAGAGAGAGAGAGAGAGAGAGAGAGAGAGGCAUGAUGGCGUCGUCUUCUUCCCCGAAGAACAACACUAGCACCGGCCACUCUCUGAGCGGAACUUGAUCCACCAUCUCCAUCUGUGCCCUCCUUGUUUCCCUCACACUCUGUCUUCUUUCUCUCUCUGCACCUUCGAGCCCCCUUCUUCCUCCUCCUCCUCCGCCCUCACCUCCUAUUUUCCCAUCACUUCUUGCCCAAGAAACAACCUCAGCCUCUCCUUGCUCACCUAGUCGAGCAACUACGAUGGAGGCCGAGCGACGGUGGUCGAGCACGGUGGCUGAGCAAGCUAGGUCGGCGAGGAUUGAACAAAAAAACCCUAAUUUCAAUCCCAAAUGAGCUGUGCGGCAUCGUUUUUGCGAGGCCAUCCACAUAUGAUGGCAAAACGACGUCUUUUUCUUAAGGUGGACGGAAAACGACGUCGUUUAAAAGGCUCCUCGAUUUUAAUUUUAAAUAGAAAAGCCACGUAAUCAUUUUGGCCGGAAUAUCUCGCCAGUAGCACCAAAAUGAUCGUUUUUUCUCCGAUUUGGCACUUAAGCGAUCCGACAGAAACUUUUGGCAUCAAAGUAAGCGCCGUACACAACUUAUGGCACUGGUAGUAUACUUCUCCCUUAUAAAAUGAGUGGGGAUUGGCCAAAUCAAAAUAGAAUGAUAAAAUCUAUAUACUAGUAGUAACUUUUUGUUAUGCACCAUUUUCUAAAAACUCAAGUGUUAAAUGUUUUCAUAAAUAGUAAGUAGUUGUGAAAAAGGCUAUUUCAAUUGUGGAAGGUAUCAUUGGACCUUAGUAAACAAGUCUUAAGCCUAGAGAAGAGGUUCGAUUAAGAUCGACAAUCUUAUUCAAAUUGGAACCCAAAAUGAGUAAUUCUUUUGUGAAUUCGUCGGCACCCUAAACAUUUGUUUGCCAAUUUGAAGUAUAAGAAUUGCUAUGUUUGAUCAGGAUUUUUUAUCAAGUGAAGCACGAUAACUUUUACUAUUAACCUGACGAUUCAAGAGAGUUAAUCUUCAAGUGAGAUAGAAUUUUUUAAUGAUGGCACACGUGUUAAGAAAACUCCUAUUAGAUUUUCAAGUUGACAAAACUUUUCUUUUUUCUAUUCUUAUUCUCAUUCUGAGGAAUACAAGACUUCUGUGGAAUUUUUUCAAAGUCUAUCUUACAUAAGAAGUCUGCUCCACUCUGACGAAGACCUAGAUUGAACUCAAGUGAAGAACAAAGACAUAAUUAGACUCAUGAUUAUUUUUCUUCCUUCAAAGAUUCAGUACAAAAAAGAUAUAUCUGUCUUUCUAGUUGAAAAUCUCACUUACCUUUUUGGAUAUUAUUGAUAAAAUCAAUCACGGAAUAGUAAAAUCAUUUUGGAAGGCAAGUUUAUUUGGAAAGAAUCUACUUAUGGAAAGCAAGAUUAUAAUUGUAUGGGCAACCAGGAUCAUCAGACCUUCAUCUCAAUCUUCAAACGACUCAAGAUCUCCUUGAUUGAUUCUAUCCAACAGGUUGAUUGGAAGAAUUUAUCUGGAAAGUACCAACGGUCACAAAGGCAUGGAGGAGUAUUUAAUGAGGUUUUUUGAGUCAUUUGAUAGAGAGCGUGAAAGCUAGAAUUCCAAAGUCUGAAACUUCUCAAAUCACUUGUUCUUCCUCAAUAGUGCUCAAACGUCUAUUCGAAAGACAAAGAAACACUAAAAAGUGAUUUAGUGAGAGAAAUAGAAAAUCUUUACUGAGUAGUCAGUAAUAUAUUGUUGUAAUUAUCUUUUGAUUUAUAGUGAAAACCAGCCAGAAGGCUAUCAGCGUAUGAGAGUAGACGUAAGCUUAAUCUAAGACAAAUCACUAUAAAUCUUGUGUUCAUUUUCUCUUCCCUAAACUCUUUUAAUUUAUUUGUUGUGAUAAUUUUAUGAAAUUUGAAUCUUUAUUCAAAGUCUAUUGUUUAACAGACUCAAUUUAAAAGAAAAAUAUUUUUACUGUUUCUGUAGAAAAUCGACUUUUACACCUAUUCACCCCCUCUAGGCGUUUAUACUAACUCUUUCAAGUGUGAGUAUAGUUUCCAAGAGCUUAAGCAGAAGCUGACUACUACACCCGUGUUGACAACUCCGUCUGGUCUUGGAGGAUACAAGAUCUAUAGUGAUGUGUCGUUUAGGAGACUGGGUUGUGUGUUCAUGCAGCAUGGCAAAGUUGUUGCAUACAUGUCCUGUCAGUUGAGACCUCAUGAGCUAAAUUACCUGAUGCAUGACUUGGAACUCGCAGUGAUUAUUUUUGCUUUGAAGAUUUAGAGACAUUACUUGUACGGAGAAAUAUUUCAAAUCUUCACAGACCAUCAAAGUCUCAAGUACCUAUUCUCUCAAAAGAAGUUGAAUAUGAGACAGCAUCGCUGGAUGGAACUUUUGAAGGACUAUGAUUGAGACAUCCUGUAUCAUCUUGGAAAGGCUAAUAAGGUCACAUAUGCGCUAAGUCGGAAGUCUUCAGUUGCGUAAAUGGUGAUCAAGGAUUGGAUUUUACUUGAGAGAGCUUGAGAUUCAGUUUUCAAAUUUGAAGUUGGCCACCUUUCAAAUCUUAUGGCCACCCUCAAACUUGAACCGAAAGUACAAAUAAGGAUCAAGAUGCUUCAAUUGAUAAACCUAGAGAUUCAGAAGAUCCUACAAGAGGUACCGAAAAGAGAAAUGCUAACUUUCAGAUUUCUGAAUACGGAACACUGAGGUUCUAAGGACGAUUAUAUGUGCCUGACGAUGUAGAGCUUAAGGAAGAGAUUUUGUCAAAAGCUCAUCGUAGCAGUUACAACAUUCAUCCAAGCAGUACAAAGAUGUAUCGAAAUCUGUGUCAAUACUAUUGGUGGUCUGGUAUGAAGGCGGAUAUUACCAAGCAUAUCGCUAAGUGUUUGACAUAUUAGCAAGUGAAGGCAAAACAUUAUAAGAAGGAGGACUUAUGCAACCUCUCAAGAUUCCUGAGUGGAAAUGGGAACACAUCACAAUGGAUUUUGUGACAGGCUUACCAAGGAGUCAGAUGGGCAAUGAUUCUAUUUGGGUAGUGGUCAACAGACUAACAAAGUUGGCUCACUUUAUCGCCAUACGAAAGGACAUUGCAUUGGAUAGAUAUGUAGAAUUGUACAUGCGUCAGAUUGUUGAUCUGCAUGGAGUGCCGAUGACGAUUACAUCAGACUGGGACCCGAGGUUCACAGCCGCCUUUUGAAAGAGUUUACAGACUGCCUUAGGAAUGAAGCUGCAGUACAAUACGGCCUAUCAUCCUUAAAUGGAUGGCCAAUUUGAAAGGACGAUUCAAACCCUUGAAGACAUGCUGUGAGCUUGCGUGUUAGACUUCAAGGGAAGCUGGGAGGAAUAACUUCAUCUUGUCAAGUUUGCCUACAAUAACAGCUACCAACAGAGCAUUCAGAUGGCUCCUUUUGAAGUGUUGUAUGGCAGGGCGUGCAGAACGCCAGUUUGUUGGGAUGAGGUCGGAGAACGAAAGAUUACAGGCCUAGAGUUGGUUCAGUAGUCAGUGAAUGCAGUUGUCGUUAUCUAAGACAGAUCAAAUACCGCUCAAAGCAGCUAGAAAAGCUACGCAGAUAAGUGUUGAAGACCAUUAGAAUUCUAAUUUGGUAAACACGUCUUUCUAAAGGUGUCACCAAUGAGGGGUACUUCGCACUUCGGAAAAAAUGGAAACUGAAUCCAAGAUACGUAUGUCCUUUUGAGAUUUUGGAAAUGAUAGGGACUGUAGCGUAUUGUCUUGCAUUGCCAUUGAGGUUGGCGCAAGUGCAUGACGUCUUUCACAUGUCAAUGUUAAGGAAGAAUAAGCCUAACCCAACCCACUUGCUAAAUAGAGUGUUGUAUGUGGAAAGACCGAUUCAAAUUGUGGAUCAGAAGGAGUAGGUUUUGCACACGAAGAUGAUUCCAUUGGUUAAAGUGGUCUGGCAACACCACGGUAUAGAAGGAGCAAUAUGGGAAAGUGAAGAUUUGAUGAGACGACAAUACCACCACCUUUUUGUUUAAAGAUUUGUAAUGGUUUAAAUUUCAAAGACAAAAUUUUUAUAAGAGGGGAAGAGUUGUGACAUUCUGAUUUUCAGGUUUUGUUUUCAAUUGAAUAAGUUGGGCUUUUCAUCGACGCGCCUAUAGUUCUUUUUCCUGAACUGAUCACUCACGAGAUAACUAGUCUAUCAAGUAAAGCUAUUAAGGAAUUUAAAUGCAAUAGACUUGAGAAUUCAACUAGAAAAUGACUGCUCGACCAUGCUAAUAUACAAGGAUCAUUACGGCACUAUCAAAAUUGAUCAGAGAUCAGAGUUAGAUCGAUUCGAUAGAGGUAUGUGAUUAAUGUGUUGGUGAUCCCACUUGAUUGCAAAAUUUCUAUCGAACGACACUAGACCAAUUUUUCUAUCAUUUAUGUACCUUGUACCCAUAUUUCAAACCUUUAGAUUUUCACAACAACCGAGAGUCGCCAAUGUGUCGAAGAUGUACAAUGUGACUCGAAAAUAAUCGACCAUGGGUCAAAAGCACUAAAAAUUACUAAAAGCUACUUGGUAAGUUAGGUCACAUUAAAAUCGCAUCUAGUUGAAAUUAACCAUGAAAUUGAACCCGAUUUAAAUUAUGUCAUGUCACAAUUCAUUUUAGGAACGUUGACUCAUACUCUGAAGAUUUUUCGGCAAAUCGGGAUUUUCGACGAAAAUUCAAAGUAAGUCUAUUUUAGACCGGGAAAAUUAAAGGGCCGUUUUUUAGCACACCACUGGCCAUCAAGUUGGUUCAAUUGGUAAGGAAAAAUAUGAAUUUGAUGUAGGCACCUUGGUUGAUUUUAUGGGGGUUAAUUUGAGCUCAAUUGGAGAAUUUUUGGUGAGGAAUUGAAUGAAAUUUGAGGCUAAAGGUCCAAAAUUCGUAGCUAGGGGGUGCUACAAUAUUUUGGACCUUUUGGGAGACUUCUUGAGCAAGCCAUGGUGCAGCAAAUGGCGGAGGAUGAUAGCCAUGCAUGGUGGGGCAUAGAACUCAAGCACUUGGGAUAUUUAGUUUGACUUUGAAGGUUUGUGCCCCCCCUCUUGCAACAGCCCUUCUUCUUCCUUUACUUCCCUCCUUUCUCCAUUGUUGUGCAAUUGAAAGCUCGAGAAAAAUUAGAGAGAGUCCCCCCUUGCCCAUUGACACCCCUUUAUCGUUGCCUGAGCAUCACCGUGCAUGCCUGCACGCCGCACCAUCGCGCACCAGCCUGCACAUCCGCAUGCCCAUUCUAGCCUUCUAGCUGUUGUUUUGAUGCCCUCCAGCCCCCGUCACAGCUCCCCUGGUUGCCGUUCAGCCACCAUAUGCUGCUAGAGCCAUCCGCCUAGUCCACCACUGCCACCAUCAUUUCGCCAUGCCCCUUUCUCAAGCCGAGUAGGCCUUUCGACCAGUUCCUCCAGCCCAAAGCAAAAGCCGAACUCUCAGCUUAGAGCUGAGAGCUUGUGGCCCGUUUUAAGGCCCGUGCGGACCCCGUUGGUGUUGUCGUAAGUUUGGUUGUCGCUCGCCUCCGCGUCUCCAUCACCGUGAACUCAUCAUAUUGCAAAACUAGUGAGUUUACUUGCUAAUCUCUACUUAGGGAGUUAAUUAUGCUUAAUGGUUUUAUUAAUUUAGGCUAAUUAUGGAUUAGGUGGUUAGUUAGUUUAGAUUAGUGAUUUAAUCAUUUAAUUAUGCAUGUUAGAUGGUUAGAUUAGAUUAAUUAUGGGCUAAUUAGAUUGUACUAUUUAUCUAGAUAGAUGCAUUAAUUUUCUAGACUCGUUUAGGUGGUUAGAUUAGCAUUUCCAGCUUAGGUUAGUAUUUAUUGGAUUUAAUUUGCAUUAUUUAAUUAUUUUGUAAUUUAUUUGAUUAUUUAAUAUUUUCCCGAAAUUAUACCGAGAUAGACGAUAGCCAGAAUUUCGUGCUGAUUGCAAUGGUAUGCUUAGUUUAUGCAAUUGAGUGUUAAUUUGUGCAAAUUGAGUGGUGAUUGUAAUUUCGAGUUAUUAUUUCAAAAUUAUAAAAUUUUGGUAUUUAAUCAGAAAAAAUUGGGCAUCGGUUUUUGAUGCCAAAACGGUUUUUAUGUACUAUAUUAAAUAGUGGGAUUUUUGAAGAGGAAGAUAUAGCAUUUUUGGCUCAAACUAACCGUGUACCACACACGAUUAUUUUUAUCGGGUGUUUUUAAUACGAAGAAAAUAUUCCAAGUUCAUUAUUUUAAUUGAGGCAUUUUAGUGCAAAGCACAAUGUUCUUGACCAGGAUUGAUUGAUCGUGUGAUGGCUAAGUGAACCCAUCCUCGAUGUGCGUCGAUAGGACGUUGCCCCUAUAUGGGAUGCCCCUGAACAAUGGAAGCCAGUCGCAGUAGAUUCUGGAUCGAUGCUCCUUCGGGAAUGCUGUCCCUGAUGUCUGUUGGUGGAUGUUGUCAUGCUUAAAGGAGUGAGACGAAGCCUGGCUACGCCAGAAGACCGAUGUGCGUCGAUAUAUUGUGCCUGUGCGGGCAGUAAUCGAAUUGGAACGUGUGAUUGAUUGAAAUUGAUGUGCCAAAUUAUGAAACAAAAUUGUGUCAUGAUAUGGGACGUGUCAUAAUUAUCUGGUCUUAUAAUCAGGACCCUUGGAUCGAUUGCAGUGAUUGUAUUAAUUGAAUCAAUCGAUUAAUGAUUGAUUGAUUGAUGGAUUGAUUGAUUGAGUAUAUGAAUCAUACUGACGUGGAUGAGGGAACUGAGGCGAGGUAAGUUAUUUGUAUUGUGUUUAUAGACUAUAUUUCCUUCCUAAUUGGAGUUUAAGGGGUGAACUUGCUGAGACAUUGUCUCACCCCGUCGUAGGCUCAAUUCUUUUCAGGUCCUUAGAUAGAGCAACGUCAUGUAUGCUAUGGGGUUCCAAGGGAGGUAGACUUCCAAUAUUUCUAUUUCCCAGUUCCUGGGACCGGCUUAACCCGUGAGCUUGUUGAGUCCACUGUCUGGGUCGAUGAGAGUCUAUCCCACCUGGUACCUCAUCAUUUCAAGGCGUGGUAUCUUCACAAGCCUGAUAGGAGUUAGGAGGGUCCUGUAGGUGGUUUUGACGGGCCUCUCGUUGGGAUAGGGGAGUGGAAAAUAGGGCACCCUCUGGACAUCAACACCCUUGAUGGUGCCAUGGAGGAACCGGAGCCAAGAACUUAAGAGCCUGGAGUUUAGAAUCUUCGUAGCCCCUUUUUGAUCUAGACUUCUAUACAUAGAUCAUUUUGUAGACUUUUGUAUAUAACUCAGUGUGUAUAUAAAAGUGUGCUGUGUUUAUGAGAUUAUUGUCCUGCUUUUCUAUCCUAUGUUAUUUGCUGUCAGGGGUUAUUGUUUCGCUUCCGUAUGUGCAUUAAAAUGAAUGGGUUCGCGACGCGUCUUGAGACGUCGCAAUUUCACCAACCACCGAGGGAUUGUGCGCGCUCGAGGUUUGAGGCAUGACAUAAGGCGUAUGCAUAAGCGGGAUGAUAUCAUACCCGAUUGGGUAGGACGAUGCCUGAUUAUGCUAGAUAAUCGCUAACCUUCGAGUUAGCCGUGGCCCUGAGUGGUUGUAAUAAUCUAGACAUAUAUGUGUGUGAAACGUGCAUAAGAUUGAUAUGUGAUUAUGUCUAGAUUAUGAUAUGGCAUUAACGCAUGAUUAUGAGAUGUUGCACAUUCUUAUUCCUACGUCAUGUGUAAUUUCUUGUGGGAAUUGCUUAUGUGUGUAUGUCCUGAUGGCCUUAGGAAAGUGAGGUAAUUGUUCAUGUUAAUAGUAAAGGUAAAGCUAGGGCAUUGCUAUUAAUGUGCCAUCAAUAGAUAACUUACACGUUUACGGCGAUCUCAAGGUGAAUAACUUCCCUACUUGAGGUCUAGAAAGUUUACUAAUUGAGUUUAUCUCAUUAUUGUUUGUUAAAUGUUUACAAGCCCUACGAAUGUUUGAGCCUUUCCGUCAGAUCAGAUUUAGGCUCCCCACUAAACAUAGCCAAGAAGUGACUGAUUAUUCAAUUGAGGGGACUAAUGCAUGUUACACGCACUAUGUCACGACCAUUAGGGUUGAUGAGGGACUCUCUAACUUAGUGAUUUGACACUUUGUAACAUGGUACUUUUGGAUAUCAGACAAUGUCCACAAGACCAUCUGCAGUUUUGAUUAAUCUCCGGAUGUAGGAGGAUCGGGGGGAGACAUUAGCUAGGAUGCAAUGAAUGUGGAUGUACGUGAUGAGGAUUUGUCCAAUCCAAAGAUCGACCUCGGAAUGAUCGUCGAGCCGAAGCCCUAAGUUAUGGAGCCCUUAGCGAGUUAGGUGAUAGUAGGGAUAUACAACACUUUUUGGAGCUGCCCUCGUAGUACUAGAGUGUUAGGUUACCCCGAGACCUUUUUUGGAGAAGGUUGUGGCCGCGCUUUUGGGCUGAUCUAACAUGGUGAAGCUAGUUGUGUUUAGGCUUGUUUAUUUAAGCCUUGUGUAUAUGGUUUGUACGGUUUAGGCUUGGUUAGGUGAUUUGUUAUGCUUCCGUUACAUAUAUAGUUGAUAAUGUGAAUGGGUCGGCAACGCCUCCUGGGACGUCAUAAUCAAAUGACUACAAGGUAAUUAUGUUGAGCAUGAGGUGGCGCGCCUCGAGCAAGUCAAGGUGUGAUAGUUAUAUAUCACAUUUUGGUGCCCUUGUGAUCACUGCUUGAUUGUCACAAUGAAUGCAUAUCAGUGGCACAAGUUUUGGCCACAAUAAACGACCAUUUAAAAUUGCCAAAGUCGCUUUGCUUGUUCAGCAGCUUUAUCCAAAGCAACAAACUCAAACUCCAUUGUGAAUCACGCUAUUAGAGUUUGUUUCGAGGAUCUUGACAAUAGUGUGGCACUUCAUAGUGUGAAAACAUAUUAGCUAGUCAAUUUCAAUUAAUUGAAAUCCAAAAUCCAGUUGGCAUCAUAAUAGCCUUCCAAAAACAGCUAUAUAUUUGCCAUGCUAUAAAACAUAACCUUUGGUUCUUUGCAAAUAAUCCAAUACUCUCAAAAGAGCAUUCUAAUUCUCAUAAGUAGGAUUACUUGUAUACCAUUUGAGUUUUCCUACUGAGUGCGCAAUAUUUGGUUUAUGCAGUUCACGAUGUACAUGAUGUUGCCAAUCAAAGUAUUCCAACUGCCUAAUAUUGUUUAUAGUAUUCUUUCUCAAAGUUAAGUGUAGAAGAAAAAGAUUGUUUGCAUCUUUAAUAUUGAACCCUUUAAACCUCUUAAUUACAUUUUCAAUACAAUGAGAUUGUGUUAAACCUAAACCAUUGGAAUUCUUUAGAAUUGUGAUGCCAAGUAUAACAUCCGCAAUACCUAACUCUUCAAUCUCAAAGUUUUUCUUGAAAACAUUCUUGGUGAUUUCGAUAACCUUAGUGCUAUCUCAAAAAAUCAAUGAGUCAUCAACAUAUAGACAAAUAAUUAACAUCAAACAGUUGUGGAUUUAGUAUAUACACAUUUGUCACACUUAUUAAUUUUAUAUCCAUUUUGGAUCAUCACACAGUCAAAUUUUUCAUAUCAUUGUUAAAGAGUUUUGUUUAAGUCCAUAUAAUAAUUUGACAAGUCUCCACACUUUGUGUUCUUAUGCUUUGACCUUGAAUACUUUAAGUUGUUCCAUAUAAAUCUCCCCAUCAAGAUAAUUAUUUAAGAAUGCAGUUUUCACAUCCAUUUGGUGUACUUGCAAAUUCUACAGCCAAGCUAUAGAAAUCAACAUCCUAAUUGAUGUUAUUCUUGUAACAGGUGAAUAAAUUUUUAAGUAGUCUAUGUCACGCCCCGAUCAUCAAGCACAUGCCCAUCCCUCGGUGGUCGAUUAAAUUGCAACGUCUCAGGACGCGUCGCCGACCCAUUGAUUUUAAUGCGCAUACGGAAGCGAAACAAUUACCCCUAACAACAACCAACACGGGAUAGAAAAGCGUGAAACAUAUUCACAACCAAAACACUUUUUAUAUAUACAAGACUAGUCUAAAGACAAAAGUCUAGCCAAGCAGAAAAGCCUACAAGUCCUCUAGGCACUCGAAUCCCCAACUAAAAACUCCGAGGUCUCCUGGGGAUUUAGGUCCACCACUGCACCACCAGGAGGGUCAGCUGUGCCCGUGCCAAAAGCAACUUCUAACACUGAUACUAGGACCUCAAAAUCCUGAAGGGGAUCCACUUUGUGUCCAUUGAGCCCACAAUGAUACCAUGCUUUGAAUUGAUGGGGUACCCUUUAAGGUAGAUCCUCAUCGACCCAGACGAUGGUCUUUACGAGUUCAUAGACCCAAACUCCGUGGCCCUCGAGGACAGGGAUAUCGAUGACUUGCUUGGUAAUCCUCUUAGGUUGGCCAAAACAUUCCGGAGGAACUGCCAUUUGAGGACCUGAAUGGCCUGAAAAGGUUGAGUGAGACAAUGUCUUAACAAGUUUACCCCCAAACUUCGACUAGGAAGGAAAUACGCCUAGAGGUAGCUAUACACACAAGUCAGAAGACUUACCUUGCCUUAGUUCCCUCCUGCAUGUUAGUACAAUUUAUAAUCUCAACCAAUCAAUUAAGUCCAAUUGAUCAUUCGAUCCAAUCAAUACCAUCUAUCAAUUCAAUCAAUUCGAUCACUACUCACACAAGCUGAAGUAUAUUUAUGCUCGCACAAGCUAAUAUAGAUGGUUGCUCAUACCAGCUGAUAUAGAUUAUUGCUCACCCAAACUGAUAUAGUAUACUGCUCUCAUAAGCUGACAUAUCAAUGCUCACAUCGGCUGAUAUAGUAUACUGCUCUCACAAGCUGACAUAUCAAUGCUUACACAAGCUGAAGUAUAUUUAUGCUCGCACAAGCUAAUAUAGAUGGUUACUCGUACCAACUGAUAUAGAUUAUAGCUCACCCAAGCUUAUACAUAAUAUAGCUCACCCAAGUUGAUAUAGUAUACUGUUCUCACAAGCUGAUAUAUCAAUGCUCACAUAGGCUAAUAUAGUAUACUGCUCUCACAAGUUGAUAUAUCAAUGCUCAUGUAGGCUGAUAUAGUAUACUGCGUUCACAAGCUGACAUAUUAAUGCUCACACAAGUUGACGAUUUAAUGCUCACACAAGCUGACACACGAUAAAUCAAUCUCGGCCAAGGACCUUGUGCUUUGCACACCAAUUUCUCAAUUAAAAUAAUGAACUUGGCCUAAUAUCAUUGUGUUAAAAAUAUCAGAUGAAAAUAAUCGUGUGUGGGUACAUGGUCAGUUUGAGCCAUAAUGCUAUAUCUUUCUUUUCAAAAAUCUCACUAUUUAAUAUAGUGCCUAAAAAAAAUUUGGUGUUAAAAAUCGACACCUCGUUAUUUUCUAAUUAAUUACUGAAAUUACAAAAUUUUGGGAUAAAUACCCAAACUUACAAUCACCACUCAAUUUGCACAAAAUAGCAUUCAAUUGCAAAAACUAAGCAUACCAAUGCAAUCAGCACAAAAUCUCAAUCACCAGCUAUCGGGGUAUAAUUUCCAUAAAAUAAUAAAUAAUUAAAUAAAUACAAAAAAUAAUUAAAUAAUUACAAUUAAUGACCAAAAAUGCAAACUUAGGUCGGAAAUGCUUAAUUAACCGCCCAAGCGAGCCAGAAAAAUUUUCGAACCUAUCUAGAUAAAUAGUACAACUUAUUUAGUCUCUAAUCUAUUCGUUCUAACUACCUAACAUGCACAAACGGAUAAUUAAAUCGAUAAUCCAUUCUAACUAACCACUUAAUCCAUGCUUAACUUAAACUAAUCACCCCUUAAUUGUCAUUAACUCCCUAGGUAGAGUUUAGCAAGUAAACUCACCGGUUUAGCGAUUCGGUGAGUCCACGACAAUGGCAACAUGGAGAUGGGUAACAAACAACCCUGCGGCGAAAGCAAGCGGAGACCGAACGGGCAUGAAAAUGUGCCACGAAGCCUUAAAGCCCUUGUUGGCUUUUUGGUUUUGACCUUGGGCCGAGCAAGCUGGAACAGCAGCCGGUUGGAGCUGAAACAACGAGGUGGAUCGGUGGCUGCAGCGAGCAACUAUGGGCAACGACGAUUGCUAGACGGCGGCCAAGGGGCUUUGAUGGUGGCUUGGGCAGCACGGGGGAUGGCGGGGUGGCUCGGGAUAGGUGGGAAGAUGAGCAAGAGGUGCAGACUGGCGGGGCGACGCGCGACGAGCUGGGGCGGCGCAAGUGGUGGCUUCGAUGGCUCGGUAGGUGUGCGACGGGCUAGGGGAGGGGCUGCUCAAUUUCUCUGCAAUUUUGAGCUUCUCAAAUGCUCUAUAAUGGAUAAAGCAAGCUACUGAAGANNNNNNNNNNNNNNNNNNNNNNNNNNNNNNNNNNNNNNNNNNNNNNNNNNNNNNNNNNNNNNNNNNNNNNNNNNNNNNNNNNNNNNNNNNNNNNNNNNNNNNNNNNNNNNNNNNNNNNNNNNNNNNNNNNNNNNNNNNNNNNNNNNNNNNNNNNNNNNNNNNNNNNNNNNNNNNNNNNNNNNNNNNNNNNNNNNNNNNNNNNNNNNNNNNNNNNNNNNNNNNNNNNNNNNNNNNNNNNNNNNNNNNNNNNNNNNNNNNNNNNNNNNNNNNNNNNNNNNNNNNNNCCAUUUGAACUAACUUGAAUUCCAAAGAUGCGAUAAAAAACGGUCAUCUGAUUUUCUCGGACAAAAACGACCCUACUUUGAAAUUUGCCAAAAAUCUCAAUUUGCAGAAAAAUCUUUGAAGGAUAAAUUGACGAUCCUAAAAUAAACCAUGACAUGAUAGAACUUUCAAUUUCUGAAAUCGGGUUUAAAUUCGCGAUUAAUUUCAAUUUGGCACAAUUUUAGCGUGACCUAACCUACCGGGUAGCUUUUAGGAAUUUUUAAUCCAAUUGACCCAUGUUUGAUUAUUUUCGAGCCACAUUAUACAUUUUUGACACAUUGACGACUCUCGGUUGUCAUGAAAAUCUCGAGAUUUCAAAUGCGGAAAUAGGUACCAAAAUGACAGAAAAAUCAAUAUAGUGCCAAUCGACGAGAAUUUUGCAAUUAGGUGGAAUCACCAACACUCAAUCACAUGACUUAGUCGAGUCAACCCAUCUCUGAUCUCUAAUUAAUUUUUAACUGUGCCGUAAUGACCCUUGCAAACUAGCACAGUUGAGUAGUCAAUUCUUAGUCGAAUUAUCAAAUUUAUUGAAUUAAAAUCCCUUAACAGCUACACCUAAUAGAUUAGUUAUCUCGUAAGUGAUCAAUUCAGGUAAAAGAACUAUAAGCGCAUCGAUGAAAAGCUCGACUCAUUCAAUUGAAAACAGAACUGGAAAUUCAGGAUGUCACAAUCUAGACACUCUCUUUCUUUAAACCUAUUGACAACAAGCCAUGGUUUGUACUUAUAUAUGGAAACAUCAACUUUAUGUUUCUUUUUGAAAAUCCAUUUAAUUCCUAUUGAAUUAUUUCCUGAUAGAUUAUCAGCGAAUUCACGAGUGUGAUUACUUAGGAAAUAAUUAAUCUCAUUGUCAACCACUUCUUUUCAGUCAGGUGUAUCUGGAGUUGACAUUGUCUCUUGAAAUGUUUGAGGCCCACCUUAUAAUAUGUAUAUUGGAAAAUCAAGUACGGAAUUUUUUUCAAUCCAUGACUUCUUGCCCCUUGAAAGUUCAACUUCUUGUUCCUCAACUUCAUCAUUCUCAAUACCCCUAUACUUUCAAAUAAUUGUAAGAUGAUAACCUUUCAUUCCAUAACUCAUAUGGAGUCUUACCUAUCUUCUUGCGGGGCACUUUAAUUAAAUUAUAGUUUGCAAUUAAAAAUGCAUCCCUUCACAAGUUCUAAGAUAAACUUGAACUUAAGAGCAUGGCGGUAGCCGUCUCCUUUGGAGUUUUGUUCUUCCAUUCAGUACCUCCACUUUACUGUGAAGUGCAUGAUGUAGUUGUUUGGAGAAUUAGUUUGGGGACACAACUCCAUCAAAUUUGAAGAAUUAUAUUCUUCUCCCCCAUCAAACCUAAGAUGUAACAUCCCGAUUUUUGACAUAUGAGAAAUUGUUGUGAAUCAGGUGUCUCAAUGGCAAGGAUAGGUCAUGGAUCAUUUCAAGAAUCGGCCAUGUACUAAUCAUGGAUCAAUCAAGGAAACGGUCGUGGACCAAUCCAAUGACCAUGUUAGUGGACUUGAGUAGUUCGGUUGACAGACGACUGCUCGACCGUAAGGGCUGAUCAAGGGAUGGUCACAUCUACCAUGGAUCAAUCAAUGAUCAUGAAUCGAUCCAAAUGGCCAUGUACUGAUCGUGAGUUAUUCCGCUAGGUCAUGUGCUGGUCAUGGAUGACCAUGGUUUGACUCGGUACAACCGUGUGAUGGGUAUGAAUUUGACUGAUCUCAAAAGGCCAUAUGACAAUCAGGAGUCGGUCUGGAUGAGGCCUAUGGCUAAUCUCAGAUCCGAUCUGCUUGGCCAGAACUGAUUUAAAAGCCGAUCAUUGGAUUUGCACCCUAAGCCACCAAUCUAGCUAAGAAGGUAAACAUUGCCUACAACAACCACACCGAGGGUGGCUUGGUCAUGAACCUCGGGUGUGUCGGAAUGGUCGUUAGGGAUGCACAAAAAAAAAAAAAUUCCUUGCUUAGUCCCAGUUGCACUUCCGAUGGCUUAUUUCCUAUGGUUGUCAUAUUACUUGAAUAUGGACAAAUUAGAACUCUCUACAACACACUAGCUUCUUCAAGAAGAAGAAUGAUUUACCAUUUCACCUAGAUUUUUCUAGAUUUGGCCAUGAUUACUAAUGAUUCGCCUUAGAGAUUGAGCAAAGAAUCUAGGCCAAAUAUCCCAAUAAAAAAGAGACAUCUUGGGGCACAUUAUGACUGGUCUAUGGGCAAGAUGCAACUCAUCUUUUUAGGGUGCCACCUAUCCAUGAUGAAUUUUCCCUUGAUAAUGAGUUAAGUGCUCAUGCGACCCAAUAAAAAGGAGACAAACAAACCUUCAAAUGAUUAUGUUAGGCCAUUAGAUCUAUACCUCAUAAGCCUAGGUGUCCACUCAAAGAUUUACUAAUGAUGGCUUGAGAUUUGCCUUUCAGAAGAAGUUGGUAAUUCAUGCUUAGGUGUCCUCUAGAAUCUUAGGCUAUGAUGACCCUAAAAUACAGCGUUGGUGAACAAAGCAAGAGCCAACCAAUUAGAAGAGGACAUUAGGCAUCAAAAGGGCUUAUGUGUCCCUUAGGACCAUAGGCACAUCAUAAGCCUAAAUUGAGCCUUAGAAAGCAAGCCAAUAGGUGAUCCAGUAAGAAGAUGACAAGUAUUCUCUUAGAACCCUAGGUGUACCACCUUGAUGGCAUAGCUGUGCCAUUUAAAGAAAUGUGAUUGGGUUGCUUGAAUGAGUAAUGGUGAGCUUGAUGCUUAUAAAUAAGAAGGGCUCCCAUUCAUUUCCAUCAAUUUAAGCCCUCUUGCCAUUCACGCCUAUUCUCCCCUUCCAUUCCUUUCUUUUGACCUCGUACCAUCGCUUCUUAUCAAGUCAUUCAAGCUAAUUCUCAAGGUUCAUCCAGGUAAGUAAGAUCCCUAUGUCUCUUCUAGGGCGAUCGUCUCCAUUGUCGAGUCUAGUUAGGUGCUCAUCCGUUAAGCCAUGGGUAGGAUGUUGAAUCUUUUGCAUGGCUUUGCUCAUGAUUAUGUUUAAACGUGUUUUUGAGCUGUUCAUGCCCGAAAUGAAGCUGAGGUUCGCUUAGGUUGAGUUCAACACAAGGCAAGGUCACUUAAGGCUAAAUGGCAUUGGAUCGGCAUUCAAGCAUGCCAAUUCUAAGUCUUGUUCGGUGUGAGUAUCCUAAGGCUGCAAGCUCUUGAAUUGACAUUGAGGUGUGCCAGUUCUAAGUCUUGAUUAGUAUGAGGAUCACUCAAGCUCGCGAGGUCUUGAUAAGGCACUAUAGCAUGCCGAUUUUAUGCCUUUGUUGGUGUGAGGACUUUGUGCUUGACAUUUGAAUCAAGACAUGACCUAAGGGUCAUUCAUGGCAUGAAGUAUGUUCAUGUCGGGUUGAAGAUGAGGUCCAUUGAGCUUAAUCUUCACGAAAGUGAGGUGUACCCAAGCCUCAAGGUCUUGGAUCGGCAUUGAGGCAUGUAGUUUCUGAACCUUGUCUAGUUCAGGGAUCGAAGCUUAGCAAUUGGUUCAAAUCAUAGAUCACGGGUCAUUCUCAACAUGUUUACUUGUGCAGUAUAAGAAUUCAUGACACACAAGUAUGGAUGAGCAAACCUUCAGGCCAUGCAUGUGUCAGCUAAGAGAAAAGAUAAGAACCAACUUGUAUGAUGUAUAUACGUCUGUACUUAAAGAGAAAAAAAAAAAAAAAAGCCCACUGCCACACAGCAUUGGUGGCAAUGCCUUGAUUGAGCCAGGAUGUCUGGGUCUUAAACCCAUAAGCCUAAAGAAGCUAGCCCAAAGAAGACUUGGUCGAGCUGAGAUGCCCUGAUCAAGACAAGAAGUUAGAAGCUCCAGUCAAGCUAGGAUGAAGAUAAAUAGAUUUGCAUGAAUGCCGAUUAUUGAUAAGUAUGAAUUAUUGUUAAGCCGAUGGUAGUUUUGACAUGGAUGGCAUGAGUUUAAAUAAAGCAUGACAUAUGAUUUGUGAUUGAUCUGCCAUCGACACUGUUUGCGAGUGUUAUACUUGUUAAGCUUUGAUGACAAGAUGUUUUCCUAGUAGAGAACUAAGAAUUUUACCUACUGAGUUCCCACGACUUACUUUCUCAUCUUUCAGUCUUGUAGGUAUGGAAGUCUCACGUCAGUUUUGGGAGCUGCAGUCACGUUCAAGGAGAUAGUAAUUUCUUUUGCCUUUAUGGAAACUUGUAGUAUGAUGUAAAAAGGAAAGAGAACCCCAUAGCAAAGAGGCUUGUAAAAGUACUGUUAUAAUAUAAACUAGUGUGUUUUAUGUAACAUUUAUCCCAAUUUUCUAGCAGUUGUUUGUCCGAGAGUGUUUAUUCACAUUUCUGUGUGUGCAUGAAAACAAAAUUAAAAGAAUCAAGACGGUGAUGAGCCUAAGACGUUGUGAAAUAACCCAUGUCACUCAAGACCCUAGGAAUGAAGUCGAGAUCGUGACAUGAGCACUUUAAUUCAUUUAUCAAGUUGGUUCUCGGUCUCAUUUUUAUACUUAACAAACGUGUUCAUAACCUUAUCUUUGCUAGUUAAUAGAUAAAUAUAGCAAAAUUGAGUAAAGUCAUCUACAAAAGUGAAGAAAUACUUUUUUUUCACCUCUACUUUCUACAAAUUUUAAAUCACAUAAAUCACUAUGGAUUGCUAUAGAGGUUCAUUCGAUCUUUCUACCAAUUUGAAUGGUUUUUUUAACAAACUUAGCCUCAACACAAGUCUCAUACUUGUGAUGGACAUCCAACUCAAACAUUGGAAUUAGCCCCAAUUUUGUUAUCUUUUUUGUUGUAGCAUAGCUUAUAUGUCGCAAUCUACCAUGCCAUAGAUAAGGAGACACAAUAGUGUAAACCAAAGACUUCUCAUUAUCAAUAGUCUUUGGGUACAAGAAUUUCGAGUUUACAUCAAUGACAACCACAUUUACUUUGAACGGGUCAUUACAUAAGUACCAUUUCCCCACAUACACCAUAUUUGGAAAGUACACAAUUAUCCAAUUCCAAUAUAAUGUUGAAACUCUUCUAGACAGGUAUGGGUUGAUUUACUUGCUAAGGGUGAAUUUCAAGAUCACUUUUCUUCUUCUAGCAAUAUUUGCUAAUGUGGAGUUAGUCAUAUAAAACUUAUAUUCUUCCUCAUGCUUCUUGUAAGAUGAAAACAGGUGUUUAUCCACGUGAUAUGUGGUACUUGUUUCCAACCACCAAUUAGUAUUAUUUAAUACCAAGGAUACCUCAUACACAACCACGACAAUCAGUCUCUCAUCCUCUGUUUAAUCUGUCAGAUUCAGCUACUUGACUACACUAUCGCCCUUGCCUUUGUUCAAGCGCUUUUUACAAUCCCUGGCCCAAUGGUCAAGCUUGUUACAAACAAAACAUGUCCCUUGGAAUUUCAAGAUUGUUCAUUCUGCUGGCAUUUUCCUUAAAAGAACUUUUUCCUCUUUGUAUCUUGCUUGGAAUUGGAAAACUCAAUAGUGUUGGCCUUUGGUUCAAUAAAGAGAUAUGCAUUCCACCUAUUGUCUUCCUUGAUUAUGAGGCACGGAAUAAGAUCUUCAAGGCUCAUCUCUUUCCGAUUAUCAUUCAUAUAUUUUUGAAAUCUAACCAGCCCAAAGGUAGCUUCUCAAUAAUAAAUGCCACUUGGAAUGAUUCACUAAGAACAUUUCCUCAACAAAGAUGUUCAAAAUCAUUUGCACUUCAUGGACCUAGUUCAUGGCAGAUUUAGAAUCCACCAUCUUGAGUCCAAGAAUUUGGCUACCACAAAUUUCUCAGUUUUGUAUUUCUUUUCUAAGGACUCCCAUAAUUAUCUAGUAGUUUCAAUGUUACAAUAAACAUGAUACAAGGAAUUUGCUAGGCAAUUAAGGAUAUAGUUUCGGAAUAGGAAAUCCUUGUGCUUCCAAGGCUCUAGCUCCCCAUGCAUUAUGACAUCUUGUUCAUCUAGACUAAUUAUUGAGCACACCUCUAAUUAUUGACUCCCAUAAUUAUCUGUUACCACUGCUUAAAGCCCACACUAGUUAACUCAUACAGUUUCUCAUUCGAUGUUAUUGGAGAAGGUAUCAUCAGAUUAGGCAAAGCUUGUUAAACCAUCUCUCCAAAAAUUGAACCAUGUACUUUUUUGAAAAACAGUCCCUAGUGUAUCGGUCAAGCGACUUCUACCGGUACCACCAUAGAUGCUUUCAGCCCGAAAGCUUGCAGCAUUUGUUGCCGUAACACUAGGCCAUGAGGUUUGAACCCACUCAUUGAAACGACCAUAUGAACGUCCUCGCAAACAUUCCGGACAUCAUUGGGUACUUGAUUAUUAUUAGUCAUCUCAAUUUUUUGAUAAGCCCAACAAACAGUAAAAGAUAAUCACCUUAAGAUUGUGGGAAAUAUUAAGACGUAUUGGGGAAAAUAGUAAAAAUUCCAAGAAAGCAAUAGCAAAAUAAACAAGGGUGAGGUUCGGCUAAUCAAAUCUCCUUAAGGCGAUUAGUUCAUGUCAAUGGUGCCAAUUAGUUUCAUGAACUAUGACUCUCAAAAUACAACACCUCAAACCCAAUUGUAUAAGCACUAUAUGAACAAGAUUCUAUCGAACACUUCUUUAAAUCAGCACGCUUAAAGAAACUACCAAGAAACUAGAGGAAUACUUUGAGGAGUUUUUGUUGUUAUUUUGAAUUAAGAAGACACAUCUAUUUAUAGACCAGGGAACUAGUUGUAGAAAACUGAAAGGACAUGAACUCAAGAGCCACACCGAUUAUGCACACAUUAGUUGAGCCAUUAACCCUUAAUAACAACAUUAUUAAAUCAGAAACUACAAGAGAACAAAGAGCCAUUAACCCAUAAUUGCAACAAUUAGGGCAUGAUCCAAAGAGACAUAACGGUUGCAUGUGAAUUGAAAAAGGCGUGAAUUGAAGAGACGUGUCAUUAACAUUGAGCCAUUAAAACCUAUGAUUACAAUAAUAAUUACAACACACUGUGCCCCCCUCAGUUCUUGUCACAAGAGCUUCUAAUUUGAAUUCAUCAAGUACGCCAUGUGCAUCAUAGAAUGCAUCCUUCAAUUGCUCAAGCCAAAAUUAGGUCACAUAAACUUGUUAUACAUGUGUCCCUGAGCACCCCGAUCUCAUGCUUGAUGCCCUAUAAAUUUCCAACUUUUUCUAGUGCUUGUCGAGCCAAAUCUCCAGCAAUGCUGACGAUGACAGAUGCCAUCUCUCUCUCAUAUAAUAUAUUAGUCGAGUCAUUCCAAGGCCAGAGAUUUCAGGUAUGUAUAACAAGUUUAUGUGACCUAAUUUUUAACUUCUUUGACGGAGUUGAGUUGUUGAAGGUAGGAUUCUCAUCAUCCACGCAAGCCUAUGUCAAUAAUGCAGAUAGGACCCACUGAUUUGGUUUGUCUAAGAUAUUUCGUGCUUCUAGAGUUUACUAGCUUAACACGCUUGCAAGUUGCAAAGGCAAUGAAAAGGCUGGCGUUGAAUUGAAAUCCAUGUUUAUUUAGAAGAUUAAAUUAACAAUAAUAACAAUAAAUUAAGAGUAAUAAAUUAGAAGGAUUGGACUAAGUUGCCUACGUUCACUCUUUUUCCAUAAAAAUAGCCGCCUCCUUGGAAUGUCCUAACCACGUGCUAUAUGCAAUACCAAUCAAUUGUAAAAAAUCAUAAUUGAAACUAUUUAAAAUGGGUAUAAUUAUCGGUGCAUCAUUUUCUAAUUAAAUCACUUUCCCCACAUAUCAAUCUUUUAGGAAGAAUAUGGCCAUUUUCAUCUAUUCUUUUCUUCAGGUUUAUUUGGAAACUGUUUCGAAAACUAUUCUCCAAAAUUUUUAAACAUUGCGUCAAUUCUCAACUUUUACUCUUGAUACACGUGGAGAGCGAUCUGAAGAGGGUUAAUGCGUCUCUAGUUUUUGGUUUCUUCAUGAUACAAUGGAUGUUGUUAUAAUUAUCAUUCAAUGAAAUAAUUUGCUUAGUCAAUAUAUAUAUGCUUACUGAUGUUCGUGGAAGGAUUCGUUCUUUAUUUUUAUUUUUCCCAAAUAAUAGGGAAUCAUUAUCUAAAUUAUUGGGAUGAAUUUUGGGUAUGACAAGUUUGGAAUCACAACUUAGGUUAUAAAACUAGUGAAUAUUAGCUAGCAUUAAUUCGGGCACUGUGACGUGCGAUUAGUUAGUAACUAGACGUGCGCACGUGCGUCACACACAAUACGUGCUCAUACAUUACGCAUAGCUACUCUUUCAGUGAAUAUAGAAAGUUCUAUAUGCGUAGGUAAUAUUAUCGACCUCUCAGUUUGAAACUAUUCUUCAUAUUAUCACAAGACAUUAGUACUAUUAUUUUACUAAAACAUUGCAAUUUGAUUAGGGAAGUUCACUCUCCUUGUUAAUCUCUCAUAUUUAUUUGCUUCCUAUGAGUAAAAUGCUUCUAUAUAGUUUAUUUCUUUCUUUAACUUUUCCUAUUCUCUAAGUAAAUGAAUAAUCUCUUCCCAUACAUUUUGUGAAUAAUCUCUUCCCAAACAUUGCAAUAACAAAACUUGCACAUUUUGUAAACUCCUAGUAUUUAGACAUUUUAUGCAUGUCACUCCUUUUCAUGAAAGGGAUAUCUUUUUUUGAGAAGAAAGAGAAGCCUUUUUUGCUGCAAAUUGCAGGUAUUCCCACUUGAGAUAUUUACUCGCGGGAAACAUGUAAACGAAGAACAAGUCUCGCUGGGGGAAUCUACUCCGAGCACUGAAAGUCCAAUCAUUGGACCUAAUGGACAUCCUGGGUGGACACAGGCAACCGCAAUCCAAGCACAGCCCCUACGCGACUGUGGCACAUCUCAUUUGACAAAUCACNNNNNNNNNNNNNNNNNNNNNNNNNNNNNNNNNNNNNNNNNNNNNNNNNNNNNNNNNNNNNNNNNNNNNNNNNNNNNNNNNNNNNNNNNNNNNNNNNNNNNNNNNNNNAACUAUCCCGUCAGAACCCACCACAAGGGAGAAAAAAUGAAGGUCAAGUGAACAAUAAUGAAGAUGCUAAGAAACAAAACUAUCUGUCUCGCUUACAUCAUUCUCUGAAAAAGCAAACUGGAGAAUGGGUUUUUACAUUGACUUGGAAGUCCUUGAAGGUUUCCUCAAAUUCUUGAUCAUGCCCAAGUAGGGGGCGCAAUUGGAGAAAUUUCUAUAUUCAUUCCCAGCCGGUAACAAAAAAAAUAUGAAGUUCUGCAAGCUCUAAAUUGGAUUUCAAGAGUGCAAAAAGGUAAUUAACGUUAAAGAGAAAACGAACAAGAAAAAACAAAACAAGAAGAGAUCAUUCCUAGCAAGGUUUUUCUGUCUGCUCAAGCAUUUGGCUAAAGUACACUUCAAGUGCCAAAAGUUGGUAUAAAGGGACACUUAAGUGCAAAAAAUUACAAAAGUGACACUUAAGUGCCAAAAUUGGAAAGAAAUGGAUCACUUAAGUGCCAAUCUAGCCAAAAUCCGGCCAAAAUGCUGAUGUGCGCAAUUUUCGGCAAAGUAAGUGCAAAACGGCGUCAUUUUGCAUGCUGACGUGGCCAGAUAAUGAAAAAAUGACGUCAUUUUGGUGCUAACAUGGUAAAAAUUAAUAUAAAAAUUAAUUAAAUUUAAUUGAAAACUAAAUUUAUUUAAAAAUUUUAAAAAUACAAAUACAAAUAUAUAUAUAUAUAUAUAUUUUUAAAAGGUGGGAGGGAGGCGGUGGCAGCUAGGGCUCAACCCUCAGCUGCCUCCCUUUUUAAAUAUUUUAAAUAUUUUUAUUUUAUUUUACAAAAUUUUAAAAAAUUUAAUUUAAUUUUUAUAUUAAUUUUUUCCCACAUUAGCACUAAAACAACGCCGUUUGUACUCGCUCGCCGGAAAAUUGACAUAUAAGCAUUUUGGCCGGAUUUUGGCCAAAUUAAUACUUAAGUGAUCCAUUUUGCUCCGAUUUUGGCACUUAAGUGUCCCUUUGUACCAACUUUUAGCACUCCAAGGGUCUUGGUGUCUAAGCAUUUUAUUUAUCAUUUUGAUAGUGUUACUUUCUUGUUUCCAUACUUGUAUGAUCAUCCAUCGCAUGUAAGUGGUUUAAGACCAAAUCAAUCAAGGCUACUUGCAAAACAUUUUGUGAAAUAAAGUGAAGGUGCCAAAGGGAGAUAGAUUUAUCUAGCAUAAUCAAGUCCCUUAUCCAUGAAAUCUCUAGUUCACAAAAAUAAAGUGUUCUCUCACAUUUUACUCGGGUUUUUAAUCAACCAUAGUAGACUAAUGGCAAUUCUUAAAUGAAUUGAAUUGGAUGUCUAAAUAAUUUAAUUAAAACCCCAAAGUUGUGAUUGUUGGGGGUUUGAGAGAACCCGCAUUAGACAAUGGUACCGUCUUUUUAAUGAGUUACCAUUUGUACUUGCAUGAUAAUCCAUUAACUUUCUCUUAGUGGUCCACCUCUAAGAAGGUCAUGACAAUUGGCAAUUAGAGAGUGGCAACUAAAUUAAAGAAGGAAAAGUGAGCUUGUUGAAUUAGAGACGAGUUGACCGAGCAACCGCAUGGAAACAAUGAAUACACACUCCUCAUUCAUCCGAUUGCACUAAAAUGUUGAGGGGAGUUAGUCAACAAGCGGACGAAGCUUGUGUAAAAUUUUUAGACCAAACGGAUAUUGAAAAUUUCAGUUUUGAAGGCUUGACAACAUUGUCUUUUUGUCCAGGCAUCUUGGUGCAGAUCAUCCAACAUUCCUUGAAAAAUGCAAUUUAGGAACUAUUCUUGGAAACUAGCACNNNNNNNNNNNNNNNNNNNNNNNNNNNNNNNNNNNNNNNNNNNNNNNNNNNNNNNNNNNNNNNNNNNNNNNNNNNNNNNNNNNNNNNNNNNNNNNNNNNNNNNNNNNNNNNNNNNNNNNNNNNNNNNNNNNNNNNNNNNNNNNNNNNNNNNNNNNNNNNNNNNNNNNNNNNNNNNNNNNNNNNNNNNNNNNNNNNNNNNNNNNNNUUUUCCCGUAGAGCCGAGGUUCUUGCACUACAUUGUCCCUAGUCGAAGAGUAUAGGAGAUUCCUAAUAUUCAUCAUAUGCACGGAUGACCUAUGUGAACUGAAACCUAACUAUAAAUGAAAUAUCAUGCCUCUAGUUUAUAUGUGCAAAACGAAUGCCACGAGAAAAAUGAAUGCAAUGUUGUAUAAACUGAUUGUUUUGUUUUUAUCAUGGUCAAAUUUAUGAGAUGCAAAUUUAUGAUAAAUUCAUCAGUGAAAUUCAAGUGUCAACAUCAAAAAGUCCUUUAAAUAGUGAAGAUUGGAAAAUUCGAUCAAAUUGAUGAUUGGACUUAUAUAUAUGAUGUUUUUGAAAAAGACAAGCCAUCUUACUAAGGCAAAAAUUGUUGGAGUUAUCCCACAUCGAUUAUGGAAUUGUCUAGUGGUUAGUUUAUAAAUAUGAGAGAAAGUCUCGCCCUUUGAGUAAACUUUUGAGGUGAGAGAAGUGCAAGACUACCAAACAUUGGUGUUAGAGCCAAUAGUAGAUUGGCGGCCCCCAAUUUGUUCAAGAUAUCUCAAGAAAAGGAAUCUAGUUACCAACAUAGUUUCUAGGCAGUGUGUGUUGUGGUAUAACACAAUCCCAAUGGUAGUCUUCAUGGUUCGAUUCCAAGAAAAAAAAAACAUGGAUAAAGGUGAGUGUUGGAGAUUCAAGUUAAGAUAAAAAGAUACCUAAGUUAAGGGGAACAAACCUAACAAUGAGCUCAUAUGUGAUGGGGAGAUUGUUGAGAUAUACAUGUGAGUUAUCUCAAAGAAAGGAAUCUAGUGACCAACAUAGUUUCUGAGCAGUGUGUGUUGUGGUGUUGCAAUGCGCAAUCCAAUGGUAGUUUUCAUGGUUCGAUCUAAUGAAAAAGAACAUGGAUGAAGGUGAAUGUUAGAGAUUCAAAUUGAGAUAAGUUAAUAUAGAAAGAUACCUGAAUUAAGGGGAAACGGACCUAACAUUGAGCUCACACGUGAUGGAGAGAUUAUUGAGAUACAUAUGUAAGUAGGAAUCUAGUGACUAACACAGUUUCUAGGCAGCGUGUGUUGAGGUGUUGCAACGCAAUCCAAUGGUAGUUUUCAUGGUUCGGUCCAUUGAAAAAGAACAUGGAUGUUGGUGAAUGUUGGAGAUUCAAGUUGAGAUAAGUUAACGUAGAAAGAUACUUGAAUUAAGGAGGAACAAACCUAACAUUGAGCUCACACGUGAUGGGGAGAUUGUUGACAUACAUAUGUAAGUAGGAAUCUAGUGACUAACACAGUUUCCGGGUAAUGUGUGUUGUGGUGUUGCAACGCAAUCCAAUGGCAGUUUUUAUGGUAUGGUCCGAUGAAAAAGAACAUGGAUGAAGGUGAUUGUUGGAGAUUCAAGUUGAGAUAAGUUAAUAUAGAAAUGUACAUGAAUUAAGGGGGAACAGACUUAACAUUGAGCUCAUACAUGAUGGGGAGAUUGUUGAGAUUCAUAUGUAAGUUGUGUUAGGGAAGUCCCAUAGCGGAGAAUUGAUGCAAUGUAAAGUAAUUAAUAUAUCUAGUUGGCCAAUAACUCAUUGCUUUAAGCUUUUGAGUGAAGAUAUGUCCAAUUAGAUAUGUUAAUAGGCUUAGACUUGUGCUCCUUCUUAGCAAUCUCCUAGGGUAAAGAUAUUGGACAUCUAUUAUACACUUUCAACAAAAAUAAAUACAUAACUAUCCGAUUUUGAUAGGACAAAUUAGUUGAUAAACCAAUCCGUGAAACCCAAGAAAGAACAAGACAUCAUAAUAUUUGUGGUACUGAAGUAAAGUUGUAGGCCUUAAAUGCACAAAUUAAGAGUUACGGAUUUGAUUGCAUAAUUCGUGUAAGUUGUUUGACCAAAAAUGAAAUUCCAAUGAAAUAAGAAUCAAAUUUAACCUAAUACGAUGAAAUGGAUGGAUCACCAGACUCUACGCGACCAGCAUGUUUACUCCUAUUCAUAGCCAAAAGAUAUAUCAAUGUUUUCUCCUUUUUAUAUUGUGGACAGCAAAUAAUAGCAUCUCCUGCUUUUUCUUUAUUGUUUUGGGUUGCUUUCUUGUGAACAGGAUAAGAGUGUAUAUUAAUAUCAUGNNNNNNNNNNNNNNNNNNNNNNNNNNNNNNNNNNNNNNNNNNNNNNNNNNNNNNNNNNNNNNNNNNNNNNNNNNNNNNNNNNNNNNNNNNNNNNNNNNNNNNNNNNNNNNNNNNNNNNNNNNNNNNNNNNNNNNNNNNNNNNNNNNNNNNNNNNNNNNNNNNNNNNNNNNNNNNNNNNNNNNNNNNNNNNNNNNNNNNNNNNNNNNNNCCAGAACCUCCACAACUUCCGAGCCAAGCACGGGCCUGUGACGUGGUUGAAGCUCGGUUCCGUGAACACCAUGGUGAUUCAAUCAGCUCAGGCCGCGGCAGAGUUCUU